Molecule: long non-coding RNA, 263847 nt
Filed under: Prunus persica (peach)
Lineage: Eukaryota; Viridiplantae; Streptophyta; Magnoliopsida; Rosales; Rosaceae
Description: long non-coding RNA (PPER_LNC006467)
Rfam family: Plant small nucleolar RNA R71 (bases 110574-110680)
Source: RNAcentral
GGGAACUUGUGGAGAAGUGUGAAGGUCUACCUCUAGCGAUCGUAGCCUUGAGUGGUCUCAUGUCUUCUAAGAAGUCACUUACAGAGUGGAGCACAGUCUACAACAGCUUAAAUUGGCAUUUAACAAACAGUCCUUUGCUAGAACCUAUGAAGAUGCGCAUCUUGUUGUUUAGUUUUAAUGAUUUGCCAUACCGAUUGAAGCAAUGCUUUCUAUAUUGUUCACUUUUCCCUGAAGAUCAUGUGAUCUUAAAUCUUAGGCUCAUCACAUUGUGGAUCGCUGAAGGAUUUGUUGAACAUGUCGAAGGGCUCACGCCAGAAGAAGUUGCAAAUAGCUAUCUUAUGGAACUCUUUUUUCGUAACAUGCUACAGCAAAGGUUUCGAGGACCCCUCCCAGCAUGUAAGAUGCAUGAUCUUUUGCGGGAGAUUGCCUUGUCUAUAGCAAAAGAAGAAAAGUUUUGCACUGUACAUGAUGGGAGUGAAACAGUAGAAGAAACUGGAGCACUCCGUUUGUCAAUUCAAACAACUAAUGGAGAAAUUGGAUCAUGCACAGGUAUAUCACGGCUUUGUUCGUUUCUCGUCUUUGCCACUGACUUAUCCUCAUUCUCUUUACCAAAUAAAUUUACUUCUGACCUUAAAUUGUUGAAGGUUCUAGAUUUGGAGGAUGUCCCAAUUGAUAAUCUGCCAGACAAUCUAACAUCCUUAUUUAAUUUAAAAUACUUAAAUUUGAGUCGAACUCCAAUUACGGAGCUUCCGGAAUCCAUUAGGCAGCUCCACAACCUUCAGACCUUGAACAUCACGGGGACAAAAAUAGAGGCACUUCCAAGAGGGAUUUCCAAGUUGCUAAAGUUACGCCAUUUACUUAUGGGUAGGUUCAUUUCCAGAAAGAUAAUUGGGGUAAGAAUACCAUCAAGUAUUAGUAAGAUGAAGAAAUUGCAAACUUUGGAAAAUAUUGAAUCAAAAGGAAACAUUAUUAGACUUAUUGGAAGUAUGACCCAGCUUAAGUUCCUCGGCAUUACAAAUGUGAAAGAAAGAGACGAGGAGGACCUAUGUGCCUCAAUUCAAGAGAUGAAGGUCCUUUCCCGCUUGCUUUUAUUUGUAGCUGAUGGAGAGGAAUUUCUUCGAGUUGACGCAUUGUCUUCACCGCCUCCCUACCUUGAUAGACUUAGAUUGGUCGGCAAACUGGAAAAGGUACCACAACGGUUUUGUUCACUCCACUCUCUCGCAUAUUUGAAUCUGCGUGGGUCUAGACUUGAAGAAGAUUUUCUACCUCAUAUUGAAGCAUUGCCCUCUCUACGUUCUCUUUGGCUUGAUAAUACCUCUGUUAAGAAAGAGUUAUGUUUCAACAGAGGCUUUGUGAAGCUUUGGUAUUUGCAGUUUCAGAAUUUCGCAUUAUUAAAUAAGAUAACUAUAGAAAAAGGGACGAUGCCAAAUCUUGAGUUCUUAGACAUUCGUAGUUGCAUGACGUUAGAAACAUUGCCACAGGGUAUUGAGCACCUUAUUAAACUACGAGGAUACAGAUUUGAUAAUGUUUCAGAGAAGUUUAGAGAGUCCAUAAAAGGAGGAGGUGUGGAUCAUCCAAGGAUGCUACUCGUCGACGAGAAAUGUAAGAAACAUAUGUAAGUGUCUUUUAUCCUUUCAUUGACUUUCCUAAACCUAAUGAUUUGGAAUAUUUCCAAAAUUAAUGAUUUGGAUGUAAAGCCUUAUAAAUUGUUUGUUAUUAUAAUAUCGCUUUUGUCUUUUUAUGUAUUUUGCAGAAACAAGUCCACCCUGAUUGAAGAAUUUACCCAUGAGUACUCUUUUUACUCUUUUUGAAAAUCAAAUAAUACCAAAGUUGAUGUUCAUAAAAUUUCAUAUGUCGCUUCAACAAUGGGCAGGCGUAUGUCGACGAUUAGCUUUUAAGAUUUGGAUCAUGGAUUCAUUUAUAUUCGGUGUGUUUGUACUUUCUUCUAUGUUAAUUGUGUUUGUAAGAAUACCAUCAAGUAUUAGUAAGAUGAAGAAAUUGCAAACUUUGGCAUAUAUUGAAUCAGAAGGAAACAUUAUUAGAUUUAUUGGAAAUAUGACCCAGCUUACGUUCCUUGGCAUUACAAUGUGAAAGAAAGAGACGAGGAGGACCUAUGUGCAAUGGCAGAUCCACAUAGGGAUAAGAGGGGUCGAUUGACCCCUGCAAACCUAGAAUCUACCAUAGGAGGCCAAGAACUUAACCCUUGAAAAUUCCCUAGAAGGUGUUUGAUGAAAUGCCACAAAGAGGAAGUAGCCGUAGCACACACUGGUAGCAAGAAGCUAGCUGCGCGCCUGUGAAGCGCUCACAGCGUCUUUUUUUUUCCUCUACGUCAAAACGACAUCAUUCCACUUAAGAUUUUUUAUUUUUUAUUUAAAAAAAACCUGGCCAAAAACGACAUCAUUUUGGCUUAGGUGUUUAAAAAAAAAAAUUACAACUUAGGCAGCAACUCUGCUGCCUAAUAAAACCUACGAGUGCAUCUUGGACGCAAAUGUUUCUCUUUCCUCUCUCCUCCCAUACAAGAGCAAGUAUUUGCUCUUAGAUCUAUAGCAAAUUCUCCUCCAUACAUAUGACUUAUUUGAUAUUUCUUCUCCCUAGCCAACCUUGGUAUGAAUUGACUUGAUGCCAACUUAUUUUUCUCUAUUACGUUGAAGAUUCUAGGAUCAACAGUAUACCUCCAAUGUUGACAAUGCCCUUCUAUUAGCCAUCCUAAUCAUAAUAUACAUCCUUAUUCUCUCAAGGCAUGUUAGGAUUGGCUUAUCCCUUGCAUCCAUAAUGACUGCAUUGAAGCUUUCACAUAGGUUAUUUAACAACAAAUCACACUUAUAGUGUGUUGCAAAAUGAGAUCUUGACCAAUUUCUUGCUGGCCUCUCAAUUAGCCACCCCCAAGCAUCUGCAUCCUCCUUCUUCAUAUUAUCCAUCUCUGCUUCCCACCAAGGAAAUGUGGUUGGCCUCGCAGCAGCCCAUAGCAAAUGUUUCAGAGCAAGUCCUGUGUGUUGGCCUUUGAAGUUGUUAUACAAAUGUCUCACGCACAUUCUGUGUUUAGCAUUUGGUAGAGCUGUUUGCAUAGUGGGAAUUAGCCCCUUCUGUUUAUUACUUUUAAAUUCCCAUGCCAAAUCAUUUUAAAUCCCCAAGUCUGCAAUUAAGAGUUAUAGAAACCAUAUCCAACUACUUUUGCUUUCUAUUUCAACUAUAGCAUAGGCCAAUGGGAACAAAGGUAUGUUCCCAUCAAUACCAACUGUAGUUAAGAUCUGCCCUGAGGAGGGUCCUUUUAAGAGGUAGCCAUCAACACCUACAACAGGCCUACACCCUUCUAAGAAACCAUUUUUAGAAGCAGCUAAACAAAUAUAAAUCCGUUCAAACAAUGCAUCAUCACCUGCUAGUUCAGUUUUAAUUACCACAGUACUUCCAAGGUUGAUCUUCUUAAUUUGCUCUACAUAAUCCCUUAAUCUCUCGUAUUGUUCCUUGUACGAACCUUCAAUGACCUUCUUAGCCAAUUUUUUUGCCCUAUACACUUGGUUAUGUAUAACAUUCAUUACAUAUGUUCCCUCACCUCAUCUUGAAGUUGCCCUACAUUCCAAUUGGGAUUUCUUCUCAUCUUAUCACAAAAUCUUUGUAAAAUCCAUGUUGAAGUAGCAUAUCUUAACCUGUCUACUCUGCCACAUGUAUGAUUAGCAUGUAUAGCCUUUACUUUAAAAAUGGAUUCUCUUUAUCAAUCCUAGAUGCAUAAAGAACAAAUGUACAGUUCCUAGAUCCACGACACAGGACCUUCACUCUUCUCUUGCCAUUUUUAUCAAAUUUCAACAACUUGCCGUUUACAAUUGCAUACUCCUUUAUUGCUUCCUUCAAGUGCUCCCGAUUUGCAAAUUGCAUCUCCAAAUGAAAUUAUGGAUUUUUAAGGUCAGUAGCUCUCCUAUAUUGCUUGAACUUUGGUAGGAGAAUCCUCUAUUUUUUGUCACAUGUCGACUGCUAUUCUCAUCAUCUGAGGUGUUCCUAUCAGAAUAUAAAGUAUCAGAAUCUGCCCCAUCAUCUGAUAUCUCUCCUGGCCCUUGUGUUUCACUCUCAACAUUUACUUCUUCAUCACAAGGCAUAUUUAUGUCUACAUUACAACCUUUCUUUGCCUCCUCAUCUUCACUAAAAGCAUUAUCACUAUCCACAAACUCUGAAUCUUCUUCUUCUUCAUCAAUUGCAGCUUCACAAUCUCCAAGAGAAAUAACAUGCUCAUCAGUAUCUAAAGCUUCAUAACCUCCAUCAUUUGGUCUUCAUUAAAUCUCCCAUAGUUGUAUUCUUCACUUUGCAAACUAAGCCAUUCUACAGAUGUUUGAGUCUAUGUCUUAUCACUUAUUUUUUUGUCAGUAUAGUAUAACACUAACACUCUGUUACUUGUUAUGCAGUCAACCAUGUCACAUAUAACACUGUCAUUGUCAAUGAGCUUUACAUUAGUUUCACCUUUACUAUAAUACAUCUGACAAUAUAUUUGCAAACAUAUCUCCUUCUUAGUUAGGUCCACUUUAUAUCCUAACGCUAUACCUAUUUUCCUUAAAUCCAAGAGUGAUAGAUAAUCAUCCACACAGUAUAUUCAACAUCAAUUUUUAAAAUCUCUACUCACCUAAAUAAGGAUAAAUCACACUUCAAUUAAAGCAAGGAUAGUACAUACCAAGUGUGCUAGUGUGUGUAACUAUACAAUCAAUUGACACAAAUCAUACCAGUAGGACCACAAACCCUUAAAUUCAACCAAGGAUAGUAGGACCAAGUAUGCACUCAAUGUCUGACCAAAACACAAGGUAUGCAUUCAAUGUUGACAUAAAGACAAAAGAAAACAGUUUUUUGUUUGCCCAAAAGAGAGACAAUAACAAAACCCUCAAUUGCUACAUAGUUGGAGCAGACACAGACAGAAUUCCAAAACAACAUAAAGCAAUUAACAUAUAAAAAUGUGCUUCCAUUAGCAUCGCAUAUUGUAUAUUAAGGGGGGGGGGGGGGGGGGGGGGGGUCCUAACCACCCGGAUUUCAAACCCCUCAAAAUUUUCAACAACCCCCUUUGGCCCCCCCAAGGGAAAACCCAAACAUUUUGGCCCUAAAGAACCUUAAACCCCAUGGCCCCCAAAAAAANNNNNNNNNNNNNNNNNNNNNNNNNNNNNNNNNNNNNNNNNNNNNNNNNNNNNNNNNNNNNNNNNNNNNNNNNNNNNNNNNNNNNNNNNNNNNNNNNNNNNNNNNNNNNNNNNNNNNNNNNNNNNNNNNNNNNNNNNNNNNNNNNNNNNNNNNNNNNNNNNNNNNNNNNNNNNNNNNNNNNNNNNNNNNNNNNNNNNNNNNNNNNNNNNNNNNNNNNNNNNNNNNNNNNNNNNNNNNNNNNNNNNNGACAAAAUCGACUCAAAUGUAGUCCAAUUCCUAGCUUUUGCUAUAUCUGAAACCUUCAGCAGAAACCCUUUUGUCUGAAAGCUUCAUCUUGUUGACUCUUCAGCUUUUUCUUUUCUUGUUUGGUUCAUACCUCUAGUCAAAGUUCUGAUGUGUCAUAACUCGUAUAAGAGAAUCUAAAAGAGUAAAAGUCUUUUUUGUCACUCAACUACUCCCUACAUGCCCUAAAUUUAACGAAAAAAUUGACAGAAGUAACGGUGGGACUAGCUGUUCAAACAAAACUAAAGUUAAAGGACCAUGGGUACCAUUUUGGAAAUUGAGGUACUCAAAUGCAAAUCGGGUCAAAGGGGUGACUAAUAAUACUAUUAACCCUAUUGGUAUUGAUUACUCUGGCUUCUCCAAUAAUACGUAUAAUUAGUAGUUUAAACAUUUCACUCAAACAAACCCUAACUAUUAUAAUUCAAAACUUUAAAAUAAAGAAAAAUAAAUCAGUUUUCCAAUCUCUGCACUCACAGCCGUCAGCCAAAAGAAACUAAUGGAAACCCAAGAGGGAUUAGCUUAUUGCACAAAUGCAAAGCAACUAAGCCAAACUUCGACAAUAAGAAAAGCCACUCAGAUGCAUAGAUUGUUUUCGAUUUAGCUACUAUCUGUUUGCCCGUUUUGUGUUUACUCCUGUGAUGGAAGGGCAAAAUUCUCUAUCGCCUUGAAAACCAUUGACUGGUCAACAAGCCAACUUUCUUUGGCGUGCGAGUGUGCCACUGCUAGCAAUGAAAAAUCCUAGUAGACUUCUUUGAAACAGAUAACUUGCGCCCCAAGUUACUGAUUUCUAAAUAAGCGAUCGUGAAUUUAGGUGAGGAAUAUCUCCCAAGUAAGUUCUUUUCUUGCCUCAGACUGGUGAGGACUUCACAAUUUAUCUCAGUACAAGAUUGGUAGUUUUGGCCAAAAUAAAUGAUAAUAAAGUGGAUUUUUUAGACAGAACUGCCUGUUACAAAACUAGAAAGGAAAAGAUCAACUCUAGAAAGACAAAAAGAAGGCUAAAAUUCUAUUUCUGCCUGGAUAGAAGCUUCUAAUCCGGGCUGGACUGAGUAUGUCUGUGCUGGACUGAACUGUCAACAACUUCAACUGCUAAGCUUCAGUUGUAAAUCGAUACCAAAGUUUGAGUUUGACAGAGUUUUAAUAUAUUUCAAGCCUUGGAAGGCUUUUCAAACGGGCAGAACUGCAACUUCUUUGGUCUGAACAGGGCAGAAGUGGCUGGACUUGAGAAUUAACUUUGCGCGACGAAAAACAAUUCGUCGCACAAAGUCACUUUGCGCAACAAACUUUUGCGCGACGAGAAUACUUCGUCGCUCAAAGUCUUGCGAAACAAUUCGUCACGCAAAGUGACUUUGCAGGACGAACGUUUGCUCAACGACAAUACAUCGUCGCUCAAAGUGACUUGCACGACGAAACAAUAAACUUCGUUGCACAAAGUCUUUAGCGGCGAAGUGUGUUUCGUCACGCAAAGUCUUUACAAAAAUAAAUAAAAUAAUUUUUUAAAUCUUUGCAUGACGUAAUCUAAACAUUUUGUCGCCUAAACCAAUUUAUUUUUGUCUUUUAUUUUGUAUGCAUAACACUUAAGAAAUUAAACGGUAUAUAUAUUUAUUAAGCAGCUUUAAAUUUAUUAUUUUAGUUCGGAUAGGAUUUUUGUUAUAAAAAUAUAUUAUUGUAGUUCAUAUUGGGCUUUUGUUAGAAAAUAUAUAUUUUAAAUUGAUGAUCGAAUUAGUUCAUUGUAUUCAUAUAGGGUCAAGGAGUGUAGCUAUAAAAAAUCAUCAAAAUUGGAGUUAAAAUAACCGUUAAAUCGUGAUUUUUCAUUUAUAACCGUCAAAAAUUUUGUCCCAUUACUUGAUCUCUGAAUGUUUAUCUUUUUCGAUUUUUGGCGUAUAUGAUCUCAAAGUAUAAACAAACAAGUUUGACUGUUGGAUCGUUGAAACUAGUUUCGUUGAAUGCAUAUGCCAUCAAAACAAUAUAUUAACUAAAAAUCAAGAGUUUAUUUAUACUUUCGUUAAAUAUAACAUAAGAUUUUGUGGUAUCCACUAGUGUAAAUAUUUUAAAUUGAAGAUCUAAUUCAGUCAUUGUAUUCAUAUAGGGUCAAGGAGUGUAGCUGAAAAAAUCAUCAAAAUUGGAGUUAAAAUAUCCGUUAAAUCGUGAUUUUUCAUUUAUAACCGUCGAAAAGUUUUUUCCCAUUACUUGAUCUCUGAAUGUUUAUUUUUUCUGAUUUUUGGCGUAUACAAUCUCGAAGUAUAAACAAACAAGUUUGACGGUUGGAUCAUUGAAACUAGUUUCGUAGGAUGCGUAUACCAUCAAAACAAUAUAUUCACUAACAAUUAAGAGUUUAUUUAUACUUUCAUUAAAUAUAACAUAAGAUUUUGUGGUAUUCACUAGUGAAAAUAUUUUAAAUUGAAGAUCAAAUUCAAUCAUUGUAUUCAUAUAGGGUCAAGGAGUGUAGUUGUAAAAAAUCAUCAAAAUCGGAGUUAAAAUAACCGUUAAAUCGUGAUUUUUCAUUUAUAACCAUCGAAAAAUUUUGUCCCGUUACUAGAUAUCUAAAUGUUUGUUGUUUGUGAUUUUUUGGGGUAUACGAUCUUGAAGUAUAUGAAAACAAGUUUGACGAUUGGAUCGUUGAAUGGUGUGUGUGUGUAUAAUAUAUAUACACAAAACUUUAACAUUUUUUUUAGACUUUUCUCGACCAAUUUUUUUCGUCACGCGAAACUUUGCGCGACCAAUUUUCGAAUAUUUUUCGUCGCACAAAACUUAAAAAAUUUGAGCGGUUACCAAAAAUGAGACGUGGAAAUUUUUUUUUUAGACUUCGUGCAACCAAUAUUUUUGCGCGCAAAACUUUAAAAAUUUGGGAGGGUACAAAAAAUGAGACGUGGGAAAACUGUUAUUUUUUAAUUUUUUUUGGGACUUUGCGCGACCAAUAUUUUUUGUCGAGCAAAACUUUGCACGACCAAUAAUCCAAUAUUUUUCGUCCCUCAAAACUUUGCGCGACCAAUAUAUAUUUUUUGUCGUGCAAAGUGAUACGGUUUUUAAAACCAAAAUAACUCCUUCACUAUUUUCUCAAUGUCUUUCUCUACUCUUACCUCUCCUCUCUCUUUCCCUCUCCCUAAAUCCCACCCUUUCUCUCACACUCACUCCUCUCUCUCUUCUCUAUCUCUCACUCUCUCAUAUCUCUUUUCACUAUCUCUCACUCUCACUCACUCUCUCAUCUCUCUUUUCACUAUCUCUCACUCUCACUCUCACUCACUCACUCAUCUCUCUCUCUCUCUCUCUCUCUCUCUCUCACUCACUUCUCCCUCUCAUUCUCACUCACUCUCAAUCUUGCCAAAAGGUAUAUUCUUUCCAAAUUUAAAAAAAAUUUCAUUAAUAUGUGUUUUUGGAGUUAGUUUUGAGUUUGUGUGGGGUUUGGAGUUGAGUAUAUGGUGAGGAUUGGAGCUUGGGUUGGAUUUGUGGUAUAACAAUUUUAGGGGAGAUUAUGCCAAUUUUUUUAUUUUUUAUUUUUUGGUUAUUUGACCAUAUUUGUUUUUUUUAGGGAAUUGUCAACACUUUGACGGCUAAAGUUGAGAAUUAGGACGCUAUCGAAACAUAUCCUCCGCCACUUCCACCACAAUAGGCUUGUAUUAGUAUUUUAUUAUUGUACUUUGUUAAUUUAUGUGUACAUUUUGAAUAUUAUAUAUUUAUUGGAUAAUUUGAUCACUAUUUUUCAUAUGUAAUUUUAUUUUGAAUAUGUCAAUUUAAAUUAUUAAAAAAAAUCAUACAAUUAAAUUAAAUUCAAAAAGUCAAAAUUCGAAAAAAUUAAUAUUAAAACAAAGAGUCAAAAACCUUGCGCGACAAAAUAUUUCGUCGAGCAAACUAUUAAAUUAGUUUAUUUUAAAACACAAAAAAUAUUUAAUUGCUCAAAUAUUUGCGCAACAUUAUUAUUCAUCGCGCAAAACUUUAAAAAUUUGGGCAGGUAUCAAAAAUGGGGCGAGAGAUUUUAUUUUAUUUUUUUUGCCUUUGCGCGACCAAUAAUUUUCGUCGCGCAAAACUUUGUUCGACUAAUACUUUUUGUCGCGCAAAAUUUUUCGCGACCAAUACUUUUUCAUUUCGCAAAGUUUUGCGCGACAAAUACUUUUUCGUUGCCUGAAAAAUGAGCAUGUUGCCUGCAACACACACAUCCAAAAUCAAACCAGCAGCAUGAUCAAUUCUAAGAUUUAAAACACCAAUACAUUACCAAACUUUAGAGCAACAGGUCACUUGCCUCUAACUUUGCAAGGUCUUAAGGAUCCAAAUUGCAUGCAGUAAGGACAUGAAGGACAAUGGAGGGGUUGGCAGCUAAAAGGAGUUCUCUGGGGAUAAAGGUCCCAAAGCGAUGGCAUUGCCUCCUUUUGAAUGUUGGUACAGGAGUGGCAACAACAAUAGUGGUAAUUAGCUGGUCAGGAAUGUUAUGGUAUUGUAUAGUUGGGGUUCCACUAGUUUUGGCAUCCACUGGCACUACCAAAAUUCGCAGUGGCCAAGCUUUGGAAAGGAGAAGUUCUAAAUUGCUGAAAAUUAUGAAAUAUUGGUACAACACUUGUCACAUUACUCCUCUCCAUUAUCCAACAUUAGCAUCUAAAGUUUUAAAACGAACACAUUCUUGCUAAUUUUAUUCAUGGAUAAUCUAUGCAGGGGUAUCAACCUUGACAAAUAUGUUAUUGAUCAACAAACUUCAAGUCUCAAACCUACAAAUAAAAAAACAUACCUAAAAAAAACUCUUUAUAUAACAGCAACUACAAGAACCAAUAAUGCAACAAUUUAUGUCCAAUCAACAUGUCAUAAGAAAUGGUGUCAAAGCAACAGAACAUAAGGCAUGUACUGGAAUUGAGAUUUCAAAAUCGUUUACAACAAAAGACCAAACAUCUGCAAAAUUAGACACCAGAGAAAUUCACAACCCGACCAUUUUGAUCAUAGUUCAACCAAAGCCAAAACUGUAGAUUUUCAGGCUAUCCAAAUGAAAAGGGGUUAACAAAGAAACACAAAACUUUAAAACAAUUAUAAUAAAAAAAAAAAAAAAAACUUGAGGUAGACAAAAAGAUGGAAAACUUUGAGAAGUAGAAUACUAGUAAUAACAAGAUACCUCUACAAGAAAAAAGAAAAAAGAAAAAAAAGGUACACUGUUAAUACUACGUCAUAGAAGUACACUGUUAAUACUAUGUCAUAGAACCAUCUUCCAAGUAAAAAUCACAUUUUGCAUAUCAUAAACUUCAAGUGCACAACUAUAUAUAGAACAAAAUAUAGAGCAUGCUUUAUUACUGAAAAUAUGUUAAUACUAUAUCAUAGAAGUACACUGUUAAUACUAUGUCAUAGAAAUAAACUCAAUUGCAGAGUAUAAACAGUAUAACAAUUAUUCAUAUACUACUACAAAAAAGCAAAAAGACGACGGUAAAUCACCGUCGUGUAUUUGGUUUUUCAAUGGUCGUGGAAUCCACCGUCAUCUUUUCCCUCAUAAACCACGACGCUAAAUAACCGUCGUUGUUAAACAAUACAACGUCAUCAAAAAAUACAAAACGACGUCUUUGUACUGCAAAAAGAUCUAAAAAAAGCAAUCGAGGAUGAUAAUAGACGACCAAUUCUCUAAAAACACCGUCGUUAAAAAGGGAAAAUAUGACACAUAUUAAGAGAACAAAGCCGCAAGAUAGACAUACAACGACGACAAUAAAAAUACGCCGACGUUAAAUAUAAUUUUCACGACAAUAAAAAAUAUGACGUCUUUAAAUACAUUAGAAGACGACGUUAUUGAUACCUACUACGUCGCACAUAUAAACACAACCGUCGUACAAUUAAUUUUCCACUUCGAUUUUUCGAUAAAAGAUGACGUGAAAAUAGUUGUCAGUGUCAUUAUUUACGACGUAUGUGUUUCUAUAGUAGACGUUGAAAAACUAAACAACGUCAGUUACAAAUAUAUGAGAGUCGUAUUAAAAAAUUUAUACGUCCUAUUUUCAGAAACAAACAACGACCAUAAAUAUUAGACGUUGUUAAAUACAACAACGUCGGAAAACAAUAAAAACAGACGUGUUUAGUCUGCUAAAGUUCUACAACGUCUCUUAUUUACAAAAAACCGUCGUGAAAUAAAUUUUCCACUUCGAUUUUUCUAAAAAAGAUGACGUGGAAAUAGUUGUCAGUGUCAUUAUUUACGACGUAUACAUUUAUAUAGUCGACGUUGUAUUUAUAUGUAUUCAUUACUCACGACGCACUUAAUAAUAUAGACGACGUUGAACGUCUAAACAACGUCGGUUCCAAAUAAAUGAGAGCCGUAUUACAGAACAUAUAGACGGCGUAGAUUAUGAUGGGAGCCGUAUUACAAAUAACGUCGUUUAAUUGUUAUUAGACGGCGGUUAUAAUGAAUUUCCGUCGGAAUUAAUUUCGUUCCUCUUCGUUUAUAAAAGAACUUGCGACGUGGAAAAUGUAUGAUGACGUCGUAUUUUUUAACGUUCAGAUUAUAUAUCUCGUUUUUUAGACGUCGGUAUUAUGGGAUUGGAGUCGUGUUAUUUUGAAUUACAUGGCGGUUCUUUAUCCUUCACCGACGUGAUAUCCUGAAUAAUUGCUUCACAAUAGCGUCGUGGUUCUUCAUUGUUACGUUGCUUUAAGACGUCGGUAAAUAUGCUGAAUAACUGAUUCACAAUAACGUCGUGUUUUAUUUGAACGUAGAAAGUGAAGAAAUCACAUUACAAUAUAUUACAAAAUUAAUGUCAUACACUGCCAAUUACAUAAGCAUCAUUCAAUCCAUAUAUCUUCACACCCAUCUCGAAUAUUUUGACCGCCUAACUCACCUACCAGUUCAUCAAAUGUGUCAACAUUUGGCAUCCCUCUAGUAAAUGGCUCACACUCAAUUAUCACAUCACCUAAUACUUCAUCACCAAUAACAUCAUUAUAUUCUCUACUAGGCAUUGAUAACACUACCGACCAACCACGAUGCAUCGGGUCGUCAACAAAAAAUAUUUGUUUGACUUGAGAAGCCAAAACAAAUUGGUCAUUCCUAUGUCCAAUUUUACUCAAAUCUACAAGGGUAAAUCCAAGUUCGUCGACUACAAGACCAGAACUAUCUAUCCAAUCACACCUAAAGACUGGGAUUGUAAACUUUUGGUAGUCAAGGUCCCAAAUUUCUUGAAUGACACCAUAGAAACCCAUAUUUGAGAGAAUUGGGUUUUUAUCCUUGGCACUAGCAACUUGCAUGGUAUGUGCAAGUAAAUAAACUCCACUAUUUUGAGUUGUCCGCACAUCAUCUUGUGCCUUGAUAUUGAAUUUAAUACCUUUAAUAAGAUAGCUCCUAUAUAAUGGCACUGACAUGUUUGGACCAGCUGCUAGCCACCUUAAAUUUUCUGAUACGCCAUGAUUGUCUUCCUCAACUUCACUUUGAACCUGCAAAUUAAUCAUAUCUUAAUUCAUCCUAACAUAUAAAUAAGAAGAAAAUUAAAAGAGAAAUACGUUAUUCAACAACAUAUACCUUGAAGCGUAGCCAUUGAAUGAAAGUGCUAUUGUGCUUAUCCUGCAGCCACUUUGUUCUCUUUCUAAAUUUUGGAUAAGCAGUCUUGAUGUGGAUCAUAUGUUGCCUACAUGACACGAAAAAUUCAAGCAUUACGGUCCCAAAUAUAUAAGAUAAACAUAAGAAAUAAUUUUAAAUGGAAACUUAAAGAAUAAAACUCAUACGUACUCGAUAUAAGGUAGGACUUCCUCCGUAUUCUCCAAGACAUAUAGAUGUGCUUGAUUCAACAGGUCCUGAUCAACUACGCUCACUGUGCAACCUGAUAAUGGCUUUGAAACUCCCAUCUUUUGGCUUGAAGGCACUCCAACUGUACUAACAUCAGAUAAAUGCUGAGUACAAAACUCUACCGCUUCUUCAGCUAUAUACCGCUCAGCAAUGCAACCUUCGGGACGAGUACGAUUCUGAACAUACCCCUUCAGCACUUUCAUAUAUCUUUCAAACGGAUACAUCCACCUAAAAUAUACUGGCCCACAUAGACGAACUUCUCUGACAAGAUGUACUACUAGAUGAACCAUGAUAUCAAAGAAUGAAGGGGGAAAGUACUUCUCAAGCAAACACAGAGUAACUACUACAUCUUCUUCCAACUUAUCUAGCUUGGAAACAUCAACAGUCUUUGCACAUAUAGCAUUGAAGAAGAAGCACAAACGAGUUAUUGCAUACCUUGCAGGCUUCUCCAAAACAGAACGAAUUGCCACAGGGAGCAAUUGUUGCAUUAAGGUAUGACAAUCAUGUGAUUUAAGGCCAAGAAGUCUUGAAUCUUGUACAGAUACAAGAUUUUUAAUAUUUGAAGAAUAACCUUCAGGGACCUUCAUACCAUAGAAAGAAUUGCAAACCUCUCUCUUCUCUGCUCUUGACAAAUUCCAAGGCCCAGGAGGCAAACGAGUACGUCUUUCUCCAUACUCGGGUUGCAAAUCAGUUUUGACCCCCAUGUUCAAUAAAUCUAAUCGAGCAGCAAUCCCAUCUUUAUUUUUUCCAGGGAUCUCCAGCAAUGUACCAAUGAUACUAUCGCAAACAUUCUUCUCAAUGUGCAUAACAUCUAGGGCAUGCCUCACAGGAAGGUAUUUCCAAUACUCGAGAUCAAAGAAUAUUGAUUUCUUCUUCCAACAAACUCUGUCACCAUUUUCAACCAUAUGCAGCACUUCUUCUCCGGUUAAUGGCUCUGGAGGUAUGCCAUAUUCAGGUUUCCCAUUAAAAGCUGCACGUUGCCUCCUAUAUGGAUGAUUGAUUGGUAACCAUUUUCUAUGCCCAAUGUAACAAAUUUUGUGGCCAUUUUUCAACCUGUGACUAGGUGUAUCAUCGCCGCAUAUUGGACAAGCUUUAUAUCCUUUAACAACACAACCAGAUAAGUUUCCAUAGGCGGGGAAAUCAUUAAUUGUCCACAUUAAUGCAGCUCUGAGUGUAAAGUAUUCUCCAUUAUGUGCAUCAUACACUCCUCUAAUCCCAACCCACAAGGAUUUUAAAUCAUCAAUCAAAGGCUCCAAGUAGACGUCUAUAUCAUUUCCGGGUUGUUUAGGACCGGAAAUCAAUAAGGUUAACAUCAUGAACUUUCGUUUCAUGCACAGCCAUGGAGGGAGAUUAUAUGUAACUAAGAUAACCGGCCAACAACUAUAUCUGCUACUUAGAGAACUGUGGGGAUUGAAUCCAUCAGAUGAAAGAGCCAAUCUCAAGUUUCUCGGCUCAUUACCAAACUCAGGCCAUUUAUCAUCAAGAAGUUUCCAAGACGGGGAAUCCGCCGGAUGAGACAUCUGACCGUCAAUUGAUUUUCUAGCAACAUGCCACCAAGUCAAACUCUUAGCUGUCUCAUGUGAUUGAAACAUCCUUUUAAACCUUGGAAUUGGGGGAAAAUACCACACCACCUUCGCUGGCACACCCUCUUUCAAGAUUGCAUCUUUGCCUUCCUUCCACCUUGAGAUACCACAAGUAGGACAAUUAGUUGAAUCCUCAUACUCCUUCCUAUACAAGAUGCAAUCAUUGGGGCAUGCGUGCAUUUUCUCAUAACUCAGCCCCAAUGCACACAAAGUCUUUUUAGCCUCAUACAUGGAGGUUGGUAUUGUAUUUCCUUCUGGAAGCAAAUCGCCUUGAAGUAUCAAUAAUUCUGUAAAACAGACAUCACUCAUCCCAUGUUUUGCCUUCAAAUUAUACAACUUCACUAAUGCCGAUAACUUCGUGUACUUUCUACAACCAGGGUACACUGGUUGAUCUCCAUCCCCAAUCACAUUGGCAAACUCAUACGGAUCCGAACCAAAAUCACCAAAAUCAUUAUCAUCCAUAUCAAUUUCUUCAGACACAAAACUGUACCUACUAUGGCCAUCAUCUUCUUCAACAUUUCUGCUAGCAUUAGUAGUUGCUUCCCAAGGUUCUCCGUGAAAUGUCCAAUUCUUAUAGCUUUGGUCAAUUCCAUUAAAGUAUAAGUGAUCCCUUAUAAUUCCAACCCCAAACAACUUCAAAUUAACACAUUUAACACAUGGACAACGGAUAUGUGUUGUAGUUAGAAGAUUUUCUACAGCAAAGUUCAAAAAUGCUUCCACCCCAAACUCAUAUGCCUUCGAUCUUCUAUCCGAGUGCAUCCAUGACUUAUCCAUCUCCGACACUAUAACCUAUUAUCUAUAAUAAAGUGAAAAUACAGGCAAUGACCAUCACUAUAGCAGAUUAUACAAUGAUCUAAUCGCAAGUAAUAAACAACAGAGACGACGGGUUUUAAUCAAAAACAGACGUAUUUGGCAUAUAUAGACGACGGAUUUUCAACAGACGUCGUCUAUUAUACGUAAUACAAACGACGGUUUAUGAAAAAACCGUCGUGUAUAAGUAAUACAACGACGGUAGUUUAAAAACACCGUCGUGUAAUCGUCGUCGUACGCCUUAAAAUUCGUCGUGUCUCAGUUUAUUUUCAAGAACACAAAACCCAUUAAGAACACAACAUAUAUAUGAAACCAAGCAAGAAACCAACAUAUACAUGAAACCAAGCAUGAAAACAAUAAAUCCAUUCCCAAUUCAACAUAACAUAGGGUGAUUAAAAGAUACGACAAAAUUAAAUCCAUUCCCAAUUCAACAUAACAGAUAAUGUAAUCCAUGAACCCAUUAAACAGAAAAUCCAUGAACCCAUACCUAUAAGCAUUGGUGCACUUUGCACCUUCUCCAGAGCGGAAAAUGACAAGAUCAAAUAAAGGUGUCCUUUUGCUGGAAAUCAUUUGGAAGUUGGUGAUGUGUCUUUUUGUGUUGAUUUCCAGCAAAAGUACACCUUUAUUUGAUCUUGUCAUGAACCCAUUAAACAGAAAAUCCAUGAACCCAUACCUAUAAGCACAUUAUUAACAGAUCGCAAAGCAUAUACCUAAAACCCUUUAACAAAACAACCUAAUAUCAUUCAAUGAAUUUACAAGGGGAAGAUAGGGUUUGUACUUACAGGUUGGACGAGCUCACAGAUUCGACGAGCCUGGAGAGUGCAACUUUUAAUUAGAGCAGAAGUGAGAGAGCGAAAUGUUAUGUCGCGUGAAAUCUGAAAUUUUAGGUUUCAGGGAUCAAAGUAUAAGAAUAAGAGCCAAAUCUAAAAAAAUUUAGGUCGCGCGAAAAUUUUUAGAGCGCGCGCGUUAUAAAACGUCGAAAGAAAAACCAAGGCGAAAGUUCUACAAGUACCGACGUAAAUUUAAUAUUCCACGACGGAAACUUCAUUUUUCGGAUUAAGAACGUAAGGCCGUUCAUUUUUCGGAUUAAUUUUAAAUUUAUUUUGAAUUUUUUAUAUAACGACGACUGAAAAACCACGUCGGUGUUAAGAAAUUAAAGACGUUGUAAAUUAUAUAAACCGACUUACAUAUUAAAAUAACGUCGUUUAAAGCGUAAACCAUGUCGUAUGUUUUACUGUACGACGUAAAAUAUGUAUUCCACGACCCAACCACCGUCGUUAAAAAUUAAUACACUAAACCCAUAAAAUUAAAUUAUACAAUUUAAAAAAUUAAGUUUAUAAAAGGUUUUAUGGUUUUAAAGCCUAACAUAUACCCUAGACUACCCAAAAAUUAUACUUUAAAAAUAAACCCCAAUAAAUAACAACCCUAAUCUCUAAACCCUAGACUCUAAACCCUAAACCAUAAAACUAGAAGUGAUUUUAUGACUCAUCAAAACAAUUUUGUUUUGGAUGGUCAUUUUAAAUUUUUGUUAUUCAAAAUGAAUUUUUUCAAGGUUUAUGUGGAAGAAAAUAUAUCAAUGACUUCAUAGGAGUUGACUUUUCAAUUUUCUGAUUUAUUUUAUAUUUAUUUUGAAUAUUUUGAUAUAAAAAUAAUAAAAUAUUCUUACCAUACAACAAACCACGUCGGUGUUAAAUAAAUUGUAGACGUUGUAAAUUGUAAUAGACUACUAAGUCGUUAAAAUGACGUCGUUAAAAUGAGAAACCAUGGCGGCUAUUUAACUAUACGACGUAAAAUAUAUAUUUUACGACUUAACCGCAGUCGUUACAUAAACGUCGUCGAUUAUACCCUGAACCCUUAAGAAAUUGAAGAUAUUGUAAACCAUUAACGACUCAAUUGUUCAAAGAACGUCGUCUAACUAUUUUUUUACGUUGUAUUUGUUUAAAACACGCAACAACAAAAUACGACGGUUAUUGACUUUAUUAGGUCGUUGGAAAAGUAUUACACGUCGGUUAAGCAAUUUCUAUGUUUGUUUUUUUUUUUAAUUUAAGAAAACCUCAACAAAUUUUUACAUUACAUAUUAUAGAGAAAAUUGGUACAUUAUACAUAAAUAUCAAGUGUUCAAUAAUUGCCCUGUUUAAUAAUUUGGAAAACAAACUCUGCCCAUUUAUUCCGGACUUCAUCAAUGGCUUCUUGGGGGUAUGAAGCUUCCUGGUUUCCCUUGGCAUACUGCAUAAACAAUGACUAUUAGGGUUUAUAAAUAAAAAGAAAUUCAAUCACAGACGACGAUAUUUUUCAUAACCGACGUAGUAUAUCCAUUCAACGACGUUAAUUUUACACGACCGUCGUUGAUAAUACAAAAAACGACGUGAAAUGUAUGAAGGUAAUUUCUUCUUACCUUAUUCUCAAACCCCAAGGAAGGAUCCAUGAUGAUGUCCCUCAUGAAGCGCAUUACAUAAUACCCGCAUUCGACAUUGCUGGGUUGCUUUGGUGUGCCUGAGAGAGUUUUCCAAAUUACAUUUUUACGUCCUGCUCGGGCUAUGUGGGUAUUAUAUAUUUUUAAAGCACUGUUCACGAUGUUUUUGGCCUCUUCAUCGACCACACGAUUUCCUGGCAGAGGAUCCAGAAAAUAGACGGUUUCUCUCUUUGCUCUUACAAUCAGCAAAAUCCAAUGACGGCUGCACAAAAUUAAUAUAAAAACGACGGUUAUUUACAAAAACGACGUAUUAUAGUAUUUCACACGACGAAGUAAAGUAGCUAACGACGACAUUAUAUAUUUAUCACGACGAUAAAUAAAUACCGACGUGGUUAGUAGUUUCAAACGACUAAAUAAAAUAAAACACCGACGUGGUUAGUUUAUAAGCUGUCAUUUAUUGAAAAUCAUAAAAACAAAAUCCUAAGGAGACUAACCCUGGAUUGUAAGGCAUCAUGAAAAUCUGUUCACCGUCUGUCUUCUGAAGUCGAGCUGCUACCAGUCGUGAUCUUGCAGUUAUUGUGCCAGAGUUGGCACUAACUGUAGCAGGGUCGAUAAAGCCAACCAUACUGCACAUAAAGCCAACCAUACUGCACAUAUUGGCUUUUUUCAAAACAUCGUGUAAGUACCUAAACAAAUAAAAUAAUAUAAACAAGUCAGUAUAAAAAAACGACGUAUUAUAAUAUUUCACACGACGUACUGAAAUAGAUGAGGACGUUAUAAUAUAUUUAUCACGACGGUUGUUAGUUAAGACGACGUGGUUAGUUAGUUAAGACGACGCAAUAUAUAAACCAACGAGUUAUUAUUUUAGAAGUACAAACCUCAUAUAUACAGCCAAUACAGUAGCUCCAAUUUCUUCCAUGCCUGCAAAUUGUGUAAUAUCUUCAGGCAGGAGGAAGGUAUCGCGCUCACCACCAAACACCUCCUUAUCAAUUGUAAAUUGGACUGUCUUAUCCUCAGGCAGGAGUGUCGUUUCCACAAAACGACAAAGGGUUUUUAAAGAAGAUGGCGCCUCCAUUUUUGAAUAAGCACCAACUUCAAUAACCUGUUUAAAGAAAUAAAAAAAAUGACGUGGUAAUUCAAUAAAGACGACGGUUUAAGUAAUAAAACGUCGUCUUAAAAGUAUUUAAACGACGGUGAAAAAACUGUCGUGGUAAUUCAAUAAAGACGACGGUUUUAUGAAUAAAGCGUCGUCUGAAACCAUUUAAACGACGGUGAAAAAACCGUCGUUUAAAUAUUUUAUUACGUCUUAAAAAAAUUCCGCCGUCUAAGUUGUAAACAAACGACGGAUUAAAUAAAAAUAUCGACGUCUGAAAUUUUGAAAAACAAAUAAAAAAGGCAAAGUUAUGUUAACAUACCUUGUCGUCAUGCUUUUCUUCAUCUUCUUUCUCCUUUUCUUCUUCCUUCUCUUCAUCUCUUUUUUCUUCUUCCUUCUCUUCAUAUCUUUUUUCUUCUUCCUUCUCUUCAUCUCUCUUUUCUUCUUCAUUCUCUUCAUCUGGCUGAUGUUUCCCCAUUUUGGCAGUAUCAUCCUCCAAAUGUAGGGAUCUCACAUCACCUCCAGAGCAGCUAGCUUUGUCAGACAUUGGAUUUUUGGGGCUUUGGCUAAUUCUUGCUUUAAGCAUGCUUGGAUCAAAAUUGGGAAUUAAUUGGGAAAGCUGACUCAGGAAAUGCUCCCUCUCAGCCUCUACCAAUUGUUUUGUCCUAGCCUCCAUCCUUAAGGCCUCUUCCCUUGCCUUAGCCUCCAUCUUUUUAGUCUCUUCUUGAAGGAGAACUCUUAAACUGUCCUUCAAACGGUCGUCAAAGCUCACCCUCUGUGGUUUGGGCAAAUUGAAAUAUUGCCUUGGGGAAACACCAGCACCAACUCCCCUCACCCUGCCUGGAUGCUCGGGGCCCAAAGCCAUGGUCAGCACAUCAUUGCUGCCAUCUACUCUGACUUUGCCUUCCGAGACUUGUUUCUGCAAUUCAUCCUAAAAAAAGAUAAACAAAAAAACACACGACGGUUAUUUAUGUACAAACGACGUAUUAUAUAAUUUCACACGACGCAAUAACAUAUAAAACGACGUUAUUAUAACUUAUCACGACGGUAGUUAUACCGACGUGGUUAUUUAUUUAAAACGACGAAAUGAAUAAACAACCGACGUCUUAUGCUAUAAUUAAAGAUAACAGAGUAGUGAUUCCUAUUUAGACCGUUAACGACGUUUUUAAAAAAUUUUCGACGUGGUAAUAUCAUUCACACGACGCGAAAAUGAACCACCGACGUCUUAUGCUGUAAUUACAGAAAACAUAGUAGUGAUUCCUAUUUAGACCUUUAACGACGUUUUUAAAAACUUUUCGACGUGGUAAUAUCAUUCACACGACGAAAAAUAUAACAUACGACGUAAUAAGAAUAAUUCACAGUUUAAUAAAAAUUUAAAACAGAGUGAUAGUAGGCUUACAAUUAAUUUUGCUUUCUCUGCCACCUUUGGAUCAGGGAUGUUACCAUGUUUGUCCUGUCUAGCUCUCUUCCAUAAGGUAGAUCGAUCAAUUUCUACCCCAGGCAUGGUUUCCUCCAAUUGAUCCUCCAAUCCAGCAUAUCCUUUUCGAGACAAUCGAUGAUUGUACUCGAGUUUCUCCCUAAUCUGUGAAUGUUGAGAAUGCACAGACUGAAAAUCUUUGGAUAGCCUUGAAGCUACAAAGGCAUCCCAUUGUGCUUUCUCUAUGAAUUUAUAUGUUUCAGGGGGUUGGCUUAAUUUCUCCCUGUCAUUGGUGUAUGGAAGGAUAUAAUGCCUCGUUAGUGUAGACUUGAAAUCCUUCCAUUUCUUGGAAGCAGAAGCUAAAACAGAGGUCUUGCCCCCUUGGCCUACGACAAAAGCCAUGUCAACUGCUUCCCAAAUCUGCUCCUUUAUAUCCUUUGGGAUUUGGGACCAUUUCUUGUCCACAAGUGGGAUCCUGGAGCGUGCCAAGACACCAAUAUACGACUGCAUCUCAAUAUGUGCUUGGCCAACACCUUUCCCCCUUUUAUUGUACUCAACAAUUGGCCUCAGUUUCUGAAGCUUUCUCUUCACAACACGAGGCAUUGUGCUCAUACCUCGACCAGUCUUUGAAUCAUCUGAGAUUGUUGUCUGGCUGGUUUGUUCUGUCUCAGCAGAUGAUGCAGCAAACUUCAUCUUCUUCGAAGACUUCAUCUCCUUCGAAGACUUAUCUUGAGGAGCUACCAUUCCAAGCUUCUUGGAGCCAGAAUCCUUAGUUUGUUGUUGAGAAACCAUUUUAACAGACAAAACUGCAAGUGAAAAUAUUUCAGGAAAACAUUAAGAACACAAACGACGGUAUUAAAAAAAUACGACGUAUGAUAUGAUUUUAGACGACGCAAUGAAAUAAUCUCAGACGUAAUAAAUGUUUAAAACCAUUAUUUAUAUAACGUCGUGGUAUAUAUGUUCACACGACGUCAAUAGUAAUACACCGUCGUGGUAAACUAUUAUUUAUAUAACGUCGUGGUAUUUAUGUUCAUACGACGUCAAUAGUAAUACACCGUCGUGGUAUUAACAUUCACACGACGUAAAACAAUAAGAUAUUUUGUCGUCUAUAUUAGAUACCAACCCUAGUUUCUUUUUCUUUAUAUUUUAUCAAAUAAGGGAAAAACAAAAACCAUUGUUCAGCGAAAUCAAACCUGCAAUUAAACAAGCAUAUAAAAAAAGACUAUUAUUUUAAAAACAACUUUGUCAAUUUUCAGACGACGCUAGAACAACUGACGAACCGUCGUGGUCUACCGUCGUCUUAUUUAGUUGAUGUAGUUGUCUUCAAAGUUGGAAACUUUCUCUCUUUGUCUGUAUAUUUUAUCAAACUUGGAAAGAAGUAAAAUGAUUUUGGCCAGAAAAAAGGUAAAAAGAUUUUUCAAACAAAAAACGUAUGAGCAUGCAAAACAGUAACCAAAAUAGUGAAAAUGAAAGCUUACCUUUUGCGUGCAAUGAAAGCAAGAGGAAGAUGAUCGAUGUUUAAGUUCAGAGACGACGAAGAAGACGAGAGGAAGACGAUGAGAAACUCUGACAAUGCUCUGACAAGGAAAAAAGACGAAAAGGUUUCUCUGGGAGAUUGAAAUUUUUAAUCGGGUUUGGAAACAGUGCAUGUGUAAGUCGAAAAGUUGCUUACAUAUAAAACCAUUUCAAAAAAAUAAUACGGCGGUUACAUUUAACUACGUCGUUUUUAACUAAAACGACGCAAUAUUUUUCAUUCGACGUGGAAUCAUUUCAUUUAACGUCGUUAGGUUUAAUAUAACCGACGUGGAUUUUAAUUUUUAAAUUAUGAAUAGAAUUUUUUUUCCCGUGACCUUUCAGUUUAUUUUUCAAUUACAGUGCGUUAUAAAUAGAGUUUUUUUUCCGGAGGAAAUUUAAAACGAAGGAAAUUAAUAUUCUGCAAUAUGUAAAGUUUCUUUUUUGGAUGACAGAUUUAAAUAAAAUAAGAAUAUAAAAACAACAAAUGUGUAAGUCAAGUAGACGAAAAGUUGCUUACAUAUAAAACCAUUUCAAAAAAAUAAUAUGGCGGUUACAUAUAACUACGACGUAUAAAUUACAAAAUACGACGGUACAUUUAACUUCGGACGUGGUAAAUAAAUACGACAGUAGUUUGUAGGUACCGUCGUAGUAAACUCAAAAAUUAAAGUACAUAAGUAAUAACUCGCGUCAUGGUAUAUUAUUUAACACGUCGUUUUUAUUAAUUUACCGACGUGGAUUUCUGUAAUAUACGUCGAUCAUACCGACGUUGAUUUUACAAUUUAAACGGCGGUUUUUUUGUAAGGACCGCCGUUGGUUUUAAAAAUUUAUUCUAUAAAUUUGUCGCUUUCAUUCAUUUUCGGUUUACAUUUAAGGUUCCAAGUUCUUCCUCUCUCAGUCUCUCAUGUCUCAAAGAUAAUAAUUUGGAUGUUUUCUCAAAGAGAAAUUGAGCUUACUCGCAUCAAAUAUAUGUCCACAAGAAGAAGCUUGUCAACUAGCCUUCUCACUUCCUUGAUCAAGCCUGAUAGGACACUUAGUGCUUCUGAAUACUCCUUGCUUUCCAUCAAAAGAGAUGCAAGUCUGGCCUCCACUCGCUGUCGAAGGAAAGUUCGCUUCUCAGGGAAAUCUGAAGAUCAGAUGUGCCUGAUCCUCUGCUUGAUUUUCUUGCCUAAGAAGAUCCGUCGGAUUUAUUGUGAUAGCCUCUUCCUUUAUCCGUAGAGCUUCAGAAGAAGAAGAUGGGUUUCAAGAAUGCGAUAAAGAAUAGAAAUGGCUUCAGAUGGCCUCUAAAGCAUGAGCAAUUGAAUCAGUAGUUUCUGGGAGAUAUGAUGAAGACAUUGUCAAUGCUUUGAACUACACAAGUCCUGCAGAAAGAUAUGUUAAAGAAACUGAAACAACGGCGGUUUUCUGUUCUACCGUCGUCUUUUCUCGUCGUCUAUAUUAAGUUACGAUGGCGGUAGAUUUAUAAUUACCGACGUAGAUUAUUUUGUUAAACGUCGUUAAGUGUACUACAACCGACGUGGAUUUUAAUUUUAAAUUAUAAAUGGAGUUUUUUUUCCCGUAUUCUUUCAGUUUUAGUUUUCAAUUCCAAAGCGUGAUAAAUAGAUUUUUCUUUCCCGAGGAAAUUUAAAAUGAGGGAAAUUAAUGUUCUAGAAUUUGUAAACUAACACGACGCAAUAUUUGCAAAUCUGUGUCAUCUGUUAAGAUUAUGAUGUGGAACAGAGUUCCAUCUGGUAAGAUUUCGUAACCCUUGGGAUCUCAGACAAAACUGAUUAUGUCGGCGGUGUUCUAUAUAAACCGUCGUGGUUAUUUCAAUUCUUGUCAUUAAGUAGAUCUACCGACGUAGGAUAAGAAAAUCAAAGAAAAAAAUUGUUAACAAAAAUUCUUAUUAAGACGACCGUUAAAAUUAAAGGUACGACGUAUAAAAUGAAUAAAUACGACGAUAAAUUUUAUUGUACGAUUUAAAGAUAACGUAGUAGAACUAUACGAGAAUGACGUCGAUAUAUUUAUAUUUUCCGUCGUUGUAAAUUAAUUUAAUACGGCGAUAUUUUGUAUUUUAAAGCCGUGGAUUUGUUUGUAAUUAUACGGCGUCUUAUACGAAAACCUCGUCGUCUUAUUUUAUGAGUAAAAACGGCAGUUUUUAUUGAAAUCGUCGUCUUUACUUUCUACGUCGGUCGAUUCAUAACUUCUGCCGUUCUUUGUUGGCAUUGAUUUUACACUGCGGAAAUCUGUUUCAAAUAGACGUCGGUUGUUUAAUUAUGUACGUCGUUGUUUUUGAACAGCCAUUUGAAACUCCAUUUUUUAGUUGUCUAAGGUUGUAUUACACGACGGUGUUUUUAGAACCGUCGUCUUUUUAUAAACCACGACGGUUUUCACUUAGACCGUCGUUGUUUUCUGGUCGUCUUUUUCACUUUUUGUAGUAGUGAUACCACUUACUAGAAGUUAACAACUACAUCAUUUCAUUUACAUAAUAGGUAGGAUAAAAGUGUACAACUCCAUACCAUUCAAAAUCAAUACACAAACAAGAAGAAGAAGUUGCAUUUGAAUCAACAAACAAACCCUAAAUGGAUAAUACUAGAAAAAACCGUGAAUAUGGAGCUCAAACCUGAUUAAACUUUAAAAGCUGAUAAACAACAUCAUCUCUAACCAGUGCCUCUCCAACAAACAAGACAAGAUUUGAAUUGUUAAGAUUGACUAGCUUUGACAGUGCCCUCAUUAACAAUUCAUUAUCAUGAAAGGCAUAAUAUAAUAUAUUUUCACAUUAUAUAUAUAACUAACAGUAGCUUAGCAUGUACACUGAAAAAGGAAUUUUAACUUAUAGGUCUCAACCCUCAUUAAUGGCAAAACCAAGCUAGAUAACUUAUAGGUCUCAACCCACUGAAACAGGAAUUUUAACAAGUAAACAACAUUAUUAUCCUUCUGUAAUAGCAAAAGCAGUGGUAAGAUUGAAACAAAAAUUGCUAACUAACAGUAGCUUAGCAUGUACAUCAUACAAACUGUAAACGUUUGUGCAAAUGCUCAACCAUUCUACUAAAUACUAAAAACACAUUACCAUCAUUACAAAUCAUAUUAGAACUAACACAAAUAAGCAAGCAAGUAAUUUCAGGUUUUUUUUAUAUCAAUUUAUUUAUCGCAAUUUGUAAACAAAAUGCAAAACUAAGGAAAAAAAAACCGUAGACAUAUUCAAAUUAAUCACAAAAUCGCAAAGAAACUGCUCAACAAGCUUCGAAUUUCAGCGAUAAUCAAACCGGAUCAUACCAAUAUGAUUCGGCUGACCUUGAAAUGGUAUCUUCGUUCUUCUUAAGCUCAUCCUUGUGAGCGAUCUCUCAGAUCUGGUGCAGUAUGUGGCCAUGAGCGUUUGGACAAAAUUACGACUCAGAAGUUGUGGGCGUGGAUGAUGUAUCUCCUUCAAAGUGAAAGAAGCGACAAGGAAGAUGACGAACCUAAGUCUUGGAAGAAGAACCGAUAAGAGCAUUGCCUAGAGCACCGAAAGGAUUGGCGGAAGAAGAUGAGCCUGGAGUCGGACAAGCUGCUCCAUGAGUCAUAAGCUUAUGCAUCGCCAUGGUCAAUACUCUUCUUCUUCUUAUUCCUCUUCAAUCUACAACAUAAUUGUUAUUAAAUAAAAGAUUAUAAAAUAAUAAUAAAAAAUAAGUCGUCUGUUUCUCAAAAUUGCACCCAAAAGGGCAAAAUUGUAAUAUAAUAUAAAUGUUGAAUUGAAAAAAUCAACAGCUGUUGAUUUUUAGGUUUAUUUUGGGUGUAUUUAUAAACAUUAAAUACUAUAGAGUUUAUUUAUAGUUUUAUGUUUAGGAGAAUGGGUAUUUAACUAAUUUUCUUUAAAAAUAAGAUUAAUUGAUAAAUCCCAUCGAUUGGAAAAGUUCAUUGAAACUAAAAUUAUUUCGAGAAUCUUAUUUGAAAACUUAAUAAAACGUUUGGGAUUACCUACCCAACCAUUGAGGAAUUGGGUUUUUAAUAUAUAUAUUUUUCCUUUUAUCAAUUAAGAAAUAAUUAAAACAGUUGAAAAUGGAGUGCAAGUUAGAAAAUUAAGUAUAAAAAAAAAAAAUAUAUAAAAGUAAAGUAAAAAGAAAUUAAUAUAAAGUAAGAGUAGAAUAGGAAAGAGAAAGAAUAAAAAAGAACAAAAUUGAUUAAAAAAUAUUAAAAAAUAAAAAAGAGUGUAAAUGGACAAAAGAUAAGUAGGAAAAAAAAAAAAAACCUCUAGAAACUAUAUUUGGAGUAACAUACGAAAAAUUGUGUAAAAUAGGACUAUUAAUAUUAUAUAUUCAAAAAUAAAAUAAAAUAUAACAUACAAAAUCCAAAAAAAAUAAAUUAAAAAAAGAAAGGAAACACAUGCACUAAUAUCAUUAGUGUGGGUACAAUGUAUGCGUGGAUAAGGUUUGUGUAUGAGAGAGGUAGCAAAAUUGUGUAUUGUAGAGAAACAAAAAAAAAAAGUCGUGUCAUAAUUACAACUAUCCAUAUUACACUUCAAUUUCAACUUAAAUUAUCAUUCAACUUAAUUAAAUUCAAUAGAAAUUUAGUUAUAUACCCAAUCUUAGACAUGGUUUUAUAAAGAAACCCUACACCGUUUAAAAACUAUAAACACACCCAAAAAAAAUCCAAAAAUUGACAGCUAUCAAUUUUUUUUAAUUUAAUAGUUGUUUUUUAGUUUAUUUGUGUGUGUUAAAUACCUAUAUUGUCCUUGUACUAUGGAUUUAAGAGAGGAAAAUUAGAUCUGCCCAAAUCUGCCAUAAAACCAAAUAUUUCCAUGUCUGCCAAAAAACCAAAUCUGCCAAAAAAACCAAAUCUGCCAAAAAAUCAAAUCAUAUUUAUUUUCUCCUUUCUCGCUGGUGUUUUCUCUGGUGUUGGAGCAAGAGGAGCUUCCAUUGAAGCUUAGUCUCAGGUCCACUAUAUUAUUCAUCUUUAAUCUACAAUUUUCAAUAUUUCACCUUCAAUUUCUUGUUCUAAAAUCGUGCUUCUAUUGAUUUUUUCUUUUUUCGGAUUGUUCAAGACCUUGAAAAAACCUCGAUCAGAUGCUUUUAGCUCUGCUCCUCAUCUUCGAGCUCUACUCCUCUUUCGCCACAUCAUUGUCGUUGUUAUCGUCGUCGCCGUCGUCGUCGUCGUUUGGUUUGUACUUGAGAUUUUUGAUCUUUUGCUUCAAUUAUGUGUUUCUCUUCGGAUUUUAGUUGAUUUUCGAAAUGUAUUUGAAGCUUUGAUGAUCGAUUCAACUAUUGUUACUAUUUCAGUUAUGAAUCUCAUUUUUGUUUAACAAUGUACUUCUGUGAUAGGGUAUUAACAAUGUACUUCUAUGACAGAGUAUUAACAAUAUACUUCUAUGACAUAAUAGUAUUAACAAUCUGGGCUCAGCUUGUUUUGAGUUGGUCUGGUUUGUUCUUUCUUCAUCUUUUCUUUGGUGGACAUGUAUUAGAAAUAGCAACAUGAUAAACAUUAAUCAACAUGACAGUAAACUAGCAGUGUUAUUACCCUAGACUAGAACAUUACAGGGGUAAACAUGCAUUAGAAAUAGGAUGUCAUAGGAAAUAGCAGUGCUAUUACCCUAGACUAGAACAUUAUAGGGGUAGAUAUGCAUUAGAAAUAGAAUAUCAUAGGAAACAAGCAGUGUUAUUACCCUAGACUGGAACAUUACAAGAGUAAACAUGCAUUAGAGAUAGGAUGUCAUAUGAAACUAGUAUUGUUAUUACCCUAAACUAGAACAUUACAACCAUUAAUCAGCAUGACAAUAAACUAGCAAUAUUAUUACCCUAGAUUGGAACAUCAGCCAUUAAUCAACAUGACAAUAAACUAGCAAUGUUAUUACCUUAGACUGAAACAUUACAUGGGUAGACAUGCAUUAGAAAUAGGAUAUCAUAGGAAACUAGCAGUGUUAUUACCCUACACUGGAACAGUACAGGGGUAAACAUGCAUUAGAAAUAGGAUGUUAUAGGAAAUUAGCAGUGUUAUUACUCUACACUGGAACAUUACAACCAUUAAUCAACAUGACAUAGCAGUGUUAUUACCCUAAACUGGAACAUUACAACAAUUAAUCAACAUGACAAUAAAGGUGUAGAACAUUACAAUGAUUAAUUAACAUGACACGUUAAUGAAACUACGGUUUUCAAGACCUUUUGUUUGUAAUGAAUUGUUUGGGUUUUUUUAUAAAAUUGGGUUGGGCUUGUUUUGGGUGCUAUUUAAGUUUUUUGUGUUGGUCUUCUUUUUUAAAUUGAUCAAUGACAGUCAUGUAAUUUAUAAGAACUUAAACACUAAUUUUUUAUGUAGUAAAUGAGUUUUGGGUGUGUUUCUAAAGUGCAAUCCAUGUGGGGUUUUUUUUUAUAAUUUCACUCAAAUUCAUUUCAAUUUAAUUUGAGAAAAAUAAUAAAAUAAUAUAUUUUUCUUAGAGAAAAUGGGGUAAAAAUUAAUGAAACUAAUACAGCAUAGUGUUUUCAUCAACAAUUCAUCAUCAAGAUAAAUGUCCACACUCAAUUGGAAAACGAAAAAAACUUGUGCAAGAAAGGGAUAUGUGGCUGUACAUACAUACAGCUGCUAAAUUACAACUGCCAUGCUACUUUAAUAGACUAAUCUAACUUAACUUAAUAUUAUUUAAUUAGUUAUUUGUACAUUAAAACUUUUUAAUUGUUAUAUUAUAUUAUGUUAUAAAUAUUUAUUAAUUUAAAAUAAAUAUAUCAUUUAUCGAGCCGAAUUCAAAAAUGAGGAUAACAAUACUAUCCUAUCCUAAUCAGAUUAUUUUAAAAUUGAGAUCCCCAUGCCCGCUCCCAUUUUCCCCGUGCCCACUUUUUCAGCAAUAAUAGACCCAUACAAGAUGGUAUCUACUUUUCCGAAUUUUCAGAGCAAUCAUAGAACCAUAGCAAGAUUUCUAAGCAAUAGUUGAUCAUCUCUCUCUUCUAGUAUAUCUGAGCUGAGCCCCAAUCCACCACCACACAAUCGAAUCUUAUCUUCUCACAUGUAUUUUGAUUUUUAAAUUUUGUGUUUCAUCUGGUUGAUUGCUCCCCAGAAUUAAUCCUAGAUGUGUUGUUUUGAUUAAGCUAGCAUAUACCAAAAUAAGGCCAUUACGGCGUCAGUUUCCGCAGACCUUUUCAUUGGCAAAUUUGUAGCAAUUCUCGAGAGUGAAGCAGCCUCCAUAGCGGGUGUUGCUGAUCAAGUUGAUGAGAUUAAGCGGGAGCUGGAAUUCAUGAAGGCCUUCUUAGCGGAUGCUGACGAGGGCAACAAAGCACACACACAAGUAAACGAGGUGUGGAUCAGAAGCGUUCUAGACUCGGCCAAAGAUGUUGAAAACAUCAUGGAUGAAUUCAUGUAUCACGUGUACGAGCAGCAAAUUGGCCGUCGAUUUGCCAAGUGGAUACACAAAACCAUUCACUUUCCAAAGCACCUUUUGUAUAAGCGUAAAAUAGCCAACAAGUUACAGAAAAUCGCGAUGGCAAUUAGAGCUAUUACAGAGCGAAAUCAGAGAUAUGGUUGUGGUGCAGCUGUAGAAGGAAAAAGUACUUCUUCUGAGGAUAUUCGCAGAUGGGUGCAGAAUCAAGCAGAGUCUUCUCUUUAUCAUAAGGAGGAUUGAAGUGUUGGCGUGACUUGUGGAUAUUGACUUACUUUCCUUACACACCAAGAAUUCCUAUUAUAAUUGUAAUUGAUUUACUUUAAUUCAUGAUUUCCUACUGUAAAUGGAUUUAGGAAUUUAUUAUUUACUUGCCCAUUCAGGUUUUGUUGUAUUAUAAAUAUAAUCUCCUACAAGGAGAAGAAUACACAGAAAAUUCCCACAAACAAAUAUUCUCUCAUAGUUUUCAUAUUUUAGCAUGAAGGUGAUAAGAACUUGUUAAUGGGAUCGCUGACGAACGAAGAGCAAUGCCAAACUGUUGUGUCUGUGGUCGGGAUGGGAGGAUCGGGGAAGACAACUCUAGUUGCAAGGACUUUCAAAGAUGAAAUUGUAAAGAGACAUUUCGAAUGCUAUGCGUGGAUUACUGUUUCCCAGUCUUAUGUGAUUGAAGACUUACUUAGAAGAUUGAUCAAAGAAUUCCACAAAGCAAAGAAGGAAGAGGUCCCUGCAGACAUGAAUGCCAUGAGUUAUAACGAAUUGCUGGAGAUUUUGGUGAACUACUUGGAGACUAAAACGUACCUAGUUGUAUUGGAUAAUGUGUGGGAUGUCCACCUUUGGGAGAAAAUAAGGUUUUCAUUUCUAGAUAAACAACUUGGAAGUCGAGUCAUGCUUACAACUCGAAGAGAAGACAUAGCAUCCUCUUCUUUUGGAGUUGAAAGCCGUGUUCACAAGAUUCAACCGCUGGAAAAAGGUGAUGCUUGGGAGCUCUUCAGGAUGAAAGCAUUCUCUGUUAGUGUUUGAAUUCUUAGCUGGGUUUCUAUGGAAGGUUUGAGUAGAGAGGAAAACACAGAGAGAAUAGAGGAAGAUUCAAGCUAUAUGUGUAAUGCUCUGUUACUCUCAAAGUCUGAGAGUGAGUGUAUAUAUUUUUAUCAAAAUUCACGCACAAAGGCAUGAGUACACAACCGUUAGCUUUAGCUGUACACACACAAUCAACAAUACAAUCUCAGCCUUACACUUGUCAUAAUCUAGACUAAGUGAAUACACAAUUUAAAACAAGGCUUAUUUACUCUAACUUUACUUAGCUCACAGCUUAUACACUAAUACUCCCCUUUAAGCUUUGAGCUGAUACAACUCCAAGCUUAUCUCUGAGAUAGUUGAAUCUAUCUUUUGGUAAGGCCUUUGUAAAAAUGUCUGCUACUUGUUCUUUGGUUGGGCAGUAUACCAAAUCAACAAUUCCUUGCUGCAAGGCAUCUUUUGUGAAAUGAUAUCUUCUGUCAAUGUGUUUAGUCCUCUGGUGAAACACAGGAUUUUUAGAUAUGGAGAUUGCAGAUGUAUUGUCACACUGCAAAGGGGUUGCUUCAGCUGGUAACUCUCCAAAAUCUUCAAGAACAAACCUGAGCCAUAUUGCUUGAGUUGUUGCUUCAGCAGCACUUAUAUACUCAGCCUCUGCAGUGGAAAGUGCAACACAAUUCUGUUUCACAGAAGCCCAUGAGAACACUCCACUACCAAAGGAAAACGCAUAGCCUGAGGUACUCUUGCUGUCAUCUACUGAUCCCCCCCAGUCACUAUCACAAAAGCCAACUAAAACUGCCUUCUUGCCUUUCAUAUAAUGUAAACCAUAGUCCAAUGUUCCUUUGACAUAUCUGAGCACUCUCUUAGCUGCUCCAUAGUGCUUGUUUGACGGUCCAUGCAUAUAUCUAGCUAACAGACUAGCUGCAUACAUCACAUCUGGCCUUGUAGCAGUAAGAUACAGUAAACUGCCUACAAGUUUUCUGUACUGCUCUUCAUCUGCAGCACCACUUCCAUCUUCUUUACUUAACUUUUCAGUAGCCACAAGAGGAAUAGAAACAGAUUUGCAUUCUUUCAAUCCAAACUUAUCCAACAAAGCAGAAGCAUACUUCUUUUGAUGAAUGAAAAUGCUAGAUUCUGUUUGAAUCACCCCCAUUCCCAGAAAAUGAUGAAGAAGACCCAAGUCUGACAUCUCAUACUUCUCCUUCAUAUCUUCUUUAAACUCCUCUAGCAUCUCUUGAUUGUUUCCAGUAUACACAAUGUCAUCCACAUAAAUGGAGACAAUUAGUAUAUCAUGUUCUCCCCUUGUUUUAGUGUAGAGAGUUGCUUCACUUAAGCUUUUCUCAAACCCACACUUAGCAAAAUAGCUAUCAAUCUCUCCAUACCAGGCCCUAGGUGCCUGUUUCAAGCCAUAAAGAGCCUUGUACAGUUUGUACACCUUAUCUUCCUUGCCAUUAAUCACAAACCCUUCAGGUUGAUCAACAUACACUUCUUCCUGCAAUAUUCCAUUUAAGAAAGCAGACUUAACAUCUAAUUGAAAUAGCUUCCAGCUUCUUUGUGCAGCAAGAGCAAUCAGUGUUCUGAUUGUAUCUAGUCUAGCAACUGGAGCAAAUGUUUCAUUAUAAUCAAUGCCUGGUUUCUGCACAUACCCUUUAGCAACCAGCCUUGCCUUGUUCUUCUGUACAGAGCCAUCUAAGUUCAACUUGGUUUUGAACACCCAUUUCACACCAAUAACCUGCUUAUCACUUGGUCUGUCUACAAGCUCCCAAGUCUUAUUUUUUUCAAUCAUGGACAGCUCUUCUUCCAUUGCUUUUAUCCAAGCCUUAUCCUGUGCAGCCUCUUCAUAUUUUUCAGGUUCCACAAUACAGAGAUUGCAUUGUGCUAGAAUGUCAUUUAUGUUUCUCCACUUUAAUGGAGUAUGAUCAUAGGGCUGAGAGAUAUCAGCAUGCUCAGGAAUGGCAUUCUCUUGUUCUUCAGCUUGAGAGAAAAUGCAAGGACUAGAAGGACUUCUCUCGACUUCAGUCAACUCAUGUGGAAUCACUUCAAUUCCAUUUUCAGGUUGCUUUGGAACAUAGGUCAUAGCAACAGAAUUUUCUGAAGUUUCCUUCCAGUUCCAAGACUUGGUUUCAUCAAAAACUACAUCCCUUGACAGAAUCAGCUUCUUAGUGCUUGGAUCAAAUACUCUGUACCCUUUCUCACAGGUUGCAUAACCCACAAACACACCUUGGACAGACUUUGCAUCAAGCUUUUGUCUUCUUUCAGUUGGUACAUGCACAUAACAGAGUGAUCCAAACACCUUUAAGUGACCAAUUCCUGGUUUUCUUCCACUAUAAGCUUCAAAAGGAGUCAUGUUAUCAAGGGCUUUUGUAGGUGUUCUGUUUAAAAUAUAGACAGCUGUAAGUACAGCUUCUGCCCAGAGAAAGUAUGGCAUGCCUUUAUCAUGAAGCAUUGCCUUUGCCAUCUCUACAACUGUUCUAUUCUUUCUCUCCACUACUCCAUUUUGUUGUGGAGUAUAAGCAAUAGAUAACUGUCUUUGUAUGCCUUCAGAUUCCAGCAAUUUGCUGAAUUCAGUUGAGAGAAAUUCUCCCCCUCUGUCACUCCUUAGGCAUUUCACUUUGAAUCCACAUUGUAACUCCACCAUUGCCUUGAACUUUCUGAAACAGAUUAGUGCCUCAGACUUGUGUCUUAGCAAAUAAACCCAUGACAUCCUUGUGUGAUCAUCAAUAAGCAACAUGAAAUAUUUAUUCCCAGCAAUUGAUUCAUUUUGCAUGGGACCACACAAAUCUGUGUGUAUCAAUUCUAGGGGAUUCUUAGCUCUCCAAGCUUGUUCUUUUGGAAACCAAUCUCUGUGUUGUUUUCCCAUUUGACAUCCUGCACAUACACCAUUUACAUCUUCAAGAUGUGGAAGACCAUGCACCAUUUCCUUUUCUCUAAGCUGCUUGAGACUUCUAAGGUUUAGAUGUCCUAGUCUCUUAUGCCAAAUCCAGGUACAUUCAGUCACACUAGCCUUCAAUGCAAUGUGAUCAGCUUGCAUUAGAGACAGAGGAUAGCAUCUGUUAUUUUUCAUCUUAACCUUGAUAACUAGACAGUCAAGUGAAGGACCAUCAAAGAUACAACACUCUCUUCCACCAAAUAGCAAGUAAUAUCCAUGUUCAUCCAUCUGUCCCACACUCAGCAAGUUUUCCUUCAAACCAGGUAGAAACAUGACUUCCUUGAUGCACUUUCUGCCAGAAUUUGUAUCAAUCAUAAGUGAACCUAUUCCAGCAACAUCUACCAGAUUUCCAGUGGGCAUUUGGACUUUUCCAGUGACAUUUGUCCUUACAUCCACAAGGAGCUCAGCAUUUCCAGUCAUGUGGUUGCUACAACCACUAUCAAUGUACCAAUUCCCACUCACUUUGAUCUCAGUAAUUGCACUGUUAGCAUAGAACAGAUUUCCUGUUACAUCUGCCUGAUUAGCACAGUUUGCCUUUUGAACAACCUUGUCUGCUGUGCAUUCUCUAGCCCAAUGUCCAAAUCUAUCACAGUUGUGACAUUUGGAUUGUCCCUUGUAUCGACAUUCUCCAAAAUGAAACUUAGAACACACCUUGCAUUGUGGCUUAACUGUAUCUUGUUUCAUAAAUCCUGCAGAGGUUGAAUUCUGUGCAGGAUUAGCAAAUGACUUUUGCUGAGACUGAGGCUUUGAAUCCCACUUCUUGCCCUUUCCAUUCCAGUUUUUCUUAGUUCCACUUGACUGAGAAUUACUCUUCUGUUGCUGACUUUUUGGAUUCACAGAAAAAGAACCAAAAGCUUUAUCAGUGGCAUCAACAGUGUGCAUAUCAAACCGUUGUUCCUGGCUCUUAAGAAUUGCCAGAACCUCCUGUAAUUCAACUUUGUCUAUACACUUCGUAUUCUCAAUCACAAGACAGAUGGGAUCAUAAGGUUUGCUAAGACUUAUUAAAACCUUUUGCACAAGCCUUUCAUUAGGCAAUACCUCACCAAACGUCUUCAUUUGAUUAAUUAGUUCAUUCAACCGUGUAAGAUACUCAGAUAACGUUUCAUCAUCACGCAUCCUAGUAUACUCAAAUUCACGUCGAAGAUUUUGGAGUUUAACUGAUCGUACCUGAUCACCACCGUGAUAUUCACCAUAUAGCAGAUCCCAUGCCAUCUUUGCUGUAUCAGCAUUGGCAAUUCGAGGGAAUAUUUGAUCCGAGACUGCAUUCUGGAUAAUACCCAGAGCUUUCGCAUCUCGCAUGUGUUCUGCCACAGUUUUCUCAUCAUCUUCCUCUUUUUCACUUCCUUCAGCCAUCAUCUUCUUUGAAUCAGAGAUCGUAACCCCCUUUUCAACUAAUUUCCAUAACCCAUGAGAUUUAAAGAUUGUCACCAUCUUGAUUCUCCAGAACUCGUAGUUCUCACCGGAGAAGAUCGGAGUUCUCACCUCAGAACCUCCAGAUCCAGCCAUCUCUAGGCUUAGAUGAUACGAAUCUCAAAAUCAAAAACGAUGGGGUUCAGCAAUUUCACCUGAACUAGAACGAGCUUGAGUGCAGCUCGAUUGCAGCAACGUCGCACAGUCUACGCCCAGAUCUCAGAUCGAACCUGGCUCUGAGGCCAUGUUAGUGUUUGAAUUCUUAGCUGGGUUUCUAUGGAAGGUUUGAGUAGAGAGGAAAACACAGAGAGAAUAGAGGAAGAUUCAAGCUAUAUGUGUAAUGCUCUGUUACUCUCAAAGUCUGAGAGUGAGUGUAUAUAUUUUUAUCAAAAUUCACACACAAAGGCAUGAGUACACAACCGUUAGCUUUAGCUGUACACACACAAUCAACAAUACAAUCUCAGCCUUACACUUGUCAUAAUCUAGACUAAGUGAAUACACAAUUUAAAACAAGGCUUAUUUACUCUAACUUUACUUAGCUCACAGCUUAUACACUAAUAUUCUCAAGUUAUCCAAACAAAUCUUGUUCAACAGAAAUUCUGCCGUUAGCUCGGGAACUUGUGGAGAAGUGUGAAGGCCUACCUCUUGCGAUCGUAGGCUUGAGUGGGCUUAUGUCUUCUAAGAAGUCACUUACAGAGUGGAGCACAGUCUACAGCAGCUUAAAUUGGCAUUUAACAAACAAUCCCUUACGCUUAAUGAUUUGGAAUAUUGCACUUGUGUUCAAGAAAUUAUCCUUUCAUGGAUGUAAAGCCAUAUAAAUUGUUUGUUAAUUACAAUAUUGCUUGUCUUUUUAUAUAUUUUGCAUAAACAAGUCCAGGUAUGUCGAUGUUGAGAAUUCACAGUAUCCCAUACAAUCUGGGAUUAGUUGGGAAACUAUUUCAUUGUUGUAAUUUGUAAUUGAUUCUGUACUCUUAGCUAAAGAUAAAUGAUAAUUUUCUUCUGUUGCCUAUGUUUACUUCUAUAAACUUUUUCAUUUGUAUGAUUCAAACUCUAAAGAGGGGGGAUUAAAAUGAAUAUCUACAAGCUCUAAUAUGAGGUUUUAUAAUUUUGCUUCACAAGUGGAAUGCAUUCACAAAUUUUUAAGAAGCUCACACAAAGCAUGGUUUGAUUGGCAGAUUGAAAAGCUUCACAAGUGGAGAUGUUGUCACGUCUCAGAUAUCCUCGGAUCUAUAUAAUUUAGAAUUAUGGUGGAGGUAUGGGUGCAAAGGAAGUCUGGGACCAUUUGUUAGAUAGGGACUGUGUAUAAGUUUUGGUCCUAUUUUCUGUAGGAUUUUUACAGAUAGUUGAGGGUGUUCUGUUGUAAGAUUGUACUGUUUUGAUGAAUAAUCUUUUUUAUCUGUUUCUUAUUCAGGAGUAGUAGAUCAUGAUUUUUGACAUGUUCGUUUAUUAAAACUUUGAAGGGUUGUGAAGAUAAGCAAACAAUUUAUUUCUAUUUUUACUGAAAUUAUCUGUUUGGUGAUUGAUUGUUGACUGAUACAAGUGUAUUUUUGGGUCAGCUCAUUUUUGGCUUUGAGUUUAGACCUGACCUGACACGAGAAUUGAUGCCAACUCAAUUUGGCCCAAGGGUCGCACAAAAUUAGACCUGACCCAAACCGUGCCCAGACUUAUAUUUUGUAAUAAAAACCUAGUCAUUUAUUAAUGACAAUUAUGAAAUGAACAAGUUUUAUUUAUUUCCGCCAAUUUUUCAUUUCACAUUUCAUUCAAUUAUCAUAGAUGGGAAGAAUAGACAAAAAUGAACCAACAUAUUUACAUCAACUACUCAAAAAGUCAAGUAAAAGUUCUAUCCAUCUCUCCUUUGAUCCCAGGAUAUGUUUGUAUUGCUUGUGAAUACCACAUAGUUGGAUAGAACUUCUUUAAUCAUUUGCCAUUGAUUGGCACAACAUGGGCUUCUCCAUCUUGAUCUUGUAACCUAUACACCCCUAAUCCAGGGAUUUGUUUAAUUACAAAAGGGCCUUUCCAAGUGGGUGACCAAUUUCCAUAACCAGCCACGUGGGCUCCAACGAGCAAAAUUGCUCUCCAGACAAUCUCUCACUCUUCAAAGCUCUUGUUUUUAACUCUUUUAUUAUAAGCUCUUUCCACAACUUCUUUUCUUGCUAAGAGUUUGUUGAGGGUAUCAAUUCUAAUUGUAUUCAAUCCUUCCAAUUCUAGCAGUAUUGCUUGUGAAUAGUCUUCUCCAACUAAGUUAUGCUGCUGGGCAAUUCUGAUGGAUUGGACUGUGGUUUCCAUGGGCAGAAUCGCGUCAUGUCCAUAGGUUAGAGCAUAUGGGGUCAUGCCAAUUGCCUCUCUAUUUGAAGUUCUAUAGGCCCAUAAGGUUUCCGACAAUUUUUCGUGCCAUUGCCUUGGAUUUUCCUCAAGCAUUUUCCUGAUGAUAUUAAUGACCAUCUUGUUGCUUGAUUUUGCCUCUCCAUUUGCCUAAGCAUAGUGAGGAGUGGACUGGAGUAACCUGAUCUUGAGCCUACUUGCCAUAUUUUGCAUCUCUCUGGAUAUGAAAAAAUUCCCUCUAUCAGUUGUGAUUGAUUCUGGUAUGCCAAACUUAUGCACAAUCUGUUCUUCAUUGAAAGUGAUGAUCUCUUGAGAUGUGGUGGAUUUGACCAAUUUAGCCUCCACCCAUUUAGUGAAGUAAUCUAUAGCCACAAUGAUGAAACAGUGAUGUUUGCUGCUGGCUAGAUAGAUUUUGCUAAUGAGGUCCAUUGCCCAUCCCCUGAAUGGUCAUGGCUUAACGACUAGAUUCAUGGGGACUAAGGGAGCUUGCUAGAUUGGUCCAUGUCUUUGGCAAUAUUCUAUGCACUCCUUCAUCAUGGUAGGCCAGAAAUAACCUUACCUUCUGAUCAGCUAGCACAUUUUCCUUCCAUCUUGAUGUGCUCCACAUGUUCCUUCAUGGACUUGUCCUAUGACUUUCAUGUAUUCUUCCUUUCACAAGCAUCUCAAGAGUAGUCCAUCCUUGCUCUUUCAAACCAAAUCUUCAUUCCACAUAAGGUAAUUUAAAGCCAUGAUUCUUAUCUUUUUCUUGGAAGGGAGGGUUGGAUAUUGCAAAUAAUUGAUUAUAGGCAAUCUCUAAUCCUCAUCAGUCUUUAUGGCAUAAUUGACAUCUAUCUCCAUCCCUUUAGCUAGAACAGAUGGUAGACUCUUUUUUCCCAUUUUAAUGAUUCUCUAUACACAGUCUUCAUGUAUUUGCACUCAUGUUGCAAUCUGAGCCAUUUCAUUGGCUGCAAAAUUCUCUUUCCUUAGAAUAUGUUCCCAAGUAGUUUCCCUGAAUUCUGCCAGGAGAUUUUUGGCUGCCACAAAACAAACAGCUAAGGAAGGAUUCAAACACUUGUAUUCUCCAGCAAUCUGCUUUAGAACAAGCAUGGAAUCUCCCAGGAUUUUCGUAGACUGGAUUUCUAGUUCUACCAUCAUCUUAAGACCAACGAUCAAAGCUUCAUACUCUGCUCUGUUGUUGGUGCACUGGAAAUCUAGCUUGUAACAUCUCACAUCGACCAACGAAGAAGGGGUGAUGUGCCUUAUAUGUACAUGCCCAUCUCCAUCUAGCACGAGGCCUUUUGAGAGCUCACUAGCUUCAGAGUCAUGGGAACUCCGAAGUUAAAUGAGUUGGGGCUAGAGCAAUCCCAGGAUGGGUUACCCACUGGGAAGUUACCUGUGAGUUUCCAAAAAAAAAAACAUGAGGACAGAGAUGGUGGCCUAAAGCGGACAAUAUCGUGCUACAACGGAGCUGAUCCCGAGAUGUGACAAUUUGGUAUCAGAGCCACUCUGUCGUGUGGUGCGAGUGUGCCGACGAGGAUGUCAGGCCCUUAAGGGGGAUGAAUUGUAGCAUCUCACAUCAACCAACUGAGAGGGGGUGAUGUGUCUUAUAUGUACAUGCCCACCUCCAUUUAGCACGAGGCCUUUUGGGAGCUCACUGGCUUCGGAGUCAUGGGAACUCCGAAGUUAAGUGAGUUGGGGCUAGAGCAAUCCCAGGAUAGGUGACCUAUUGGGAAGUUGCUCAUGAGUUCUUAGAAAAAAAAAACCGUGAGGCCAUAGAGGAAGGCCCAAAGUAGACAAUAUCGUGCUACGGCAGAGCUGAUCCCCGGAUGUGAUAUAGCUGGGAUGAAUAACAAUAUCUGAUUCCCAAUGGAUCAUCUAAAACAAUUCAUGCUUCAGAAGCCAGGUCGAUUUUAGAUCCAUCAAAAUACAAAUUCCAAGGGGUGAGAUGGACUAAGUAUAUGGGAUUAUUAAGACAGAUAUGAGCUCUACUCAGCAAAUAUGCAUUGGCUAUAUCCAUGGAAUCUAUGUUCUCAAUCUCUUCCCCUGGAUGAUCUGCCAAGAAGUCUGCAAUAGUCUGUCCUUUGAUAGCAGUGAAGUACAAAGUCAGAGUCCAUUUACCAAUUCUGCCUCUCAAUAUUGGCCUCGUUAGCAUGUACUUGAUCAAAUCUGUUUUAGCAAUGAUGUAGAUGGUAAAAGGUAGCAUGUAAUGUCUGAGCUUUAUAGCAGUGAAGUACAAAGCCAAACAUAACCUUUCAAUCGCAGAAUACUUUCUUUCCACUUAUGUUAGAGUUCUGCUCAGGUAAUAGACUACAUGUUCCUUCCAUUCCUUGUUAUCUUGAACCAAAAGGCUCCUAAUAGAUACCUCUGAUGUAGAGACAUAUAAUUUGACUGGUCUGCCACUUUUUGGUGGAGACAGAACUAGUGGACUUGAGAGGUAAUGUUUGAUUUUCUCGAAAGCUGGCUAGUGUUGUUCUUCCCAUCUAAAUGCUUGUUUUUGUUUCAACUUUAGCAAGAAAGAGAAAUGCUGGAUUUUUCAGGGAGAAUUUGAUAUGAAUCUUAUGAGAAAGUUGAUCUUCCCUAACAGACUUUGCAAUUCUUUCUUGUUCCGAGGUGGCAAAGUUUGUAUGAUAGAUUUUGCUUUGUUCUUGUCAAUUUCUAUACCUUUUUGGUGGAUUAAGGACCCUAAGAAAUUGCCAGCUUGAACCCCAAAGAUGCAUUUUUUGGGAUUCAUCUUCAACUUGUGUUGUCUCAUUCUUAGAAAAGCUUUUCUUAAAUUAGAUACAUGAUUUCCCUUUUCUGGCGACUUAAUCACCAUGUCAUCUAUGUACACCUCUAGGGAAUGACCUAUCAUGUCAUGGAAUAUGAAGUUCAUUGCUCUUUGAUAGGUAGCCCCUGCAUUUCUCAAACCAAAAUGCAUCACAACAUAUUCAAAGGCAUCUAUGUAUCCUAGACACAUGAAAGUAGUUUUGUGAAUGUCUUCUUCUGCCACCAUUAUCUGUUUAUAGCCAGCAUUGCCAUCCACAAAUGAUAGCAUUUGGUUAUGAGCUACUCCAUCCACCAACAUAUCUGCCAUUAGCAUGAGGUACUCAACUUUGGGAGAUGCCUCGUUCAAAUUCCUGUAGUCCAUGCAAACUCUGACUGCUCUUGUCUUUCUUUUAAGAACUGGUACAGUGUUGGACAACCAAUCAACAUAACUGGCUGGCUUGAUAAAACCUACUUUAACUAGUCUUUCUAUUUCCUUUUUGACCUUCAAUUGUCUCCAUGGACAUUCUUCUUCUAGCCUGCUUGACUGAUAGGUAUCCUUCUUUUAUUGACAGUUUGUGCUAUACCAAUCCUCUGUCCAGUCUAGGCAUUUCAUGAUAAUGUCAUACGAAACAGUCUCUGAAAUCAUGCAGAAGUGCAAUGAUUUCAUCCUUCAAUGGUUUUGUAGCAAUGCACUGAUAAAAGUAGGCGUAGGAUCCUCUUCUGUCCCUAAGUUUAUUUCCUGUCAAAAGGUCUUCCACUUAUGGCAAGGAGUUAUCCAAUGUUGUUGGUGCAAACUCCAAUUCCUCCUCUUGUAAACUUUCUUCCUUCUCUUAUGCACUCUCAUGCAUGAAUUCUACCAUAUUAACGGCUGGAUUCUGCAUAAAGAGCUUCAUUUCUUCCCAAUAUACCAACAAUCUACUUGUAAUGGAUCAGAUUGUUGUAGCUCGAUCCUUUUCUUGUUAGUUUGAGCUAAACAUCAGAAUUUUGGAGGUUUAGGACAGAAGGCCUUUUCCAAUCCUCUAGAGAACUGGCUAGACCUUCUUCAAUGAGCCUCUGGGCCGUGACACCAUGGGGGCCGCCGUUCUGAUUGACUGCAAGGAAAGUAAAAGCACCAAGAUCAUCAUGAUAGUACCUGGCCUCGAAACACAUUGUAGAUGUAGAAAUGGCCAUGGAUCGGCCUCUACUAUCUCCAUAAAACCCUCUUCGUUCUAGAAGGCUAACUGUUGGUGUAGGGUGGAAGGAACACAUAGGCUCUGGUGGAUCCAGUUCCUGCCGAGCAAUGCAUUGUAAGUGGUAGAAGUGGUGUCUACCAUAAAGAAAGCAAUCUUUAGCUUCUUGGUUCCUUCUAUGACAUCCACAUCCAGUAUCUCAUAUGUCUUAGUGAUGCCCUCAGCAAAAUUUGGGACUGUAAUACGCGUUAGGAUUAGGUCUUUUUCUGUUUUGCCUAUCUUAGCCAAGGGUCUGUGAGGUAGCAGAUUGAUGGAUGCGCCUCCAUCUACCAUUACUUUAGUUAUAGGAAUCCCACCAAAAUUUACAAUGAUGAACAAGGGUUUGAGAUGAUUUGCCAUUUCCUCGGUAGAUUUGGUAAAGCACAACUACUUUGCAGGCAUUUUCAUGGUAGUUUUGCCUAUUUUGACAUCAAUGUUUUGCUGGUAUGGCACUUCUUACACUUCUGCCAACCUGCAUUCAAAACUUUCUUGGGAUAGUACAUCCCCUACCAUGGUCCUUUCUUGUCCUUCUGCUGCUCUAAACUUUUCUGACAAAAUAAACACCAUAUUGAUGCCCAAAUCACCUUGUAACAAACCUUCCAGUUCUGCACUGAAAGUUUGAGUUUCUUCAUGUAGUUCUCCGUCAUAUUUCGCCUGUUCUUCUCCAUAUUCCUUAGUCCAGUUCUCUCGAUCAUCUGUUUCAAGGAUUCCAGUCUGGUUGUUUGCAGAUGGUUCAUAAUCCAUCUGCUCUUCCUAGUAUUCUCCAGCCUAGUUCUCUUGGUCAUUUGCUAGAAGAAGUCCAGAUUGAUCCUGUAACUGUGAAAGCUCAAACUGAUUACUCGCAAAUGAACCUUGGUGGAUAAAGGAUUCAUUUGGAAAUUCUACUUCUGUCAGUUCCUCGGGUUGGUACACUGCCUGCUCUGCUUGAAGAUCCCCUUCUGGAUCAUUCUCAAUUCUGGCAGAACUGAUAUUUGUAAACACCUGUGUGUUUUCCCUGUUCUUAAGGAAAGUGCAAUACUGCCUCUAGAUUCUCCUUCUCUGUUUUUUGGUCAGCUUGAGGGUUGGCCUGCCUUUUUUUUUUUUUUUUUCAACAGAAUAUCAUCUACCUUCUAUGAUAGUUACCAAUGGCCUAUCACUUCUGGGUAUUUUGAUUGGCAUUUCCCUAUUUGGCUACUUAGUCACCUUUCUAAUGUGUUGGGCAGGCUUCUAAUAGGACCUCUGUCUGGCUGUGGCCCUGGAUAGGGCUGAAACUGCGGUCUGCUGGUGUGAUGCUCCGAUUAUGUCAAAAACGCUCACUAUGGGUUGUUUCUGCUCAUCCAGAAUUAUCUCUAGCUCGCAAUCACAUUUGCAUAUGCUGCACAAAACUACUCCAGUUGAAAUAGUAGCCUUUGGCUUUCAAUUUACCUUCUUUGUGACUCUUCUAUCCACGUUGGGAUUGAUUUCCAUUAUCAAUUUGCCUUUCUCCUAUUCUGGCUCGCUUAAGUUGACCAUGUUCACCUAAAGUUGAGGAAAAGGGUAUGUUGUCACUGUGGGGGAUUUCUUAGCUAGCUUGAGCUUUCAUGUUAUUACUCCUUCUUGUAUAAUGUCUCUAAAAACAACAUAAUUAUUGGUGGGGUAAUUCCAAUAUUGUCUACCUUUGAGUUCUUCUGAAGGUGUUCCUAUCGCCUUUUGUAGGAGUAUUUCAUUAAACAAAGCGUCAACUUGGGUUAAAUUGAAAGAAUAGAUCUUGUUCUGUGCUGGUUUGUUUGGGACAAAUCCUCCUGUAAAUUGACAGGACCCGAUCUAAAUUCCACUUUGGAAUCUGAGUCAGACCCUGUGCGUAUCCGACACCUGGCAAAUGUCGGGCACAAAUGACUUAUUUGCCCUUCUAUACAAAACACGAUAAAAUAACAAGGUUGACUUCUACCGAAAAAUCGGCAGAGUUUCCCUUGUAACUGGCUCAAAACCGAAAUAUUUACACCUGUCAAAACAAGUAUAUAUAGACAACCAACUGCCAGCAUACAUAUCUAUACACAUGCCAAGAGUUCAAAGCUCAGUUUAGGGCAAAACAUCAGAGCGACUACUAAGAAUUUACAAAAGAGUGAAUCUUUGUACAAAAUACAAAUCCUAUAUCAGAAGAAAGACGCGGAAGAUGGGAAGUGGCCCGGUGGUGGAUUCCUGUGCACGUCUACUGCCUGGGGGUGCAAAACAACAAUAAAGGUGAGUGGACCCAAAACAAAACUUAGAAAAUAAUAUAUGAACAUACUAACCCCAACAGUUAUACAAACUAACUUAUUUUCUUUAUUUCUGAAAUCAAUGCAUGUAUAUAACUAUACAUUUGAAAACAGUUGAGAACUAUCAUCGAGGUGUACCCUCUUUCCGUCAAUUCCUUGUAUCCGUCAAUUCCUUGCAUCACCAUGGGUGACACAUACUCGUAGGUCUCAGUGACACGAGGUCAGUCCGAGCCGCAACUCGCAGGAUUUAGAGAACCGUAGUCCACCUUUAUCCGCAUUACUCGCUCCACACGAGUUCGAGUACCAAGGAACUCGUGGGGCAACUGUCAAGCAUGCUGACUAAACCGAAGGCAACAAAUAUAAUCCGAAGGCAACAUUUAAUAUCUGGGUACCAGGUGGUUUAAGAAAAUAUAAAUUUUCUGAAGAAAAUCUGUUGAAUAAUUAACUUUCUGUAACCUUUAAAAUUCUGCUGCCAUUUAUCUGAUAAUUAACGAGAAUAUCUGUUCAUAUAAGUUUUAAAGGAAACUUCACUCGGCAGCAUGCAACAUAAAAUAGUUAACAGCAUAAAACAGCUUAUAACUGAAACUGAACUGUUUAAAUUUAUUUAUUAAAACAAAGAGUCCACUCACUGAUAGUCUGAGCUCGCUGGACCUCUUGAAGGUCCCUCCUGCGGGUCAACUGGUGCCCGGGUGCUUGAUUCAAUGACCAUAAUAUUCUAUUAAUACAAUAUAGUAUGAAAUUAAAAACCCUACCCCCGGCUCCUAAAAGUACGUGCAUCAAUUUAAAGUGAUCCCUAUGCCCAUAAAAGCUUUCCUUCUACGUGGGGUAGUUUAGCGGUAUCUUGGGACUCAAAUAGCGCUAAGGUCCAAAAAGUCAAUCCGGAACCCCACGGGUCCAUGACCUCACAAUAUGAUCUGGAUGCCGCUAGAAAGUCCACUAUAUUUAGGACACAUGUCCCGAGGAUAUUGAUGUCAAUCGGACGGUCGGAUUGAUCACAAUCCUGCAAUCGCAUAAUUUCUAAACCCUAGCCCUAGGGUUCGGGAUUUCGGAGUACGAUUCACAAUCCGUCGAAUCCUAUACGUUUCUAAAAUUAUCUAGAAUAAUACAUCCAAAAUUGAUUACGAUCCAACGGCUCAACAGUAUUGAACCCGGUAAUCGCAUAAUAUGGAAAAUCCGUUCGAGGCUCAAACGGUAUCCAAAUUGAGAUCCGCGAAUUCCUAUGCGCUCGUGACGACCUAAGGAUUGCAUCAGAACACAGUUCCAUGGCACCACACUCGCCCACGAGCCGCCGCACACGCCGGCAGCGAUGGGUGUCCAAAGCGAUAACGCAUCGCCAGAAAAUCUCAAAACCAAGGCUCCAAACUCCUAUCCUAGGUAUAACACCAUAUUUGGAACCACUUUUGUUCUUGGACCUACCCCAAAAACUGACCGAAAGUGGCCGAGCACGGAGGCCGAAAGUCGACCGAAUGUCCAAUUUGAAAACUGAGCUAGCUACGGUGAAAGUCAACGCAAACCUACCCAACCAUCAGCUACAGCAUGGAAAAUAGGUAGAAAUUCAUACCUUACUCGACAAAUUUGGAGGAGAACUGAAGGAGAACGAACUGUUUGAAGUUUUGACAAAACCAAUCGAUUUUCUGCAAAUUCCGUCGACGACAACGGCGGAGUGGAGCGGCUGAGGGCUGAGGCGUGUAGAGGAGGACGAGCUGGUUCUUUUGGGACCGGUGCCGAUGGAAUUGAUGGCCGGACGUGGUGGUGGCGAGGAGAAGAAAAAUCGUCUGGGGAGGAGGAGGUUUCGCGCGACGAGAGAGAGAGAGAGAGAGAGAGAGAGAGAAACUGAGGUUUAUAAAAAUUCUGAUUUUUUAAAUUACCAUUUUGCCCCUCGUGAUAUUUUACUCGUAUUUUCUUCGUUAAAGCUCCGAUUUGAGCUCACUUCGUGUCUAUGAACUCGUGUCGUCGUGCUCUACGCAACGGCAUAUGUGGAAUUGUCAAAUUCCUUUUGGGUCAAAAAGUCAACUUUUUCUUAAUAAAAUAUUCGAAGGGCAAAAUCGUCUUUCUACAAAAUAAAUUAUUGAUUAAAUAUGAAUUUUAGGUUUGGGUCAUUACAUAAAUAGUGGUGGCUUUUGAUCCUUUUGUGGUUUAAUCAAAGCCCUACAGUUGAUAGGAUGCUUUAGCUUUGCCUUUUCUGCCACUACCACCUCUAUUUCUUCUGAAAUUUCUUGGCCUUCUUCUUAUUCCACUUCAACCAAAUGGACUGAGGAAGAUGGUGUCUUGUAGUACGUGUCUUUGAAAGAAUUUCUCUUCUGCUACUCUUCCUUUAGCAGUUCUUCAUAUUUGGAGGCCUUAUCUGCCAAUUCUACCAAGUCUCUAAAAACCAUUCCAUCGAAUCUCUUUCUUGGAGAAAUGUGGAGGGCAGUCUGGGCCAUCUGGAUGAAAUGCCUUUCUUCCAUGGGGAUUCUGCACUUCAUUUUGAGCUUCCUAAACCUGGUGAUGAAGUCCUGGGCAGGUUCAUCUUUACUUUGCUUAAGAGCAGCAAGGUCACUAAUGGUUACUUCUAGCUGAAUUCUGAAAUAGUACUCGUGGAAAGCAUUCCCCAUCUACUCCCAUGUCUGGACGGAAUUAGCUGACAAAUUAGUAUACCAGGUAAAAGCUUGUCCGGACAAGGAAUUCCCAAAAGCCUAAGCUUCAAUAGGGGAUUAUUCUCUAUAGCUAUGCACUGGAUAGAAAAUCUAUCUAUAUGUUCUACUGACGACGCGUAAGCGUCCUCUUCAUUGAACAGAGUGAAUUUGGUACUUUGAAACUAGGGGGUAGAGGUAUCUGAUCAAUGUAAGUAGGAUAUGGCUUCUUGUAAGUGGGCCUUUCAUCUCUUCUGGCCUCAGGAUAUAUCAUCUCUCUAAUUAUUUUUUGUAGUGCCCCUAUGUCAUUCAAAGCGUUAAUAUAGGGUAAGUUUCGUCUCUUUUCUAGCUGAUUAUGUUCAGCCCUCUAUUCCAUUCUGUAUGGUCUGGCUAUGACCUCUUCCUUAUGUUCUUUUUCUUCGAAAUCUGGAUGAUUUCUCCAGUUUGCCCCUAUUAUAUUUCUGUCAUUGUUGGCAAAAGGGUUAAUUUCCCCCCUUUGCCUCUUCUCCCUCUUGAUAGUGGGGGAAGUGGAUUGGGAUGACAAAGGCUCUGAUUCUCUGUUCAAGCAUAUAUGCCACUGGUCGGCCAUGUGGGACUUCUGGCCGUGGAAUAGGUGGAAGUUCUGACUGGUUCUGAGGAACCUGUACUACUACUGGAAGAACUGGAGCUUCCUGUUCUUGGAUGACAAAGGCUUCUCCCUUUUGUCCAACCUGGAUCUUUGUCGGUCCAGACACUCCAACUAUUUGUUCAAUAAGGGGAUUUUCCUGGUAUGACCAUGCUAAUCCUGGUGGAGGUCCGAAAGGGAGUUCUAGCUGCUAGAUUAUAGCGUCUGGGUUUGGAAUCCUCGCAAUAGCAGCCUUACGAUCCUUUCUGAAUUGCAUGUUGACUUGCCAUUGCAUCAUGGCUGUCAUGUUGUUCAGAGUGUCCUGGCUUCUUAUCGGAGCACAAGCACCUGUAUCUGGUUUAUCCUUUGAGAGCCUGACUGGGAACGUCUACUCCUGGUACGGCCAUAAAUUGAUUGCCUAGCAUCACUCUCUUCUGACUCAUGCCCUCCGUCCUGGAAGUCUGGUUGAUCUCUUUCCGAGGCAAAGCGUGGGCUUUGGUUAGAACUUCCAAUAUUUAUAUGCUGGAAAGAAGUCUAUAUUAAGAGGUCCACCUGGGUGUGCCAAAUUGUUCACCCGUUUUGAUUUAGCCCUAUGAUGGUAAGGUAAAGCUCCCCACUAACUUGAAAACCAUUGGUGGUCCACAAGUCAACUUUCUUUGGUGUGCGAGCGUGCCACUGUUAGCAGUUAAAAACCCUAAUAGGCUUAUGAAAGAUAGAUAACUUUGCCCCAAGUUACUGACUUUAAACAAGUGAUUGUGAAUUUGGGUGAGGAAUAUCUCCCAAGUAAGUUCUUUUCUUGCCUCAAACUGGUGAGGACUUCACAAUUUCUCAUAGUAAACUAGUAAACGAGGUCGUAUCUUGUUACUUGUAUAUAAUUCAUUCACAUCUGAAGAAUAUUGAGCAUUGGAAUUUUUAGUUCUAUUUUGGAAUUCCCCAGGAUUCAUGUUACUUAUUGUUGUCUUCUUUAGGUAUGAAUCCUAUAGAUUUUUUUUAAAAUUCUGUCAGUGAUUUGAACUACUUUAUUUUGCCCCUAAAUUUAAAAAUUUCUGAAUUCAUCACUGGUUACAGUAAUAAUAAAUAAAUAUGGACUCGCCACUCCACCAACCUGUUUUGGACAAUAAACAACUAAUUAACCAUGAUGUCCUCCUUUUUCCUUCUCAAAUGCACCGACCUUUCCAAAUUAUCUACCACCAUUACUUUAUGCCAGCCAUUAUUACCAAGGCCGGUCUUGAGAUUUUGAAGGCUCCGUGCGAACCUUAAAUUUGGGCCUCACAUAAGCUAACACAAACUUACACCAUUACGUAAUGCCAUACAAUAAAUGUUUUUUUUCUUAAAGUGACCAAAGUACCCAUACUCACAAGGACAAAAUUGAAAUUUCACAAAACAAUUAAAUUGGAUUAGAUUGAUUAAAUUAGGUCAGGGAUGUUAUACCUUUUGAAUAAUCACCAUGAUUAUGACGAUGAGUCUUUGUCAUCAUAGAUCAUAUUCAGAUAUUAAAUAUUUUUUAACACCAAUGUAUUUUGUAUUUUGGUUGAGUUAGUUGGAUGCAUAAAUAUUCUAGGAACAUCAUUAAUUCAAUGCAAUUAUUUUGGUUGAGUUAGUUGGAUGCAUUAUUUUUUCCAAAAUUGAAUAUCUAAGCAUAGGCUUUAGGGUAUUUAUUAUUUCAGUUUGUGGUUGUGAAAGUAGCUGGGAUAUUGAAUGUUGGUGUUGACAUUAGACAAGCCUUUAACACAAGUGGGUUUUGAAGUCGCGCCCAGAAUAAAAGUUGAGGCUCUGCAAACUAACACAACUAGGAACGUCUUUGUGUCAACAAUUUGCUCACUCGAUAUAUAUAUAUAACAUUUGUUAAACAUAUAUUAUACAUAUAAAAAAAAUCGGGUCCCUGUGCGGUGGCACCACUUGCACACCCUCAGAGCCACCCCUGAUCAUUACAUUCGAACCCACUCCAACAUUAUGAUUUAAGAAUUAACAUUAAAUAAUUAUAUUUGACUUCAUCAUAUUUUCUAAUUAUAAUAUAGUAAUUACUCCUUUCGUGAUAACCACUCUUCUAAGAUAUACGAAUUCCUAUCAGUUUUAUUUGGCUGCUUAUGUGUAAGAGCAUCUCAUGUUUAUAUAUUAAAAGACAAGACUCGUGAUGCUAGGAAAAAUGAGUUGAACUACUACCCCAAUAUAUAAUGACUAUCAUGAGGAUUAGGUAACGUGGUUAGCUAAUAUGAUUAGAAAAUAUGAUUUAUCUAAUCACUUCUUAUAAGGUUUUUCUGUGUAGGGAAGGUUGGAUUUUAUUUUAUUUUUUAUCAAAGUCGAAAGAUAACUUUAUUAAAAGUGGAUGGAAACGUGAAUUGAAUUGUUAGACGUUGAUUUCUCUUCUUUAGACAAUUAAUAAAUUUGGUCGUAGUGCCCUUCUGGAAAGCUUGUGGAUAACUUGAUUUACUACAAAAACACCUGCUCCAUCAUUGAUCUUAAAUCAUUACAUAUAGAGUGCUAAUGGAGUUCUUGUGGAGGCUGGGUAGGUUUUUUUAAAAUAUUUUAUUUUUAUAAAUAAAAUUUUUAAUUAUUUCAUUUGUAAAUAUGUAAUAAGUUUUUAAAUUUAUUUAAAUAGGAUGUAUUAUAGGUAUUUCUGGUAAUUAAAUAUGGUGAAAUAGAACGAGUUGUAAAAAUAACAACACUCUCAUUUAUAUAUAUUUUUUGAAAAAUCACCGACUUAUCUUAUUGCUAAUGUAAAUUGUAAUUGACUUAUUGAGGGAGCACUCCCAUUGGUCAUGCUUAGAGCUCCACUCACAUGAAAUCUUGUUGUUGGUUUUUUUUUUUUUUUUUUUUUAAAUUUUUUUAGUAAAGAUGAACUUUCAUUAAUAAAGACCAAAAAGAGAUCAAAGAACCACCGAGACUACACAACCAGUCAAACGGCAUUAACAAGAAAAAGAAACCAAAGCUACAAGAGAGUAAAAUAAAAGAGGAAAACACAGCACAGCCAACGAACAGCAUCACAUAUUUUGUUACUUGGUAACUGGUUCAGGUUGUGGGCUUCAAGGAAAUUGAUCUUAUAAUAUUCAAGAGUAGGCAAGGGGAUUCCAACAAAAAAAGAGACAAGGCAAGCGGAUUCCCCUCCAAACAAACCAAAAAAGAGUAGGCAAGUGGAGCAUCUGGAAUUUGAUCUGAAAAAUUCGCGGACAAUUCUUAUCAGAAAGACUUUUAUGAAAUGAAAGUAGUAUUAUUUUAUUCUCGUGAUCAUUGUGACAUGCGUAAACAUAUUUUCAGUAUUAUUGGUUAUGAAUAAAAUAAUUAACAAAAUAAUAUUAUUCCCCAUUGCAAGUUGCAACUGAUCCUAAUGGAAAGUAAUAGUUAAAGAAACGGAUUCCAUUCUACCUCAAAUCAUUGGAAAUUCGUAUCGAUUUGAGAUUUAAAAAUAAUUUUUUACUUAUUAAUAUAGCUGUCAACAUUUAAUUAGUUGAGUGGGAUCCAUUAGGGACCGGUAUCAUAGAAGAUUGUCUCACACCCCUAAUUUGGUACUAUUUAUGGGAGCUUGAUAACUGUUAUCACUUCCGCUAGAGCAAAAUAGAUAUACAUCUUUUCUUCUUGGCUUUGGGGUAUACAGAUAGAGACAUAAAUUUCUAUUGAAAAGUUGGGUUUAAUUCUCAGAUUUCUAUUUAACCGUUUGUGAUUCAAACCUGUUGUAUAGGUAUAGUUGGAUAUUCUACAUGUCCUAUAGACUUAGGUUGGUUCAUAAUCUUUUUCACUACAACAGCAAGUAAUCUUGAAAAAUAAACCUUAUAAGCCUAAGGUACAGGUACAUCAACCAAUACUAAUAAACGGGAAGAAAAAACGCAAUCAAAUUUUACCUACAAACAACAAAUAUGAAAAAUAAACCUUUCCUUACAUACCUUCACUGUAGCUAUAUGCCAAGUCAACUAUUUUCCUCCCCAUAUUCAACACUCAAACUACCUCUCCAUUAGAGACACAUGAACCUAAUGAAAAAAAAUAGAUAAGUUGAAUACUUCAUAGCAAAUCUAACUGUGACACAAGUAAUUCAAUCCUAAUUUGGAAUUUGUGAAAAUCUUCAUUAAGGAAGUCAAAAAUCAGCAGAGAUUGGGAUAGAAUGACCAUGAUUGUAGGAGACAAGCAGCUUGUUGGGAGGGGUCGGCUUUAUUUGCCUUUUCUAUUUAAUGGCACUAGAAGUAAAUAUCUUAAUAAGGAUGGACAAAGGCAUUGCUUACGUGUCCAUUGGAUUGUUUGGUGGACUGCUAUUGAGGAGCCAAAAUUGAUGUACUUCAUCCAUUGUAUCUUAAUAAAAAUGGAUCUAUAUCUAAGAACCCCUAAAGAUUAUUAAUAAAAAUACACUUACUAAAAAAAAAUGAAAGAAAGAGAGGAGCUCGAUGAGGAGGAAGACGAGAGAGGCUCUAAAUUCUUCAACAAGAAGAGAAGUUUCUUUUAUGAAGUUGAAAGCAUUGCUCAAGAUGUAAUUGAGAGCUUGUGAAUAUAGUAUUUUGUAUAGGAUGUUGAAGGAUUAAGUGUGUAAUUGGUGGAUUUUGGGCUCUAGAUGGCUAUUGUUGAACUCCAUGGAUAUGUUAGUGUACUGCUUUUAAAUUUUUCAGGACCCUAAAUGGAACAAUUUCCAGCAAUUUAUAGAUUUGUUGUAUUGUAGCUAUUAAGUAAUUCGGGUGAACAUCCAAUUAAAAACCAAUUAAUGAUGAGUGAACAGCGUGCAUAUGUUAGCUGUUAAUUUGUUUUUUCUUUUGUUGGCAUUACCUGUUCAACCAAUAUUAUAUGUGGAGUAAUCGAUUCGAGUAACUUAUUAUAUGUUAGAAAAUGGACUUACCCAUCACAGCACAUGGAGUACACAUCCUCACAUGCAUGGGAGAAUGCCCAACAAUUGUUUAAUCAACGAUUGUCCCAACCAUGCUCAUGCAUAACAUCGAUUUCUAAUUAUUAAUUGAUAAUGUCUCUCUCUCUCUCGAGGGCCGAGAACUCGGGGAUUCCUUUUAGAACUUUUUUUAUUUAUUUUUUAUUUUUUAUGAAGUAAUUCCUUUGAGAACUUGUGACCGACAAAAUGAUGAAAAGAGAUGGAAUCUACUUUUUCGAGUUUUCAGAGCAAUAAUAGAACCAUAGCAAGAUCUCUCUCUUCUAGUACAUCUGAGCUGAGCCCCAACCCACCACCACACAAUCGAAUCUUAUCUUCUCACAUGUAUUUUGAUUUUUAAAUUUUGUGUUUCAUCCGGUUGAUUGCUCUUCUAGAACCAUAGCAAGAUCUCUCUCUUCUAGAACUAAUUAUAGAUGUGUAUGUUUUGAUUAAGCUAGUAUAUACCAAAAUAAGGCCAUAAUGGCGUCAGUUACAGCAGACCUCUUCAUUGGCAAAUUUGUAGCAAUUCUCGAGAGUGAAGCAGCCUCCAUAGCCGGUGUUGAUGAUCAAGUUGAUGAGAUUAAGCUGGAGCUGGAAUUCAUGAAAGCCUUCUUAGCGGUUGCUGACGGGGGCAACAAAGCACACACACAAGUAGAGGAAGUGUGGAUCACAAGCAUGAUUUCUAAGCAAUAACUUCUGAUCAUCUCUUUCUUCUAGCAAUAAUAAAUAUAUCAUUUAUUGCCUUACCCACCACCACACAAUCGAAUCUUAUCUUCUCAUGUAUUUUGAUUUUUAAAUUUUGUGUUACAUCCGGUUUAUUGCUCCCCAGAAUCAAUUCUAGAUGUGUUGUUUUGAUUAAGCUAGUAUAUACCAAAAUAAGGCCAUUAUGACGUCUGCUGCAACAGACCUCUUCAUUGGAAAAUUUGUAGCCAUUCUAGAGAGUGAAGCAGCCUCCAUAGCGGGUGUUCGUGAUCAAGUUGAUGAGAUUAAGCAGGAGCUGGUAUUCAUGAAAUCCUUCUUAGAGGAUGCUGACGGUGGAGAGCAGGCACACACACAAGUAGAGAAAGCGUGGGUCGCAAGCGUUCGAGACUUGGCCAAUGAUGUUGAAAACACCAUUGAUGAGUUCAUGUAUCGCGUGUAUGAGCAACGAAAUGGUGGUCGAUUUUCCAGGUGGUUCCACAAAACCAUUCACUUUCCAAAGCAUCUUUGGUAUAAGCGUCGAAUAGCCAACAAGUUACAGAAAAUCGCGGUGGCGAUUAGAGCUAUUCCAGAGAGAAAUCAGAGAUAUCAUGGUGCUGCAGCUGUAGAAGUAAAAAGUACUUCUGAGGAUACUCGAAGAUGGGUACGGAACCAAGCGGAGUCUUCUCUUUAUCAGAAGGAGGAUGAACUUGUCGGGAUUGAAGGCGAUAAGAACAUGUUACUGGGAUGGCUGAUGGAUGAAGCGAAGCACCAAAUUGUUGUGUCCGUGGUCGGGAUGGGAGGAUCAGGGAAGACAACUCUAGUUGCAAGAAUCUUCAAAGAUGACAUUGUAAAGAGAGAUUUCGAAUGCUAUGCAUGGAUUACUGUUUCCCAGUCUUAUGUGAUUGAAGACUUACUUAGAAGAUUGAUAAAAGAAUUCCACAAAGGAAAGAGGGAAGAGGUCCCUGCAGACAUAAAUGCCAUGAGUUAUAACGAAUUGCUGGAGAUUUUGGUGAACUACUUGGAGACUAAAAGGUACCUAAUUGUAUUGGAUGACGUGUGGGAUGUCCACCUUUGGGACAAAAUAAGGUUUUCAUUUCCAGAUAAACAACUUGGAAGUCGAGUCAUGCUUACAACUCGAAGAGAAGACAUAGCAUCCUCUUCUUUUGGAGUUGAAAGCCAUGUUCACAAGAUUCAACCGUUGGAAAGGGGUGAUGCGUGGGAGCUUUUCAGCAUGAAAGCAUUCUCGAGUUAUCAGAACAAAUCUUGUUCACCUGAACUUUUGCCUUUAGCUCGGGAACUUGUGGAAAAGUGUGAAGGUCUACCACUCGCGAUCGUAGCCUUAAGUGGUCUCAUGUCUUCUAAGAAGUCACUUAAAGAGUGGAGCACAGUCUACAACAGCUUAAAUUGGCAUCUAACAAACAAUUCUUUGUUAGAACCUAUGAAGAUGCGCAUCUUGUUGUUUAGUUUUAAUGAUUUGCCAUACCGAUUGAAGCAAUGCUUUCUCUCUUGUUCACUUUUCCCUGAAGAUCAUGUGAUCGUAAAUAAUAGGCUCAUCACAUUGUGGAUCGCUGAAGGAUUUGUUGAACAUGUCGAAGGGCUCACGCCAGAAGAAGUUGCAAAUAGCUAUCUUAUGGAACUCAUUUUUCGUAACAUGCUACAGCAAAGGUUUCUAGGAUCCCUCCCAGCAUGUAAGAUGCAUGAUCUUUUGAGGGAGAUUGCUCUGUCUAUAGCAAAAGAAGAAAAGUUUUGCGUUGUACAUGAUGGGGGUGAAAUAGUAGAAGAAACUGGGGCACUCCGUUUGUCAAUUCAAACAACUAAUGGAGAAAUUAGAUCAUGCACAGGUAUAUCACGGUUUCGUUCGUUUCUUGUCUUUGCCACUAGCGUAUCCUCAUUCUCUUUCCCAAAUAAAUUACCUUUUGACCUUAAAUUGUUGAAGGUUCUGGAUUUGGAGGAUGUCCCAAUUGAUAAUCUACCAGACAAUCUAACGUCCUUAUUCAAUUUAAAAUAUUUAAAUUUGAGUGGAACUCCAAUUACUGAGCUUCCAGAAUCCAUUGGACAGCUCCGCAACCUUCAGACCUUGAACAUCAAUCUGACAAAAAUAGAGGCACUUCCAAGAGGGAUUUCCAAGUUGCUAAACUUACGCCAUUUACUUGUGAGCAGGUCCAUUUAUGGAAAGGCAAUUGGGGUAAGAAUACCAUCAAGUAUUAGUAAGAUGAAGAAAUUGCAAACUUUGGCAUAUAUUGAAUCAGAAGGAAAUAUUAUUAGACUUAUUGGAAGUAUGACCCAACUUACGUUCCUUGGCAUUACAAAUGUGAAAGAAAGAGACGAGGAGGACCUUUGUGCCUCAAUUCAAGAGAUGAAGGUCCUUUCCCGCUUGUUUUUAUCUGUAGCUGAUGGAGAGGAAUUUCUUCGAGUUGACGCAUUGUCUUCACGGACUCCCUACCUUGAUAGACUUGAAUUGGUCGGCAAACUGGAAAAGGUACCACAUUGGUUUUGUUCACUCCACUCUCUCGCAUCUUUGAAUCUGUCUGGGUCCAGACUUGAAGAAGAUUUACUACCUCAUAUUGAAGCAUUGCCCUCUCUACGUUCUCUUUGGCUUCGUAAUGCCUCUGUUAGGAAGGAGUUAUGUUUCAACAGAGGCUUUGUGAAGCUUCGGCAUUUGUGGGUUUCGGAUCUCGCAUUAUUAAAUAAGAUAACUAUAGAAAAAGGGGCGAUGCCAAAUCUCGAGUUCAUAAGAAUUCAUGAUUGCUUGACAUUAGAAACAUUGCCACAAGGUAUUGAGGACCUUACUAAUCUACAAGUAUUCAGAUUUGAUAAUGUUUCAGAGAAGUUUAGAGAGUCCAUAAAAGAAGGAGGUGUGGAUCAUCCAAGGAUGCUACUCGUCGAUGAGAGAUGUAAGAAAUAUGCGUAAGUAUCUUAUAUCCUUUCCUAAACUUAAUGAUUUGGAAUAUUGCACUUGUGUUCAAGAAAUUGUUCUCGUUCACAUCUCUGUUAAUGGAUGUAAAGCCAUAUAGAUUUUUUGUUAAUUACAAUAUUGCUUUUGUCUUUUUAUAUAUUUUGCAGAAACAAGUCCUGGGAUUGAAGAUUUUACCCAUGAGUUUGGGGGUGGGAACUUGUUCGUCUUGUUUUGACCCCAAGACUGAUCUAGAUUGGCUUCUUAUUUGCUCUUUUGAAAAUCAAACAAUACCCAAGUUGAUGUUCUUAAAAUUGCAGUUGAUGUUUUUGUGUGUGUUUUAAUUUGCAUGUAAUAAAAUUCGAGUUUGCAUCUGUCACUUCAACAAUUGGCAGAUGUAUGUCGAUGAUUAGCUUUUAAGAUUUGGACCAUGGAUUCUUUUAUAUUCGGCGUGUUUGUACCUUCUUCUAUGUUAAUUGUGUUUGUAUUUUCAGGUUUUUUUCUUUGUACUUUCAGAUUGGCUAAUUAAAUAAUACAGAAUCUUAAUUGCUUUCCAUGAGAAGUUCUAUAGCACAGGAAUGUCAAUGUAGCGGUAUCUCACAUCAAUUACGCAUUAUUAUAUGAGGAUACUAAAACACAUUACAAUGCGUGAUUGAUUUGAAAUACCGCAAUAAUAACAUCCAUAACAUAGGUAAGUUUUUCAUCGCCCUUAUCAAUCCUAUUGAGUAACCUGUUAGAAUCUUCUCUCCAAAGCCGGCUCUUCUGCGUCAGUUGACCUCCCCCUCCCCCUCCCCUCUUUUCUCCCCCAACUGUGACAAGGACGAGCUCAAAUUUUUGAUCUUAUCUAUGGAAUGAAAUGUAGUUUUUAUUAUUUUUUAAAUCAAACAAAACUACAUACAUUUAAAACUUGUUUGACAAAGAAAAUAAAAAGACAUUCGUUUUAGGCACUAACCGCUUCCACGUGGAACCGUACGUGGGGGGCUAAUAACGGUUUUAACCGAAACUCCAAGGACUCCAAUUUUUCUCACACAAACACUCUGUUUUCCCUCUGAUCUCUCUGCCUCUCAGAGCCGUGAAUGAAGAAUACGACGUCAUAGUGCUCGGAACUGGCCUCAAAGAAUGCAUUCUCAGCGGCCUCCUCUUUGUGGAUGUUCUCAAGGUAAAGCUUAUGUAAAUGGAUAACAUAUAAAAUUGUAGCUUCCUUAUGGUAAGGUUAUUGUCUAACAAAUCUAACCUACUGCUACACAGUAUGACGUACUUUUUUUCUAUGAUGUUGAUAUGAUCCCCAAAGUAUCAAGAAUUAAUGAUGCAUAUAUUUCUUCCUAUUGUUCUUUGAUUUCUUCUUUGAUUCAUUUUCUCUUUUUGCUUAAGAUUGUAUAUGUUGAUAGGCUGUCAUGUUAAUUUGUUUGUCCGUAAAUAUGUGAUUAGGUUCAGUCACUCAUAUGGGCUAGCAAAGUGAAAAAAAAAAAAGCUCGAGGAAACCAUAUACAAAAGGUUGUGUAAAAUAGAACUAUUAAUAUUAUAUAGAUAUAAUAAUAAAAAAUUCAAAAAUAAAUAUAACAUACAAAAUCCAAAAAAAGAAAGGAAACACAUGCACUAGCACUACAAUUCAAACAUGCAUGAAUACUGUCUGGCUUUCUUGUUUUACUUUCUUUCUUUUUUCCUUCUACAUAUUUCAGCCCCAAUGAGUUUUACUCCUUUUGUGUGUGGUUGAGGCAAUUAUAUACAAUACGCUUUCUGUCUUUGGCUACCUAAAAAGUCAAGAAUGAGCCAUGCCUUUUGGUAUUACUGAAACUGAUACUGUGUUCAGGAUUUCAGAUUCUCCAUUCGAUUGGCUAUUCCUUAUAAUUAUGUACAUGUAUUUUGUUAUUUAGAGAGAGAGAGAGAGAGAGAGAGAGAGAGAGAGAGAGAGAGAGAGGGAGGGAGAGAGGCAAGUGUACAAACUAGAAUAAGUGAUAUCUCUCUAGCAAUCCAAGCCUUGAGUGUUGGUCAUUUGAGCUGCAAAUCUUGGUCUCUGGCUCUGGUCUUUUACAAAAUCCGGCUGUUUCCUUUUUGUGUAACUUCUCAGAAACAGAGAAGAUGAUCUUCUAAGAAUUAAGUAGGACUUUCAAAACCAAUUUUUCAAUUUGAUCUCUGCGCUACAUAAAAUAUAAAAAAUUAAUACCUCUGCUGCGAUGUUUCUUGUAUUUUUACUUGUAUGUGUAUGCAUUAUUCACAUUUGCAUUGUCACAUUAUGGAUUUAGUUUUGAAGUGAGAAUCUUACUUGGAUUUCUCGCAGACCACCUAUGUAAUUCAGCACAACCUACUACCAUCUAGUUUUCUACAAGCACAAGCUCUUGAGAUGAAAUCAAAUUUAUCAUAUGAGUUAUCCCCUAGGGUAAGUUUCAAUGUUACUUACUAUAUAUGAGAUCACUGUAGGUUAGUUGGUUGAGCUUUGAUUUUGUUUACUUCUCAUUUUGUAUCUCAAGGCUAAAAAGUUGGAAGAUUGGUUCAUCCUUUGCGUUAAAAAGACCUAAAGAAACCCAGCUACUUCUAUGUAAGGCAUCUUGGUUCUAAUUAUUUAUUUAUGUUUUUGUGAUUUUUUUGUAGUGUUUGUCAACUUUGUGAGAUUCUUUCGGGGUUAACUGCAAUUUUUGUGAUUCUUUUAACCACAGCAAGCUGCAAAAUUGUGAGUUGGAAUCACAAGGAAAGCUUGUAAAAAUUGAAAUGGUGUUGGAGCUCAUUUUGCUGUUAAGCCAUUUGUCUGUGUUAGAUGUGCGUGGGCUGCUGCAUGUUGGUGCUCUAGGCUAAUUAUUUUGGGACUUUGAUUCCAAGAAAAUAAUGAAGUUUCCCGAGAUCCUUCAUAGAAAAUAUAAGUUGCCUGAUCGCCGAAUCAAAUGAGAAAUUUGUUCUUGAUCAUUGCCAAUUAUAAGGAUGUCAUCGACAUAAAUGAGCAGAACCAAAUAGAUGCCUUGUUAAUUGUAAACAAAGAGUGUGUAGUCACAUUUGGACUCAUGAAAUCCAAGCUGCAAAAGAUAUUCAGAGAAUCAUUGAAACCAAGUUUGUGGAGCUUGUUUCAAUCCAUAUAGACUACGCUUCAAUUUACACACAUGAGAUCGAAAUUGUUGAUCCACAAAGCCAGUAGGUUGUUUCAUAAACACAUCUUCAUAGAGAUUUGCAUGUAGAAACGCAUUUUAUACAUCAAGUUUGUGAACCUGCCAUCUAUUGCUCACGGCCAGGCUAAGGACAAGACGAAUGGUGCUAUGUUUGACCACGAGAUUGCAGGUUUCACUGUAGUCGAUACCUUGUUGCUGAUGGAGACCAUUGGCAACAAGUCUGGCCUUGUAUCUCUCUAUUGAUCCAUCUGCUCUCUUCUUUACUUCGAACACCCACUUAUUUGGAAGCAAAUUCAUAUGAGGCUGAUAAAGAACUAGCUGCCAAGUACCAUUAUGUUGCAAAGCAUUAAAUUCCUGAGCCAUUGCAUGUCUCCAUUCCUCCUGUUUCGUUGACUGACUAAAACAAGUAGGUUCAAUGCAUUAGUAUCCAUAAUAACAUGUAGAGCAUAUCUGGGAUUGGGUUUUGGAACACCCAACUGAGACUUGGUCGCCAAAGGAUGAUGAGAAAUAGCUUGAGAAACCUGCGGGACAAUAUCUUCAUUUAUUGGCUCAUUAGGAGUUGGGAAAGGAGUAAGUGUUGGAGUGGGAGAAGGAGAUUGAUUUAAUUGCACAUCGUCAGGCGUGCAAUGAGGAAGUGGAGGUGAAGUAGGAUUGUUUCUUGUAGGCAACGAAACAUAACCUGAUGGCAAAUUGAAUUAGUUGUUUCUGGAAAAGUAAACAAAAUUGCAGAAUCAAAAUUGGCACCUGUGUGUUCGACGCUUCCCUUGGAAGAUGUGAGUUCCUAAAAUGGAAAAACGUCCUUAUCGAAUAGGACAUGGCGAGACAAAUAAAUGCGUCUUGUGGAUAAAUUCAAACACUUAUACCCUAAUGGUUAAGAGAAUAUCCUAAGAAUACACAAGUUUUUUUUAUUUUGGUUGUAAUGUAUAUUUAUUAUAUGGAGUGAGCUAGGGAAAACACCUACACCCAAAGACUCGAAGCAUGUCAUAUGAAGGAGUUUUAUGAAACAAUUUUUCAAAAGGAGACAUAUGGUUUAGCACACGUGUGGGAAGGCGAUUUAUGAGAUAAGUGGCAGUUUGGCAGGCUUCUAGCCAAUAAGAGGUAGGAAUGUGAGCAUGGUUAAGCAUGACAAUAGCAGUUUCAACGAGAUGAUGAUGUUUCCUUUCUACAAGGCCGUUUUGUUCUGGAUGUUUAGUAAUUCCAUGUUUUGCCAAAAAUUAUUGAAAGGCUAGUUUUGUGUACUGGCCUCCUUCUUCACAUUGAAGAGCUCUUAUUGAGGUGUUGAGCAUUUUUUCUAUUUGUUUUUUAAAUUUGAUAAAAAUAUCAAAUACUUCAUAUUUUUGUUUCAUGAGAAAUAUUCUAGUGUAUCGAGAGAAGUCAUCAACUAAAAGAAAAUAAUAAAGAAAGCCAUGAACUGAAACAAUUAGUGAACUCUAAACAUCGGAGUGUACAAGAGCCAAUGGAGAUAAAAACACAGAAUCUGAAAUUGGAAAUGGUAAUUUAGUGCUUUUACCUAAAGGACAUGAAGAACAAAAAGGUACAUGAGAGGAGCCACUAAUUGGCACUUUAUUAUUUGAAAUCAAAUUCUUUAUUAUUUCACUAGCUGGAUGGCCUUGGAGAGAAUGCCAUUUUUGAAUUGAGACACGAGUUCCUAUGAAAGCAGAAAAAGAUUGAUUGGAAAAUCCCCCGCUAUUUGUGAAUGGAUAUAAUCCAUUCUAACACCUUCCUUGGAAAAACGUCUUCUGUGUCUUGAGGUCCUUCACAAAAAAACAAUCAAGAAAGAUGAGAAUAUAGCAAUUAUUGUCGGAAGUGAAACGAUGAACGAAAAUCAAAUUUGUAGAAGCAAAAUGGCAAAAGCGUUUUUGGUAGAAAAUAAAAACAGAAAAUAGAAACGGGACCUAGAAAACGUUACCAAACGACUCAUAAGUUGUAAUUGACUUACCAAACGACUCAUAAGUUGGAAUAUGUAUGAAUAUUGAGCUGCACGUAAAGUAGAUGAGACACAGCAUUUAACGAGGUUCGGCUAUGCCUACGUCCUCGGAGAGCAGCAGCAGUAACUUUUUCACUAUAUAAAAUAAUAGGGCUACAACUUUAGAGUUUACAAUAUGUGAGGCUCACUGAAUUUUCUCUUUCUUUCUUCUUUUUCUCUUCUUUUCUUUCUUCUUUUCUCUUCUUCUUCUCUCUUCUUUUUCUCUUCUCCCCUUUCUUUCUUUUCUCCGUUGGUCACACUCCCCUUUACAAUUGGUAUGCCUAUUUAUAGGCUAAUGUUUAGGCAAAAUACAGGGAAGGGAAGGUUCCUGGAAGAUGCAAGGAAACUUUCUGAAUUGAUAAAUACAGGGAAGGAAAGUUCCUGGAAGAUGCAAGGAAACUUCCUGAAUUGAUAAAUACAGGGAAGGGAAAGUUCCUGGAAGAUGCAAGGAAACUUCCUCUGUGGGCUCCACCUUCAAACUUUUACAACACUCCCCCUUGGAGACCACAAAUGAUAUGGAAUAUGCCUCGUUAAAAACCUUGCCAGUAAAAACCCAGUGGGACAAAAACUGUUCGAAGGGAAAAAGAGUACAUAAUCACGUGUAACACAAAAUUCUGUGUAUAUUGACGCGCGUGCGACACUGCCUCGUUAAAACCUUGCCAGGAAAAACCCAGUGGGAUAAAAACCUGGACGAAGGAAAAAGAGUACAGUGUGUAAGGGUCUGUAUUGACAGCACGCUCCCCCUGAUGCUUGGCAAAAUAUCUUUAAGCCAUACUGUUGAUCAUCUGUCUGAAUAUCAUAGUUGACACUGCUGCUGUGAGUCAAUAGUGUAUGAAGGUCUUUAUUAAUACCAUGCUCCCCCUGAUGAAUAUCUCCCCCUGAAAACUUCAUGACUAGCUUUUUCCAGUAAGCGACCAUAGAGAUUUCCUGAGUCCGCAUAUCUUAGAACACUUGGGCUAUUUAUAAGUUCACUAAAAAAUAUGCCCGUAUAUGGUGUUAUGCUUAGAUAGCAUCAAAUAUACCUCACAUCAUCCCAAAAUGAUGGUGAUGGAGUUGAGCCCUAUUUGGAAAAUAUGAUGUCCGGUCCAAUAUACUUCCGCAAAAUCAUUAAAGUGUCCAACGGAUAAUCCUCAUAAAAAUACUUCAAUAUUUUCUUAGUAUAAGCAAGAAUCUCGUUGGCAUAAUGCUCGAUCCUUAAGUCGAGACAAAUAUUUCGUGAAUUCUGCAGAAGCUUUAAUGUGUUGCAAUCACAUUAUAAUCAAUGUACUCACUGAGGUAAUUUAUGCAUAUUAAUAUUGAGUACAAAUUUUGUGCUUCAAGCACAUGCCCUUUAGGGACUUGCUUUAUGCAAUGUCAAUCCUCUCAACGGAUUUUGUUUUAAAGGGAUUAAACUUUAUGACACAUUAUAUAGCUUUAACACAGCUAUUUAUACAUCUUUAGGGAAUCGCUUCUGGCGAUAUGCUCCGUGCAUUUAAUAACCCUUAAAGAUAAUAUGUUGGUCUCCGUAAUUGUGUAAUAAGGGGGGCACAAUUGAAUCUGUAAAUAUGGAGAAAACCCAACAUUCCUUGUUUCUGCCAGAAACAGUGUGUCAUACAAAGUAGAUAUAUUUCCUUUUAUUCCGAACAUCCAAGUAUAACUUUCAGUAUUAACAAAUUUUGGGGUUCGUAUUGUGGGUUUGUUCUUUCACGUUCAUUCUCAUUUAUAAUGGAAUUACCUCGUUCCAUUUUGGCCAAUGAUAUUGUCGACAUUUAAUAAUUGAACGUGGUUCCAAUCAACACAGCCCAUUGAUGAUUUGAGUAGCUACUCCAAAAUCAAAAAUUGUCAUUCAUCAAUUCAUGAUCUCACAAUUCUCAUGUGCAUGCGCAUGCAUCAAUUAUAAGCAUUCCUUUGCUUUUGGGUACCCAAGCCACUUCAUGGGGCUUUUAUUAUGUGAGAAUGUGGAUUAUAACCUCCAUUGGAGCGUUAUUUUACAUAGGGCGUGGAAAAUCUCCAUUUAGGGAGUUGGAACAUUUAGAACCCAUAUAUCUGUCAUGCUGCAGGCAUGCCACAGAUUAAUACAUACAUGUCAAUUAAUUUCUGGGACCUUAACCCAUAUUAUGGGACUUUAACCCAUAUAAUUUGCUACGCAUUAGGCGUGCAUAAUAUCAAUAUUGACAUGUCAAAGGAUUGUCCUUUCGGGACUUCAAUCCAUAUCAUUUGCUACGCAAUAGGCGUGCAUCAUAUUGAUCACUGCUAUACCCAUAUUCUGUUCUUAUGGGACUUUAAUCUGUGCAGUGUAUUAUCAAUGUAUCCAACUUGCAAUCUGUAAAAUUUGCGUUAAUAAUUCAUGGAUACAUACAAGUCAUUCUUUUGGAAUGGACUUAUCUCCCCAUUUGGUUACCUUUCAAGAUAAAAUAUCAAAUAGGUAUAUAAGCAUAAAAUAACACAAGUAUUGCUUACAUCCUUAGGUGGGAGAAACUUUUCUCAAGUAUCAUUCAAGCUCAUAUCAGCCCAGUAAAUAUAAUGUAGCGCUUGAUGAUCUAGUUAUAUCCUGCAAGAGCAAAAAUCACAACUCUUUUGCCUCUGUCAAAACAAAUAACCCUCAUAGUUAGGAUUACUUCAUGGAUUCAUUCUUCAGAUGUUCAUUCUAAAGAAAUAAAAUCUCUUAUGAACAGAGAGUUAUAAAAAGAGAAAAAAUGCAAAAAUAAUGUGAUAUUGAUUGCAAGAGAAGGUAAGCAAUCAGGGAAGGAAGCUGGUGGGAGCAGACAAUAAGCUUUCAUAUCUCCUAGUCUAGAAGGACUCCCGGAGAUUAGAGUAUAAGAUCGCCUUCACAGUUUCCUAAUGUAGUGGAAACGUGAUCAGGGAUAGUCUUGCUUCCUGAAUGGAUGAUCAGAGAUAGUCUUGCUUCUCAGGCAUAUUGAGUGCUCACUGAUAAGAAAAAUAAGUAGAUAUCGUAUCACUAAGUAUGGAGUAACCUGGAUGUCUUUUGCAAAGAAAAAUUUCGUUAGUAACACAUUUAUACACAAAUACAAUGAAUAGGUAGAACCGGUAAAUUUCAAAUUAACCAUAAGAAAAUUGCGAGAUUCUCGGGAUACUUUUGAAAAAGUAGCUCCGUGAAAUCCGUAAAGCAAGAUCAGCUUUGAAAAUAAUACUUUGAAAAACGCCGAAAGUGCCGACAGGCAUUAUUAGAGGCCACGUGAAGUUUUGGACUCUGGGAAAGAAAAAGAUAAUAUGGGGAUUCGAGAAGACAUUGGAGUCCUGAAAAGUUGCCACAUUUUCGUCUAUAGAUAUUGCCUUUGCAAACUGCGUUUCAACUCAAUUUCCUUCAUUUUCUGAACCUUUAGUUUUUUCUAAGACUUUCUUCGAAACCUUCUUAAAAAAAUGGCUUCCUCUUCUUCCUGCCCAAAUUAUUUCAAUUUAAAUGAUGCUCCCACAACAACCAGUGACGCCCAAGUUUGGCGUCCAUCCUUUGUAUCCAAAAAUCGUCAUCUCACAGUUAAUGAUUCUGUGAUGAUGAAUGAUGCUACUACUGUCAUAGUAGCUAGGAAUUUCAUUACUCCAAUGGAUGAAAUGUUGUUGACAGGGAGAUCAGAGGAAGAGGCUAUUGAUGACUCAAUGGCUUUUAGCAUUCAGAGUGCUGCUUCUGUUUCUAACAUGGCUGAUCGUUUGCGUGCUAGAGCAAACGAGGUUGAGAAGCUGACAACUGAAAAUUCGUCUCUUCAAAGAAUGCUUCAUGAGUCUCAACAGGAGGUUGAGAAACUUAAAGGAGAGAAUAAUUCCUUGUUGAAACUGGUGAGUUCGUACUCUGUUGAUACACUGAGAAGGCUAGACAUGCUGCAGGUCUCCAAUGAAAGAAUUUUGGGAGACCACGAGAAGCUCAUGGCUAAGCUUAAGAGGCGCCGUCAUCUUCCUGCAGAGGCUUCCAGAACAUAAUGUAAUUUUUUAUAGAUUUCACAGGGCCUGCACCUUUAUUGCAAGUGGAAAAAAUCUAUCUGUUGUAUGUUCCUGUAAUAAUAAUUGCGCACAUUCUUAAACUUGCACCUGUGGUUUUUACGUCUUUUCAAAAUGACGGUUUGGAACCUUGUGCCUUAUAGGUUCAAAUAACCACAUUGUCUCUCCCAAAUUGCAUGGUAGCCCGGAACUUUUGGCAUGGGCACAAACUCAGAAUUUAUUUGCCCUUUUCAAAUGGACAUGAAAUGUGAAUUGAGUAAAAGUCAUGAUAAUAUCGCAAUAUAGUAGUGAAGAGCAUUAACUACUAUAUACCCACAACUUCAAGUUUAGGAUCUCUCAUAUAUUUGGAUCCAUGGGCUUCCGGCUCAGAUAUAACAAAAUAUGUAGGGAGUCUCAAUUCAUUAUUUGAGGUUUAUAUUGAUAUUAUCCAUUUCGCGGUGUAUUCUUAACAACCGGAAUUCACAAAAUAUAUUUCUUCCUUGAGGUGUCGAUUAUAACAAAAUCGAACUUUAAAUUCAUCAUCUUCUUAUGCCAAAGAAAUAUGUGACAUACCACAAUUUGCAAUAAUACCUCAAGGGUUGUCCAUUUAAUUGUUGGAACUUCAGGUUCUCAACACUGUUAAAUUUUGAACUUCAGGCCAAAGCCACAUAUUCUCAUGGUAUGGACAUUUUUACAAUUUUCUGUACAUAUUUCGGGACUUCAAGCCCUUACAUAAUUGUCCAUAUUUUGAGGAACUUCUGGCAUCUCAUUUAAUUGCUCAUCCAUGAGUUUAAGGAAUUGCAGGUUCCCUUUUGUAUAUAAUGACGGUUUACCCAAAAUGGUUAAUAUUUAUGCAUACGUCACUAUUCAUGUGAAUAGUACUAUUCAUCAAGUCAUGAAUACGUAUCUAUUCAUCUGCCAAUACAGUUAUCAUCAAUGUGUACGGUACUAUGAACCAAUACGGUACUGUUACAUCAUUAAGGAACUCUAGGUCCUUAUUUACAUGUCAGGAAUCAAGGACCUUUAAGUCCAAUCACAUGUUUACAAAUACAGUACCGGUGAGACUGCCAGCUCUCAUUUUAAUAUCAUCAUCAAGGAUUUUCAAGUCCUGAUGUAAUUGUAUGAUGAGGAUCAAGGAACUUCUGGUCCUGAUCUGCAUACUGGAAAAACUCAUCAUACAGCACAAUUAAUCCAUAAAAUAAAUUGCUGAUAAAUAAAUUACUGGUAUGGACGAUAAACCCGCACCACACUUUAAAUAAAUGUAAAUGUGCGGUAAAUUAAAUUCAUAAAGUUAAGGUGCUUGUAUGGGCAUUAAUUCUGCUCCAUACAUUUAAAUAAAAGUAAAGGCGUGGACGAUAAACCCGCACCACCCUUUUAAAUAAAUGUAAAUGUGCGGUAAAUUAAAUUCAUAAAUUAAGUUGCUUGCUGUAUGGACGUUAAUCCCGCACCAUACUUUAAAUAAAAUUAAAUGUGCGGUAAAGUAAAUUGUGCUUGUAUGGGCACUAAUUCUGCUCCAUACAUUUAAAUAAAAGCAAAGGCGUGGACGAUAAACCCGCACCACCCUUUUAAAUAAAUACUGUUGUAUGGGUAAUAAACCUACACCAUACAGUAAAUAAAAUAAAUAUGCGGUAAAAUAAAUUUGCGAUAAAGUAAAGGUGCAUGUAUGGGUAAUAAACCUACACCAUACAGUAAAUAAAUGUGGGGUUAAAACCACCACCGAAUAAAAUAAGAAAAAGUUAGUAUUAGUAACGGUCUCCCACUGAUAAUAUGUUUAGUAUUACCAAGGGUCCAUUUUUGUUAGUGGUUAGUAGUAUAGAUAAUAGUGCAGCAAAAAAAUUAUACCUGAGAGCUUCUCGUGCUGAUAACGUGUUAUAAAAAUAACCUGGAAUAUGUAUGAAUAUUGAGCUGCACGUAAAGUAGAUGAGACACAGCAUUUAACGAGGUUCAGCUAUGCCUACGUCCUCGAAGAGCAGCAGCAGUAACUUUUUCACUAUAUAAAAUAAUAGGGCUACAACUUUAGAGUUUACAAUAUGUGAGGCUCACUGAAUUUUCUCUUUCUUUCUUCUUUUUCUCUUCUUUUCUUUCUUCUUUUCUCUUCUUCUUCUCUCUUCUUUUUCUCUUCUCCCCUUUCUUUCUUUUCUCCGUUGGUCACACUCCCCUUUACAAUUGGUAUGCCUAUUUAUAGGCUAAUGUUUAGGCAAAAUACAGGGAAGGGAAGGUUCCUGGAAGAUGCAAGGAAACUUCCUGAAUUGAUAAAUACAGGGAAGGAAAGUUCAUGGAAGAUGCAAGGAAACUUCCUCUGUGGGCUCCACCUUCAAACUUUUACAACACAUUGGAAUUUUUAGUUCUAUUUUGGAAUUCCCCAGGAUUCAUGUUACUUAGAAAAUAUUGUUGUCUUCUUUAGGUAUGAAUCCUACAGAUUUUUUUUUUAAAUUCUGUCAGUAACUACUUUAUUUUUCUCCUAAAUUUAACGAGUGCUGCUAUUUUCACUCACCUGUCUUAUUUUCCCACCUAUUAUAUCUUCAAAAUUUUAAAGACAAAUUUAUCCCUUUAUAAAAUGAUUUUUAAAGACUUAAGAAAAAAAACAUUAAAAUCAAUUUAAAAAAUGAGAAAAAGAUAGUAAAAAAAAUACUAAAAAGAUUAACCCCACCUCACCCCAUCAUCUGUUCCGCGCACCCUUCCUUCUUCUCUAUUUUCCCUCUUUGUUUCUUUAAUAGUCACCGCCCCACCACAAUCAAAAGAUACCAAGCAGAUCCACCCCCAAAUUUUCAGUAUUAAUAAUAUGAAGGGACUUUUAACUGAGAUUUGAAUCAGCCCAGCAAUUCUAGGCUCUCAAAGUCUGCACCUCUCAACUGAGAGAGAGAGAGAGAGAGAGAGAGAGAGAGAGAGAGAGAGAGAGAGAGAGAGAGAGAGAGAGAGAGAGAGAGAGUAGCAUCUGGGUUGAGUUGUGUGGCUAGGGUGCUGGGCUGUAGGAGGUAAGUUUGAUGGGUGGGGUGUGAUGAAAUUGGUGGGGAGGGGAUCGGGUAAAACCAUAGUAUGAAAUAUCGAUAAUAUCGAAGAAAUAUCGAUAAUAUCGAAGAAAUAUCGAGGAUAUUUCGGUUUUUUCGAAUCACGGAUAUUUCGGAACAUAUCUAUGUACAUAUCGUAUAAAUAUCGACAAUAUCGACGAUAAUAUCGAAAAAUAUCGAUGUCGAUAAUUUCGCUCACAUUUCAGCAAUAUUUUGUCAAAAUAUCAGUGUAAUAUAGCUAAAAUAUCGAAAAUAUCGAUGUAAAGGAAAAAAAGAAAAAAAAAAGGGAAAAAUGGGAGAAAAAAGCACAAUGAACCCCUCUCAUUUUACUCCUCCAACACCUUAACCACCAUAUCACUUAUGUUUUUGUGAUAAUAUGCUCAAAUAUUUAUAUUUAUAUGGGUGACAUGUUAACAAUUACAUGCAAAACUAUUUUGGGGAUUUAUCAUUUGAUGACUACUCUUCACAAUACACUUACUCUACACAUAGAGAUGAUGAAGUUAGUGAAAAAUUUGAACCUCAUAGGAACUCUAUGUGGUACUAAGUCACUCAUGUAUCUUACCAUACAAUGUAUAAAGUGUAAAAUAUUGUAGUAAAUCAUUAUAUAUAAAUGAUUAUGGUAUGUUUAAUCUUUUUUCAAUAAUUACUACAUAUUUUUUAUACUCAUAGUGUUUGCCCGCUUGCUGUAUAAUCAACUUAAAUCAGUUAAAUUCAUCAUGCAAUGCAUUUCCUUCUAAUUUUUUGUGAUAAACUAAUAGAUAAUUGACUAAAUAAACAUGCUCCAAAGUUUCAAUAAAAAUUUCCAAGUUUUUCUUACAAUUUCCCUAGUUUUUAUUCAAUUUUUAUCUAUAUCGAUAAUAUCCCGAUAUUUCUAUUGAAAUUUCCAUGUUUUUGGACUACCGAUAUUUCCGAUAUCAUCGAUAUUUUAGACUUUGGGUAAAACAGAGAGAAAUAGUUUUUUUUGGAGUACUUUAUAUUGUUUAUUAAUUAAUUAAUAAUAUAUUAUUAUUUACUUGGUAGGUGGAAAGAUAAUGGGUAUUUUAGGAAUAGUAAUGAGUGAAAAGAUGAGAUUGUGUUUUUUUAAAUUUAUAUGGUAAGUUAAAAAAUAAAAUAUAGGAGUGGAAAUAGCAGCACUCAUUUAAAAAUUUCUGAAUUCGUCACUGGUUACAGUAAUAAUAAAUAAAUGCACCGACCAACCUGUUUUGGACAAUAAACAACUAAUUAACCAUGAUGUCCUUUUUCCUUCUCAAAUGCACCUACCUUUCCAAAGUAUCUACCACCAUUACUUUAUGCCAGCCAUCAUUACGUUCGAUCCCAUUCCAACAUUAUUAUUUAAGAAUUAACAUUAAAUAAUUAUAUUUGACUCCAUCAUAUUUUCUAAUUAUAAUAUAGUAAUUACUCCUUUCGUGAUAGCCACUCUUCUAAGAUAUACGAAUUCCUGUCAGUUUUAUUUGGCUGCUUAUUUGUAAGAGCAUCUCAUGUUCAUAUAUUAAAAGACAAGACCCGUGAUGAUAGGAAAAAUGAGUUGAACUACUACCCCAAGAUAUAAUGACUAUCAUGAGGAUUAGGUAACGUGGUUAGCUAAUAUGAUUUAUCUAAUCGCUUCUAAUAAGGUUUUUCUGUGCAGGGAAGGUUAGAUUUUUUUUUUUUUUUCCAAAGUCAGAAGAUAGAAACGUGAAUUGGAUUGUUAGACGUUGAUUUCUCUUCUUUAGACAAUUGAUAAAUUUAGUCGUAGUGUCCUUCUGAAAUGCUUGUAAAUAGCUUGAUUUACUACAAAAACACCUGCUCCAUCAUUGAUCUUAAAUCAUUACAUAUAGAGUGCGAAUGGAGUUCUUGUGGAGGCUGGGUAGUUUUUUAAAAUAUUUUAUUUUUAUAAAUAAAAUUUUUAAUUAUUUCAUUUGUAAAUAUGUAAUAAAUUUUUAAAUUUAUUUAAAUAGAGUGUAUUGGAAGUAUUUCUGGUAAUCAAAUAUGAUGAAAUAGAACGAGUUGUAAAAAUAACAACACUCUUAUUUAUAUAUAUUUUUCAAAAAACCACCGACUUAUCUUAUUGUAAUUUGUUGUAAAGUUUUUGUGUGGAGCCCACUAACUAUUCAUUUGGAGACUUUUGGUAGAGUUUGUCGGCAACUUCUUCUUACUGCACACUCACGAGAGUUGCACCAAUCUGCCUAUAAAUAGGCAACCUGCAAAGUUAAAAAGAAGAGAAGAUAGAAAAGAAAGGGAGAAACGGAAAGAAAGAAAGAGAAAGGAGGAAAGAGAAGAGGAAAGAGAAAGGAGGAAAGAGAAGAGGAAAGGGAAAGGGGGAAAGGAGGAAAGAGAAGAGGAAAGAGAGUCAGGCAGAGAAGAGGAAGGGAAGGAAGAAAUAGGGUGAGUGAGCAGAGAGAAAAUUCAGUGAGCCUUACAUAUUGUAAACUCUAAAGUUGUAGUUCUAUUAUUUUAUUUAGUGAAAAAGUUACUGCUGCUGCUCUCCGAGGACGUAGGCAUAGCCGAACCUCGUUAAAUGCUGUGUCUCAUCUACUUUACGAGCAGCUCUGAAUUAUCGCACAUAUCCCAGGUUAUUUUUAUAACAUAAUUGACUUAUUGAGAGAGCACUCCCAUUGAUCGUGCUUAGAGCUCCACUCACUUGAAAUCUUAUUGUUUUUUUUUUUUUUUAAUAGUAAAGAUGAACUUUCAUUAAUAAAGACCAAAAAGAGGUCAAAGAAGCACCGAGACUACACAACCAGUCAAACGGCAUUAACAAGAAAAAGAAACCAAAGCGACAAGAAAAGGUAAAACUAAAGAAAAGCUACAAGGGAAAGUAAAAUAAAAGAGGAAAACACAGCACAGCCAACGAACAACAUCACAUAUUUUUUUUACUUGGUAACUGGUUCAGGUUGUGGGCUUCGAGGAAAUUGAUCUUAUAAUAUUCAAGAGUAGGCAAGUGGAUUCCAACAAAAAAAGAGACAAGGCAAGUGGAUUCCAAACAAACAAAAAAAGAGUAGGCAAGUGGAGCAUCUGGAAUUUGAUCUGAAAAAUCCGCGAGCAAUCCUUAUCAAAAAGACUUUUAUGAAAUGAAAGUAGUAUUAUUAAUAAUAUUUUCAGUAUUAUUGGUUAUGAAUAAAAUAAUUAACAAAAUAAUAUUAUCCCCUAUUGCAAGUUGCAAGUGGUCCGAAUGGAAAGUAAUAGUUAAAGAAACGGAUUCCAUUCUACCUCAAAUCAUUGGAAAUUCGUACCUAUUUGAGAUUUAAAAAUAAUUUUUUACUUAUUAAUAUAGCUGUCAACAUUUAAUUAGUUGAAUGGGAUCCAUUAGUGACUGGGAUCAUAGAAGAUUGUCUCACACCCCCAAUUUGGUACUAUUUAUCGCUUCCGCUAGAGCAAAAUAGAUAUACAUCUUUUCUUCCUGGCUUUGGGAUAUAUAGAUAGAGAAAUAAAUUUUUAUUGAUAAGUUGGGUUUAAUUCUCCGAUUUCUAUUUAACACGUUUGUCAUUGAAUAAAAAAGAAAAAUCUUGCAAACAUAUUUCAAAAACCAUGUUGUUACAAACAGUCAUUAAGGGCAAAUGUAAUUGCUACAAAUAUAUUACAUAAACCAUUAUUGGACAAAUACAUUUACUACAAAUGUAUUACAUGAAAGGACCAGCCCCGAAUUUUCUCAAAACUCGAGACGAACCCUUUGGAAUUCCUGACAUCACCCCGAUGCCAGGCCCACUUACUAAAAACCGAGACUUCCUGCCGAAAUUUCGGCAGAGUCUCCCCUAUAAAUUGGACAUUUCCCAAAAAUUUCAACCUGCAUAAAAACGCAUUUAAUAUUCCCAAUUGGCAGCAUGCACAAUAUAAUUUCAUGCAAUUCACACAAAUGGCCUUCGGCCUUCCAAUAAUUCUUAACUAACUACCAAACAAAUCAAAUACCAAUUAUGACUAGCAUUUAGUCUGCGGCUGCACCUAAUAACCUUAGGCUGCCUACGUACCCUCCUUGAGGGAUCAAGCCACACGUAGUUCUUCCCUAAAACUCAGUUCCACACUUGGGCGAUGCCUUAUUUCAUUUCUCGGUAUUUCAUGGAAUCUCCCCAUACGCCGGUACAACCAACGCCACGUAUGGGGCCUGUCAACACGCCGGAUAACCUACGCCACGUGCGACCAUGCCAUACUAUCAUAAUAUCUCCCCAUACGCCGGUACAACCAACGCCACGUAUGGGGUCUGUCUCAACGCCGGAUAACCUACGCCACGCGAGACCUGCACAUCAUAUCACAUAACUCCCCAUACACCGGUACAACCAACGCCACGUAUGGGGCCUGUCCCAACGCCGGAUAACCUACGCCACGCGGGACCUCAAUAUCAUAUCAUAAAGCUCCCCAUACGCCGGUACAACCAACUCCACGUAUGGGGUCUGUCGACACGCCGAAUAACCUACGCCACGUGCAACCUCAACAUAAUAUUACAUAGCUCCCCAUACGCCGGUACAACCAACGCCACGUAUAGGGCCUGUCCCAACGCCGGAUAACCUACGCCACGCGGGACCUAACUUUCACUUGGUGGUACUUGUAGUGGAUCCAACAUCCGAGGAGGUACCUAAAGUAGUGCGUAUAGCACUCCAAACUGACACUUUAGACUCUGUUGUACCCUUGUACAACCAUAUAUAAUUAUAGUUAUAUAAAUUAAUUCUAAUAUUGUGUAACCCUCCACAAUCAUCUAGCACCCGAUAAUCCCCCCUAGAAAGGUGAGAUUACUCCGGGAGACUCACGGUCAACCAAGGAUCAAACUACUCUAACCCUGGUCAACCGGACCUGCAAAACCCACGACCUCCAAUUUCCGAUCCGGAAGUCCCUAUGGGUUCUACCAGGUAUAGGACACUUGUCCUGCAAGUUUGGUUCAGAUCGGACGGUCGGAUUGCUCACGAUCGCACGAUCUGACGGUUAAUAUAAAAUAUAGACUUAAAAUUAUUAUUCGGAACAUCCGGGGCUCCGAUUCACGAUCCGUGAAUUCCUACACGAUCCUAGAAAUACCUAGAUUAACAUAUAUUAAAUUUGGGACCAUCCGACGGUCCCAACCUAUCAAACCCGGAUAACGCAUAAUAUGCGAUUAUCCGUUCGAUAGUCAAACGACGUCCGAAUUGAGAUCCGCGAAAUCCUACGCACUCGUGACAACCUAAGGAUCUCAUCGGAACACAUCGCUACUUUUCUACAGUGCCCACGCGCCGCCGCACGCUCCGGCAACGCGUGGGUGCCCAAAGCGAUAACGCUUCGCCGGAAAAUCUCAACAUCUCGGCUCCAAACUCCUACCCUAGGUAUAACACCCUAUUUGGAGCCACUUUUGUUCUUGGACCUAUCCCAAAAAGUGGCCGGAAAUGGCCGAUCACGGCGGCCGAAGUUUCGGCCGAUUUUCAAUUCGAAAAUUGAGUUGCUUAGCUAAGAAUCGAUCUAAUCCUACCCAACCAUCAGCUAGAGCAGCUCGAGAGGUUCAAAAUCCAUAUCUGGGUCGACGGAUUUGGUGGCCGGAGGAGGAAGAUCGACGGCGUUGAAGUUCCGGCGACAUCCGGGCGAAAAUCGCCAUUUUUCGGCGGCUGGAGCGGCGGCCGAUGGCGGGGAUGGGCUGGGUCGUGACGCCGAGGUCGAGCCGGUUCUUUUGACACCGGCCCCGUCCGCAGCCGCGGCCGGUGGCCGGAGUUACGAAGAGAGAGAGAGAAGAGGCCGACGGGAGAGAGAGAGGAGUCGCGAGAGAGAGAGAGAGAGAGAGAGAGAGAGAGAGAGAGAGAGAGAGAAAACCAGAUUUUUAUAAAAAAUCUCAUUUCGAAAUAUUUACGAUUGUGCCACUGGGCUUCUCUUGACCAUAUCUCUCUCGUUACAACUCCGAUUCGAGCCCACUACGUGUCUAUGAACUCGUCUCAGUACGACCUAUCCAAAAAUAUAAGUCGCGGUCCCAAACUCUCUCCGGUUAAAAAUAUGACUAAAAUACCCUUAAAUAAUUAAAUAAUUAAAUGAGGGUAAAAUUUGGGGAAAUUUGGGGUCGGGGUGUUACAUUACACAAACCAGUAUACUUGUUCUACUGAUAAUGUUUGUGAUACAAACCUGUUGUAUAGGUAUAGUUGGAUAUUCUACCUGUCCUACAGACUUAGGUUGGUUCAUAAUCUUUUUCACUACAACAGCAAGUAAUCUUGAAAAAUAAACCUUAUAAGCCUAAGGUUCAGGUACAUCAACCAAUACUAAUAAACGGGAAGAAAAAACGCAAUCAAAUUUUACCUACAAACGACAAAUAUGAAAAAUAAACCUUUCCUUACAUACCUUCACUGUAGUUAUGUGCCAAGUCAACUAUUUUCCACCCCAUAUUCAACACUCAAACUACCUCCAUGACACAUGAACCUAACGAAAAAAAAAAUAGAUAAGUUGAAUACUUCAUAGCAAACCUAACGGAAAAAAAAAAAAAAAAAAAUCUGACUGUAACACAAGUAAUUCAAUCCUAAUUUGGAAUUUGUGAAAAUCUUCAUUAAGGAAGUCAAAAAUCAGCAGAGACUGGGAUAGAACGACCAUGAUUGUAGGAGACAAGCAGAUUGUUGGGAGGGGUCGGUUUUAUUUGCCUUUUCUAUUUAAUGGCACUAGAAGUAAAUAUCUUAAAAAGGAUGGACAAAGGCAUUGCUUACGUGUCCAUUGGAUUGUUUGGUGGACUGCUAUUGAGGAGCCAAAAUUGACGUACUUCAUCCAUUGUAUCUUAAUGAAAAUGGAUACCCCUAAAGAUUAUUAAUAAAAGUACACUUAUUAAAAAAAAAUGAAAGAAAGAGAGGAGCUCGAUGAGGAGGAAGACGAGAGAGGCUCUAAAUUCUUCAACAAGAAGAGAAGUUUCUUUUAUGAAGUUGAAAGCAUUGCUCAAAAUGUAAUUGAGAGCUUGUGAAUAUGGUAUUUUGUAUAGGAUGUUGAAGGAUUAAGUGUGUAAUUGGUGGAUUUUGGGCUCUAGAUGGCUAUUGUUAAACUCCAUGGAUAUGUUAGUGUACUGCUUUUAAAUUUUUCAUGAAUAAUUUCCAGCAAUUUAUAGAUUUGUUGUAUUGUAGCUAUUAAGUAAUUCGUUUCUUUGGUAAAAUAUGUAGUUUCAUCUCUAAGUUCUUUUGAUUCCUAUUCAAUUAGGUAUAAUUGUAUCUUUGUGGAAUUUGACAACUUUUUUGUGUGUGUCCGAAAUCAAGUUUCAUUGUGAAUAUCCAAUUAAUGAUGAGUGAACAGCGUGCAUAUGUUAGCUGUUAAUUUGUUUUUUCUUUUGUGGCAUUACCUGUUCAACCAAUAUUAUAUGUGGAGUAAUCGAUUCGGGUAACUUAUUAUGUGUUAGAAAGUGGACUUACCCAUCACAGCACAUGGAGUACACAUCCUCACAGCAAUUGUUUAAUCAACGAUUGUCCCAACCAUGGUCAUGCGUAGCAUAGAUUUCUAAUUAUUAAUUGAUAAUGUCUCCCUCUCUCUAGGGCCGAGAACUCGGGGAUUUUUGCCAUCCCUAGGUAAUUCCUUUUAGAACUUUUUUUUUUUUUUUGAUGAUGUAAUUCCUUUGAGAACUUGUGAUCGACAAAAUGAUGAAAAGAGAUGGAAUCUACUUUUUCAGAGCAAUAAUAGAACCAUAGCAAGAUUUCUAAGCAAUAAUUGAUCAUCUCUCUCUUCUAGUACAUCUGAGCUGAGCUCCAACCACCACCACCACAAUCGAAUCUUAUCUUCUCACAUGUAUUUUUGAUUUUUUAAUUUUGUGUUUCAUCUGGUUGAUUGCUCCCCAGAAUUAAUUCUAGAUGUGUUGUUUUGAUUAAGCUAGCAUAUACCAAAAUAAGGCCAUUAUGGCGUCAGUUUCAGCAGACCUCUUCAUUGGCAAAUUUGUAGCAAUUCUCGAGAGUGAAGCAGCCUCCAUAGCGUGUGUUCGUGAUCAAGUUGAUGAGAUUAAGCAGGAGCUGGUAUUCAUGAAAUCCUUCUUAGAGGAUGCUGACGGCGGAGAGCAGGCACAUACACAAGUAGAGAAAGCGUGGGUCGCAAGCGUUCGAGACUUGGCCAAUGAUGUUGAAAACACCAUUGAUGAGUUCAUGUAUCACGUGUACGAGCAGCGAAAUGGCGGUCGAUUUGCCAGGUGGAUCCACAAAACCAUUCACUUUCCAAAGCACCUUUGGUAUAAGCGUCAAAUAGCCAACAAGUUACAGAAAUUCUUGGUGGCGAUUAGAGCUAUUCCAGAGAGAAAUCAGAGAUAUCGUGGUGCUGCAGCUGUAGAAGGAAAAAGCACUUCUGAGGAUAUUCGGAGAUGGGUGCAGAACCAAGCGGAGUCUUCUCUUUAUCAGAAGGAGGAUGAACUUGUCGGGAUUGAAGGCGAUAAGAACACGUUACUGGGAUGGCUGAUGGAUGAAGCGAAGCAGCAAACUGUUGUGUCCGUGGUCGGGAUGGGAGGAUCAGGGAAGACAACUCUAGUUGCAAGGACCUUCAAAGAUGACAUUGUAAAGAGACAUUUCGAAUGCUAUGCGUGGAUUACUGUUUCCCAGUCUUAUGUGAUUGAAGACUUACUUAGAAGAUUGAUCAAAGAAUUCCACAAAGCAAAGAAGGAAGAGGUCCCUGCAGACAUGAAUGCCAUGAGUUAUAACGAAUUGUUGGAGAUUUUGGUGAACUACUUGGAGACUAAAAGGUACCUAAUUGUAUUGGAUGACGUGUGGGAUGUCCACCUUUGGGACAAAAUAAGGUUUUCAUUUCCAGAUAAACAACUUGGAAGUCGAGUCAUGCUUACAACUCGAAGAGAAGACAUAGGAUCCUCUUCUUUUGGAGUUGAAAGCCAUGUUCACAAGAUUCGACCGCUGGAAAUGGGUGAUGCGUGGGAGCUCUUCAGCAUGAAAGCAUUCUCAAGUUAUCAGAACAAAUCUUGUUCACCUGAACUUCUGCCAUUAGCUCGGGAACUUGUGGAAAAGUGUGAAGGCCUACCACUCGCGAUCGUAGCCUUAAGUGGUCUCAUGUCUUCGAAGAAGUCACUUAAUGAUUGGAGCAAAGUCUACAAUAGCUUAAAUUGGCAUCUAACAAACAAUUCUUUGUUAGAACCUAUGAAGAGCAUCUUGUUGCUUAGUUUCAAUGAUUUGCCAUACAGAUUGAAGCAGUGCUUUCUAUAUUGUUCCCUUUUCCCAGAAGAUCAUGUGAUCAGGAAUAAUAGGCUCAUUAGAUUGUGGAUCGCUGAAGGAUUUGUUGAACAUGUCAAAGGGGUCACACCAGAAGAAGUUGCAAAGGGCUAUCUUAUGGAACUCAUUUUUCGUAACAUGCUACAGGAAAGGUUUGUAAUAGCCCACCCAGCAUGUAAGAUGCAUGAUCUUUUGCGAGAUAUUGCUCUGGCUAUAGCAAACAAAGAUAAGUUUUGCGCUGUACAUGAUGGAAGUGAAACAGUAGAAGAAACUGGGGCACUCCGUUUGUCAAUUCAAACAACUAAUGGAGAAAUUGGAUCAUGCACAGGUAUAUCACGGCUCCGUUCAUUUCUCGUCUUUACCACUGGCGUAUCCUCAUUCUCUUUCUCAAAUAAAUUACCUUUUGACCUUAAAUUGUUGAAGGUUCUAGAUUUGGAGGAUAUCCCAAUAGAUAAUCUGCCAGACGGAGUAACGAGCUUAUUCAAUUUAAAAUAUUUAAAUUUGAAUGGAACUCUAAUUAAGGAGCUUCCAGAAUCCAUUGGACAGCUCCGCAACCUUCAGACCUUGAACAUCACGGGGUCAAAAAUAGAGGCACUUCCAAGAGGGAUUUCCAAGUUGCUAAACUUACGCCAUUUACUUGUGGGUGGGUUCAUUUCCAGAAAGGUAAUUGGGGUAAGAAUACCAUCAAGUAUUAGUAAGAUGAAGAAAUUGCAAUCUUUGUUCUAUAUUGAAUCAGAAGGAAACAUUAUUAGACUUAUUGGAAGUAUGACCCAGCUUACUUUCCUUGGCAUUACAAAUGUGAAAGAAAGAGACGAGGAGGACCUAUGUGCCUCAAUUCAAGAGAUGGAGGUCCUUUCCUGCUUGUAUUUAUAUGUAGCUGAUGGAGAGGAAUUUCUUCGAGUUGACGCAUUGUCUUCACCGCCUCCCUACCUUGAUAGACUUAGAUUGGUCGGCAAACUGGAAAAGGUUCCACAUUGGUUUUGUUCGCUCCACUCUCUCACAUACAUGCAUCUGCAAGGGUCCAGACUUGAAGAAGAUAUACUACCUCAUAUUGAAGCAUUGCCCUCUCUACUUUAUCUUUCCCUUAUUAAUGCCUCUGUUAGGGAAGAGUUAUGUUUCAACAGAGGCUUUGCGAAGCUUCGGCAUUUGUGGUUUUAUGAUCUCGCAUUAUUAACUAAGAUAACUAUAGAAAAAGGGGCGAUGCCAAAUCUCGAGUUCUUAAAGAUUCAUAGUUGCUUGACAUUAGAAACAUUGCCACAGGGUAUUGAGCACCUUACUAAACUGCAACGAUACAGAUUUGAUAAUGUUUCAGAGAAGUUUAGAGAGUCCAUAAAAGAAGGAGGUGUGGAUCAUCCAAGGAUGCUACUCGUCGAUGAGAGAUGUAAGAAAUGUACGUAAGUAUCUUUUAUCCUUUCAUUGACUUUCCUAAACUUAAUGAUUUGGAAUAUUGCACUUGUGUUCAAGAAAUUGUUCUCGUUCACAUCUCUGUUAAUGGAUGUAAAGCCAUAUAAAUUGUUUGUUAAUUACAAUAUUGUUUUUGUCUUUUUAUAUAUUUUGCAGAAACAAGUCCUGGGAUUGAAGAUUUUACUCAUGAGUUUGGGGGUGGGAACUUGUUCGUCUUGUUUUGACCCCAAGAGUGAUCUAGAUUGGCUUCUUAUUUGCUCUUUUGAAAAUCAAACAAUACCCAAGUUGAUGUUCAUAAAAUUGCAGUUGAUGUUUUUGUGUGUGUUUUAAUUUGCAUGUAAUUAGCCCGUAUGUGGCGACUACAAUGUUGAUAUGAUUCAUUUUCUCUUUUUGCUUGAGAUUGUAAUACGUUGAUAGGCUGUCAUGUUAAUUGGUUUUUCCGUAAAUAAUGUGAUCUAGCUAGGUUCAGUCACUCAUGGGUUAGCAAAGUUAUAAAUAAAUAAAAAUUAAAAAAAACAAAAACAAAGCUCUAGGAAACCAUAUUUGGAGUAACAUACAAAAGCUCGUGUAAAAUAAACCAUUAAUAUUAUAUAGAUAUAAUUUAAAAAAUUCAAAAAUAAAUAUAACAUACAAAAUCCAAAAAAAUAAAAAUAAAAAGUAAAGGGAACACAUGCACUAGCACUACAAUUCAAACAUGCAUGAAUAUUGUCUGGCUUUCUUGUUUUACUUUCUUUCUUUUUUCCUUCUACAUAUUUCAGCCCCAAUGAGUUUUACUCCUUUUGUGUGUGGUUGAGGCAAUUAUAGACAAUAUGCUUUCUGUCUUUGGCUACCUAAAAAGUCAAGAAUGAGCCAUGCCUUUUGGUAUUACUUAAACUGAUACUGUGUCCAGGAUUUCAGAUUCUCCAUUCGAUUGGCUAUUCCUUACACAUGUAUGUUGUUAUUUAGAGAGAGAGGGAGGGAGAGAAAGGCAAAGUGUACAAACUAGAAUAAUUGAUAUCUCUCUAGCAAUCCAAGCAUUGAGUGUUGGUCAUUUGAGCUGGUUAUAUCUUGCUCUCUGGCUCUGGCCUUUUACUAAAUCAGGCUCUUUUCUUUUUGCGUAACUUCAGAAACAAUUCGUCGCGCAUUUUCCGUCGCGCGAAGAUCGUGAAGAAAGCCUUUGCGCGACGAGGUAUAACAAUUCGUCGCGCAAAACUGUGCGACGGGUAAACCAUCGUUGCACCAACGGUAUGGAGACGAAACAACUGUUCGUCGCAUAAAAUUUGCGCGACGAUCAAUUAUUCGUCGCACAUAUCUUUGCGCGACGACUGGAAUUGCGCGACGAAAACUAAUUCGUCGCGCAAAACGUGUUCAGGAGACGUAGAUGUUCGCCGCAGAACCAUUCGCGCGAUGAGAAAGCUUUCGUCGCUCAUAUAUUUGCGCAACGAAAAUCUCUGUUGUCGCGCCAGAUAAGAUGCGCGACGAAACAAUUCGUCGCGCAAAACGUGUUUGCGAGACGUAUGCAUUCGUCGCGCAAGAAUUAAAAGUAAUAAAAAAGUUGAUUUUUUUAAUUUUUUUUGUUACAUGCGGGUUUGCGCGACGAAAUAUUUGCCGUCGCGCAAACAUAAUAGUACAAUUUUUUUUAUUUUUUUAUAUUUUUUAUUUUUUAUUUUAAAUAAAAUUGGUUUUUUUAUUGAUUAAACAAUGAAAUUGCAAUAAAAAUAAAUUAGAAUAAAAUUUUGUUAUAAAAUAAAAUAAAUGUAUUACAAAUAAAAUAAAUACACUAAUCAAAUAAUGAAUCAAAAUCAACCGAGUCGUCGCCAGUAUGCGGCUCGGAGGUCGGGGCGUUCACCAGGGCAGUGGUCUGGUGGGGAUGCCCGGGAUGGACGGGCUCGGAGGUCGGCGCAUCAAAAUGCAGGACUGGAAUGCCGGACUGUGCGAGGGACUGCAGAAUGACCGACAUCUGGCUCUGAAGAGUUGCCACCUGUGCUGUCAAAGCAGUGACCUGACUGUUUGAUUGCGCCGAUGAACGAGGUCGAGGUUCCCUCCGCCGGGCAUUCCCCAUCCCUCGACAAUAUGUCCCCGGCCUCCUCCCGAGAGUCUGAUCCAACGUCUCUGUCAAGAUCUGAAAUCCAGCAUCCUGUGGAGGAGCCACAGACUCGAUCGGAGUCUCGGGAGGAAGCUGGGAGGCGGACUCCUGAAGAACCAACUGGCUCCUCUCCACCAUUAUCGUCUGUUGAACAUAACAUAAAAUAUAAAUUAAAACAUGCAUAUAAAUUGAAUGCGUAACAUAAGAAUUAAAAUUAAAUAAUACUUACAUGAAGGGACUCGGCCAACUCAUUCCCGGGUCGAACAUAAACGUCACCAAAGACGUCGAUCUCUGGGAACUUGGACCCCUCCUAAAUUGAACAAGAGAAGAAAAAUAUUAGUAUGAAAAAAAUAAAUUAAUAAAAAUGACAUUAAAAAUGAAAUAAAAAUUUUGUGAUUAUUACCCGACGCCGUGCAUCCAUCCUAUACGAAAAGGGUCUGGAGCCGGAAUGGUGGAGAAGGGUCUUCUUCUUCCUAUUACCCUUAUUCACAUGGGCUUUAUUCUGUUAUACAAAAAAUGAAACGUAUUAGUUCAAAUAUAAAAAAUUAAAUAAUAAUGAAAUAAAAAAAUAAAAUAAACAUUAAUAAGUAAUAAGUAAUAAUUAAAAAAAUACCGCAAAUUCGGGCACUUGAAAAUGAGCGCAGAGCCACUCCCAACUAUCCUCCCGCCCCUCAAGCUCCUUCGGGCAACCCUCCUGAAGAGCGACUUGCGGAUCAUCAUAGGCCUGAAAAUGGUGGUGCAAGUCGCUCUUCCACUGCUUGUACCUCUCAGUGAAGAGUCUGUUGACGUACGUCAACGACUCUUCGUCGAGAUCCUCCAAGUUAUAGUUCGUCUGCAAUCAAUUAAUUAGAUACGUUAAGUAAUAGAAAUAUACACAAUUUUAAAGAAAAAUAAUGAAAAUGUAAGGUACAUACCGACAACUGGCCGCGAACCUCCGCCUUGAUCUCGUCAGGCAUGACCCUCCAAGACUUCCAUUGCAUCGGGCAAUGGGUCCGCACGACGUGGCCAAUGUCGUGGGCCAAGGAGCUAUGCAACUCUGCCGUCGGUGUAGCCCGAUGGCGCUCGUCGUAUCCGAUGCUGAUACGACUGUUGGUCACCCGGGUGACCUUCGCCGUCUUCAGCUGACGACACGGUCCUCGGGUGUUCUUCUUCGCUGCAAAGAAAUAAGGUAUUAAUGUUAAAUAAAAAAACAUUGUCAAAUUUCAAUAUAAAAUUAACAAUACAAAAGUGUAGUUAUACCUGGCUGUGAUCCCGAGGCACCAGUACCGUCGGUCGAUGUCGUGUCGAUGGUGUCGGUGGGCCGGUGCCGCCGCCUAGCACUAGCUGGCUGCGCCACGGAUGACGCAGAUGACACAGGCGCCUGGGACGCCCCGGGACCAACCACCACGUGGUCCAGCAAAGCAGGAGCAGUGGCAGCAGAUGCCGACUGAGCCGGGGGAUCUGAACUCGAUGCAGUCGUCAUCGACCUACCACGUCUAAUCAAGUCUGACAUCUGCACAUAUAAUUUCAUUCAGAAUUUAAACUAAUUAAUUAAAAGCAUAGCCUGACCUAGGGUUUGGAAUUUCGGAGUAUCCGGGACUCCGAUCAACGAUCGGUCGAAUCCUAAACGAUCCUAGAAACACAAAGGUACAACUACGUGAGUUUCAGUUCGAUCCAACGGUCCGAACAUAUCAAACUUGGAAAUCGCACAAUAGGCGAAAUCCGAUCAAGACUCAAACGGCAACAAAAUUCAAAUCUGGGCAAACCUACGCGCUCGUGACAAACAGGGGAUUGCUCUGGGACCCAAUGCCCCACUGCCACAGUAUCCCACCCGCCACCACAUGCGCCGGCAGUGCGUGGGUGUCCAAAGCGAUAAAAUUUGCCGGAAAAUUCUAAAAACUAAGGGCCAAGGUUCCUACCCUAGGUUGAAAACAUUAAUUGGAGCCACUUUUGUUCUGGGACCGACCCCGAAAAAUGGCCGAAAGUGGCCGGAUUUGAUAGAGGCUUACAGUNNNNNNNNNNNNNNNNNNNNNNNNNNNNNNNNNNNNNNNNNNNNNNNNNNNNNNNNNNNNNNNNNNNNNNNNNNNNNNNNNNNNNNNNNNNNNNNNNNNNNNNNNNNNNNNNNNNNNNNNNNNNNNNNNNNNNNNNNNNNNNNNNNNNNNNNNNNNNNNNNNNNNNNNNNNNNNNNNNNNNNNNNNNNNNNNNNNNNNNNNNNNNNNNNNNNNNNNNNNNNNNNNNNNNNNNNNNNNNNNNNNNNNNNNNNNNNNNNNNNNNNNNNNNNNNNNNNNNNNNNNNNNNNNNNNNNNNNNNNNNNNNNNNNNNNNNNNNNNNNNNNNNNNNNNNNNNNNNNNNNNNNNNNNNNNNNNNNNNNNNNNNUGAAUGGCAUUAAUGAACCUGCGCGACGGAAACACUGAGUCGUCGCUCAAAACACUUCUGGCCGCCAAAAUUUGGGGUUAGGGUUUGGCUGAAACUGAAGGGUCUUUGCCUUUGCGCGACGAAGUAAGUACGCGUCGCGCAUAUCUGUCGCGCAAAAUGGCAUUAAUGAACCUUGCGCGAUGGAAACACCUGAGUUCGUCGCGCAAAACACUUCUGGCCGCCAAAAUUUUGGGGUUUAGGGUUUGGCUGAAACUGAAGGGUCUUUGCCUUUUGCGCGACGAAGUCAUGUAAUUCGUCGCGCGAGUUCGAGAUUGUGAUUCGGUUGAAGUUUUCGCUAAGUGUUCAGAGGGUCGAGGGAUUGCGAGACGAAUAGACUUGUAUUGCGCGACGUUUUUAUUCUGUUCGUCGCGCUAGUUCAGAAUUUCAUUCGGUUGAAAUUUUCACUAAGUGUUAAAAGGGGAUGGAGGGGUGAACUGUGUGUCCCAGAUUGCGCGACGAAUGAAAACAUAUCCGUCGCGCAAUCUUUAUGACUUUCACUUUGCGCGACGAAAGGAAUGUUAUUCGUCGCGCAAAACCUAAACCCUAAAAUGUAAACCCUAAGCCGUAAGCCCUAAGCCCUAAACCCUAAACCCUAAAAUAGUUUCAAUGAUCCAACCGGCAAACUUAUUUUUUUUAUACUUGGAGAUCAUAUACGCCAAAAAUCAAAACGACCAAACAUUCAGAUAUCAGAAAACGGGACAAAAUAUUUUGACGGUUAUAAAUGAAAAGUCAUGAUUUAACGGUUAUUUUAAUUCCGAUUUUGAUCAUUUUUUGCAGCAACAUUUGUUGACCCUAUAUGAAUACAAUGACUGAAUUUGAUCUUCAAUUUCAGAUUUUUACACUAGGGGAUACCACAUAAACGUUAAGUUACAUUUUGACAAAUGUAUGAACAAAUUUUUGAGUUUUUGGUGAAUAUACGAUUUUGAUAGCACAUGCAGUCUACGAAACUAGUUUCAGCCAUCCAGCCGUCAAACUUGUUUUUUUAUAAUUCGAGAUCAUAGACAGCAAAAUUCGGCCCAAAAAAACAUUCAGAGAUUAAGUAACGGGGUAAAACUUUUCGACGGUUCUAAAUAAAAAGUGAUGAUUGAACGGUUAUUUGAACUCCGAUGUUGAUGAUUUUUUGCACCAAUAGUCCUACACUCCAUAUGAAUACAAUGAACUACUUCGAUCGCCAAUUUGAAAUAUAUAUGUGUGUAUAUAUUAUACUAUAACGUAACCUAAUAUAUAUUUGCGCGACGAAGUUCUUCUUAUCGUCGCGCAAAAAACCCCAUACGCGACGCAUUCAUGUUCGUCGCGAAAACUAUUGCGACGAGGUUUGUUCGUCUCGCAAAAUUUACGCGACGCAUUUUUUUGCGUCGCGUAUGGUAUUUUUGCGCGACGAUAAUGUGUCUUCGUCGCGCAAGGAUUUGGCGCCAUAACUCCUCCUUUAAUUCAAAUUGUGUAUGCUUUGUAUUUUUGGGAAAGGUUUUGUAUUCAUCAUUUUUUAUGCUUUGUAUUUUUUGGAAAGGCUUUGUAUUUCUUCAUCAAAACCAAACUAAAUUGAUAAUUAAGAUUUGAAUCGACCGAAUUUAUCGGUUUGACUAGAUUGAUGCCACUAAUCAUGAACCAAAGUGAAGAAAAAUAAGUGGCACACAGCUAAUAUUGGAGAAAUAACUUAAAUUUUCUGUUUAAACAUGAAGAAAUAACUAUAUCUCAAAAGAAAAAAAUAAUAAUUGAAGAGGCCUUAAGGCAUGAAUAAAUAAAUAAAUAAAUAAAAACCAAUCAACAAGCAUGGGGUCGUAAUAAGUACUGACUAAAGUAUUGACAUUCCAAUGAAGUUUGUGAUGAAAUAUGGAGAAUGAAUACACAACUACAUAUGGACAACUACAUAUAUUCAAAGAUUUGUAUUACAAAAAAUGAAUACACUAACAUAAUAAAUUUACAAAUAAAUUCAUUAUUCAUCAUCUGAACUAUAAUAACUUUCGUUAUCGUCGCUAUCAUCACUCUCGGUCUCCCAAUCUUCUUCCUCCUCCUCCUCUAUAACCGCAUCAUCGGCGUUGCUAGGGCCCACUGCAACAUCGUAUCGAGGAAGAUCACCGAGGUCAAUUGUAAUUGACUGAAUCGGUAUUUCGACUGAAGACACUCCUUCUAUUUGAAACGGUUCUUGUAUAACAUUUGUAUCUCGAAGUGUUUCCGCAUCAUUUUCCAUUGAAGAUUCUAAACGUUGGUCAGCCACAUUGUCGACGUCGUUGUCACUUGGGUCUAGUUCUGGUAUAUCAUACACGUUCCUAUGAUCCAUCUUCUGCACAACUUUCCACCCGUUCCCGGCUUUAGGGUCAUCUAGAUAUACAAUUUGGGACGCCAUGUUUGCCAAAAUGUACGGGUCGUCAUCAUACCAAGUUCUGUUAAUGUUCACAGACAGUACUCCAUGGUCGAUUUUAACACUUGCCGCCCUAUUUGGGUUGGUAUCGAACCAUCGACACUUAAACAUGAUGACUUGGUAUCGAUCUUUGUAAAGCAAUUGCACGACAGUUGUCAGUUUGCCAUAGAAAUCAAUGUCCGUACUUUCGCCUCCACCUGGGACAUGGACACCGCUGUUUUGCGUACACAACUUGUCAUCUCGUGCGGCCCCCAAAAAUUUGACGCCGUUAACAUUACAACCCGAGAACAAUUCAGCGCGAAUUGGGCCGAACGCCAAGUUAUAUAACUCAUCACUGUAAGUGGGGGAAUUCGAUGAUUUCAAUUUAUUCACCUAAUAGUAUACAAAACCAUUUACAUGUUAGUCUGACAAAAUUAAAUACUACAAUUUAUAUUUGUCAAUUACAAAACACUUAUAACUUACAGAAUCCAAAAACCAUUGUGGAAAUAAUUCACGGUGUUUCCGGGCAGCCAAAUGUGAUGGAUGUUCUCGCUUCAUCAUCUGUUCAUGCUCAUCUAAGUAGGCCAUUAUCUCAUCACAAUUGUUCAGUACGAACCAAUGCGCUACCUCCAUGUCAUUUCUAGAAAACGACUCUCCUCGUCCAGGAUCUCCAAAUGGUCGUGCGCUUUGGGAAAAAACAGAAAGUUUUUCAUCUCUCAUACCUCCGUCAUUAUUGCGUUGAGGACGAUUGAAAACCGUCUCCACAUCUUUUAAAUACAUUCCACAGAAAGUAAGCGACUCAUAUUGAACCCAAGCCUCUAUAAUUGAUCCUUCGGGCUUUGCCCUGUUGCGUACACUUUUUUUCAGCUCUCCGAGAAGCCUGCCAAAAUAAAACGAUAUGAUACAAAUUAGCAAACUGUCGAUAAUGAUGCAUACACAAAUGAUAAAGAUUAUAUACCUUUCUAUUGGAUACAUCCAGCGAUAGUUGACAGGAUCAGCAAGCAAUGCCUCUUCUGGCAAGUGAACCAUCACGUGCUUCAUACUUGUAAAGAAAGCGGGCGGAAAUAUCAUCUCAAACUUGCAUAGGACUUGGACAAUGUCAUGGCGCAACUGAAACAUGUCUGUCCUUCGCAAUGUUUUUGCCGUCAGUUGGGAAAAAAAUCUGGAUAACAACAUGAUUGGCUUCACCACAUCUUCCGGCAGUAGGUGUCGAAUACCCACAGGAAGUAGACGUUGCAUAAACACAUGGCAGUCAUGGCUCUUAAGUCCAGUAAAUUUACCCCCAUCGACAUUCACGCAACGUGCGAUAUUAGAAGCAUACCCAUCGGGAAAUUUGACAGACGAUACAAACUUUAGAAACUCUUUUUUGUCAUUCGGUUUCAUAGAAAAGAAUGCAAGAUCCCUUCUAGCUUUAUCACUGUCCCUAUUCAUCCAUAAACCCCUUCGUAUGCCCAUUCUUUCCAAAUCAAGACGAGCUUUGAUCGUGUCCUUCGUCUUCCCCUCGUUAUCUAGAAUCGUGCCCACCAAUGUGUCGAAUACAUUUUUCUCAACACGCAUCACAUCUAGAUUGUGUCUCAAUUUCAGUUUCGACCAAUAUGGGAGCUCAAAAAACAUAGGCUUGUGCGUCCAGUUCAAAUGUGUAGAAGGUCUGGUCCGACUAACUGUUUUCCCGAACGGAGCAAAAUCCAAACGGUUCAGCUGUUCCAAGAUCUCAUCACCGGACCAUUCUCUAGGUCUGAGGCGACGCUCUGUGUUCCCGUCGAACUCUUUAUCUUUUUCCCGCCAUUCGUGGUCCCAUGGCAACCAUCUCCGAUGACCAAGGUAACAAACUUUUCCUGCGUGCCAACCAGAAGUUACAUCUUCCUUGCAUACAGGACAUGCCAUAUAACCCUUUGUGCUCCACCCAGAAAUCAUUGCAUAUGCUGGGAAAUCAUUCACAGUCCACAUAACUGCUGCCCGCAAAGUGAACAUCCUCCCAGUUGAUUUAUCGUACGUGCGAACACCGUUUGUCCAUAAAUCCUUCAGCUCAUCAACCAGAGGCCUUAAGUACACAUCAAUUGACCUGCCAGGAUCCUCAGUUAUCAAAACAGUCAUCAUCAUGUAUUCUUUUUUCAUGCAUUUCCAAGGCGGCAAAUUAUAUGGGAAUGCGAAAAUCGGCCAAGUGCUGUGGUGUUGGUUUAGAACCCCAUACGGAUUGAAUCCGUCAGUGGCAAGUCCCAAUCUAACAUUUCGGGGAUCAGCAGCAAACUCGGGGAACGUUCGAUCGAACUCUUUCCAUGCCUCCCCAUCUGCAGGAUGCCGCAUCACAUCAUCGUCUACCCGUUUUUCCUUAUGUCAUCUCAUGUCUGUGGCAGUAUGCGUCGACAUAUACAAUCUCUGCAACCUAGGUUUAAGGGGCAGAUAACGCAUCCUUUUUUGUGGUAUCUUAGUCGUUCUAUUCUGGGAUGUCAUUUUGAACCUCGACUCAUUGCAUAUAGGGCAUGUAUCCAACGUUUCAUGCUCUUUGUAGAAUAACAUGCAAUUGUUUUUGCAAGCGUGGAUUUUUUCAUAACCCAAUCCAAGACCAUGCAACACCUUCUGUGCAUGUUUAUGGUCUUUCGGCAAACAAUUGCCCGUCGGAAGCAUUCUCUUGAAAACCCCCAAAAAGUAAUCGAAAUACAAGUUCGACAUACGAUACUUUAUUUUUCUGUGCAUUAGCUCCACAAUGGCAGUGAGAACGGAAAAGCUCUCGCACCCCGGGUAUAACUCUUGGUUGGCAUUUUUUAACAGUUUUUCAUACUGUUCAAACUCCGCACUGUCUAUUGGUGUAGGCACGUCAUAUUCCCCUUCCUGAUUGAUGCUGGUCGAUGCGAAUGGAAAAGCAUCCUGUAUAAUACCCAUGACUUGAUCAUUAGGAUCCACAAUAGGUUCAACAUUGUCCACUCUUGGGGCAUUUGAAGACGAAGCAUGGUCUACUUGUUCGCCGUGAAGGUUCCAAAUGCUAUGUGUUUCAAUCAUUCCAUUCCUUACUAAAUGAAAUCCAACAUUUUCAAUUGUCUCAAACAACGUGUUGUUACACCUCCUACAAGGACAACGGAUUCUAGUUGCACCCGGGUUCUGUCUACGUGCAAACUCAAUAAAAUCCUCGAUUCCAUCCAAGUAUUCGUCUGCGCAUCUAUUCGGGUUAUGUAUCCACCUUCUGCUCAUAAUUCCUGAAACCACAAUCACGACACAACAAUCACAACAACUUCAUACGAAGUUAUAAUGUCACCUUAUGCCUCCGGUAAGGGCCCUAUCCCAUUCGGGAAUGCAUAGUCCUGUCACGUAACCUACGGCUACAUGAGAUUAGAUUUCGACGUGGAUUAAUUUCGGCAGCAUCUCGACACAGUUCUUAAAGUGGGCAUAGGUAUAAAUACCUACGUACCACCCGAAGAACGUACCGAGAUGACACCGAAAUCUCCACAAUCGAAACCUAAUCCUGUAGCCGAAGAUUAUGUGACAACACUAUGCAUUACCAAACUGUCCAAGUAAUGGGACAAUUCAAGAAUUAAUUGGACCGCAGUCAUGCCUUACGCAUCCAUGCACGAAAUCCAACUAAUCUCGAACGGGAAACUACGUGUUACUAAACAUAAAAAUAAAAGUACGAAGUUAAUUUCAAUUAACUUCGUACAUCACAACACAUUGUGCUACGUCACGCACAAUUUCACAACAUUAUACACAUAAAACUUGACAAAAAAAUUACAAACUUAACAAACAAACUUUUACAAUGACAUACCUUCUCAAUCGUUCUCCACCAAUCACUAAUCACAAAUAUCCCUAACGAGAACAAAAUUAAUAGCAUUAGUACGAAUUUACAUUAAUACAUUUAAACUAACGACAAAAAAUACAUACCUAAUAAACGUACAUAAUUCACAGCAGAGCAGCAGCAGGGAGGGAGAGUGAGAGAGAGGCAGAAUGCAAUUUUUGCAUUCUGCCUCUGCAAUGGCAGAUACAAAUAUGAAGAAGAAGGACUUUGCGCGACGAACAAGGCAAAUUCGUCGCGCGAAACGCCGUCGCGAAAACCCACUUUUCCGUCGCCCAAAACAACAUUUCCGUCGCGCAAUCACGUGUCGACAACUGAUUUUUUGCGCGACGAACAAAAUUAUUCGUUGCGCAAAAUUCCGUCGCGCGUUUACAAUCCGGCGUCGCGCAAAGUGCAACUUUCGUCGCGCAAAUAAAACUUUUUCGUCGCGCAAGAACGCACCGCGAUUAAACUUUACGCGACGACGGCACUUCCGUCGCGCAAAAACCCACCUGCAUAUUGGCGCCAAAAAUAAGUUUCCCUCGUUUUCUUACGCGACGGUUGAUUUUUUUCGUCGCGCUAAGUUGUCUUCUGAGACGAAAACUCUCGUCGCGCAAAAUUUUUUUACCGCCAUAAUCGGAGCCAAUAUUCUGUCCAUCUUUGCGCGACGAAUACCUGGAAUUAUCGCGCAAUAUAGUCAUGCGCGACGAUCUCUGUCGUCGCGCAAGAGUUUGGCGCAAUAACAUAGACUUUACAACCUUUGCGCGACGACAUUUAUUUACGUCGCGCAUAGACUCUUUCCGCGACGAAAUUAUUUGUCGCGCUAGUUGUCUGUUGUAUGCGCGACGGAAUCUUUUUUUCGACGCAAAAGUGCUCCUUGCGCGACGAAAUUGUCUUCGUCGCGCAAACUUCCAUCGCGCAAAUAGUAAAUCGUAGUAGUGAACAGCUUAAAGUGGCAUCUAACAAACAAUUCUUUGUUAGAACCUAUGAAGAUGCGCAUCUUGUUGUUUAGUUUUAAUGAUUUGCCAUACCGAUUGAAGCAAUGCUUUCUAUAUUGUUCCCUUUUCCCUGAAGAUCAUGUGAUCAUAAAUAUAAGGCUCAUUAGAUUGUGGAUCGCUGAAGGAUUUGUUGAACAUGUCGAAGGGCUCACGCCAGAAGAAGUUGCAAAUAGCUAUCUUACGGAACUCAUUUUUCGUAACAUGCUACAGGAAAGGUUUCUAGGAUCCAUCCCAGCAUGUAAGAUGCAUGAUCUUUUGAGGGAGUUUGCUCUGUCUAUAGCAAAAAAAGAAAAGUUUUGUGCUAUACAUGAUGGGAGUGAAACUGGGGCACUCUGUUUGUCAAUUCAAACAACUAAGGGGGAAAUUGGAUCAUGCACAGGUAUAUCACGGCUCCGUUCGUUUCUUGUCUUUGCCACUGGAGUAUCCUCAUUCUCUUUCUCAAAUAAAUUACCUUUUGACCUUAAAUUGUUGAAGGUUCUAGAUUUGGAGUAUGUCCCCACAACUACAAAAAAGCAAAAAGACGACGGUAAAUCACCGUCGUGUAUUGGGUUUUUCAAUGGUCGUGGAAUCCACCGUCAUCUUUUCCCUCAUAAACCACGACGCUAAAUAACCGUCGUUGUUAAAAUAUACAACGUCAUCAACAAAUACAAAACGACGUCUUUGUACUGCAAAAAGAUCUAAAAAAAGCAAUCGAGGAUGAUAAUAGACGACCAACUCUCUAAAAAAACCGUCGUUAAAAAGGAAAAAUAUGACACAUAUUAACAGAACAAGGCCGCAAGAUAGACAUACAACGACGAAAAUACAAAUACGACGACGUUAAAUAUAAUUUUCACGACAAUAAAAAAUAUGACGUCUUUAAAUACAUUAGAAGACGACGUUAUUGAUACCUACUACGUCGCAUAUAUAAAAACAACCGUCGUAAAAUUAAUUUUCCACUUCGAUUUUUCGAUAAAAGAUGACGUGGAAAUAGUUGUCAGUGUCAUUAUUUACGACGUAUAUGUUAAUAGAGUAGACGUUGAAAAACUAAACAACGUCGGUUACAAAUAUAUGAGAGUCGUAUUACAAAAUUUAUACGUCCUAUUUUCAGAAACAAACAACGACGAUAAAUAUUAGACGUUGUUAAAUAAAACAACGUCGGAAAAAAAUAAAAACAGACGUGUUUAGUCUGCUAAAGUUCUAGAAAAUAGUCGAGGAUGAGAAUAGACGACCAACUCAAAAAAAUCACCGUCGUUAAAAAGGAAAAAUAUGACACAUAUUAAAAGAACAAGGCCGCAAGAUAUACAUACAACGACGACAACUAAAAUACUACGCCGUUAAAUAUAAUUUACCCGACAAGAAAAAAUAUGACGUCUUUAAAUACAUGAGAAGACGACGUUAUUGAAAUCUACUACGUCUCUUAUUUAUAAAAAACCGUCGUGAAAUAAAUUUUCCACUUCGAUUUUUCUAAAAAAGAUGACGUGGAAAUAGUUGUCAGUGUCAUUAUUUACGACGUAUACAUUUAUAUAGUCGACGUUGUAUUUAUAUGUAUUCAUUACUCACGACGCACUUAAUAAUAUAGACGACGUUGAACUUCUAAACAACGUCGGUUCCAAAUAAAUGAGAGCCGUAUUACAGAACAUAUAGACGGCGUAGAUUAUGAUGAGAGCCGUAUUACAAAUAACGUCGUUUAAUUAUUAUUAGACGGCGGUUAUAAUGAAUUUCCGUCGGAAUUCAUUUCGUUCCUCUUCGUUUAUAAAAGAACUUGCGACGUGGAAAAUGUAUGAUGACGUCGUAUUUUUUAACGUUCAGAUUAUAUAUCUCGUUUUUUAGACGUCGUUAUUAUGGGAUUGGAGUCAUGUUAUUUUGAAUUACAUGGCGGUUCUUAAUCCUUCCCCGACGUGAUAUCCUGGAUAAUUGCUUCACAAUAGCGUCGUGGUUCUUCAUUGUUACGUUGCUUUAAGACGUCGGUAAAUAUGUUGAAUAAAUGGUUCACCAUAACGUCGUGUUUUAUUUGAACAGACGUUGUUUUUUAUGCAGAAUAUAAUGAUGUAAUCUGGAUCCAGUAUUUUUUGCACUGAUUGUUUUGUGGCCAAAACCUGUAUAAUGAAAGUGAAGAAAUCACAUUACAAUAUAUUAUAAAAUGAAUGUCAUACACUGCCAAUUACAUAAGCAUCAUUCAAUCCAUAUAUCUUCACACCCACCUCGAAUAUUUUGAGCACCUAACUCACCCACCAGUUCAUCAAAUGUGUCAACAUUUGGCAUCCCUCUAGUAAAUGGCUCACACUCAAUUAUCACAUCACCUAAGACUUCAUCACCAAUAACAUCAUUAUAUUCUCUAUUAGGCAUUGAUAACACUACCGACCAACCACGAUGCAUCGGGUCGUCAACAAAAAAUAUUUGUUUGACUUGAGAAGCCAAAACAAAUUGGUCAUUCCUAUGUCCAAUUUUACUCAAAUCUACAAGGGUAAAUCCAAGUUCGUCGACUACAAGACCAGAACUAUCUAUCCAAUCACACCUAAAGACUGGGAUUGUAAACUUUUGGUAGUCAAGGUCCCAAAUUUCUUGAAUGACACCAUAGAAACCCAUAUUUGAGAGAAUUGGAUUUUUAUCCUUGGCACUAGCAACUUGCAUGGUAUGUGCAAGUAAAUAAACUCCACUAUUUUGAGUUGUCCGCACAUCAUCUUGUGCCUUGAUAUUGAAUUUAAUACCUUUAAUAAGAUAGCUCCUAUAUAAUGGCACUGCCAUGUUUGGACCAGCUGCUAGCCAUCUUAAAUUUUCUGAUACGCCAUUAUUGUCUUCCUCAAGUUCACUUUGAACCUGCAAAUUAAUCAAAUCUUAAUUCAAUCUAACAUAGAAAUAAGAAGAAAAUUAAAAGAGAAAUAUGUUAUUCAACAACAUAUACCUUGAAGCGUAGCCAUUGAAUGAAAGUGCUAUUGUGCUUAUCCUGCAGCCACUUUGUUCUCUUUCUAAAUUUUGGAUAAGCAGUCUUGAUGACUUAUCCAUUCAUAUGCCUUCGAUCUUCUAUCCGAGUGCAUCCAUGACUUAUCCAUCUCCGACACUAUAACCUAUUAUCUAUAAUAAAGUGAAAAUACAGGCAAUGACCAUCACUAUAGCAGAUUAUACAAUGAUCUAAUCGCAAGUAAUACACAACAGAGACGACGGGUUUUAAACAAAAACAGACGUAUUUGGCAUAUAUAGACGACGGAUUUUCAACAGACGUCGUCUAUUAUAAGUAAUACAAACGACGGUUUAUGAAAAAACCGUCGUGUACAAGUAAUACAACGACGGUAGUGUAAAAAAACCGUCGUGUAAUCGUCGUCGUAUGCCUUAAAAUUCGUCGUGUCUCAGUUUAUUUUCAAGAACACAAAACCCAUUAAGAACACAAUAUAUAUAUGAAACCAAGCAAGAAACCAACAUAUACAUGAAACCAAGCAUGAAAACAAUAAAUCCAUUCCCAAUUCAACAUAACAUAGGGUGAUUAAAAGAUACGACAAAAUUAAAUCCAUUCCCAAUUCAACAUAACAGAUAAUGUAAUCCAUGAACCCAUUAAACAGAAAAUCCAUGAACCCAUACCUAUAAGCACAUUAUUAACAGAUCGCAAAGCAUACACAUAAAACCCUUUAACAAAACAACCUAAUAUCAUUCAAUGAAUUUACAAGGGGAAGAUAGGGUUUGUACUUAUAGGUUGGACGAGCUCACAGAUUCGACGGAGCCUGGAGAGUGCAACUUUUAAUUAGAGCAGAAGUGAGAGCGAAAUGUUAUGUCGCGCGAAAUCUGAAAAUUUUAGGUUUCAGGGUUCGAAGUAUAAGAAUAAGAGCCAAAUCUAAAAAAAUUUAGGUCGCGCGAAAAUUUUUAGAGCUCGCGCGUUUUAAAACGUCGAAAGAAAAACCAAGGCGAAAGUUCUACAAGUACCGACGUAAAUUUAAUAUUCCACGACGGAAACUUCAUUUUUCGGAUUAAGAACGUAAGGCCGUUCAUUUUGAAGCUUCAUUUUUCGGAUUAAUUUUAAAUUUAUUUUGAAUUUUUUAUAUAACGACGACUGAAAAACCACGUCGGUGUUAAGAAAUUAAAGACGUUGUAAAUUAUAUAAACUGACUUACAUAUUAAAAUGACGUCGUUUAAAGCGUAAACCAUGUCGUAUGUUUUACUGUACGACGUAAAAUAUGUAUUCCACGACGCAACCACCGUCGUUAAAAAUUAAUACCCUAAACCCAUAAAACUAAAUUAUACAAUUUAAAAAAUUAAGUUUAUAAAAGGUUUAUGGUUUUAAAGCCUAACAUAUACCCUAGACUACCCAAAAAUUAUACUUUAAAAAUAAACCCCAAUAAAUAACAACCCUAAUCUCUAAACCCUAGACUCUAAACCCUAAACCAUAAAACUAGAAGUGAUUUUAUGACUCAUCAAAACAAUUUUGUUUUGGAUGGUCAUUUUAAAUUUUUGUUAUUCAAAAUGAAUUUUUUCAAGGUUUAUGUGGAAGAAAAUAUAUCAAUGACUUCAUAGGAGUUGACUUUUCAAUUUUCUGAUUUAUUUUAAAUUUAUUUUGAAUAUUUUGAUAUAAAAAUAAUAAAAUAUUCUUACCACAACAACAAACCACGUCGGUGUUAAUAAAUUGUAGACGUUGUAAAUUGUAAUAAACUACUAAGUCGUUAAAAUGACGUCGUUAAAAUGAGAAACCAUGGCGGCUAUUUAACUAUACGACGUAAAAUAUAUAUUCCACGACUUAACCGCUGUCGUUACAUAAACGUCGUCGAUGAUACCCUGAACCCUUAAGAAAUUGAAGAUGUUGUAAACCAUAAACGACUCAAUUGUUCAAAGAACGUCGUCUAACUAUAUUUUUACGUCGUAUUUGUUUAAAACACGAAACAACAAAAUACGACGGUUUUUGACUUUAUUAGGUCGUUGGAAAAGUAUUACACGUCGGUUAAGCAAUUUGUAUGUUUGUUUUUUUUUUAAUUUAAGAAAACCUCAACAAAUUUUUACAUUACAUAUUAUAGAGAAAAUUUGUACAUUAUACAUAAAUAUCAAGUGUUCAAUAAUUGCCCUGUUUAAUAAUUUGGAAAACAAACUCUGCCCAUUCAUUCCGGACUUCAUCAAUGGCUUCUUGGGGGUAUGAAGCUUCCUGGUUUCCCUUGGCAUACUGCAUAAACAAUGACUAUUAGGGUUUAUAAAUAAAAAGAAAUUCAAUCACAAACGACGAUAUUUUUCAUAACCGACGUAGUAUAUCCAUUCAACGACGUUAAUUUUACAUGACCGUCGUUGAUAAUACAAAAAACGACGUGAAAUGUAUGAAGGUAAUUUCUUCUUACCUUAUACUCAAACCCCAAGGAAGGAUCCAUGAUGAUGUCCCUCAUGAAGCGCAUCACAUAAUACCCGCAUUCGACAUUGCUGGGUUGCUUUGGUGUGCCUGAGAGAGUUUUCCAAAUUACAUUUUUACGUCCUGCUCGGGCUAUGUGGGUAUUAUAUAUUUUUAAAGCAUUGUUCACGAUGUUUUUCGCCUCUUCGUCGACCACACAAUGACCUGGCAGAGGAUCCAGAAAAUAGACGGUCUCCUUCUUUGCUCUUACAAUCAGCAAGAUCCAAUGACGGCUGCACAAAAUUAAUAUAAAAACGACGGUUAUUUACAAAAACGACGUAUUAUAGUAUUUCACACGACGAAAUAAAGUAGAUAACGACGACAUUAUAUAUUUAUCACGACGAUAAAUAAAUACCGACGUGGUUAGUAGUUUCAAACGACUAAAUAAAAUAAAACACCGACGUGGUUAGUUUAUAAGCUGUCAUUUAUUGAAAAUCAUAAAAACAAAAUCCUAAGGAGACUAACCCUGGAUUGUAAGGCAUCAUGAAAAUCUGUUCACCGUCUGUCUUCUGAAGUCGAGCUGCUACCAGUCGUGAUCUUUCAGUUAUUGUGCCAGAGUUGGCACUAACUGUAGCAGGGUCGAUAAAGCCAACCAUGCUGCACAUAUUGGCUUGUUUCAAAACAUCGUGUAAGUACCUAAAUACAUAAAAUAAUAUAAACAAGUCAGCACAAAAAAACACGACGGUUAUGUAUAAAAAAACGACGUAUUAUAAUAUUUCACACGACGUACUGAAAUAGAUGAGGACGUUAUAAUAUAUUUAUCACGACGGUAGUUAGUUAAGACGACGUGGUUAGUUAGUUAAGACGACUCAAUAUAUAAACCAACGAGGUAUUAUUUUAGAAGUACAAACCUCAUAUAUACAGCCAAUACAGUAGCUCCAAUUUCUUCCGUGCCUGCAAAUUGUGUAAUAUCUUCAGGCAGGAGGAAGGUAUCGCGCUCACCACCAAACACCUCCUUAUCAAUUGUAAAUUGGAGUGUCUUAUCCUCAGGAAGGAGUGUCGUUUCCAAAAAACGACAAAGGGUUUUUAAAGAAGAUGGCGCCUCCAUAGUUGAAUAAUCACCAACUUCAAUAACCUGUUUAAAGAAAUAAAAAAAAUGACGUGGUAAUUCAAUAAAGACGACGGUUUAAGGAAUAAAACGUCGUCUUAAAAGUAUUUAAACGACGGUGAAAAAACUGUCGUGGUAAUUCAAUAAAGACGACGGUUUUAUGAAUAAAGCGUCGUCUGAAACCAUUUAAACGACGGUGCAAAAACCGUCGUUUAAAUAUUUUAUUACGUCUUAAAAAAAUUCCGCCGUCUAAGUUGUAAACAAACGACGGAUUAAAUAAAAAUAUCGACGUCUGAAAUUUUGAAAAACAAAUAAAAAAGGCAAAGUUAUGUGAACAUACCUUGUCGUCAUGCUUUUCUUCAUCUUCUUUCUCCUUUUCUUCUUCCUUCUCUUCAUCUUUUUUUUCUUCUUCCUUCUCUUCAUCUGGCUGAUGUUUCCCCAUUUUGGCAGUAUCAUCCUCCAAAUGUAGGGAUCUCACAUCACCUCCAGAGCAGCUAGCUUUGUCAGACAUUGGAUUUUUGGGGCUUUGGCUAAUUCUUGGUUUAAGCAUGCUUGGAUCAAAAUUGGGAAUUAAUUGGGAAAGCUGACUCAGGAAAUGCUCCCUCUCAGCCUCUACCAAUUGUUUUGUCCUAGCCUCCAUCCUUAAGGCCUCUUCCCUUGCCUUAGCCUCCAUCUUUUUAGUCUCUUCUUGAAGGAGAACUCUUAAACUGUCCUUCAAACGGUCGUCAAAGCUCACCCUCUGUGGUUUGGGCAAAUUGAAAUAUUGCCUUGGGGAAACACCAGCACCAACUCCCCUCACUCUGCCUGGAUGCUCGGGGCCCAAAGCCAUGGUCAGCACAUCAUUGCUGCCAUCUACUCUGACUUUGCCUUCCGAGACUUGUUUCUGCAAUUCAUCCUAAAACAAAGAUAAACAAAAAAAUACACGACGGUUAUUUAUGUACAAACGACGUAUUAUAUAAUUUCACACGACGCAAUAACGUAUAAACCGACGUUAUUAUAACUUAUCACGACGGUAGUUAUACCGACGUGGUUAUUUAUUUAAAACGACGAAAUGAAUAAACAACCGACGUCUUAUGCUAUAAUUAAAGAAAACAGAGUAGUGAUUCCUAUUUAGACCGUUAACGACGUUUUUAAAAAAGUUUCGACGUGGUAAUAUCAUUCACACGACGCGAAAAUGAACCACCGACGUCUUAUGCUAUAAUUACAGAAAACAUAGUAGUGAUUCCUAUUUAGACCUUUAACGACGUUUUUAAAAACUUGUCGACGUGGUAAUAUCAUUCACACGACGAAAAAUAUAACAUACGACGUAAUAAGAAUAUUUCACAGUUUAAUAAAAAUUUAAAACAGAGUGAUAGUAGGCUUACAAUUAAUUUUGCUUUCUCUGCCACCUUUGGAUCAGGGAUGUUACCAUGUUUGUCCUGUCUAGCUCUCUUCCAUAAGGUAGAUCGAUCAAUUUCUACCCCAGGCAUGGUUUCCUCCAAUUGAUCCUCCAAUCCAGCAUAUCCUUUUCGAGACAAUCGAUGAUUGUACUCGAGUUUCUCCCUAAUCUGUGCAUGUUGAGAAUGCACAGACUCAAAAUCUUUGGAUAGCCUCGAAGCUACAAAGGCAUCCCAUUGUGCUUUCUCUAUGAAUUUAUAUGUUUCAGGGGGUUGGCUUAAUUUCUCCCUGUCAUUGGUGUAUGGAAGGAUAUAAUGCCUCGUUAGUGUAGACUUGAAAUCCUUCCCUUUCUUGGCAGCAGAAGCUAAAACAGAGGUCUUACCCCCUUGGCCUACGACAAAAGCCAUGUCAACUGCUUCCCAAAUCUGCUCCUUUAUAUCCUUGGGGAUUUGGGACCAUUUCUUGUCCACAAGUGGGAUCCUGGAGCGUGCCAACACACCAAUAUACGACUGCAUCUCAAUAUGUGCUUGGCCAACACCUUUCCCCCUUUUAUUGUACUCAACAAUUGGCCUCAGUUUCUGAAGCUUUCUCUUCACAACACGAGGCAUUGUGCUCAUACCUCGACCAGUCUUUGAAUCAUCAGAGAUUGUUGUCUGGCUGGUUGGUUCUGUCUCAGCAGAUGAUGAAGCAAACUUCAUCUUCUUCGAAGACUUCAUCUCCUUCGAAGACUUGUCUUGAGGAGCUACCAUUCCAAGCUUCUUGGAGCCAGAAUCCUUAGUUUGUUGUUGAGAAACCAUUUUAACAGACAAAACUGCAAGUGAAAAUAUUUCAGGAAAACAUUAAGAACACAAACGACGGUAUUAAAAAAAUACGACGUAUGAUAUGAUUUUAGACGACGCAAUGAAAUAAUCUCAGACGUAAUAAAUGUUUAAAACCAUUAUUUAUAUAACGUCGUGGUAUAUAUGUUCACACGACGUCAAUAGUAAUACACCGUCGUGGUAAAACUAUUAUUUAUAUAACGUCGUGGUAUUUAUGUUCAUACGACGUCAAUAGUAAUACACCGUCGUGGUAUUAACAUUCACACGACGUAAAACAAUAAGAUAUUUUGUCGUCUACAUUAGAUACCAACCCUAGUUUCUUUUUCUUUAUAUUUUAUCAAAUAAGGGAAAAACAAAAACCAUUGUUCAGAGAAAUCAAACCUGCAAUUAAACAAGCAUAUAAAAAAAGACUAUUAUUUUAAAAACAACUUUGUCAAUUUUCAGACGACGCUAGAACAACUGACGAACCGUCGUGGUCUACCGUCGUCUUAUUUAGUUGAGGUAGUUGUCUUCAAAGUUGGAAACUUUCCCUCUUUGUCUGUAUAUUUUAUCAAACUUGGAAAGAAGUAAAAUGAUUUUGGCCAGAAAAAAGGUAAAAAGAUUUUUCAAACAAAAAACGUAUGAGCAUGCAAAACAGUAACCAAAAUAGUGAAAAUGAAAGCUUACCUUUUGCGUGCAAUGAAAGCAAGAGGAAGAUGAUCGAUGUUUAAGUUCAGAGACGACGAAGAAGACGAGAGGAAGACGAUGAGAAACUCUGACAAUGCUCUGACAAGGAAAAAAGACGAAAAGGUUUCUCUGGGAGAUUGAAAUUUUUAAUCGGGUUUGGAAACAGUGCAUGUGUAAGUCGAAAAGUUGCUUACAUAUAAAACCAUUUCAAAAAAAUAAUACGGCGGUUACAUUUAACUACGUCGUUUUUAACUAACACGACGCAAUAUUUUUCGUUCGACGUGGAAUCAUUUCAUUUAACGUCGUUAGGUUUAAUAUAACCGACGUGGAUUUUAAUUUUUAAAUUAUGAAUAGAAUUUUUUUUCCCGUGACCUUUCAGUUUAUUUUUCAAUUACAGUGCGUUAUAAAUAGAGUUUUUUUUCCUGAGGAAAUUUAAAACGAAGGAAAUUAAUAUUCUGCAAUAUGUAAAGUUUCUUUUUUGGAUGACAGAUUUAAAUAAAAUAAGAAUAUAAAAACAACGAAUGUGUAAGUCAAGUAGACGAAAAGUUGCUUACAUAUAAAACCAUUUCAAAAAAAAUAAUACGGCGGUUACAUAUAACUACGACGUAUAAAGUACAAAAUACGACGGUAAAUUUAACUUCGGACGUGGUAAAUAAAUACGACAGUAGUGUUGUAGGUACCGUCGUAGUAAACUCAAAAAUUAAAGUACAUAAGUAAUAACUCGCGUCAUGGUAGAUUAUUUAAGACGUCGUGAUUAUUAAUGUACCGACGUGGAGUUCUGUAAUAUACGUCAGUAAUACCGAUGUUGAUUUUACAAUUUAAACGGCGGUUUUUUGGUAAGGACCGCCGUUGGUUUUAAAAAUUUAUUCUAUAAAUUUGUCGCUUUCAUUCAUUUUCGCGGUUUACAUUUAGGGUUCCAAGUUCUUCCUCUCUCAGAGACACUGUCUCUCACAUCUCAAAGACAAUAAUUUGGAUGUCUUUCUCAAGAAGAAGCUUGUCAACUAGCCUUCUCACUUCCUUGAUCAAGCCUGAUAGGACACUUAGUGCUUCUGAAUACUCCUUGCUUUCCAUCAAAAGAGAUGCAAGCCUGGCCUCCACUCGCUGUCGAAGGAAAGUUCGCUUCUCAGGGAAAUCUGAAGAUCAGAUGUGCCUGAUCCUCUGCUUGAUUUUCUUGCCUAAGAAGAUUCGUCGGAUUUGUGAUAGCCUCUUCCUUUAUCCGUAGAGCUUCAGAAGAAGAAGAUGGGUUUCAAGAAUGCGAUAAAGAAUAGAAAUGGCUUCAGAUGGCCUCUAAAGCAUGAGCAAUUGAAUCAGUAGUUUCUGGGAGAUAUGAUGAAGACAUUGUCAAUGCUUUGAACUAUACAAGUCCUGCAGAAAGAUAAAGGACCAAACUGUUAAAGAAACUGAAACAACGGCGGUUUUCUGUUCUACCGUCGUCUUUUCUCGUCGUCUAUAUUAAGGUAAGAUGGCGGUAGAUUUAUAAUUACCGACGUAGAUUAUUUUGUUAAACGUCGUUAAGUGUACUACAACCGACGUGGAUUUUAUUUUUAAAUUAUAAAUAGAGUUUUUUUUCCCGUAUUCUUUCAGUUUUAGUUUUCAAUUACAAAGCGUGAUAAAUAGAUUUUUCUUUCCCGAGGAAAUUUAAAAUGAGGGAAAUUAAUGUUCUAGAAUUUGUAAACUAACACGACGCAAUAUUUGCAAAUCUGUGUCAUCUGUUAAGAUUAUGAUGUGGAACAGAGUUCCAUCUGGUAAGAUUUCGUAACCCUUGGGAUCUCAGACAAAUCUGAUUAUGUCGGCGGUGUUCUAUAUAAACCGUCGUGGUUAUUUCAAUUCUUGUCAUUAAGUAGAUCUACCGACGUAGGAUAAGAAAAUCAAAGAAAAAAAUUGUUAACAAAAAUUCUUAUUAAGACGACCGUUAAAAUUAAAGGUACGACGUAUAAAAUGAAUAAAUACGACGUUAAAUUUUAUUGUACGAUUUAAAGAUAACGUCGUAGAACUAUACGAGAAUGACGUCGAUAUAUUUAUAUUUUCCGUCGUUGUAAAUUAAUUUAAUACGGCGAUAUUUUGUAUUUUAAAGCCGUGGAUUUGUUUGUAAUUAUACGGCGUCUUAUACGAAAACCUCGUCGUGUUAUUUUAUGAGGAAAAACGGCAGUUUUUAUUGAAAUCGUCGUCUUUACUUUCUACGUCGGUCGAUUCAUAACUUCUGCCGUUCUUUGUUGGCAUUGAUUUUACACUGCGGAAAUCUGUUUCAAAUAGACGUCGGUUGUUUAAUUAUGUACGUCGUUGUUUUUGAACAACCAUUUGAAUCUCCAUUUUUUAGUUGUCUAAGGUUGUAUUACACGACGGUGUUUUUAGAACCGUCGUCUUUUUAUAAACCACGACGGUUUUCACUUAGACCGUCGUUGUUUUCUGGUCGUCUUUUUCACUUUUUGUAGUUGUGCCCACUUGAUUAUCUGCCAGACAAUCUAACGUCCUUAUUUAAUUUAAAAUAUUUAAAUUUGUUUGGAACUCCAAUUACGGAGCUUCCAGAAUCCAUUGGACAGCUCGGCAACCUUCAGACCUUGAACAUCACGGAGACAAAAAUAGAGGCACUUCCAAGAGUUCCAAGUUGCUAAACUUGCGCCAUUUACUUGUGGGGAGGUUCCAAGAGGGAUUUCCAGGAUAGAUUUCCAGAAAGGUAAUUGGGGUAAGAAUACCAUCAAGUAUUAGGAAGAUGAAGAAAUUGCAAUCUUUGUUACGUAUUGAAUCAGAAGGAAACAUUAUUAGACUUAUUGGAAGUAUGACCCAGCUUAAAUUCCUUGGCAUUACAAAUGUGAAAGAAAGAGACGAGGAGGACCUAUGUGCCUCAAUUCAAGAGAUGAAGGUCCUUUCCCGCUUGUUUUUAUUUGUAUCUCAUGGAGAGGAAUUUCUUCGAGUUGACGCAUUGUCUUCACCGUCUCCCUACCUUGAUAGACUUGAAUUGGUCGGCAAACUGGAAAAGGUUCCACAUUGGUUUUGUUCGCUCCACUCUCUCACAUAUAUGAACCUGCAAGGGUCCAGACUUGAAGAAGAUUUACUACCUCAUAUUGAAGCAUUGCCCUCUCUACUUUCUCUUUCCCUUAAUAAUGCCUCUGUUAGGAAAGAGUUAUGUUUCAACAGAGGCUUUGUGAAGCUUCGGCAUUUGUGGUUAUGGAAUCUCGCAUUAUUAAAUAAGAUAACUAUAGAAAAAGGGGCGAUGCCAAAUCUCGAGUUCUUAAGCAUUCGCCGUUGCUUGACAUUAGAAACAUUGCCACAGGGUAUUGAGCACCUUACUAAACUACAACGAUUCAGAUUUUAUAUUGUUUCAGAGAAGUUUAGAGAGUCCAUAAAAGAAGGAGGUGUGGAUCAUCCAAGGAUGCUACUCGUCGACGAGAGAUGUAAGAAAUAUACGUAAGUAUCUUUUAUCCUUUCAUUGACUUUCCUAAACUUAAUGAUUUGGAAUAUUGCACUUGUGUUCAAGAAAUUGUUCUCGUACACAUCUCUGUUAAUGGAUGUAAAGCCAUAUAAAUUGUCUGUUAAUUACAAUAUUGUUUUUGUCUUAUUAUAUAUUUUGCAGAAACAAGUCCUGGGAUUGAAGAUUUUACUCAUGAGUUUGGGGUUGGGAACUUGUUCGUCUUGUUUCGACCACAAGAGUGAUGUAGAUUGGCUUCUUAUUUGCUCUUUUGAAAAUCAAACAAUACCCAAGUUGAUGUUCAUAAAAUUGCAGUUGAUGUUUUUGUGUGUGUUUAAUUUGCAUGUAAUAAAAUUCGAGUUUGCAUCUUUCACUUCAGCAAUUGGCAGAUGUAUGUCGCUGAUUAGCUUUUAAGAUUUGGACCACAUGGAUUCUUUUAUAUUCGGCAUGUUUGUACUUUCUUCUAUGUUAAUUGUGUUUGUAUUUUCAGGUUUUUUUCUUUGUACUUUCAGAUUGGCUAAUUAAAUAAUACAGAAUCUUAAUUGCUUUCCAUGAGAAGUUCUAUAGCACAGGAAUGUCAAUGUAGCGGUAUCUCACGUCAAUUACGCAUUAUUAUAUGAGGAUACUAAAACACAUUACAAUGCGUGAUUGAUUUGAAAUACCGCAACAAUAACAUCCAUGACAUAGGUAAGUUUUUCAUCGCCCUUAUCAAUCCUAUUGAGUAACUGUUGUGAUAUUUAUUGCAAGCGCACAAUUCGCACAAGUAAUAUAGUGAUGAGUGAAGUGUCGUUCCCACGAAGAGUGAUUUAAUUUACCAAGUACCGAUUGUGAUUAACCCAAGACUUUAUUUGAACAAUUGAUGAUGAGAUUUGAUUGAUUAAUUAACUAAAACAAAGAAUAAAAACAAGCGUAGAAAAAUAAAGUAGUGAGAUUCAAGUUAUGAGAGCACUAGAGCUUCCGAUUUCACCAUAGCCAAUUCUACCCAAUUCCCUUAGCAUGUUAAUCCUAAUUAUUCUCUAUGUUGACAGUUGAUUUUCCCUACUUUAUUCGAUACUCCAUCCCUGGUUAUACCAAAAGUAUUCUUAUUACCAACCCACUCUAUCCCUAGUAAUGGAAUUAAGAUAAUAAGAACCCAUUAAAUUCAUUGGAAAACCUACAAAACAACCACAUAAGUCAUGACAAACAUCCCUGUCUAAUCAUGUAACUCAUGGUAUCUAUUACAAGAAGCAACCCCAAAUUGGAUAUUCCUAUCGUCAAUUUAGCAUCAAAACAAUUAAAUGUUGGCCAAACAUUCAAAGCAUUAAGCAUGGUAAUAGAUACUCAACAUGGAAAAAUACUUGGAAUUAACAUUGACUAAAGUAAUUGAGUAUUCAUGGCUAGGCUACAUCGUAGCCCUAGCAAGAAGAAAUUAGUUCAUGACAACUUUAAUAAAAACCAUGAUAAAUAAUAUCAUAGGAAAGAAGUAACCAAUUGAAGAUUUGAUCUCUGCACGACAGCAACUCUAGCUCCAGGUUGUCUUCUUUGUCUCUCUAAAACUCUCUCUCCUUUGAGUGUUUCGGUGAUGAGUAUGAAUGUGUAUGGAUUUUAGGGUAGAUGAUGGAGGAUGGAUGAUGGGUAAUGGUUUUUUUUCAACAAUGACCUAAACUCCUUAUUUAUAAAACUCCUAGAAAUCCUACCUAAGGAAUAAUUACAAUUGUUAUAAAAAUAGGAUUCCUUCUAAAAUAAGGUCUUUUUUAUUUCUCCUUGUUUGACUUGAUAAGACUUGCACCAUCUUGAACUAGGAAAUUUGACAACAUUCCUUGCAACAAAAGGAAUGACUUGGCUUCUUUUUAAUUGAUCUUCAUCUUCUUGCCUUUUUUAGCACACUUUCUCCUAUUUCACAAUUCCUUCACAAAUCUCACAAAACCAAUUAAAAACAACCAAUUUAAUCCAAGAAAUUAAUAAAUAAAUAAGCAAAGGAGGCAUAAAAUAUAUAUAAAAUAUAGACUUAUCAAAUACCCCCAAACCUAUCUUUUGCUAGUCCUCGAGCAAAACUGAAAAUCAAAAAUAAAUUAAAACAAACAAACUAAAUUAAACCACUUUCGUAGGUAAUCUCGAUGGCACUUAGCAUGUGCCACAAGCCUUUAAACCUCUAGGUGUCCUUAGUAGGAGGAGUUGUGUCUCCUGAGGGUUUACCAGUCACGACACCCACAAACACUUCUUGCAAAACAAAUUCGUUAAAGCAAUACUUCCAACAAACUAAUAAUAACCAUUGAAUGCCAAUCACAAUUCAAAAACUAAAGUUAUGCCACUACAAAUAAAAUGCACCAUAGUGUAAAGUGUAAAGCCAAAACUCCAAGCAUUCAAACAUAAAGAUAACCACAUUCGGCGUGUGUACAAAUUCGUCUCAACUCUAGGCCUCACAGGAUAACUCUCAAUUUUCUCACAGAACCUAGGGUUGCACUCUUACCCCACAUAUGUGAAUGAAGUUAGGUGAAGAAUUCAAAAUAUAAGACACAUAUGCAUCCAAAAAUGAAUAAAAGGAAAUUUCUAAAAAUAGAUCUCAUGGAAAGGAAAUCAAAUACUAAAAACCAUAGAUGAAGUACAUACCUCUACUUCUGAGUAAGAAGUCCCCAAAAAUCCGUUAGGUCUUUACUAUGGUUGUAAUGAAGGGCUAGGUUAUGGGUUAUGAAAGAAAGGGAAGGAAAUACUAGAACUUGAAACAUACCAAGGCAUUUGUCACGUUAUAAGGCUCGGCUCUUCAAAUUUACUUCACAGAGGCGUCCAGGAUUUUUGAUAUGCUUUACAUUUUUUUUUUCUUUAAUAGAUUUCUCUCUUUUUGUUUUUUGUUUUUUUUUCUUUUUAUUUAUUUAUUUAUUUUUAAGCACAUAUUUCCUCGGUACACGCCACCUCUUUUGUUGAUGUAGAGAUUAACCUUCAUCCUUGUCUUCAUGCCAUGGCAUAUCCCAAGUUAUAGGGUAUGGCUAAAAAUGGGGUGAAAAGGGUAAGGAAAUAUUGUGGGUGAUGAAAGAAAAGGCUAAGUGUUUGGCUUCAAAGGGUUGAUGGCACACACAAUGGGUAGGACAUGAGGUUUUAUUUAGUGGCUAGAACAUGCAUAGCCUAACAUCAUCUCUCAAGGUCCAUCCAACUCAAAAGUAAAAGCAUGAGAUGAUUCCAAAAUAGAGAUUAGUUCUUAGUAUUCAAUUCAAAAGCCUAAUUGAGAUCAAUUUAAAUAAGAAAGAAAGAAAAUAGUGAAUAAGACUAAUCCCAAAUACUCUCUCAAUGAAUGACAAUUUGGCUCAAGUAUCUCACAAUGUUAGUCUCCACUAUUUCUCCACAAUCAUCCAAGUAUAGCUAGCUUGUCUAUUAAAGUACUUGAAGCAUGGCCAUGUGAAGUGCUAUACUUAUGAUGCAUAAACUUUCAUGGCAACACUUUAGUUAAAGAAAUAUGAUCAAACAUCACAUAUACAUCACUAUUAGUAAGAGAAAGUAAAAGCUUUAACAAAAUUUUUAUUUUUUUUUAUUUUUAAAAGUUAAAGACAUUUUGUGAUAUUUUUUUUUUUUUUCAAACAAAUGUGAGUGAAUUUAUGGGCCAUAAUUGCUUAGGGAUAAAGAAAUUUCAUCAAAAGGAAGAGGACACACCUGGAAUAGCUCCUAGAAGCCUCUGAUCACAAAUGGAAUGGAUCAUAAUUGAUUUGGAAUGAAAUUAGAAAAUUCUGGAAAAUUGACCUUUAGCGACGAAAAAUCUGAUGAACACCGUCGCUAAAAGCCCUUUAGCAACGAAAAAUCCAAUUAACACCGUCGCUAAAAACCCUUUUGUGACGAAAAAGCUUCAUAUUUCUGGGUAGAUAGCAGCUAGUCUUUUUUGGGUUUUAGGCCACUUUUUUAGCUUCAAAUCUCCCUAAAACGUCAUGUAAAGCACUUGAGACCCCCAAAACAGUUUCAAAUCAUCAUAAUAACCAUUCUAAACAUGUUGGUGGCUUCAAAUUUGCCUGAAAAACAUCAAAAAGGAAAAUAGGCAAAAUUUUUGAUUUUGACCAAAAUAAGAACAUAAUAACCUAUUUUGCUAUUUUCUGGGUUUUAAAGUCAUCUAAUGGCCAAAACAACAUCUGUAACACAUCUGGAACAUGUUUGCAAUCAUCACGGGGCUAGAAAAAAUCGAGAAAUGUUCUUUGAAACACAAAAUCCUUUCUUUGGAACACAAAAUCUGUUUUUUUUAUUUUUUUAUUUUUUUAUUUUUUAUGACUCAAAACUCAAACAAAAAAACAUCUAAACUCCACACCCCCAAACCUAAACUAAGCAUUGUCCUCAAUGUUUAAAGUAAAUGCAUGUAACAAUUAGUAAAGGCAUAGAAGGAUGGAAAAUAAAGGGAAAACAAAACAAAAUAAAAUAAAAAGGAACGAAGGUACCUAGUUGGGUUGCCUCCCAACAAGCGCUUGGUUUAUAGUCCCCAGCCCGACUUGCAAGGUCAUCACUUUGGAUCAUGCAGAGGAAUGGAAGUCCGCUGUUGAUCAAAAUUGACUUCCAAGUAUGGCUUCACUCGUUGGCCGUUUACUUUGAAAAUAGUACCUUGUUCGUCAUGCCUAACCUCAAUAACUCCAGAAGGAAAUACUUGCACUAUUGUAAAUGGUCCAGACCAACGUGAUUUCAGCUUCCCAGGAAAGAGUCGGAGGCGGGAAUUAAAUAGGAGAACUUUCUGACCAGCGAAGAAAUCCUUCCUUAGAAUAUGCUUAUCAUGCCAUUUCUUUGUACGCUCCUUGUAUAUCUUGGAAGUCUCAUAAGCUUCAUUACGAAACUCAUCCAUAUCAUUCAAUUGAAUUGCCCGUUUUUCUCCUGCUACAAUCAUGUCAAAAUUGAGUUUUUGGAGUGCCCAAUGUGCCUUAUGUUCGAGCUCAACCGGUAAGUGACAAGCUUUCCCAAAAACUAGACGAUAAGGAGACAUGCCAAUUGGUGUUUUGAACGCCGUUUGAUAGGCCCAUAAGGCAUCAUCCAAUUUCAGUGACCAAUCCUUUCUUGAAGCACUCACCGUCUUUUCUAAAAUUCGUUUUAAUUCUCUAUUGGAAACUUCAACUUGUCCACUAGUUUGUGGAUGAUAGGGAGUAGUAACCUUGUGGGUAAUACCAUAUUUAGCUAAAAGAGAAUUAAAUUGACGAUUGCAAAAGUGUGUACCUCCGUCACUGAUGAUUCCACGCGGAGUCCCGAAUCUAGUGAAAAUAUUUUUUUCGGACAAAUUUGACAACACCCUUGGAGUCAUUGGUAGGGAGAACGACGGCUUCAACCCAUUUCGACACAUAAUCAACAGCCACCAAUAUGUACUUGUUCUUCCAAGAUUCAGGGAAAGGUCCCAUGAAAUCUAUGCCCCAGACAUCGAACAAUUCAACCUCUAGAAUAUUAUUCAAUGGCAUCUGAUUUCUGCUAGAAAUAUUUCCAGUGCGUUGGCAGCGAUCACAGGCAGCUACAAAUGCAUAGGCAUCCUUGAACAAAGUUGGCCAAAAAAAUCCAGAUUGUAAUACCUUGGCUGCUGUUUUGGAGGCACCAAAAUGCCCCCCACACGCCAAUGUGUGGCAAUGUCGCAAUAUGUCUUCCAUCUCCUCCUCAGGCACACAUCUCCGUAUAACUUGGUCAGGGCAAUGUUUCCACAAAUAUGGGUCGUCCCAAUAAUAAUGUUUAACCAAGGAGAAAAACUUCUUCUUCUGAUGAAACGAUAAAUCAGCUGGAAUGAUAUAAUUCACAAAGUCAGCGUACCAGGGAGCUUCGGAUGAUAGAAUGGCAUACAAUUGUUCAUCCGGGAACAUCUCCAUAAUGGGUGCAGCAUCAUCACUCAUCUUUACCUCACUGACCAGCCGCGAAAGAUGGUCAGCUACCACGUUUUCGGACCCCUUUUUGUCUCGAAUUUCAAGAUCAAAUUCUUGGAGCAGUAGUACCCAUCGAAUUAAUCGUGGUUUUGCAUCCUUCUUCGAAAGUAAAUACUUUAAAGCUGAGUGAUCGGUAUACACUAUCACCUUUGCUCCAAUCAAGUAGGAUCGAAAUUUAUCCAAGGAGAAGAUUACUGCUAACAAUUCUUUCUCCGUGGUGGUAUAAUUCCGCUGGGCGUCAUUCAAAGUACGACUGGCAUAAUAAAUUACAUGAAGUAAUUUAUUUCUUCUUUGACCCAAAACUGCCCCUACCGCAUAGUCACUAGCAUCACACAUAAUCUCAAAAGGCAAGUCCCAAUCCGGUGCGACAAUGACAGGUGCAGAAGCAAGCUUCUCUUUCAAGAUAUUAAAUGCUUCCAAACACCUUGAAUCAAAAUUAAAUUCUACAUCUUUAAGAAGGAGAUUGCAUAAGGUCUUCGUGAUUUUGGAAAAAUCUUGGAUAAACGGACGAUAAAAUCCAGCAUGACCCAGAAAGCUUCGAAUCCUCUUUACUGUAGUGGGCGGUGGCAAUUUUUCUACGGUAUCAAUUUUUGCCUUAUCAACCUCUAUGCCUUUAGCUGAAAUUUUAUGCCCCAGGACUAUCCCUUCUUGCACCAUAAAAUGACAUUUCUCUCAAUUCAAAACCAAAUUGGUUUCUUCACAUCUUUUCAAAACUAAUGCCAAAUUAUGUAAACAAGAAUCAAAUGAUGAGCCAAAAACAGAAAAGUCAUCCAUAAAAACCUCAAUGAAGCGCUCCACCAUGUCCGAAAAGAUGCUCAUCAUGCAACGUUGAAAGGUGGCAGGGGCGUUACACAACCCGAAGGGCAUGCUGCAUGCGCCUGUAUGCAAAAGUGCCGAAUGGGCAUGUGAACGUCGUCUUUUCCUGAUCUUCAGGUGCAAUUGGAAUCUGAUUAUACCCAGAAUAUCCAUCUAAAAAACAAUAAUAUGAAUGCCCAGCAAGUCUUUCCAACAUCUGAUCAAUGAAAGGCAAGGGAAAGUGAUCUUUCCUUGUCGCAGUGUUCAAUUUCCUGUAGUCUAUGCAGACACCCCAUCCUGUAGUUGUUCUUGUCGGGAUCAACUCAUUCUUAUCAUUUUUCACCACUGUAAUACCCCCUUUUUUCGGUACGACUUAAACUGGACUCACCCAACUACUAUCUGAAAUUGGGUAAAUUAUUCCAGCAUCUAAUAACUUUAAUACUUCAGCUCGCACAACUUCUGUCAUAUUCGGAUUUAAUCGGCGCUGAUGCUCAACUGAAGGUUUAAAAUUAUCUUCCAUCAGAAUACGGUGCAUACACAUGGAAGGGCUAAGUCCCUUAAUAUCUGCAAUAGUCCACCCUAUUGCCGUUUUAUGCUCCCUCAAAACUCGUAGUAAUUUCUCUUCUUCUAGUUUACUCAAAUUUGCAGCAAUAAUCACAGGAAGAGUUCCAAAAUUACCCAAGUAUGCAUAUCUUAAGUGGGAAGGUAGGGGCUUCAAUGUGAGGGUUGGUGCAGUAAUGACACUGGGUUGUGGCUUGGAGGUUGUGACUCCAAGCUCCUCAAAUGCGCGCCACCUUCCAGGAGGGCGCGGUUUCAUUGCUUCCAAAAAGUACACCAUCUCAGAAAUUUUAGGAUCCUCAUGCUCAGUAGUAACGGAAUGCACAAGGCAAGCCUCCAAUGGAUUACAUGGAUGUUCUUCUUUAAAUUUUUCAAAGACAACUUUUUCCACUAUAUCCACUCAGAAGCAAGAGUCUGAUUCCACUGGGUACUUUGUUGCUUUAAAGACAUUGAAGGUCACCUGCUCAUCAGCCACUCACAAAAUUAAUAAACCUUUGUCCACAUCAAUUAAUGUCUUCCCGGUUUUUAGAAAGGGGCGGCCUAAGAUAAUAGGGGUUUCGGCAUCUUCUUCCAUAUCUAAAAUCAAAAAAUCUGCUGGAAAAAUGAGCUUAUCAACUUUGACUAACACAUCCUCAAUUAUGCCUUUGGGAUAUGUUAUGGACCUGUCCGCCAUCUGCAAAGAAAUAGUGGUUGGGUUAAUUACCCCCAACCCAAUAUGUUUAGCAACAGAAGAAGGCAUUAGAUUAAUACUGGAUCCUAAAUCACAUAAAGCUUUUUCAAAGUAAGUGGUUCCAAUAGUGCAAGGUAUAGUAAAACUCCCUGGAUCCUUUAGCUUAGGUGGUAGCUUCCUCUGCAAAAUAGCACUGCAUUCUUCGAAUAAUUUCACUAUCUCAUGUUCGCCCAAUUUCCUCUUCUUUGAUAUAAUAUCCUUCAUGAAUUUGGCAUAACUCGGCAUUUGCUCCAAAGCAUCGGCAAAAGGAAUAUUGAUUUGUAAUUUCUUGAAAAUAUCAAGAAAUUUCGAAAAUUGGACAUCCACUUUGUUUUUUCGAAGAUGUUGAGGGAACGGAAUUGGCGGUACAUAUGGCUUUACAAGGGCAGCAGGUUGAGAUAAUUUCUCUACAGUAGCAGGUUUAAUUUCUUGACAAAUUUCAUCAAGUUGUGCAGCAGUGAUAGACGACGACGACGGCACGUUAGUAAUUUCUGAUGUCUCUGCAGUUUGUUGCUGGAUAUUCUUGUCUUCAUCCAAGUCUACUGCUGUUUUUAUUGGCCUCCCAUUCCGAAGAGUUAUCGCCUUCGCAUGUUCUUGGUUUUCCGGAUUAAUCUCUGUUUGGCUUGGCAAAGCUCCAUUUACUCUUCCUGUCAAUAUAUUAGCUAGCUGGCCCAUCUGAACCUCCAAGUUUCGAAUAGAGGCAGCUUGGUUUUGAAGGGUCGUCUCGGUUUUGCUCAUAAAUUGAUUUGUAUUGACAGAGAGGGUGUUGACAUUUCCAGCAAGUUGAGUAAUUAUAUCCUCCAAUCCAUGCUUCUUUUCUUGAGGUGUGAAACCAGGUGGAGGUCCCUGUACAUUUUGGUUAUUACUCCAUGAAAAAUUCGGAUGGGUCUUCCAUCCUGGGUUAUAAGUGUUGGAGUAAGGAUUAUUCCGUUGUUGAUGAAAAUCAGAGACUUGGUUCACUUGUUCAGAUGGUGAUGUGAAUGGACUAGCUCCACACUCAUUGCCAUGAUGAGGUCCUGCACAAAAUUCACAACUUAGAUUAGUAGACUGAAUAGCAUUAACAUUUAAAGUACCAAGUUGUUUAGACAUAGUAGAAAUUUGCGCAGUUAACGUAGAUAUGGCGUCAAUCUCAUGAAUUCUAGCUUUCUUUGGUGUUGAUCUCUCACUAAGCCAUUGAUAGUUAUUUGACGCCAUCUCUUCCAGCAAGUUAUAUGCUUCAGUUUCUGUUUUUCCCAUCAAAGCUCCUCCGGCUGCAGCAUCAAUUGUUGUUUUGCUUGUAUUGUUCAAACCAUUGUAGAACGCUUGAACUUGCAUCCAAGUAGGUAGGGCAUGAUGUGGGCACUUCCUUAGCAUAUCCUUGUAUCUGUCCCAUGCUUCAUAAAAAGGUUCCAUGUCAUUCUGAGCAAAUGACAUGAUGUCAUUCCUGAGUUUCGCAGUCUUUGCAGGAGGAAAGAAUUUAGCUAAAAAUUUCUUGGCCAAGUCAUCCCAUGUAGUAAUCGAAUUAGGUGGUUGAGAAUUCAACCAUGACUUUGCCUUUUCCUUUAAUGAGAAAGGAAAAAGCCUUAAGCGAACAACAUCAUUGGUAGCUCCAUUGCACUUAAAUGUGUCACAUAUCUCCAAGAAAUUAGAGAUAUGGCUAUUAGGGUCUUCUUGAGGUAAACCACAAAAGAUGGAGGAUUGCUGAAUCAUUGAAAUUAUGGCUGGUCUGAUUUCAAAAUUAUUGGCAUCAAUGGUUGGACGACGAAUGCUCGAUGGUGAUGCCACCACAGAUGGGACAUCAUAGUCCCUUACUGGUUUUGCUUCCUCAGCCAUAGGUGAUGGCUUUUCCAAUAUUGCGUCCUUCCUCCUUUUGAGUUUGUUAAGCUUGUGAAGCGUUCGCUCAAUCUCUGGAUCUAAUGGUACAAGCACAAGACUCUGCGAACGUCUCCCAAAACUCAUGCACUAGGUGAAAUACCUAAAAAAACAAAAAAAAAACAAAAAAAAUUCAAAUUAAAAUCCAAAUCAAUCUAUAUCGAUAUUAAUAAAAUUUAAAACACUCCCCGGCAGCGGCGCCAAAAACUUGUUGUGAUAUUUAUUGCAAGCGCACAAUUCGCACAAGUAAUAUAGUGAUGAGUGAAGUGUCGUUCCCACGAAGAGUGAUUUAAUUUACCAAGUACCGAUUGUGAUUAACCCAAGACUUUAUUUGAACAAUUGAUGAUGAGAUUUGAUUGAUUAAUUAACUAAAACAAUGAAUAAAAACAAGCGUAGAAAAAUAAAAUAGUGAGAUUCAAGUUAUGAGAGCACUAGAGCUUCCGAUUUCACCAUAGCCAAUUCUACCCAAUUCCCUUAGCAUGUUAAUCCUAAUUAUUCUCUAUGUUGACAGUUGAUUUUCCCUACUUUAUUCGAUACUCCAUCCCUGGUUAUACCAAAAGUAUUCUUAUUACCAACCCACUCUAUCCCUAGUAAUGGAAUUAAGAUAAUAAGAACCCAUUAAAGUCAUUGGAAAACCUACAAAACAACCACAUAAGUCAUGACAAACAUCCCUGUCUAAUCAUGUAACUCAUGGUAUCUAUUACAAGAAGCAACCCCAAAUUGGAUAUUCCUAUCGUCAAUUUAGCAUCAAAACAAUUAAAUGUUGGCCAAACAUUCAAAGCAUUAAGCAUGGUAAUAGAUACUCAACAUGGAAAAAUACUUGGAAUUAACAUUGACUAAAGUAAUUGAGUAUUCAUGGCUAGGCUACAUCGUAGCCCUAGCAAGAAGAAAUUAGUUCAUGACAACUUUAAUAAAAACCAUGAUAAAUAAUAUCAUAGGAAAGAAGUAACCAAUUGAAGAUUUGAUCUCUGCACAACAGCAACUCUAGCUCCAGAUUGUCUUCUUUUGUCUCUCUAAAACUCUCUCUCUCCUUUGAGUGUUUCGGUGAUGAGUAUGAAUGUGUAUGGAUUUUAGGGUAGAUGAUGGAGGAUGGAUGAUGGGUAAUGGUUUUUUUUUCAACAAUGACCUAAACUCCCUAUUUAUAAAACUCCUAGAAAUCCUACCUAAGGAAUAAUUACAAUUGUUAUAAAAAUAGGAUUCCUUCUAAAAUAAGGUCUUCUUUAUUUCUCCUUGUUUGACUUGAUAAGACUUGCACCAUCUUGAACUAGGAAAUUUGACAACAUUCCUUGCAACAAAAGGAAUGACUUGGCUUCUUUUUAAUUGAUCUUCAUCUCCUUGCCUUUUUUAGCACACUUUCUCCUAUUGCACAAUUCCUUCACAAAUCUCACAAAACCAAUUAAAAACAACCAAUUUAAUCCAAGAAAUUAAUAAAUAAAUAAGCAAAGGAGACAUAAAAUAUAUAUAAAAUAUAGACUUAUCAGUAACCUGUUAGAAUCUUCUCUCCAAAGCCGGCUCCUCUGCGUCAGUUGACCUCCCGCUCCCCCUCCCCUCUUUUCUCCCCCAACUGUGACAAGGACGAGCUCAAAUUUUUGAUCUUAUCUAUGGAAUGAAAUGUAGUUUUUAUUAAAACUUGUUUGACAAAGAAAAUAAAAAGACAUUCGUUUUAGGCACUAACCGCUUCCACGUGGAACCGUACGUGGGGGGCUAAUAACGGUUUUAACCGAAACUCCAAGGACUCCAAUUUUUCUCACACAAACACAAAACAAACACUCUGUUUUCCCUCUGAUCUCUCUGCCUCUCAGAGCCGUGAAUGAAGAAUACGACGUCAUAGUGCUCGGAACCGGGCUCAAAGAAUGCAUUCUCAGCGGCCUCCUCUUAGUGGAUGUUCUCAAGGUAAAGCUUAUCUAAAUGGUUUAUUUUGUUGGUCCUCUCUUAGAAUUUUUUUCUUGAUCGUGGAUAACAUAUAAAAUUGUAGCUUCCUUAUGGUAAGGUUAUUGUCUAACAAAUCUAACCUACUGUUACACAGUAUGACGUACUUUUCUUCUAUUCAUGCUUCUCUUUAAAUACGGCUUCGAUUUAUUUAUCUAUUUUUGGAUUUUAGCUUUGGAAGCGAUUUAGUAGAGACUACAAUGUUGAUAUGAUCCCCAAAGUAUCAAGAAUUAAUGAUGCAUAUAUUUCUUCCUAUUGUUCUUUGAUUUCUUCUUUGAUUCAUUUUCUCUUGUUGCUUAAGAUUGUAUAUGUUGAUAGGCUGUCAUGUUAACUUGUUUGUCCGUAAAUAAUGUGAUCUAGCUAGGUUCAGUCACUCAUAUGGGCUAGCAAAGUGAAAAAAAGAAGCUCGAGGAAACCAUAUUUGGAGUAACAUACAAAAGAUUGUGUAAAAUAGAACCAUUAAUAUUUUAUAGAUAUAAUAAUAAAAAAUUCAAAAAUAAAUAUAACAUACAAAAUCCAAAAAAAGAAAGGAAACACAUGCACUAGCACUACAAUUCAAACAUGCAUGAAUACUGUCUGGCUUUCUUGUUUUACUUUCUUUCUUUUUUCCUUCUACAUAUUUCAGCCCCAAUGAGUUUUACUCCUUUUGUGUGUGGUUGAGGCAAUUAUAUACAAUACGCUUUCUGUCUUUGGCUACCUAAAAAGUCAAGAAUGAGCCAUGCCUUUUGGUAUUACUGAAACUGAUACUGUCACUAUUACGAUUUACUAUUUGCGCGACGAAGAUAAUUUCGUCGCGCAAGGAGCACUUUUGCGACGAAAAAAAGAUUCCGUCGCGCAUACAACAGACAACUAGCGCGACAAAUAAUUUCGUCGCGGAAAGAGUCUAUGCGCGACGUAAAUAAAUGUCGUCGCGCAAAGGUUGUAAAGUCUAUGUUAUUGCGCCAAUCUCUUGCGCGACGACAGAGAUCGUCGCGCAUGACUAUAUUGCGUGACAAUUUCAGGUAUUCGUCGCACAAAGAUGGACAGAAUAUUGGCUCCGAUUAUGGCGGUAAAAAAAUUUUGCGCGACGAGAGUUUUCGUCUCAAAAGACAACUUAGCGCGACGAAAAAAUCAACCGUCGCGUAAGAAAACGAGGGAAACUUAUUUUUGGCGCCAAUAUGCAGGUGGGUUUUUGCGUGACGGAAGUGCCGUCGUCGCGUAAAGUUUAAUCGUGGUGCGUUCUUGCGCGACGAGAAAGUUUUAUUUGCGCGACGAAAGUUGCAUGCGCGACGCCGGAUUGUAAACGCGCGACGGAAUUUUGUGCGACGAAUAAUUUUGUUCGUCGCGCAAAAAAGCAGUUGUCGACACGUGAUUGCGCGACGGAAAUGUUGUUUUGGGCGACGGAAAAGUGGGUUUUCGCGACGGCGUUUCGCACGACGAAUUUGCCUUGUUCGUCGCGCAAAGUCCUUCUUCUUCAUAUUUGUAUCUGCCAUUGCAGAGGCAGAAUGCAAAAAUUGCAUUCUGCCUCUCUCUCACUCUCCCUCCCUGCUGCUGCUCUGCUGUGAAUUCUGUACGUUUAUUAUGUAUGUAUUUUUUGUCGUUAGUUUAAAUGUAUUAGUGUAAAUUCGUACUAAUGCUAUUAAUUUUGUUCUCGUUAGGGAUAUUUAUGAUUAGUGAUUGGUGGAGAACGAUUGAGAAGGUAUGUUAUUGUAAAAGUUUGUUUGUUAUGUUUAUACUUUUUUUGUGAAGUUAUAUGUUUAUAAUGUUGUGAAAUUGUGCGUGACGUAGCACAAUGUGUUGUGAUGUACGAAGUUAAUUGAAAUUAACUUCGUAAUUUUAUUUUUAUGUUUAGUAACACGUAGUUUCCCGUUCGAGAUUAGUUGGAUUUCGUGCAUGGAUGCGUAAGGCAUGACUGCGGUCCAAUUAUUUCUUGAAUUGUCCCAUUACUUGGACAGUUUGGUAAUGCAUAGUGUUGUCACAUAAUCUUCGGCUACAGGAUUAGGUUUCGAUUGUGGAAAUUUCGGUGUCAUCUCGGUAUGUUCUUCGGGUGGUACGUAGGUAUUUAUACCUAUGCCUACUUCAAGAACUGUGUCGAGAUGCUGCCGAAAUUAAUCCACGUCGAAAUCUAAUCUCAUGUAGCCGUAGGUUACGUGACAGGACUAUGCAUUCCAGAAUGGGAUAAGGCCCUUACCGGAGGCAUAAGGUGACAUUAUAACUUCGUAUGAAGUUGUUGUGAUUGUUGUGUCGUGAUUGUGGUUUCAGGAAUUAUGAGCAGAAGGUGGAUACAUAACCCGAAUAGAUGCGCAAACGAAUACUUAGAUGAAAUCGAGGAUUUUAUUGAGUUUGCACGUAGACAGAACCCGGGUGCAACUAGAAUCCGUUGUCCUUGUAGGAGGUGUAACAACACGUUGUUUGAGACAAUUGAAAAUGUUGGAUUUCAUUUAGUAAGGAAUGGAAUGAUUGAAACAUAUAGCAUUUGGAACCUUCACGGCGAACAAGUAGACCAUGCUUCGUCUUCAAAUGCCCCAAGAGUGGACAAUGUUGAACCUAUUGUGGAUCCUAAUGAUCAAGUCAUGGGUAUUAUACAAGAUGCUUUUCCAUUCGCAUCGACCAGCAUCAAUCAGGAAGGGGAAUAUGACGUGCCUACACCAAUAGACAGUGCGGAGUUUGAACAGUAUGAAAAACUGUUAAAAAAUGCCAACCAAGAGUUAUACCCGGGGUACGAGAGCUUUUCCGUUCUCACUGCCAUUGUGGAGCUAAUGCACGGAAAAAUAAAGUAUCGUAUGUCGAACUUGUGUUUCGAUUACUUUUUGGGGGUUUUCAAGAGAAUGCUUCCGACGGGCAAUUGUUUGCCGAAAGACCAUAAACAUGCACAGAAGGUGUUGCAUGGUCUUGGAUUGGGUUAUGAAAAAAUCCACACUUGCAAAAACAAUUGCAUGUUAUUCUACAAAGAGCAUGAAACGCUGGAUACAUGCACUAUAUGCAAUGAGUCGAGGUUCAAAAUGACAUCCCAGAAUAGAACGACUAAGAUACCACAAAAAAUGAUGCGUUAUCUGCCCCUUAAACCUAGGUUGCAGAGAUUGUAUAUGUCGACGCAUACUGCCACAGACAUGAGAUGGCAUAAGGAAAAACGGGUAGACGAUGAUGUGAUGCGGCAUCCUGCAGAUGGGGAGGCAUGGAAAGAGUUCGAUCGAACGUUCCCCGAGUUUGCUGCUGAUCCCCGAAAUGUUAGAUUGGGACUUGCCACUGACGGAUUCAAUCCGUAUGGGGUUCUAAACCAACACCACAGCACUUGGCCGAUUUUCGCAUUCCCAUAUAAUUUGCCACCUUGGAAAUGCAUGAAAAAAGAAUACAUGAUGAUGACUGUUUUGAUAACUGAGGAUCCUGGCAGGUCAAUUGAUGUGUACUUAAGGCCUCUGGUUGAUGAGCUGAAGGAUUUAUGGACAAACGGUGUUCGCACGUACGAUAAAUCAACUGGGAGGAUGUUCACUUUGCGGGCAGCAGUUAUGUGGACUGUGAAUGAUUUCCCAGCAUAUGCAAUGAUUUCUGGGUGGAGCACAAAGGGUUAUAUGGCAUGUCCUGUAUGCAAGGAAGAUGUAACUUCUGGUUGGCACGCAGGAAAAGUUUGUUAACUUGGUCAUCGGAGAUGGUUGCCAUGGGACCACAAAUGGCAUGGUCCGGUGAUGAGAUCUUGGAACAGCUGAACCGUUUGGAUUUUACUCCGUUCGGGAAAACAAUUAGUCGGACCAGACCUUCUACACAUUUGAACUGGACGCACAAGCCUAUGUUUUUUGAGCUCCCAUAUUGGUCGAAACUGAAAUUGAGGCACAAUCUAGAUGUGAUGCGUGUUGAGAAAAAUGUAUUCGACACAUUGGUGGGCACGAUUCUAGAUAUCGAGGGGAAGACGAAGGACACGAUCAAAGCUCGUCUUGAUUUGGAAAGAAUGGGCAUACGAAGGGGUUUAUGGAUGAAUAGGGACAGUGAUAAAGCUAGAAGGGAUCUUGCAUUCUUUUCUAUGAAACCGAAUGACAAAAAAGAGUUUCUAAAGUUUGUAUCGUCUGUCAAAUUUCCCGAUGGGUAUGCUUCUAAUAUCGCACGUUGCGUGAAUGUCGAUGGGGGUAAAUUUACUGGACUUAAGAGCCAUGACUGCCAUGUGUUUAUGCAACGUCUACUUCCUGUGGGUAUUCGACACCUACUGCCGGAAGAUGUGGUGAAGCCAAUCAUGUUGUUAUCCAGAUUAUUUUCCCAACUGACGGCAAAAACAUUGCGAAGGACAGACAUGUUUCAGUUGCGCCAUGACAUUGUCCAAGUCCUAUGCAAGUUUGAGAUGAUAUUUCCGCCCGCUUUCUUUACAAGUAUGAUGCACGUGAUGGUUCACUUGCCAGAAGAGGCAUUGCUUGUUGGUCCUGUCAACUAUCGCUGGAUGUAUCCAAUAGAAAGGUAUAUAAUCUUUAUCAUUUGUGUAUGCAUCAUUAUCGAUAGUUUGCUAAUUUGUAUCAUAUCGUUUUAUUUUGGCAGGCUUCUCGGAGAGCUGAAAAAAAGUGUACGCAACAGGGCAAAGCCCGAAGGAUCAAUUAUAGAGGCUUGGGUUCAAUAUGAGUCGCUUACUUUCUGUGGAAUGUAUUUAAAAGAUGUGGAGACGGUUUUCAAUCGUCCUCAACGCAAUAAUGACGGAGGUAUGAGAGAUGAAAAACUUUCUGUUUUUUCCCAAAGCGCACGACCAUUUGGAGAUCCUGGACGAGGAGAGUCGUUUUCUAGAAAUGACAUGGAGGUAGCGCAUUGGUUCGUACUGAACAAUUGUGAUGAGAUAAUGGCCUACUUAGAUGAGCAUGAACAGAUGAUGAAGCGAGAACAUCCAUCACAUUUGGUUGCCCGGAAACACCGUGAAUUAUUUCCACAAUGGUUUUUGGAUUCUGUAAGUUAUAAGUGUUUUGUAAUUGACAAAUAUAAAUUGUAGUAUUUAAUUUUGUCAGACUAACAUGUAAAUGGUUUUGUAUACUAUUAGGUGAAUAAAUUGAAAUCAUCGAAUUCCCCCACUUACAGUGAUGAGUUAUAUAACUUGGCGUUCGGCCCAAUUCGCGCUGAAUUGUUCUCGGGUUGUAAUGUUAACGGCGUCAAAUUUUUGGGGGCCGCACGAGAUGACAAGUUGUGUACGCAAAACAGCGGUGUCUAUGUCCCAUGUGGAGGCGAAAGUACGGACAUUGAUUUCUAUGGCAAACUGACAACUGUCGUGCAAUUGCUUUACAAAGAUCGAUACCAAGUCAUCAUGUUUAAGUGUCGAUGGUUCGAUACCAACCCAAAUAGGGCGGCAAGUGUUAAAAUCGACCAUAGAGUACUGUCUGUGAACAUUAACAGAACUUUUUAUGAUGACGACCCGUACAUUUUGGCAAACAUGGCGUCCCAAAUUGUGUAUCUAGAUGACCCUAAAGUCGGGAACGGGUGGAAAGUUGUGCAGAAGAUGGAUCAUAGGAACGUGUAUGAUAUACCAGAACUAGACCCAAGUGACAACGACGUCGACAAUGUGGCUGACCAACGUUUAGAAUCUUCAAUGGAAAAUGAUGCGGAAACACUUCGAGAUACAAAUGUUAUACAAGAACCGUUUCAAAUAGAAGGAGUGUCUUCAGUCGAAAUACCGAUUCAGUCAAUUACAAUUGACCUCGGUGAUCUUCCCUGAUACGAUGUUGCAGUGGGCCCUAGCAACGCCGAUGAUGCGAUUAUAGAGGAGGAGGAGGAAGAAGAUUGGGAGACCGAGAGUGAUGAUAGCGACGAUAACGAAAGUUAUUAUAGUUCAGAUGAUGAAUAAUGAAUUUAUUUGUAAAUUUAUUAUGUUAGUGUAUUCAUUUUUUCUAAUACAAAUCUUUGAAUAUAUGUAGUUGUCCAUAUGUAGUUGUGUAUUCAUUCUCCAUAUUUCAUCACAAACUUCAUUGGAAUGUCAAUACUUUAGUCAGUACUUAUUACGACCCCAUGCUUGUUGAUUGGUUUUUAUUUAUUUAUUUAUUUAUUCAUGCCUUAAGGCCUCUUCAAUUAUUAUUUUUUUCUUUUGAGAUAUAGUUAUUUCUUCAUGUUUAAACAGAAAAUUUAAGUUAUUUCUCCAAUAUUAGCUGUGUGCCACUUAUUUUUCUUCACUUUGGUUCAUGAUUAGUGGCAUCAAUCUAGUCAAACCGAUAAAUUUGGUCGAUUCAAAUUUUAAUUAUCAAUUUAGUUUGGUUUUGAUGAAGAAAUACAAAGCCUUUCCAAAAAAUACAAAGCAUAAAAAAUGAUGAAUACAAAACCUUUCCCAAAAAUACAAAGCAUACACAAUUUGAAUUAAAGGAGGAGUUAUGGCGCCAAAUCCUUGCGCGACGAAGACACAUUAUCGUCGCGCAAAAAUACCAUACGCGACGCAAAAAUACCAUACGCGACGCAAAAAAAUGCGUCGCGUAAAUUUUGCGCGACGAACAAACCUCGUCGCAAUAGUUUUCGCGACGAACAUGAAUGCGUCGCGUAUGGGGUUUUUUGCGCGACGAUAAGAAGAACUUCGUCGCGCAAAUAUAUAUUAGGUUACGUUAUAGUAUAAUAUAUACACACAUAUAUAUUUCAAAUUGGCGAUCGAAGUAGUUCAUUGUAUUCAUAUGGAGUGUAGGACUGUUGGUGCAAAAAACCAUCAACAUCGGAGUUCAAAUAACCGUUCAAUCAUCACUUUUUAUUUAGAACCGUCGAAAAGUUUUACCCCGUUACUUAAUCUCUGAAUGUUUUUUUGGGCCGAAUUUUGCUGUCUAUGAUCUCGAAUUAUAAAAAAAACAAGUUUGACGGCUGGAUGGCUGAAACUAGUUUCGUAGACUACGUGUGCUAUCAAAAUCGUAUAUUCACCAAAAACUCAAAAAUUUGUUCAUACAUUUGUCAAAAUGUAACUUAACGUUUAUGUGGUAUCCCCUAGUGUAAAAAUCUGAUAUUGAAGAUCAAAUUCAGUCAUUGUAUUCAUAUAGGGUCAACAAAUGUUGCUGCAAAAAAUGAUCAAAAUCGGAAUUAAAAUAACCGUUAAAUCAUGACUUUUCAUUUAUAACCGUCGAAAUAUUUUGUCCCGUUUUCUGAUAUCUGAAUGUUUGGUCGUUUUGAUUUUUGGCGUAUACGAUCUCCAAGUAUAAAAAAAUAAGUUUGCCGGUUGGAUCAUUGAAACUAUUUUAGGGUUUAGGGUUUAGGGCUUAGGGCUUACGGCUUAGGGUUUACAUUUUAGGGUUUAGGUUUUGCGCGACGAAUAACAUUCCUUUCGUCGCGCAAAGUGAAAGUCAUAAAGAUUGCGCGACGGAUAUGUUUUCAUUCGUCGCGCAUUCUGGUACACACAGUUCACCCCUCUAUCCCCUUUGAACACUUAGUGAAAAUUUCAACCGAAUGAAAUUCUGAACUAGCGCGACGAACAGAAUAAAAACGUCGCGCAAUACAAGUCUAUUCGUCACGCAAUCCCUCGACCCUCUGAACACUUAGCGAAAACUUCAACCGAAUCACAAUCUCGAACUCGCGCGACGAAUUACAUGACUUCGUCGCGCAAAAGGCAAAGACCCUUCAGUUUCAGCCAAACCCUAAACCCCAAAAUUUUGGCGGCCAGAAGUGUUUUGCGCGACGAACUCAGGUGUUUCUGUCGCGCAAGGUUCAUUAAUGCCAUUUUGCGUGACAGAUAUUGCGCGACACGUACUUACUUCGUCGCGCAAAAGGCGCAGACCCUUCAGUUUCAGCCUCCCGCUAAACCCUAAAUCUCAAAAUUUUGGCGGCCAGAAAGUGUUUUGCGCGACGAACAGAGACAUUUGCGUCGCGCAAGGAUAAUAUUGCGCGACUCGUGCUUGCUUCGUCGCGCAAAAGGCACAGACCCUUCAGUUUCAGCCUCCCGCUAAACCCUAAAUCCCAAAAUUUUGGCGGCCAGAAUGUGUUUUGCGCGACAAAGCCAGUUGUUUCCGUCGCGCAAGGUUCAUUAAUACCAUUUUGCGCGACGAUAUUUCCGUCGCGCAAGAUUCAUUAAUGCGCGACGGAUUCAUGGUUCGUCGCGCAAAGUCGAAUAAAUCUGCAGAAACGACCCGAGCCUCCUUCUUCCCCAUUUCUGGUUUUCCUCCUCCGCAAUCCCAUCUCUCUCCGCCGUCGCCUUCGCCCUCUCUCUCCGUUCGUACCUCAGCCACCUCCCUGCCGUCACCUCAGCCGCCUCCCUGCCGUCGCGUUUCGUCAGUUUUUCCCGAAUCUUCGCCGCCGAUUUCUCUCUCCUCCGGCCACCAUUUCCGACGCCUGAGGUAUGAUUUCUCGACUAUUUUUUGUGCUCUAACUGAUGGUUGGUUAGGAUUUACUGAAAUUUUGCUGUAGGAAAUACGAAUUGAAACCUAGGUUUUGGCCAGUUUGAGAAUGUCAAAUCCGGCCACUUUCGGCCAUUUUUCGGGGUCGGUCCGAGAACAAAAGUGGCUCCAAUUAAUGUUUUCAACCUAGGGUAGGAACCUUGGCCCUUAGUUUUUGGAAUUUUCCGGCGAAUUUUAUCGCUUUGGACACCCACGCACUGCCGGCGGGUGUGGUGGCGGGUGGGAUACUGUGGCAGUGGGGCAUUGGGUCCCAGAGCAAUCCCCUGUUUGUCACGAGCGCGUAGGUUUGCUCGGAUUUGAAUUUGGUUGUCGUUUGAGUCUUGAUCGGAUUUCGCCUAUUGUGCGAUUUCCAGGUUUGAUAUAUUCGGACCGUUGGAUCGAACUGAAACUCACGUAGUUGUACCUUUGUGUUUCUAUGAUCGUUUAGGAUUCGACCGAUCGUUGAUCGGAGUCCCGGAUACUCUGAAAUUCCAAACCCUAGGUCAGGCUAUGCUUUUAAUUAAUUAGUUUAAAUUCUGAAUGAAAUUAUAUGUGCAAAUGUCAGACUUGAUUAGACGUGGUAGGUCGAUGACGACUGCACCGAGUUCGGAUCCCCCGGCUCAGUCGGCAUCUGCUGCCACUGCUCCUGCUUUGCUGGACCACGUGGUGGUUGGUCCCGGGGCGUCCCAGGCGCCUGUGUCAUCUGCGUCAUCCGUGGUGCAGCCAGCUAGUGCUAGGCGGCGGCACCGGCCCACCGACACCAUCGACACGACAUCGACCGACGGUACUGGUGCCUCGGGAUCACAGCCAGGUAUAACUACACCUUUGUAUUGUUAAUUUUAUAUUGAAAUUUGACAAUAUUUUUUUAUUUAACAUUAAUACCUUAUUUCUUUGCAGCGAAGAAGAACACCCGAGGACCGUGUCGUCAGCUGAAGACGGUGAAGGUCACCCGAGUGACCAACAGUCGUAUCAGCAUCUGAUACGACGAGCGCCAUCGGGCUGCACCGACGGCAGAGUUGCAUAGCUCCUUGGCCCACGACAUUGGCCACGUCGUGCGGACCCAUUGCCCGAUGCAAUGGAAGUCUUGGAGGGUCAUGCCUGACGAGAUCAAGGUAGAGGUUCGCGGCCAGUUGUCGGUAUGUACCUUACAUUUUCAUUAUUUUUCUUUAAAAUUGUGUAUAUUUCUAUUACUUAACGUAUCUAAUUAAUUGAUUGCAGACGAACUAUAACUUGGAGGAUCUCGACGAAGAGUCGUUGACGUACGUCAACAGACUCUUCGCUGAGAGGUACAAGCAAUGGAAGAGCGACUUGCACCACCAUUUUCAGGCCUAUGAUGAUCCGCAAGUCGCUCUUCAGGAGGGUUGCCCGAAGGAGCUUGAGGGGCGGGAGGAUAGUUGGGAGUGGCUCUGCGCUCAUUUUCAAGCGCCCGAAUUUGCGGUAUUUUUUUAAUUAUAUUUGUUUAAUUAUUACUUAUUACUUAUUAAUGUUUAUUUUAUUUUUUUAUUUCAUUAUUAUUUAAUUUUUUAUAUUUGAACUAAUACGUUUCAUUUUUUGUAUAACAGAAUAAAGCCCAUGUGAAUAAGGGUAAUAGGAAGAAGAAGACCCUUCUCCACCAUUCCGGCUCCAGACCCUUUUCGUAUAGGAUGGAUGCACGGCGUCGGGUAAUAAUCACAAAAUUUUUAUUUCAUUUUUAAUGUCAUUUUUAUUAAUUUAUUUUUUUCAUACUAAUAUUUUUCUUCUCUUGUUCAAUUUAGGAGGGGUCCAAGUUCCCAGAGAUCGACGUCUUUGGUGACGUUUAUGUUCGACCCGGGAAUCACUACUACAUUUUACACUUUGCGCGACGAAGAAAAAAACGUCGCGCAAAGUCUCAUUUAGUCGCCCCAAUUACAGCGCGACAACAAAGUCGUCGCGCACAUUCCGUCGCGCGAAGAUCGUGAAGAAAGCCUUUGCGCGACGAGGUAUAACCCUUCGUCGCGCAAAAGUGUGCGACGGGUAAACCAUCGUUGCACCAACGGUGUGGAGACGAAACAACUUUUCGUCGCAAAAGUAUUUGCGCGACGAUCAAGUAUGCGGCGCCGGUAUAUUUGCGCGACGACGGGAAUUGCGCGACGAAAUAUUAUUCGUCGCGCAAAAUAUGUUCGGGAGACGUAUAUGUUCGUCGCAGAACAAUUCGCGCGAUGAGAAAGUUUUCGUCGCACAUAUAAUUGCGCGACGAAGCGACGAAAUAUUUUCCGUCGCGCAAAAAUAUUAUUACAAUUUUUUUUUUAAAUAUUUUUUAUUUUAAAUAAAAUUAGUUUCUUUUUAUUGAUUAAACAAUGAAAAUAAAAUAAAUUAGAAUAAAAUAAAAUUGCAAUAAAAAUAAAUUAGAAUAAAAUUUUGUUCUAAAAUAAAAUAAAUGUAUUACAAAUAAAAUAAAUACACUAAUCAAAUAAUGAAUCAAAAUCAACCGAGUCGUCGCCAGUAUGCGGCUCGGAGGGCGGGGCGUUCACCGGGGCAGUGGUCUGGUGGGGAUGCCCGGGAUGGACGGGCUCAGAAGUAGGCGCAUCAAAACGCGGGACUGGAAUGCCGGACUGUGCGAGGGACUGCAGAAUGACCGACAUCUGGCUCUGAAGAGUGGCCACCUGUGCUGUCAAAGCAGUGACCUGACUGCUUGACUGCGCCGAUGAACGAGGUCGAGGUUCCCUCCGCCGGGCAUUCCCCAUCCCUCGACAAUAUGUCCCCGGCCUCCUCCCGAGAGUCUGAUCCAACGUCUCCGUCAAGAUCUGAAAUCCAGCAUCCUGUGGAGGAGCCACAGACUCGAUCGGAGUCUCGGGAGGAAGCUGGGAGGCGGACUCCUGAAGAACAAGCUGGCUCCUCUCCACCAUCGUCGUCUGUUGAACAUAACAUAAAAUAUAAAUUAAAACAUGCAUAUAAAUUGAAUGCGUAACAUAAGAAUUAAAAUUAAAUAAUACUUACAUGAAGGGACUCGGCCAACUCAUUCCCGGGUCGAACAUAAACGUCACCAAAGACGUCGAUCUCUGGGAACUUGGACCCCUCUUAAAUUGAACAAGAAAAGAAAAAUAUUAGUAUGGAAAAAAUAACUUAAUAAAAAUGACAUUAAAAAUGAAAUAAAAAUUUUGUGAUUAUUACCCGACGCCGUGCAUCCAUCCUAUACGAAAAGGGUCUGGAGCCGGAAUGGUGGAGAAGGGUCUUCUUCUUCCUAUUACCCUUAUUCACUUGGGCUUUAUUCUGUUAUACAAAAAAUGAAACGUAUUAGUUAAAAUAUAAAAAAUUAAAUAAUAAUGAAAUAAAAAAAUAAAAUAAACAUUAAUAAGUAAUAAGUAAUAAUUAAACAAAUAUAAUUAAAAAAAUACCGCAAAUUCGGGCGCUUGAAAAUGAGCGCAGAGCCACUCCCAACUAUCCUCCCGCCCCUCAAGCUCCUUCGGGCAACCCUCCUGAAGAGCGACUUGCGGAUCAUCAUAGGCCUGAAAAUGGUGGUGCAAGUCGCUCUUCCACUGCUUGUACCUCUCAGCGAAGAGUCUGUUGACGUACGUCAACGACUCUUCGUCGAGAUCCUCCAAGUUAUAGUUCGUCUGCAAUCAAUUAAUUAGAUACGUUAAGUAAUAGAAAUAUACACAAUUUUAAAGAAAAAUAAUGAAAAUGUAAGGUACAUACCGACAACUGGCCGCGAACCUCCGCCUGGAUCUCGUCAGGCAUGACCCUCCAAGACUUCCAUUGCAUCGGGCAAUGGGUCCGCACGACGUGGCCAAUGUCGUGGGCCAAGGAGCUAUGCAACUCCGCCGUCGGUGCAGCUCGAUGGCGCUCGUCGUAUCCGAUGCUGAUACGACUGUUGGUCACUCGGGUGACCUUCGCCGUCUUCAGCUGACGACACGGUCCUCGGGUGUUCCUCUUCGCUGCAAAGAAAAAAGGUAUUAAUGUUAAAUAAAAAAACAUUGUCAAAUUUCAAUAUAAAAUUAACAAUACAAAAGUGUAGUUAUACCUGGCUGUGAUCCCGAGGCACCAGUACCGUCGGUCGAUGUCGUGUCGAAGGUGUCGGUGGGCCGGUGCCGCCGCCUAGCACUAGCUGGCUGCGCCACGGAUGACGCAGAUGACACAGGCGCCUGGGGCGACCCGGGCGCCCCGGGACCAACCACCACGUGGUCCAGCAAAGCAGGAGCAGUGGCAGCAGAUGCCGACUGAGCCGGGGGAUCCGAACUCGGUGCAGUCGUCAUCGACCUACCACGUCUAAUCAAGUCUGACAUCUGCACAUAUAAUUUCAUUCAGAAUUUAAACUAAUUAAAUAAAAGCAUAGCCUGACCUGGGGUUUGGAAUUUCGGAGUAUCCGGGACUCCGAUCAACGAUCGGUCGAAUCCUAAACGAUCCUAGAAACACAAAGGUACAACUACGUGAGUUUCAGUUCGAUCCAACGGUCCGAACAUAUCAAACGUCGAAAUCGCACAAUAGGCGAAAUCCGAUCAAGACUCAAACGGUAACCAAAUUCAAAUCCGAGCAAACCUACGCGCUCGGGACAAACAGGGGAUUGCUCUGGGACACAAUGCCCCACUGCCACAGCAGCCCACGCGCCACCACACGCGCCGGCAGCGCGUGGGUGUCCUAAGCGAUAAAAGUCGCCGGAAAAUUCUAAAAACUAACGGCCAAGGUUCCUACCCUAGGUUGAAAACAUUAAUUGGAGCCACUUUUGUUCUCGGACCUACCCCGAAAAAUGGCCGGAAGUGGCCGGAUUUGAAAUUCCCAAACCGGCCAAAACCUAGGGUUUUAAUUCCUAUUUCCUAUAGCGAAAAUUCAAGAAAUCCUAACCAACCAUCAGUUAGAGCACAAAAAAUAGUCGAGAAAUCAUACCUCAGGCGUCGAAAAUGGUGGCCGGAGGAGAGAGAAAACGGUCGGCGACAAAUCGGGAAAAAUCGCCUAUGUGCGACGGCAGGCUCGACGGCGACGGCAGGGGCGGCUACGGAACGAGCGGAGGUGGCUGAGGUGACGGCGGAGACAGAGGGCUGAGGUGACGGCGGAGAGAGAGGGAGGAACGGAGAAAAACCAGAAAAUGGGGAAGAAGGAGGCAUCGGGCCGUUUCUGCAAAUUUGUACGACUUUGCGCGACGAAGAACAUCUUCCGUCGCGCAAAAUGCAAUUAAUGAAUCUUGCGCGACGAAAUAUCCGUCGCGCAAGUUCUCCCAGCACGACAAAUUUUGCAUUGGGAUUAGGUCUGUCACUUUUGCGCGACGAAAACGACAUAGUUCGUCGCGCAAAAGGCUGUCGUGCCGCCAAAAUUUUUGGGAUUUAGGGUUUAGCGGGAGGCUGGAACUCAAGAGUUUGAGGCUUUUGCGCGACGAACAAAGAUAACGUCGCGCAAUAUGUGCAUUGCGCGACGAAAACGACAUAAUUCGUCGCGCAAAAGGCUGUCGUUCCGCCAAAUUUUUGGGAUUUAGGGUUUAGCGGGAACUCAAGAGUUUGAGGCUUUUGCGCGACGAACAAAGCUAACGUCGCGCAAUAUGUACAUUGCGCGACGAAAACACAUAGUGCGUCGCGCAAAAGGCUGUCGUUCCGCCAAAUUUUUGGGAUUUAGGGUUUAGCGGGAGGCUAGAACUCAAGCGUUUGAGGCUUUUGCGCGACGAAUUGAAAUAAACGUCGCGCAAUGGGAAACAUGGUUCACUUUGCGCGACGCAUUACUCUCCGCCAAAUUUUUGGGAUUUAGGGUUUAGCGGGAGGCUAGAACUCAAGCGUUUGAGGCUUUUGCGCGACGAAUUGAAAUAAACGUCGCGCAAUGGGAAACAUGGUUCACUUUGCGCGACGCAUUACUCUCUUCGUCGCGCAAGUUCAAGAUUGUGAUUGAAAUUUUUACUAAGUGUUCAAAGGGGAUGGAUGUGUGAAGACGGUCGCCCUGAUUGCGCGACGAACAUACUAUGUGUGCGUCGCGCAAUCUAUUUCACUCUUUGCCCGACGGUUAUAUAUGUGCGUCGCGCAAAACCUACACCCUAAACCCUUGUAAACCCUAACCCCUAAACCCUAAACCCUAAAAUAGUUUCAAUGAUCCAACCGGCAAACUUAUUUUUUGAUACUUGGAGAUCAUAUACGCCAAAAAUCAAAAAGACCAAACAUUCAGAUAUCAGGGAACGGGACUAAAUAUUUCGACGGUUAUAAAUGAAAAGUCAUGAUUUAACGGUUAUUUUAACUCCGAUUUUGAUCAUUUUUUACAGCAACAUUUGUUGACCCUAUAUGAAUACAAUGACUGAAUUUGAUCUUCAAUUUCAUAUUUUUACACUAGGGGAUACCACAUAAACGUUUAAGUUACAUUUUGCAAAUGUAUGAACAAAUUUUUCGGUUUUUGGUGAAUAUAUGAUUUUGAUAGCACACGCAUUCUACGAAACAAGUUUCAGUCAUCCAGCCGUCAAAUUUGUUUUUUUAGACUUCGAGAUCAUAGACAGCAAAAAUCGGACAAAAAAAAUAUUCAGAGAUUAAGUAACGGGGCAAAACUUUUUGACGGUUGUAAAUAAAAAGUGAUGAUUGAACGGUUAUUUUAACUCCGAUGUUGAUGAUUUUUUGCAACUACAGUCCUACAGACCAUAUGAAUACAAUGAACUACUUCGAUCGCCAAUUUUAAAUAUAUAUGUGUGUAUAUAUAAUAUUAUAACGUUACCUAAUUUCAUUUUGCGCGACGAAUGGCUUCUGGUCGUCGCGCAAAAAUGUCAUACGCGACGCAUAUAUAUGCGUCGCGGAAACUAUGGGCGACGACGUGUAUUCGUCGCGCAAACGUUACGCGACGCAUAUGUAUGCGUCGCAUAUGGUAUUUUUGCGCGACGAUGAGGAGCCCUUCGUCGCGCAAGUAUUUGGCGCCAUAGAUCCUCAUUUAAUUCAAAUUGUGUAUGCUUUGUAUUUUUUGGAAAGGUUUUGUAUUCAUCAUUUUUGAUGCUUUGUAUUUUUUGGAAAGGCUUUGUAUUUCUUCAUCAAAACCAAACUAAAUUGAUAAUUAAGGUUUGACUAGAUUGAUGCCACUAAUCAUGAACCAAAGUGAAGAAAAAUAAGUUGCACACAGAUACUAUUGGAGAAAUAACUUAUAUUUUUUGUUUAAACAUUAAGAAAUAACUAUAUCUCAAAAUAACAAAAUAAUAAUUGAAGAGUUAAAGACAUGAAUAAAUAAAUAAAUAAAAACCAAUCCACAAGCACGGGGUCGUAAUAAGUACUGACUAAAGUAUUGACAUUCCAAUGAAGUUUGUGAUUAAAUAUGGAGAUGAAUACACAACUACAUAUGGACAACUACNNNNNNNNNNNNNNNNNNNNNNNNNNNNNNNNNNNNNNNNNNNNNNNNNNNNNNNNNNNNNNNNNNNNNNNNNNNNNNNNNNNNNNNNNNNNNNNNNNNNNNNNNNNNNNNNNNNNNNNNNNNNNNNNNNNNNNNNNNNNNNNNNNNNNNNNNNNNNNNNNNNNNNNNNNNNNNNNNNNNNNNNNNNNNNNNNNNNNNNNNNNNNNNNNNNNNNNNNNNNNNNNNNNNNNNNNNNNNNNNNNNNNNNNNNNNNNNNNNNNNNNNNNNNNNNNNNNNNNNNNNNNNNNNNNNNNNNNNNNNNNNNNNNNNNNNNNNNNNNNNNNNNNNNNNNNNNNNNNNNNNNNNNNNNNNNNNNNNNNNNNNNNNNNNNNNNNNNNNNNNNNNNNNNNNNNNNNNNNNNNNNNNNNNNNNNNNNNNNNNNNNNNNNNNNNNNNNNNNNNNNNNNNNNNNNNNNNNNNNNNNNNNNNNNNNNNNNNNNNNNNNNNNNNNNNNNNNNNNNNNNNNNNNNNNNNNNNNNNNNNNNNNNNNNNNNNNNNNNNNNNNNNNNNNNNNNNNNNNNNNNNNNNNNNNNNNNNNNNNNNNNNNNNNNNNNNNNNNNNNNNNNNNNNNNNNNNNNNNNNNNNNNNNNNNNNNNNNNNNNNNNNNNNNNNNNNNNNNNNNNNNNNNNNNNNNNNNNNNNNNNNNNNNNNNNNNNNNNNNNNNNNNNNNNNNNNNNNNNNNNNNNNNNNNNNNNNNNNNNNNNNNNNNNNNNNNNNNNNNNNNNNNNNNNNNNNNNNNNNNNNNNNNNNNNNNNNNNNNNNNNNNNNNNNNNNNNNNNNNNNNNNNNNNNNNNNNNNNNNNNNNNNNNNNNNNNNNNNNNNNNNNNNNNNNNNNNNNNNNNNNNNNNNNNNNNNNNNNNNNNNNNNNNNNNNNNNNNNNNNNNNNNNNNNNNNNNNNNNNNNNNNNNNNNNNNNNNNNNNNNNNNNNNNNNNNNNNNNNNNNNNNNNNNNNNNNNNNNNNNNNNNNNNNNNNNNNNNNNNNNNNNNNNNNNNNNNNNNNNNNNNNNNNNNNNNNNNNNNNNNNNNNNNNNNNNNNNNNNNNNNNNNNNNNNNNNNNNNNNNNNNNNNNNNNNNNNNNNNNNNNNNNNNNNNNNNNNNNNNNNNNNNNNNNNNNNNNNNNNNNNNNNNNNNNNNNNNNNNNNNNNNNNNNNNNNNNNNNNNNNNNNNNNNNNNNNNNNNNNNNNNNNNNNNNNNNNNNNNNNNNNNNNNNNNNNNNNNNNNNNNNNNNNNNNNNNNNNNNNNNNNNNNNNNNNNNNNNNNNNNNNNNNNNNNNNNNNNNNNNNNNNNNNNNNNNNNNNNNNNNNNNNNNNNNNNNNNNNNNNNNNNNNNNNNNNNNNNNNNNNNNNNNNNNNNNNNNNNNNNNNNNNNNNNNNNNNNNNNNNNNNNNNNNNNNNNNNNNNNNNNNNNNNNNNNNNNNNNNNNNNNNNNNNNNNNNNNNNNNNNNNNNNNNNNNNNNNNNNNNNNNNNNNNNNNNNNNNNNNNNNNNNNNNNNNNNNNNNNNNNNNNNNNNNNNNNNNNNNNNNNNNNNNNNNNNNNNNNNNNNNNNNNNNNNNNNNNNNNNNNNNNNNNNNNNNNNNNNNNNNNNNNNNNNNNNNNNNNNNNNNNNNNNNNNNNNNNNNNNNNNNNNNNNNNNNNNNNNNNNNNNNNNNNNNNNNNNNNNNNNNNNNNNNNNNNNNNNNNNNNNNNNNNNNNNNNNNNNNNNNNNNNNNNNNNNNNNNNNNNNNNNNNNNNNNNNNNNNNNNNNNNNNNNNNNNNNNNNNNNNNNNNNNNNNNNNNNNNNNNNNNNNNNNNNNNNNNNNNNNNNNNNNNNNNNNNNNNNNNNNNNNNNNNNNNNNNNNNNNNNNNNNNNNNNNNNNNNNNNNNNNNNNNNNNNNNNNNNNNNNNNNNNNNNNNNNNNNNNNNNNNNNNNNNNNNNNNNNNNNNNNNNNNNNNNNNNNNNNNNNNNNNNNNNNNNNNNNNNNNNNNNNNNNNNNNNNNNNNNNNNNNNNNNNNNNNNNNNNNNNNNNNNNNNNNNNNNNNNNNNNNNNNNNNNNNNNNNNNNNNNNNNNNNNNNNNNNNNNNNNNNNNNNNNNNNNNNNNNNNNNNNNNNNNNNNNNNNNNNNNNNNNNNNNNNNNNNNNNNNNNNNNNNNNNNNNNNNNNNNNNNNNNNNNNNNNNNNNNNNNNNNNNNNNNNNNNNNNNNNNNNNNNNNNNNNNNNNNNNNNNNNNNNNNNNNNNNNNNNNNNNNNNNNNNNNNNNNNNNNNNNNNNNNNNNNNNNNNNNNNNNNNNNNNNNNNNNNNNNNNNNNNNNNNNNNNNNNNNNNNNNNNNNNNNNNNNNNNNNNNNNNNNNNNNNNNNNNNNNNNNNNNNNNNNNNNNNNNNNNNNNNNNNNNNNNNNNNNNNNNNNNNNNNNNNNNNNNNNNNNNNNNNNNNNNNNNNNNNNNNNNNNNNNNNNNNNNNNNNNNNNNNNNNNNNNNNNNNNNNNNNNNNNNNNNNNNNNNNNNNNNNNNNNNNNNNNNNNNNNNNNNNNNNNNNNNNNNNNNNNNNNNNNNNNNNNNNNNNNNNNNNNNNNNNNNNNNNNNNNNNNNNNNNNNNNNNNNNNNNNNNNNNNNNNNNUACGGGAUUGAUCCGUCAGUGGCAAGUCCCAAUCUUACAUUUCGGGGAUCAGUAGCAAACUCGGGGAACGUUCGAUCGAACUCUUUCCAUGCCUCCCCAUCUGCAGGAUGCCGCAUCACAUCAUCGUCUACCCGUUUUUCCUUAUGCCAUCUCAUGUCUGUGGCAGUAUGCGUCGACAUAUACAAUCGCUGCAACCUAGGUUUAAGGGGUAGAUAACGCAUGACUUUUUGUGGUAUCUUAGUCGUUCUAUUCUGGGAUGUCAUUUUGAACCUCGACUCAUUGCAUAUAGGGCAUGUAUCCAACGUUUCAUGCUCUUUGUAGAAUAACAUGCAAUUGUUUUUGCAAGCGUGGAUUUUUUCAUAACCCAAUCCAAGACCGUGCAACACCUUCUGUGCAUGUUUAUGGUCUUUCGGCAAACAAUUGUCCGUCGGAAGCAUUCUCUUGAAAACCCCCAAAAAGUAAUCGAAACACAAGUUCGACAUACGAUACUUUAUUUUUCCGUGCAUUAGCUCCACAAUGACAGUGAGAACGGAAAAGCUCUCGCACCCCGGGUAUAACUCUUGGUUGGCAUUUUUUAACAGUUUUUCAUACUGUUCAAACUCCGCACUGUCUAUUGGUGUAGGCAUGUCAUCUUCCCCUUCCUGAUUGAUGUUGGUCGAUGCGAAUGGAAAAGCAUCCUGUAUAAUACCCAUGACUUGAUCAUUAGGAUCCACAUUAGGUUCAACAUUGUCCCCUCUUGGGGCAUUUGAAGACGAAGCAUGCUCUACUUGUUCGCCGUGAAGGUUCCAAAUGCAAUAUGUUUCAAUCAUUCCAUUCCUUACUAAAUGAAAUCCAACAUUUUCAAUUGUCUCCCACAACGUGUUGUUACACCUCCUACAAGGACAACGGAUUCUAGUUGCACCCGGGUUGUGUCUACGUGCAAACUCAAUAAAAUCCUCGAUUCCAUCCAAGUAUUCGUCUGCGCAUCUAUUCGGGUUCUGUAUCCACCUUCUGUCCAUAAUUCCUGAAACCACAAUCACGACACAACAAUCACAACAAUCACAACAACUUCAUACGAAGUUAUAAUGUCACCUUAUGCCUCCGGUAAGGGCCCUAUCCCAUUCGGGAAUGCAUAGUCCUGUCACGUAACCUACGGCUACAUGAGAUUAGAUUUCGACGUGGAUUAAUUUUGGCAGCAUCUCGACACAGUUCUUGAAGUGGGCAUAGGUAUAAAUACCUACGUACCACCCGAAGAACGUACCGAGAUGACACCGAAAUCUCCACAAUCGAAACCUAAUCCUGUAGCCGAAGAUUAUGUGACAACACUAUGCAUUACCAAACUGUCCAAAUAAUGGGACAAUUCAAGAAUUAAUUGGACCGCAGUCAUGCAUUACGCAUCCAUGCACGAAAUCCAACUAAUCUCGAACGGGAAACUACGUGUUACUAAACAUAAAAAUAAAAGUACGAAGUUAAUUUCAAUUAACUUCGUACAUCACAACACAUUGUGCUAUGUCACGCACAAUUUCACAACAUUAUACACAUAUGACUUCACAAAAAAAUUACAAACAAACUUUUACAAUAACAUACCUUCUCAAUCGUUCUCCACCAAUCACCAAUCACAAAUAUCCCUAACGAUAACAAAAUUAAUAGCGUUACUACGAAUUUACAUCAAUACAUUUAAACUAACGACAAAAAAUACAUACCCAAUGAACGUACUGAAUUCACAGCAGAGCAACGGCAGAGAGAAUGAGAGAGAGGCAAAAUGCAGUGGGAGAGUGAGAGAGAGGCAGAAUGCAGAAACUGCAUUCUGCCUCUGCAAUGGCAGAUAUUAAAAUGAAGAAUACGGACUUUGCGCGACGAACAAUCCAAUUCGUCGCGCAAAAUGCCGUCGCAAAAAAUCACUUUUCCGUCGCACAAAACAACAUUUCCGUCGCGCAAUUACCUGCCGACAUCUGGUUUUUUGCGCGACGAACUAAAUUAUCCGUCGCACAAACAUUCGUCGCGCAAAUAAGAUUAUUCGUCGCGCAAAUUAUUCAUUUCGUCGCGCAAGAAAGCACCGGCAUCACACUUUACGCGACGAAGGUGGUUCCGUCGCGCAAAAAAGUUUUAUCCACCCUGCAUUUUGCCGCCAAAAAUAAGUAAACCCUCGUUUUUUUUACGCGACGCUACAUAUUUCCGUCGCGCUAAGUUGUCUUUUGCGACGGAAACGUUCGUCGCGCAAAGUUUUUUACAGCAAAAAAAAUUAGCCAAUUUUCUGUCCAUCUUUACGCGACGAAAUAUAUGUAUUGUCGCGCAAUAUUGUCAUGCGCGACGUUUGUCGUCGUCGCGCAAGAUUCUGGCGCCAAAAAAAAAAACCAGGGUUUUUUCCCAGACCUUUGCUCGACGAAACUAGUUUUGGUCGCGCAUAGAUUGUUUGCGCGACGAAGAGUUUUCGUCGCGCUAGUGUUCUGCUGUUUGCGCUACUGUAUUUUUUUUUCGUCGCAAUAGUGAUUUUUGCGCGACGAAAAUAUGUUCGUCGCGCAAAUGUCCGUCGCGCAAACAGUAAAUCGUAGUAGUGAAUGAGUUGGCCGAGUCCCUUCAUGUAAGUAUUAUUUAAUUUUAAUUCUUAUGUUACGCAUUCAAUUUAUAUGCAUGUUUUAAUUUAUAUUUUAUGUUAUGUUCAACAGACGAUGAUGGUGGAGAGGAGCCAGUUGGUUCUUCAGGAGUCCGCCUCCCAGCUUCCUCCCGAGACUCCGAUCGAGUCUGUGGCUCCUCCACAGGAUGCUGGAUUUCAGAUCUUGACGGAGACGUUGGAUCAGACUCUCGGGAGGAGGCCGGGGACAUAUUGUCGAGGGAUGGGGAAUGCCCAGCGGAGGGAACCUCGACCUCGUUCAUCGGCGCAGUCAAACAGUCAGGUCACUGCUUUGACAGCACAGGUGGCCACUCUUCAGAGCCAGAUGUCGGUCAUUCUGCAGUCCCUCGCACAGUCCGGCAUUCCAGUCCCGCAUUUUGAUGCGCCGACCUCCGAGCCCGUCCAUCCCGGGCAUCCCCACCAGACCACUGCCCCAGUGAACGCCCCGACCUCCGAGCCGCAUACUGGCGACGACUCGGUUGAUUUUGAUUCAUUAUUUGAUUAGUGUAUUUAUUUUAUUUAUAAUACAUUUAUUUUAUUUUAUAACAAAAUUUUAUUCUAAUUUAUUUUUAUUGCAAUUUCAUUGUUUAAUCAAUAAAAAAAACCAAUUUUAUUUAAAAUAAAAAAUAUAAAAAAUAAAAAAAAAUUGUAAUAUUAUGUUUGCGCGACGGAAAAUAUUUCGUCGCGCAAACCCGCAUGUAACAAAAAAAAUUAAAAAAAUCAACUUUUUUAUUACUUUUAAUUCUUGCGCGACGAAUGCAUACGUCUCGCAAACACGUUUUGCGCGACGAAUUGUUUCGUCGCGCAUCUUCUCUGGCGCGACAACAGAGAUUUUCGUCGCGCAAAUAUAUGAGCAACGAAAGCUUUCUCAUCGCGCGAAUGGUUCUGCGGCGAACAUCUACGUCUCCUGAACACGUUUUGUGCGACGAAUUAGUUUUCGUCGCGCAAAGAUAUGUGCGACGAAUAAUUGAUCGUCGCGCAAAUUUUAUGCGACGAACAGUUGUUUCGUCUCCAUACCGUUGGUGCAACGAUAGUUUACCCGUCGCACAGUUUUGCGCGACGAAUUGUUAUACCUCGUCGCGCAAAGGAUUUCUUCACGAUCUUCGCGCGACGGAAAAUGCGCGACGAAUUGUUUGUCGCGCUGAAGUUAGUGCGACAAAAUGAGACUUUGCGCGACGUUUUUUUAUUCGUCGCGCAAAGAGUAAAAUGUAGUAGUGUGUGUUCAGGAUUUCAGAUUCUCCAUUCGAUUGGCUAUUCCUUAUAAUUAUGUACAUGUAUGUUGUUAUUUAGAGAGAGAGAGAGAGGGAGGGAGAGAGGUAAAGUGUACAAACUAGAAUAAGUGAUAUCUCUCUAGCAAUCCAAGCCUUGAGUGUUGGUCAUUUGAUCUGCAAAUCUUGCUCUCUGGCUCUGGUCUUUUACUAAAUCCGGCUCUUUCCUUUCUGUGUAACUUCUCAGAAACAGAGAAGAUGAUCUUCUAAGAAUUAAGUAGGACUUUCAAAGCCAAUUUUUCAAUUUGAUCCCUGCUCUACAUAAAAUAUAAAAAAUUAAUACCUCUGCUGCGAUGUUUCCUGUAUUUUUACUUGUAUGUGUAUGCAUUAUUCACGUUCGCAUUGUCACAUUAUGGAUUUAGUUUUGAAGUGAGAAUCUUACUUGGAUUUCUCGCAGACCACCUAUGUAAUUCGGCACAAACUACUACCCUCUAGUUUUCUACAAGCACAAGCUCUUGAGAUGAAAUCAAAUUUAUCAUAUGAGUUAUCCCCUAGGGUAAGUUUCAAUGUUACAUACAAUAAAUGUGAUCACUGUAGGUUAGUCGGUUGAGCUUUGAUUUUGUUUACUUCUCAUUUUGUAUCUCAAGGCUAAAAAGUUGGAAGAUUGGUUCAUCCUUUGCGUUAAAAAAAGACCUAAAGAAACCCAGCUGCUUCUAUGUAAGGCAUCCUGGUUCUAAUUAUUUAUUUAUCUUUUUGUGAUUUUUUUAAUACUGUUUGUCAACUUUGUGAGAUUCUUUCGGGGUUAACUGCAAUUUUUGUGAUUCUUUUAACCAGAGCAAGCUGAAAAAUUGUGAGUUGGAAGCACAAGGAAAGCUUGUAAAAAUUGAAAUGGUGUUGGAGCUCAUUUUGCUGUUAAGCCAUUUGUCUGUGUUAGAUGUGCGUGGGCUGCUGCAUGUUGGUGCUCUAGGCUAAAAAUUUUGGGACUUUGAUUCCAAGAAAAUAAUGAAGUUUCCCGAGAUCCUUCAUAGAAAAUAUAAGUUGCCUAAUCGCCGAAUCAAAUGAGAAAUUUGUUCUUGAUCAUUGCCAAUUAUAAGGAUGUCAUCGACAUAAAUGAGCAGAACCAAAUAGAUGCCUUGUUAAUUGUAAACAAAGAGUGUGUAGUCACAUUUGGACUCAUGAAAUCCAAGCUGCAAAAGAUAUUCAGAGAAUCAUUGAAACCAAGCUUGUGGAGCUUGUUUCAAUCCAUAUAGACUACGCUUCAAUUUACACACAUGAGAUCGAAAUUGUUGAUCCACAAAGCCAGUAGGUUGUUUCAUUAACACAUCUUCAUAGAGAUUUGCAUGUAGAAACGCAUUUUAUACAUCAAGUUUGUGAACCUGCCAUCUAUUGCUCACGGCCAGGCUAAGAACAAGACGAAUGGUGCUAUGUUUGACCACGAGAUUGAAGGUUUCACUGUAGUCGAUACCUUGUUGCUGAUGGAGACCAUUGGCAACAAGUCUGGCCUUGUAUCUCUCUAUUGAUCCAUCUGCUCUCUUCUUUACUUCGAACACCCACUUAUUUGGAAGCAAAUUCAUAUGAGGCUGAUAAAGAACUAGCUGCCAAGUACCAUUAUGUUGCAAAGCAUUAAAUUCCUGAGCCAUUGCAUGUCUCCAUUCCUCCUGUUUCGUUGACUGACUAAAACAAGUAGGUUCAAUGCAUUAGUAUCCAAAAUAACAUGUAGAGCAUAUCUGGGAUUGGGUUUUGGAAAACCCAACUGAGACUUGGUCGCCAUAGGAUGAUGAGAAAUAGCUUGAGAAACCUGCGGGACAAUAUCUUCAUUUAUUGGCUCAUUAGGAGUUGGGAAAGGAGUAAGUGUUGGAGUGGGAGAAGGAGAUUGAUUUAAUUGCACAUCGUCAGGCGUGCAAUGAGGAAGUGGAGGUGAAGUAGGAUUGUUUCUUGUAGGCAACGAAACAUAACCUGAAGGCAAAUUGAAUUAGUUGUUUCUGGAAAAGUAAACAACAUUGCAGAAUCAAAAUUGGUACCUGUGUGUUCGAGGCUCCCCUUGGAAGAUGUGAGUUCUUAAAAUGGAAAAACGUCCUUAUCGAAUAGGACAUGGCGAGAAAAAUAAAUGCGUCUCGUGGAUAAAUCCAAACACUUAUACCCUGAUGAUUAAGAGAAUAUCCUAAGAAUACACAAGUUCUUUAUUUUGGUUGUAAUGUAUGUUUAUUAUAUGGAGUGAGCUAGGGAAAACACCUACACCCAAAGAUUCGAAGCAUGUCAUAUGAAGGAGUUUUAUGAAACAAUUUUUCAAAAGGAGACAUAUGGUUUAGCACACGUGUGGGAAGGCGAUUUAUGAGAUAAGUGGCAGUUUGGCAGGCUUCUAGCCAAUAAGAGAUAGGAAUGUGAGCAUGGUUAAGCAUGACAAUAGCAGUUUCAAUGAGAUGAUGAUGUUUCCUUUCUACAAGGCCGUUAUGUUCUGGAUGUUUAGGACAGGUAAUGCGUUGAGUAAUUCCAUGUUUUGCCAAAAAUUAUUGAAAGGCUAGUUUUGUGUAUUGGCCUCCUUCUUCACUUUGAAGAGCUCUUGUUGAGGUGUUGAGCAUUUUUUCUAUUUGUUUUUUAAAUUUGAUAAAAAUAUCAAAUACUUCAUAUUUUUGUUUCAUGAGGAAUAUCCAAGUGUAUCGAGAGAAGUCAUCAACUAGAAGAAAAUAAUAACGAAAGCCAUGAAUUGAAGCAAUUGGUGAACUCUAAACAUCAGAGUGUACAAGAGCCAUUGGAGACAAAAACACAGAAUCUGAAAUUGAAAAUGGUAAUUUAGUGCUUUUACCUAAAGGACAUGAAGAACAAAAAGGUACAUGAGAAGAGCCACUAAUUGGCACUUUAUUAUUUGAAAUCAAAUUCUUUAUUAUUGCACUAGCUGGAUGGCCUAGGCGAGAAUGCCAUUUUUGAAUUGAGACACGAGUUCCUUCGAAAGCAGAAAAAGAUUGAUUGGAAAAUCCACCGCUAUUUGUGAAUGGAUAUAAUCCAUUCUCACACCUCCCUUGGAAAAAUGUCUUCUGUGUCUUGAGGUCCUUCACAAAAAAAAACCAAUCAGGACAGAUGAGAAUAUAGCAAUUAUUGUCAGAAGUGAAACGAUGAACGGGAAUCAAAUUUGUAGAAGCAAAAGGGCGAACGUGUUAUGAAAACAGAAAAUGAAAACAGGAUCUUGAAAAGUUAAAGUUACCGAAUGACCCCUAAGUUGUAAUUGACUUAGUGAGAGAGCACUCCCAUUGAUAUUUUUUAAGCAACGAUUUCUUAUUAAUAAUUGAUAAUUUCCCAUGCAUAGAGCUCAACCCACAUGGAAUCUUAUUGUUUUUCAACUUUUUCUCUUCUAUAGAUUUUGUUCAAUUUUCUUAUUUUGUAAGUGGACAAAAGAUGAGAGAAAAUGUCAAUCUCCCUUUUCCAGCUCCCUUAUUAAUUCACAUGUUAAAAUACGAGUGCAUUUUAUAUGUCAUGAACCUAGGUCAUAGUCAGUCAAUGGUUGAUCCACUUAAGGACUAGUAAAGGUUGUUGCCCCUACUCACCCUUCUUCCUAUCCAUGAAGUUCCUAGAAUCUUUAUUAAAGAUAUGCUUGAGUAUGUUGCAAUGGGGCAAGGUGUUUGAUAAAAGUCCUCUGAGAGAACAUGGAGGUGCAAAGUUGUGCGGGCAGCUAAACUUCAUAUGUUUUUUUGUUUAAAUUGACAUACCAAAACCAGGUCGUAUCUUGUUACUUGUAUAUAAUUCAUUCAUAUUUGAAGAAUAUUGAGCAUUGGAAUUUUUAGUUCUAUUUUGGAAUUCCCCAGGAUUCAUGUUACUCAGAAAAUAUUGUUGUCUUCUUUAGGUAUGAAUCUAAAAAUUCUGUUAGUGAUUUGAACUACUUUAUUUUGCCCCUCCUCAAUUUAAAAAAAUUCUGGAUUCGCCACCCAUGCAAUAUGGCACCCAACACAAACGGAAAUAUCAUCCUCCACCAACCUGUUUUGGACAAUAAACAACUAAUUAACCAUGAUGUCCUCUUUUUUCCUUCUCAAAUGCACCGACCUUUCCAAAUUAUCUACCACCAUUACUUUAUGCCAGCCAUCAUUACGUUCAAACCCAUUCCAACAUUAUUAUUUAAGAAUUAACAUUAAAUAAUUAUAUUUGACUCCAUCAUAUUUUCUAAUUAUAAUAUAGUAAUUACUCCUUUCAUGAUAACCACUCUUCUAAGAUAUACGAAUUCCUGUCAGUUUUACUUGGCUGCUUAUGUGUAAGAGCAUCUCAUUUUCAUAUAAAAUAUUGGUUAACUUAUGGUACACGUUACACCUACUUAUUAAAAGACAAGACUCGCGAUGAUAGGAACAAUGAGUCGAACCAAUACCCCAAUAUAUAAUGACUAUCAUGAGGAUUAGGUAACGUGGUUAGCUAAUAUGAUUAGAAAAUAUGAUUUAUCUAAUCGCUUCUUAUUAAGGUUUUUCUGUGUAGGGAAGGUUGGAUUUUUGUUUUUUGUUUUUCCAAAGUCGAAAGAUAACUUUAUUAAAAAUAGAUGAAAAUGUGAAUUGGAUUGUUAGACGUUGAUUUCUCUUCUUUAGACAAUUAAUAAAUUUGAUCGUAGUGCCCUUUUCGAAAGCUUGGAUAACUUGAUUUACUACAAAAACCCCUGCUCCAUCAUUAAUCUUAAAUCAUUACAUAUAGAGUGCUGAUGGAGUUCUUGUGGAGGCUGGGUAGGUCUUUUUAAAUAUUUUAUUUUUAUGAAUAAAUAUUUUAAUUAUUUCAUUUGUAAAUAUAUAAUAAGUUUUUAAAUUUAUUUAAAUAAAAUAUAUUAAAGAUAUUUUUAGUAAUUAAAUAUAAUAAAAUAGAACAAAUUAUGAAAAUAACAACACUCUUAUUUAUAUAUAUAUUUCGAAAAACCACCGACUUAUCUUAUUGCUAAUGUAAAUUGUAAUUGACUUAUUGAGAGAGCACUCCCAUUGGUCAUGCUUAGAGCUCCACUCACAUGAAAUCUUAUUGUUGUUCAAACUUUCACUUUACCGUAGAUUUUAUUGUGGCCUUCGAGGAAAUUGAUCUUAUAAUAUUCAAGAGUAGGCAAGUGGAUUCCAACAAAGAAAGAGGGAAAAUUCUGUGGUGCCUCAGUUGUACCGGUACAGUCAAUCAUCUAAAGGUUCAUAUUUUAUUUUAAAAAUUAAGGGUUGAGAUUGAAUGACCUGAUGACUUGUUCACUCCUUUCUUAUUAAAGAGUACGUGAAAUACACGUGACUGAGAAAACAAACGAAAAAGCUUUGACGAACGCGAGAAAUACGUCGCGUGCACUGAGAGCUGCUUCAUCUUUGCAAUAUCUCUCUCUCUCUCAAAUCCAAUCCUCAUCUUUGUCCUCAAGUCAGAAUCUGAGCAUCUCCUCUCUGCCGACGCCGCGAUGCGCAAGAACCAUCGGAGAGGAGACAGAGUAGGGUGAUUCAGUCGAGUUCGACGGGGGUGGUGUGAAAGGCCUUUAUUUGGGUAGAAAUUCAACGACUUAGUAUUGAAUCUGGAGUGAGGAUGUCUGUGUUGCAGAGCCUUUGAUGGGAGAAAAAAUUCAACGCCUUGGACUGAAUCUUGGUGAUUUUUUUAUGGGUAAUGAUUUCCCCACUCCAAUUUUAUCCACUUACACUCCUUUUUUAGUUAUAAAAUGGAGUGUAAGUGGAUAAAAUUGGAGUGGGGAAAUCACCACUCUUUUUUUUCCCUCUUUUAAUAAUUUUUAAUAAUUUAAUAAUUUAAUAUUUUCUCUUAAUUUCAUCACAACAUCAAACCCACUGUGAUCCUUUCUCCAUCAAACCCACUGUGAUCCUUUCUCCAUCAAACCCAUGUAAUUUUCGUUUUAUGGAGGAUUUGUUUUCUUCCAUGUAUGAGGUUAUGGAUUUGUGCUUCAAAAUAAGGUAUGAAAUUUUGAAUAAUCAGGUUGUUGAUUUUCUUUAAAGUCUUGGAUUCUUGAAUUUUCUUCCUACUUUUUUUUUUUUUUUUCAAUUUGAGAUUUGUUUUAUUACUCAAGAACUCUGGUCAUGAUGAAUCCAAUUGGAGUUUUCGGGCUUGUUAGUGGAGAACUGAGGUUGGCCUCAAAAGAGAAAGAUGAGUUCUUUAACUGAGAAACCUCAUAACUGGUUUUGAUUUUGGCUAUAUUAUUUCUUAUGUGCAAUUGCAUAUAUUUUUUUGCAAUUGCAUACAGUUUAUGCAAUUUUUGACCCCCUGUAUGCAAUUAGCGAUAGUGUGAUGUUUAAAGAAACGUUUGACUUGAAUGCUAUGUCAUUGAGUUAUUUACCCAUUAACAAUCUAGUAACAAUUGAGGUUUCGUUCGUUGAGUAUGUUGCGUUCAUUUGAUAAAUUUAAAUGUUGGUAUAUUCGGUAAGAAAAAAUAAGAGUUCACGAGAAAGAAGAAGACAUGAUAUUUUUUUUUUUUUUAGGUGAAGUGUCUUGGGUUGCCAUUACCAUUUCAAAGAUUGUAUUGCUAAAUCUAUAAGUGUAUGGUUUAAAUGUGAUGUUCAUGAUUGAUAUUGGUUGUUGUGAUUGCCGUAACUGCUAUAUAUUGGUUGCUCUGGCUAAGGAUUCAGGAAAAGAGCAGUUAAGACAAGUGCAUUUUUGUUACACUGAAAUAUGUGUUUUGAGAUACCAUCACAAUGUUUGAAUAAUCUCUCUCUACCUCCCUCUCAUUUGCAGAAAGGGGUAUGCUCACUUGGACUUUUCAUGCAUACUUGGUGAGAUUCUCACCUUCUUCUGAGAGCCUAAUAUUUAGGGGCUAACAUUUGUGUACUCUACAAGUUAUAAAUUGAGCUAAACGUAUUACAAAAUAUUUUAGGUGAAGUGUUUUCUUUGUUUAUGUUUCUUUUUUCAGAUCUUAUUUCUUAUUUAUGUGACAUGUAGUCUUGGUUAGAGAAAAUAGAUGAUAUCACAUAUAAUUUUCUAUAGCUUUUAGGUAGUAGUAGAUUAUCCGUAUUGUCAUGCAAAUGAACACACACAAAAAAGAGGCCCUCUAGCCAAAAAGAGGAAAUUUGGUGAUCUUUGCAUACGUUAUAAGAGUGUGAGCCAAUGAGCCUUCUAGUAAAAACGAAAGAAGUUAAAAACCAAAAGAAGGGCGGAAUGCAAUUGCAUAUUGUAAACUAAGAAUUGCAAACAGAUGUUACGAAAUUGCAUACAUAUAUAUGUAAUUGCUUAUUGUAAAAUGAGAAUUGCACAUAAAUGCUAUGAGAUUGCAUACAAGUAUAUGAACGAAAAAAGUUAAAAACCAAAAGAAGGGCAGAAUGCAAUUGCAUAUUGUAAGCUAAUAAUUGCAAACAGACGUUACGAAAUUGCGUAUAUAUAUACAAUUGCAUAUUGUAAAAUGAGAUUGCACAUAGAUGCUACGAGAUUGCAUACAGGCAUAUGCAUAUGGAUACUAUAAAUUGAGAAUUGCACACGUGCUAUCAAAUAUGCGAUAUAUGCCCACAAAAACCAUUAACAUGGUUAAAUUGUUGAUUUAGUCCUUGAACUUGUAUCCAAUUUUCAAUUUAUCGCAUGACAUUUUUUUUAUAAUAUUACGGAUAUGAAUUUUCUUUAUCGCCAAUGUCUCCCCUGCCGUUUAAUUCCCUAACAUUUCAUCCAAUCUGUCAUUAAAUAUGAGGGCACAUUGAUCAUUUCAUACGUUAAACAUAAUUGAAUUAUGUAAAAUAAAAUAAUAUAAAAAGAUAUUAAAUAUAUGCCUUAAAGCCAAACAUGUGAUAUUGCGUUCUUUUUUGGAUAUUUCACCAUCAUUUAUGGGCAAAAUCGUUGUUUUCAUCUAUGUUAUUUAGUCUACAAUCAUAACAGCACAACAAUCCUUGGAAUAUGAUUCGUAUGUGGGCUAAGCAAUGAGAUUGGAUAUAAGAAGACUUCUCAUAUUUCCACUUCACUUCGUGGUCAUAUAUUAUCAAUUGGGCAUUGAUCAUAAUCGAAAAAGUCCAAUUUUCUUUUUCGUCAAUUCAAUGUGACUCAAUCAAUCGACCAUUAAGUAAUAAUUUUUGUUGAAAGCUUUUAAAUUUAUAUUUGUACCAACAAUCAUAUGUUUGAUUUUAUUGAAUUUUUUUUAAUUAACAAUAUAGGAAUAAUUGGAGAUAAUCAACAAAGUUCAAUUUUAUUCUCAAUAUUUCAUUGGGUUAAAUUAUUAGUAAAUCAUGAAAGUUAUAUUCAAUAAUUUAUGCCCAACAAACCUACCUAAAGAACGCUAAGUGACUCGUUCGCCGGGUAUAUAAUGUUGUUCGUUGACCAAAUUACCCAAUGAACUCCUUGAUUUACUCAAUAAAAAAGGUAUUUUACUUCGAAGACGCAAGGGGAGCGCUCGGUGAGUAAAGCUCGUUGUUCCCCGAGAAAUUGGACUAACUAAAAUAUUUUAUCAAACAAAUGCGCUAUUUUUUCACUUGAACGCAGGGGGUGAGUUCGUUGAAUAAAGUUGGUCGUUUCCCGGGAAAUUGGACCCAACUAACUUACUUUUUCAAACAAAUGGACUAUUUGUUCAUGCGAACGCAGGGGUUGCGUUCAUUGAGUAAAGUUGAACAUUCCUCGUUCCUCAGAAAAAUGGGCCAAACUAACUUACUUUUUUAAACAAAUGGACUAUUUGUUCACGCAAACGCAGAUGUUGCGUUCAUUGAGUAAAGUUGCAUGUUCUCCGGAAAAAUAGACCCAACUAACUUACUUUUUCAAACAAACAGGCUAUUUGUUCAUACAAAUGCAAGGGUUGCGUUGGUUGAGUAAAGUUGCUCAUUCAUCGGAAAAAUGGGCCUAUUAUCGAAAUUACGUAGUAAUGGACAUUGUUAUGUAGUACAAAUAAUUUUCCAAAAGAUCCCGAAUUUCGUAAAACACAAUGUGAUUAACCUUAAUAUUGAAUAAUAGACAUAUGGUUAUAAUAAAGUAUUUGCUUGGUUUUCUUUGUCUUUGCGCUAUACAUUAAUUAGGUUUGCAUUUUUAAGGUGUGUUUAGUUUGCACACAGCCGGUUUGCAUUUGCAUUUUACACAUGCAAUUGCAUGACGAUGAUGCAAUGCAAGAGUGACUGUGCGCAAACCCCUAAUAAGGAAAAAUGGAUCAUAUUUUUUUGUACAUGCAUAAUUAGACCUAUUUUUUGAACUAUAAAUCGAAGGGCGAAAUGAACCGAAAUACAGAGCAUGAGAAACAGUAAGGGGCAAUAAGCCGAACAUAUUAAAAGAUCCUUGCAAAGUCCACGUGGACGCAAAUCAUGCGGAACAUGGUUAUAGAAGUUAGUCAUAACAUGAACUUUGGGAUCAUUUGGAUCCCAACCUUGCUGUUUUGGAUUUUUGACAACGUGAGGUUGGUUUGAAGAGGAAGCCAUGCAUUUGUAAUGGAUAGAGUCAAAGAAGCAGUCACUCAAAUGCCCCUUUAUAAUAGAAUGGAGGGUUUAAAAUGUUAACGCAAGGGUUACCCGGAAAAAUUAAUCCAGCCAACUAACGUUUUCAAACAAACGAGGGUUUUGUUCACACAAACGAAAUGAUUGCGUUCGUUGAGAAACGUUACCCGUUCGCCGAUAAAAUAUCCCCAACCACCUUACUUUUUCAAACAAACGCGGUGUUUGUUCUAGCGAACCUAAGGGUUGCGUUUGUUCAGUAAAGUUACCCGUUCCCCGAAAAAUGGGCCCAACCAACUUACUUUUGUAAACAAACGGGUAGUUUGUUCAAUCGAACGUAAAGGUUUGCUUUCGUUCAGAAAUACUCGACGUUCCGCCGAAAAAGAGGGCCAACAAUCUUACUUGUUCAAACCAACAUGGUAUUUAUUCACACGAACACAAUAUGUGCGUUACUUGAGAAAAGUAACCCGUUCGUCGAAAACAUGCCUCAACCACCUUACUUUUUCAAACAAACGGGGUAUUUUUUCACACCAACGCAACAGGUGCGUUCGUUGAGGAAAGUUUUCUAUUCGCCGAAAAAAUAUAUCCAACCAACUUACUUUUUCAAACAAACGGGGUGUUUGUUCUAGUGAACGCAAAUGGGCCCAACCAACUUACUUUUUCAAACAAAUGGGGAGUUUAUUCAAACAAACGUAAGGGUUUGCUUUCGUUCAAAAAUACUCGACGUUCCGUCGAAAAAGAAGGCCAACAUAGUUACUUUUUUAAACAAACAGGGUAUUUGUUCAAACGAACGCAAUAUGUGUGUUCCUGGAAAAAAGUUACCCGUUCGCCGAAAACAUGCCCCAACCACCUCACGUUUUUAAACAAACGGGGUAUUUUUUCACACCAACGCAACAGGUGCGUUCGUUGAGGAAAGUUUUAUGUUCGUCGAAAAAAUAUAUCCAACCAACUUACUUUUUCAAACAAACGGGCUAUUUGUUCACGUAGACGCAGGGGUUGCGUUCAUUUAGUAAAGUUGCUCGUUCUUCUAAAAAAUGGGCCAAACUAACUUACUUUUUCAAACAAACGGCCUAUUUGUUCACGUAAACGCAAGGGUUGAGUUUGUUGAGUAAAGUUGCUCGUUCCCCGAAAAAAUGGCCCAAACUAACUUACUUUUUCAAACAAACGGGCUAUUUGUUCAUGCGAACGCAGGGGUUGUGUUCGUUGCGUAAAGUUGUCCGUUCCCUAGAAAAAUGGGCCCAACUAACUUACUUUUUCAAACAAACGGGCUAUUUGUUCAUGCGAACACAGGGGUUGCGUUUGUUGAGUAAAGUUGCCCGUUCCCCGAAAAAAUGGGCCAAACUAACUUACUUUUUCAAACAAACGGGCUAUUUGUUCACAUAAACGCAGGGGUUACGUUCGUUGAGUAAAGUUGCUCGUUCCCCCGAAAAAUGGGCCAAACUAACUUACUUUUUCAAACAAAUGCGCUAUUUGUUCAUACGAACGCAAUGGGUUGCGUUCAUUGAGUAAAGUUGUCCGUUCUCCGGAAAAAUGGGCCCAACUAACCUACUUUUUCAAGAAAACAGGCUAUUUGUUCACGCGAAUGCGGGGGUUGCAUUCGUUGAGUUAAGUUCCCCGUUCCCUGAAAAAAUGGCCAAACUAACUUACUUUUUCAAACAAACAGGCUAUUUGUUCAUAUAAACGCAGGGAUUGCGUUCAUUGAGUAAAGUUGCUCGUUCUUCGGAAAAAUUGGCCCAACUAACUUACUUUUUCAAACAAACAGGCUUUUUGUUCACGCGAACGCAACGGGUUGCGUUCAUGGAGUAAAGUUGUCCGUUUCCUAAAAAAAUGGGCCCAACUAACUUACUUUUUCAAACAAAUGGGCUAUUGUUCACGCGAACGCAGCGGUUGCGUUUGUUAAGUAAAGUUUCCCGUUCCCCGGAAAAAUAGGCCAAACUAACUUAAUUUUUCAAACAAACGGGCUAUUUGUUCAUGUAAACGCAGAGGUUGCGUUUGUUGAGUAAAGUUGCCCAUUCCCCGGAAAAAUGGGUCCAACUAACUUACUUUUUCAAACAAACGGGCUAUUUGUUCACGCGAACGCUGGGGUUGCGUUCGUUGAGUAAAAUUGCCCUUUUCCCAGAAAAAUAGGCCAAAUAAACUUACUUUUUCAAACAAACGGGAUAUUUAUUCAUGCAAGGAGUGCGUUCGUAGAGUAAAGUUGCCCGUUCAUCAGGAAAAUGGACCCCACUAACUUUCUUUUUCAAACAAACGCACUAUUUUUUCACGCGAACGCAAGGGUUGCGUUCGUUGAGUAUGUUGCGUUCAUUUGAUAAAGUUAAAUGUUGGUAUGUUCGGUAAGAAAAAAUAAGAGUUCUUGAGAAAGAAGAAGACAUGAUUUUUUUAUUUUUUAUGUUGUUUUGUUUUGUUUUGAGUCAAAGAAAUUAUUAUUAUUAUUUUUUAAAGAAAAAACGUAUGGGUGUGAUAUAUACUAUUGUUAAUUUAAUUGGAUCUUUUCCCUUAUAUUUUUCACGUGCUUCUUUUUUAAAACUACUUAAAAUUUUGUUCUUAAAAUUUUUCACAUAAGCCUUGUACCAAGGGAUAUGCACUAGAAACCAACUCCACUAAAUAAAUUUUUGUGUCAAUUUGUUGCACAUUGGAGUAUAUAUACAGUUGUUAUAAUAUUAAUAUAAAUUAUGUAAAAUAAAAAAAUUUAGAGGGUCCUCAAAAAUCAGGGGCCCUGUGCAUCGGCGCCACUUGCACUAUUUCAGGGCCGCCCUUUCUUAUUAGUUGGGUUAAUCUUAACUAUCUCAUAUAUGGGAAGAUAGUAGGGAGCUCAAGAGAGACCUAUGUGCACUAUGUUCUAACAUGGCUUACAAACUGCUCGGGUUACGUGACUUCGUAUGACUAUUGUAUGAAUCUAGAUGGUUGUUCCUCAUUGUUUGAACCUCAUUGGAGCUCUUCAUUUAUGUAGAUGGACACUUAUCUAAAUUGUAAUCCAAUGUUAAAACAAACUAUGGAUUUAUGCAUAGUUUAUUCAUUCUAAUCAACAUUUUAUUUUCAAACUUUUCAUUAACACGCAUUACAUAUCACUUAUAUUUCAUCAUAUGUAUAUCUUAUUAUUAGUAAAUUUUGAGUUUUAUUUGUUCAAUACAUUCAUUGAUAAUGUACAUAACAUUUAUGAAAGUUUUAUACCAAAAUUAUGUGUUUCAAUGCCUAUAUCUGUCUUCUUCUUUUUUGAUACCUAAGACGAUAACAAUAUAUCCCCCAAAAUAUCCGUAAAUUGGAGGCCCGAUAUUAUUUACAUGGCUAACAUUUUAAUCAUUGGCCUUACCUCUGUGAGGUGAAGAAAUUGGAUUCAGGUAUCGAGUAAAUAGCUUAGAUUUACAGUAUGGCUCUCAAUUGCAAUUGGUUAUAUCCAUUUUAUUUUUUUGAUCUAAAUAUAAUAUAGAUAGUCUAAUUAUUCUUUUCUAUGGGUAUCUAUACAUUAUUGUAUAAUAUUUUAAUGAGUAUAUAGUAUAUGUAACAAUUAAAAAAGAUAACCAGUUUUUUUUGCCAAGAAAAAUGGAGAGCCAAUUAAUCGGUCACUUAUUUUGAGCUAUAAGAUUAUUAGUGAUACUUAUGGAUGGUAUGUUGAUAUUUAAUGGGGUUUUUUUAAUUAAUUUAAAUUAUAUGCUUAUUAGGCUAGAGGGUCUCCGUUAUGAAGUGUAAUAGCGAUUUCUUAUACUUAUUCGACUUUAGGAUGUAAGUUACAAAUUCAAUUACGAUAUGAGUAAUGUGUAAUGGAACGUUAUUUGUGUCGUUAGCAUUUGUAUUGACAACCAUGCAAUUUCCAAAUAGUGGAAGGAAUUUCAAAGAAACUACGCCUUUGUCGAUGUUUCAGUUGUUAAUGCAUGUCUUAGAAUUGUUGUGCAAUUGCACAUCCAUUGUAGAUAAUUGCAUAUAAAAUUUCAAAACAUACUAUGAACUUACAUGUAAUUACUCAUAAUAAUUGGAUAAUUGUAAAAAGACCAUGCAAUUGCACGUACCAUGACGGAAAAACGCAAAAAUAGCUAACCCAUCCCCUCCUUCCCUUCUCGACACCUCUCCCCCAUUCCCUCAGCUCCCUCUCUCUCUCUCUCUCUCUCUUCCCGUCUAAAAGAAACACAAACAUCAAAAAUCAAUCAAACCAAGACAUCAAGAAUCAAACACAGCUCCAUCAAACCCGAACAUGAAAAAUCAAUUAAACCCAAAAAUCAAUCAAACUCAUCCCAGCUUCUCCAUUUUUCACAUAUUUUGCAGGAGAAGGAAGUUUUCAUCAGUUCAUGACUGCAACUUUGUGUGCAUCUGCUCUAUUUGGAUUUAGGAGAAGGGCAGCAACUAGAGAUUUAGUACAAGUCAUAAUAAAUAAUAGUUGAAGUUUAAUGAAUCAAAGGUGAAUCAGAUUUGGGGAAAUAGAAGAAAUCAAAUAAAUUUGGGAUUUCUAAGAAGAGGAUCUCAAGAUUUAAGCAUGUGAAUAAGAGAAAUCAGUCAUGAUACUAUGUUAGAAUUGAGCUAAACAGAAAGAAAAUGAACUAGAGAGAAGGGUAGGUGAGGUAUUAGGAAGAAGAAGAAGGGGAAGGAGUGUCGCGAAGGAAGCGCGUCAAUUUUUCCCCUUGCUUUUACCUGUUAACCAACACAACCGUUUUCCUUUGUUUUAAAAACACCCCCAUGUGAGUGGCUGUACCGGUACAGCUGAUGUACCACAGAAGGACUUUGUUUGGAUUCCAAACAAACAAAAAAAGAGUAGGCAAGUGGUGCAUCUGGAAUUUGAUAAAAAUCCGCGGGCAAUCCUUAUCAGAAAAACUUUUAUGAAAUAAAAAUAGUAUUAUUUUAUUAUCGUGAUCAUUGUGACAUGCGUAAUAAUAUUUUCAGUAUUAUUGGUUUUGAAUAAAAUAAUUAACAAAAUAAUAUUAUCCCUUAUUGCAAGUUGCAACUGAUCCGAAUGGAAAGUAAUAGUUAAAGAAGCGGAUUCCAUUCUACCUCAAAUAAUUGGAAAUUCGUAUUGAAUUGAGAUUUAAAAAUAAUUUUUUACUUAUUAAUAUAGCUGUCAACAUUUAAUUAGUUGAAUGGAAUCCAUUGGUACUAUUGAUGGGAGUUUUAUAACUGUUAUCACUUCCACUAGAGCAAAAUAGAUACGUAGGGAUAAAGAUUAUUAAUAAAAGUAUCAUACAGAUUUUUUUCUUCCUGUUUAACCAAUAUUAUAUGUGGAGUAAUCGAUUCGGGUAACUUAUUAUAUGUUAGAAACUGGACUUACCCAUCACAGCACAUGGAGUACACAUCCUCACAUGCAUGGGAGAACGCCCAACAAUUGUUUAAUCAACGAUUGUCCCAACCAUGGUUAUGCUUAACAUCGCUUUCUAUUAUUAAUUGAUUCUCUCUCUCUCUCUCUCUCUCUCUCUCUCUCUCUCUCUCUCUCUCGUGCAUCAGAGCCCAACCAUGGCAGAAUGCUUUUUCGAAAAUGCAUAUACAAAUCAUUGCUCCCCAGAUUCAAUUUCAGAUAUGUUCUUUUGAUUAAGGUUAUACCAAAAUAAGGCCAUUAUGGCGUCUGCUGCAACAGACCUCUUCCUUGGCAAAUUUGUUGCCAUUCUAGAGAGUGAAGCAGCCUCCAUAGCGGGUGUUCGUGAUCAAGUUGAUGAAAUUAAGCAGGAGCUUGUAUUCAUGAAAUCCUUCUUAGAGGAUGCUGACGGCGGAGAGCAGGCACACACACAAGUAGAGAAAGCGUGGGUCGCAAGCGUUCGAGACUUGGCCAAUGAUGUUGAAAACACCAUUGAUGAGUUCAUGUAUCGCGUGUACGAGCAACGAAAUGGUGGUCGAUUUUCCAGGUGGUUCCACAAAACCAUUCACUUUCCAAAGCACCUUUGGUAUAAGCGUCGAAUAGCCAACAAGUUACAGAAAAUCGCGGUGGCGAUUAGAGCUAUUCCGGAGAGAAAUCAGAGAUAUCAUGGUGCUGCAGCUGUAGAAGUAAAAAGUACUUCUGAGGAUAUUCGAAGAUGGGUGCAGAACCAAGCGGAGUCUUCUCUUUAUCAGAAGGAGGAUGAACUUGUCGGGAUUGAAGGCGAUAAGAACAUGUUACUGGGAUGGCUGAUGGAUGAAGCGAAGCACCAAAUUGCUGUGUCCGUGGUCGGGAUGGGAGGAUCAGGGAAGACAACUCUAGUUGCAAGAACCUUCAAAGAUGACAUUGUAAAGAGAGAUUUCGAAUGCUAUGCAUGGAUUACUGUUUCCCAGUCUUAUGUGAUUGAAGACUUACUUAGAAGAUUGAUCAAAGAAUUCCACAAAGGAAAGAGGGAAGAGGUCCCUGCAGACAUAAAUGCCAUGAGUUAUAACGAAUUGCUGGAGAUUUUGGUGAACUACUUGGAGACUAAAAGGUACCUAAUUGUAUUGGAUGACGUGUGGGAUGUCCACCUUUGGGACAAAAUAAGGUUUUCAUUUCCAGAUAAACAACUUGGAAGUCGAGUCAUGCUUACAACUCGAAGAGAAGACAUAGCAUCCUCUUCUUUUGGAGUUGAAAGCCAUGUUCACAAGAUUCAACCGUUGGAAAGGGGUGAUGCGUGGGAGCUUUUCAGCAUGAAAGCAUUCUCAAGUUAUCAGAACAAAUCUUGUUCACCUGAACUUUUGCCUUUAGCUCGGGAACUUGUGGAAAAGUGUGAAGGCCUACCACUAGCGAUCGUAGCCUUAAGUGGUCUCAUGUCUUCUAAGAAGUCACUUACAGAGUGGAGCACAGUCUACAAUAGCUUAAAUUGGCAUCUAACAAAUAAUUCUUUGUUAGAACCUAUGAAGAUGCGCAUCUUGUUGUUUAGUUUUAAUGAUUUGCCAUACCGAUUGAAGCAAUGCUUUCUAUCUUGUUCACUUUUCCCUGAAGAUCAUGUGAUCGUAAAUAAUAGGCUCAUCACAUUGUGGAUCGCUGAAGGAUUUGUUGAACAUGUCGAAGGGCUCACGCCAGAAGAAGUUGCAAGGGGCUAUCUUAUGGAACUCAUUUUUCGUAACAUGCUACAGCAAAGGUUUCUAGGAUCCCUCCCAGCAUGUAAGAUGCACGAUCUUUUGCGGGAGAUUGCUCUGUCUAUAGCAAAAGAAGAAAAGUUUUGCGUUGUACAUGAUGGGGGUGAAACAGUAGAAGAAACUGGAGCACUCCGUUUGUCAAUUCAAACAACUAAUCGAGAAAUUGGAUCAUGCACAGGUAUAUCACGGCUUCGUUCAUUUCUCGUCUUUGCCACUGGCGUAUCCUCAUUCUCUUUCUCAAAUAAACUACCUUUUGACCUUAAAUUGUUGAAGGUUCUAGAUUUGGAGGAUGUCCCACUUGAUUAUCUGCCAGACAAUCUAACGUCCUUAUUUAAUUUAAAAUAUUUAAAUUUGAGGGGAACUCCAAUUACUGAGCUUCCAGAAUCCAUUGGACAGCUCCGCAACCUUCAGACCUUGAACAUCACGCUGACAAAAAUUGUGGCACUUCCAAGAGGGAUUUCCAAGUUGCUGAACUUACGCCAUUUACUUGUGGGCCGGUUCUUUUCCAGAAAGAUAAUUGGGGUAAGAAUACCAUCAAGUAUUAGUAAGAUGAAGAAAUUGCAACGUUUGGCAUUACAAAUGUGAAAGAAAGAGACGAGGAGGACCUAUGUGCCUCAAUUCAAGAGAUGAAGGUCCUUUCCUGCUUGCAUUUAUCUGUAGCAGAUGGAGAGGAAUUUCUUCGAGUUGACGCAUUGUCUUCACCGCCUCCCUACCUUGACAGACUUGAAUUGAGCGGAAAACUGGAAAAGGUACCACAUUGGUUUUGUUCACUCCACUCUCUCGCAUAUUUGAAUCUGUCUGGGUCCAGACUUGAAGAAGAUUUACUACCUCAUAUUGAAGCAUUGCCCUCUCUACGUUCUCUUUGGCUUGAUAAUGCCUCUGUUAGAAAGGAGUUAUGUUUCAACAGAGGCUUUGUGAAGCUUCGGCAUUUGUGGGUUUGGGAUCUCGCAUUAUUAAAUAUGAUAACUAUCGAAAAAGGGGCGAUGCCAAAUCUCGAGUUCAUAAGAAUUCAUGAUUGCUUGACAUUAGAAACAUUGCCACAGGGUAUUGAGGACCUUACUAAUCUACAAGGAUACAGAUUUGAUAAUGCUUCAGAGAAGUUUAAAGAGUCCAUAAAAGAAGGAGGUGUGGAUCAUCCAAGGAUGCUACUCGUCGACGAGAGAUGUAAGAAAUAUGCGUAAGUAUCUUUUAUCCUUUCCUAAACUUAAUGAUUUGGAAUAUUGCACUUGUGUUCAAGAAAUUGUUCUCGUUCACAUCUCUGUUAAUGGAUGUAAAGCCAUAUAGAUUUUUUGUUAAUUACAAUAUUGCUUUUGUCUUUUUAUAUAUUUUGCAGAAACAAGUCCUGGGAUUGAAGAUUUUACCCAUGAGUUUGGGGGUGGGAACUUGUUCGCCUUGUUUUGACCCCAAGAGUGAUCUAGAUUGGCUUCUUAUUUGCUCUUUUGAAAAUCAAACAAUACCCAAGUUGAUGUUCAUAAAAUUGCAGUUGAUGUUUUUGUGUGCGUUUUAAUUUGCAUGUAAUAAAAUUCGAGUUUGCAUCUGUCACUUCAGCAAUUGGCAGAUGUAUGUGGAUGAUUAGCUUUUAAGAUUUGGACCAUGGAUUCUUUUAUAUUCGGUGUGUUUGUACUUUCUUCUAUGUUAAUUGUAUUUGUACUUUCAGGUUUUUUUCUAUGGGGUCAGAUUUUGUACUUUCAGAUUGGCUAAAUAAAUAAUACAGAAUCUUAAUUGCUUUCCAUGAUAAGUUCUAUAAUACAGGAAUGUUAAUGUAGCGGUAUUUGAAGCUAAUUACGCACUAUUGUGUGAGGAAAUUAAAAUACAUUAUAUACAUGUAUGUUGUUAUUUAGAAAGAGAGAGGGAGGGAGAGAAAGGCAAAGUGUACAAGCAAUCCAAGCCUUGAGUGUUGGUCUUUUACUAAAUCCGGCUCUUUCCUUCUUCUUUUUUUGUCAAAAAAUUCGGCUCCUUCUGUUCUGUCUAUAAGGUAAAUUUUCUGUUUGUGUAACUUCAGAAACAGAGAAGAUGAUCUUCUAAGAAUUAAGUAGGAUUUUCAAGACCAAAUUUUCAAUUUGAUCCCUGCACUACAUAAAAUAUAAAAAAUUAAUACCUCUGCUGCGAUGUUUCUAAUUUUAUUUUUACUUGUAUGUGUAUGCAUUAUUCACGUUCGCAUUGUCACAUUAUGGAUUUAAUUUUGAAGUGAGAAUCUUACUUGGAUUUCUCGUAGACCACCUAUGUAAUUCAGCACUACCUAUGCUGUCCAGUUUUCUACAAGCACAAGCUCUUGAGAUGAAAUCAAAUUUAUCAUAUGAGUUAUCCCUUAUUAAUUCACAUGUUAAAAUAUGAGUGCAUUUUAUAUGUCAUGAACCUAGGUCAUAGUCAAUGGCUGAUCCACCUAAGGACUAGUAAAGGCUAUUGCCCCUGCUCACCCUUCUUCCCAUCCAUGAAGUUCCUAGAAUCUUUAUUAAAGAUAUGCUUGAGUAUGUUGCAAUGGGGCAAGUGUUUGAUAAAAGUCCUCUGAGAGAACAUGGAGGUGCAAAGUUGUGCGGGCAGCUAAACUUCAUAUGUUCUUUGUUUAAAUUGACAUACCAAAACAAGGUCGUAUCUUGUUACUUGUAUAUAAUUCAUUCAUAUUUGAAGAAUAUUGAGCAUUGGAAUUUUUAGUUCUAUUUUGGAAUUCCCCAGUAUUCAUGUUACUUAGAAAAUAUUUUGGACAAUAAACAACUAAUUAACCAUGAUGUCAUCCUUUUUCCUUCUCCAAUGCACCGACCUUUCCAAAUUAUCUACCACCAAUACUUUAUGCCGGCCAUCAUUACGUUCGGACCCAUUCCAACAUUAUUAUUAAGAAUUAACAUCAAAUAAUUAUAUUUGACUCCAUCAUAUUUUCUAAUUAUAAUAUAGUAAUUACUCCUUUCAUGAUAACCACUCUUCUAAGAUAUACGAAUUCCUGUCAGUUUUAUUUGGCUGCUUAUUUGCAAGAGUAUCUCAUGUUCAUGUAAAAUAUUGGUUAACUUAGGGUACACGUUACGCCUACCUAUUAAAAGACAAGACUCGUGAUGAUAGGAUAGGAACAAUGAGUUGAACCAAUACCCCAAUAUAUAAUGACUAUCACGAGGAUUAGGUAACGUGGUUAGCUAAUAUGAUUAGAAGAUAUGAUUUAUCUAAUCGCUUCUUAUAAAGUUUUUCUGUGUAGGGAAGGUUGGAAUUUUUUUAUUUUUUAUUCCAAAGUCGAAAGAUAACUUUAUUAAAAGUGGAUAGAAACUUGAAUUGGAUUGUUAGAUGUUGAUUUUGUUGGAAUUUUAAAAGGUUUUAAAAAUUUAACCAUUUUAUUUAUUUAAUUAUUUUGGCGGUUUUAUUUUAUUUAUUGUGGGGGUUAUAAAUAUUUAAUAUUCAGGUUUUAUUUCUAGUUGGUAAAAGCUUUAAUUUUUUGGUUGGUGAACUUUUAUGGUUGGUAAAGGUUACAUGUUUUUGGAUGCCUAUAAAAGGCCACUCCUCCUUCACAUUUGAGUAUACACAACACACACAAAAACACACAAUAACACAUGAUAUAUACAAUACCCUAUCAGAAUAUCACAUACACAUUCUAAUUCUCUCCUUUUCUACUUUUACAUAUAUUCUCUACUUUAUUAUUAUUAUUUUGGGCAAUGGUUAUGUGACUUGGAUACCUAUAUCUGUCUGUGAACGUGCUCAUAGCGGAUCUUGAGUUUGUGUACAAGGGGUCGUAUCUUGGAGUCUUGUAGACCGUCAGUACCUGCACGUAGGGAGGCUACAAAGGCUUUAGGACAGCGUCUUUGACGUGCUUCACCGUACCAAACUCACCUUCUUACUUAUUAUUUAUUUUCCUUUACUUACCUAUUAUUUUGUUUUCUUCAAUUUUAUUAUACCUUCAAAGCUUUCCAAUUUGUUUAUAUGUUAUAAAUGUUUUGUAUUUGGCUUUACGGAAAGAGGAAAACUAUUAUUUUUUAUAACAAUCUAAAGCCUUUGUAAGCUAAAGUUGUUUCCUUCCCGUAUUGCUAUUGCUUUAAUAUCUUUUAACUCUUUGACUGAAGCUUUUGCAUUUGUAUUGGAUUUUCAAAAUGAAAAUUAUGAUUUAUUUUGGGUAGAUGCAGUUUGAAGCUUUCAUAUUGUCUAUACAAUUUCAACUGCUUUAAAUAUUGUUGGUACAUUUAUAUGUUUAUAAUUUGUUGCUAACGUUUGGGAAAUUACUGUUAGUGUUUGACAAUAAAACCUACAGACUAAUUUAUGUGGUAUUAUUAUUAUAGCUCAACGUAUUAUUAUUUUAUGUGGUGUGUCCGUUUUCUACAGCACAAUUGUUUUUAAAAUACAUUUCAGAAUCUUAAAAUUGUUAAUAGCAUUCAAAAGCUAAUUAAUGACCAUUGAAAUAAUGAAAAAAUAUAUAUAUUGAAGUGAGCUAUGUUUUUCUAAACUACUGUUUGUUUUAAAUAGCUUGUAUUGUUUCAUUACCGAUUACUUAAUUAUUAUUCAUUAAUCAAUUUAUGGUGAAACAUCCAAUAUUGAAUGGUUGAAGUGUUUAAAACCGAAACAUUAAAGUGUUUCAAACCGAAACAUUGAAGUGUUUCAAAAUCUUUGGUCUGAUAAUUUCAAAGCAAGUACAUAUAUAUUUUUAGAACAAGUAUAUAUAUUUGAUUUUAUUGUUGGGCCUCUUUUACAUUUGCCUUCAUUCAUUUUGGUUGCCAUCAAUCUUCCUUUAUAUAAUGGUCCUUUCCUUUAUAUCUUUUUGGGUUGGACUUCAUAUCGUUUUAUUGUUCUUAUUUUUAGAAGUCUUUCAUACCAACGUGAGAAGCAAUUAUAAUAUAUUCUUGGCACUAAAGUUUAUUGUUUGAAAUUACUGUUUUAACGUUGGAUUUGUAUGCACUAUCUUUAUGUGGUUUAAUGAAUUAUGAAUUAAUAUUGAACAGAUAAUUUAGUUUUCCUUUUAUGAAGACAAAUAUGAUUUGAAUACUCAAUUGUUGCAUAUCUUCGCAAAUAUGUGUUGUACAAUAUUUACUUUGAUUUCAAAUCCUUGAAAGAAAAAACGGAAAAAGUGCAAACCGUUCUUUUGUAGUUUAAUUUUGAAUUCAAAAUCUAAUAUUGCGUCAGUUUUAGAUUUGGUCUAUAUGUGUAUUCAAUUUUAUAUUGAUUCUUAUUUUCAUUUAUAUCUAUUAAUUUUUGCAAAAACGUGCAAAGAAUUUAUGUGACAUUAUUGCAAGUUUUAUUGAGCUAAUUAUUCUUUAUUUUGAUGGCUGUCAUUGCUUUGAAUUUGGGAGAAAACCUACAGUUUUUUUGUAGUAUAAAUGCAUCACUUUAACACCUUGGACGUUAGCUCCUUUUGAUUCUAGAAUUAGUUAAUUGCUCUUAACUUCUUUUGGAAGCUUUUGCAUUUCACAUUCAAUUACGAGAUUUUAUUUAUUCCUUAAUUUAUGCAGCUUUAGUUUCAAAACUUUAAUGUCAAUUUCAUGACAUUUAGAGCUUUUAUUUUGGCAGUAAAAUUGUUGAUAUUGUUAGGUGAUUAUUGCAUUUAAUGUUCUGAACAUUUAUGCAAUUUAAUUACAUCUUUGUUUUAAUGCCUUGGAUUCCUUUUAAAGUUGCCAACGCCUAUAUAUUUCGAUUGUGCAAUCCUUCAUAUUAGUUUCUUGAGUUAAUCUAAUGUUCUUUUGAUUAUAAAGUCUUGACAGCUGCCACACUGAGUUAAUUGCCAUGAAAUGUACAUUGUGGAAUCCUCCUGAGAAAACUGAAAGGAAAUAAUAAAUUAUAUCACUGUAAGUGGCAUUAAUUUUGAGUUUUGGUGUAAGGCUUUCACACCCUAAAUUUUUGAGGCAUUUUUUUCUUUUGAGGCUUUCGAUGGUUUUGUUAUAUUUACAAUUACUAUCAAGAUCAUUGUGAGUACAUAUCUUAUGAAUUUAAAAUUAAAUAAAUUUUGGUACAGUCUUCAUAUAUUUUGAGAAUUCCCUAAUUUGUGGGGUUGAGUUUUUCCUUAACUAUGUGGGUAUUUGUUGGAAUUUUUGUGGGUAUUUCAAAUACAAAAUUAAUAUCAAUACUUAUUUUUUAAAAUUUAAUAUUCCAGUUUUUGAGUGAUUUGAUUACCUCUUUAAAACUGAAGUUAUUUUGUACAUUUAUUAUACAAGUUUUCAUAUCUCCUUUAUUCAGAUUUAUUCUAUUUUAAUUAACGCUCAAUGCUUAUGUUAUUUGUGUUUUGAUAAUUAUUAAUAUUUUUAUUUUAAAACGUGUGGACCAAUUUGUGGAAGUUGAAUUUUUCUAAAUGGGAACUUUAAUACUGUAAUUUAAUUUGUUAGUAACAUUAAGCAGUUUUUGCUUUUAUACUGAAAAAUAUUAUAUUCAUUUCCUUCUCUCUUUCCCAUAUUUUUGUGUGUUUUCAAUUUCCUUAUGCUCUCAUGGAAAAGAUUCAUUUAGUGACAUAAUACUUUUUAUAUUUUAUUGGCAAACAUACUGUGUCUGUAUGAAAUUUGUUUCAUUAUGCAAGUUUAUUAUGAGACUAAUUUAUCUUCAAUUUGAUAUGAAAAUAUUUGCAACUAAUGAUGAUUUUGGCAUAAAAUUUUGGUAGAGACUUCUUAUUGUCUUAUAGGUUCAUAUUGAGAAUCGACAAGAUACAAUUUCAACUUGGAUAUGUGAUCAUGAUUUCAGCCAUUUGGAGUGCACAAAAGGGAGUAAGGGUAUCCUGAAAUACUCAGUGUUUAUAGUUAAAUUUAUUUAAUGAAUUAAUUGUUAUAUUGUUGUUCAUAAGUGGUAGCAGGUGUACUCAAAGUUUCAUGGACUUGAGAGGUACUCUUGAUCAGAAGAUUUAAUGUAUGAUGUAUUUCCAUUAUACUUAACUGUAUACCAAUGCGUAUUUAAUUUCCAAUUAUACUGAGGUGAAAUCCAUUAAUUAUUUGUGUGCAAGAUUGUGUAGGAAAUAUUUUAAUAACAUGCAGGUUUAAAGCGCGCUAAAAUGGAGAACAAAGACAUGACCUACAUUAUAUAUGCCUUGUGAAGGCUAGUCUUGAUAUGCAUGCCUCGUGGAGGAGGCUAUUAAUGCAAAAUGUCGAGGGGGAUGUGCUUAAGCCCAUAAGGGAGUCACCUAGGGAGGUAACCCAACUUCUGUGAUUGGAGAUCCCAUGAAGGAAGUUCAAUGUGGUAGAAACAAUCCAUACUGCGUGACUCAUAUAGCACUCAUAAAACUAUGGAGAUAUCCUUGAGAUAUUCUUCUGCUCAUCCCUAAGGCAAAAGUGCUAUUUUAUGUGACGUUAGGAAGGGAUUUAUCCCUGAAUGAGUUUCGAGGCGGGCAAACUCCCGCAGGGUGCAGGUCACAUGUACUCUUGGAGAACUCACCUAAGUGGGAGACGUCGUGAGGCCGCGACUAUGAGAAUUGGGCUAUUCUCUAGUAACUCUCAUGAGAAUCAAGAUUAGCGCAUGGCCAUAAAUAGCGCUACCCCGCAUCCAAGUCUCAACUAAUACUAUGUGUGGGAUAUGUUGAAGUUUGGUCAAAGGUGCCGAGUUCAAUACUGUGUACACUCAGGUUCCUCAAAUGGAGACUAUCAUCACUAAGUGAAGGUUCAAGCCCGGAAGGCACCUACACCUAUUACAUAGUAUUAUAUUGCCCACACAUAUAUAUUAUAUAUUUUUCACUGUUUUUUUUUGUCACGGUAAAAUUUUGAGAACCUUGUGGGGGAUUGUUGGAAUUUUAAAAGGUUUUAAAAAUUUAACCGUUUUAUUUAUUUAAUUAUUUUAGCGGUUUUAUUUUAUUUAUUGUGGGGGUUAUAAAUAUUUAAUAUUCAGGUUUUAUUUCUAGUUGGUAAAAGCUUUAAUUUUUUGGUUGGUGAACUUUUAUGGUUGGUAAAGGUUACAUGUUUUUGGAUGCCUAUAAAAGGCCACUCCUCCUUUACAUUUGAGUAUACACAACACACACAAAAUAUUGGUCGCGCAAAGUAACUUUGCGCGACGAAAAAAUAUUGGUUGCGCAAAACUUUGCGUGACGAAACACAUUGGUCGUGCAAAGGUUUGCGCGACGAAACACAUUGGUUGCGCAAAGGUUUGCGCGACGAAAAACAUUUGUCGCGCAAAGUCUCAAAAAUUUUUAUAAAAAAUAAAAAAUUCCCGCGUCCCAUUUUUGGUACCCACCUACAUUUUUAGAGUUCUGCGCGACGAAUACUAACGUCGCUCAAAUAUUUGCGCGACGAAAUAUUUUUUGUGUUUUAAAUUUUUUUAAUUAAAAUAAACUAAUUUAAUAGUUUGCGCUACAAAAUAUUUUAUCGCGCAAGGUUUUUGACUUUUUGUUUUAUUAUUUCUUUAAUAUUAAUUUAUUCAAAUUUUUACUUUUUAAAUUUAAUUUAAUUGUAUGAUUUUAUUUUUUAAAUCACUUUAAUUUAAAGUGAUAUUAAUUUUUUCGAAUUUUUACUUUUUAAAUUUAAUUUAAUUGUAAGAUUUUUCUUAAUUACUUUAAUUUAAAUUGACAUAUUCAAAAUAAAAUUACAUAUGAAAAAUAGUGAUCAAAUUAUCCAAUAAAUAUAUAUAUAUAAUAUUCAAAAUAUACACAUAAAUUAACAAAAUACAAUAAUAAAAUUCUAAUAUAAGCGUAUUGUGGUGGUAGUGGCGGAUGAUAUGUUUUGAUAGCUUCCUAAUCCUCAACUUUAGCCAUCAAAGUCUCAAUGAUUGCCUACAAAAAAACAAAUAUGGUCAUAUAACAACAACAACAACAAAAAGAAUGCAUAAUCUCCCCUAAAAUUGUUAUACCACAAAUCCAACCCAAACUCCAAUAUCUCCCCUUUACUCAACCCCAAACCCCACACAAACUCAAAACUAACUCCAAAAACACAUAUUAAUGAAAAAAAUUUCAAAUUUGGAGAGAAUAUACCUUUUGGCAAGAUUGAGAGUGAGUGAGAAUGAGAGGGAGAAGUGAGUGUGAGAGAAUUAGAUAAGAUAGUGAUAGAGAGAUGAGAGAGUGAGAGAUAGUGAAAAGAUAGAUGAGAGAGUGAGUGAGAGUGAGAGAUAGUGAAGAGAGAUAUGAGAGAUUAAGUGAGAGGAGUGAGUGUGAGAGAAAGGGUGGAAUUUGGGGAGAGGGAAAGAGAGAGGAGAGGUAAGAGUAGAGAAAGGCAUUGAGAAAAUGGUCGAGGAGUUAUUUCGGUUUUAAAAAUCGUAUCACUUUGUUCGACGAAAAAUAUUGUUGGUCGCGCAAAGUUUUGCGCGGCGAAACAUAUUGGUCUCGCAAAGUUUUGCGCGACAAAUUAUUAUUAUUUUUUAAAAUUCCCGCAUCCCAUUUUUGGUACCCGCCAAAAUUUAACUUUGCGCGACGAAAAAUACAUAUUGGUCGCGCAAAGUCUAAAAAAAAUUAUUAUUUUUUAAAAAAAUUCCCACAUCCCAUUUUUGGUACCCGCCAAAAUUUAACUUCGCGCGACGAAUAUAGGAAAAUUGGUCGCGCGAAGUCUAAAAAAAAAAUUCCCGCAUCCCAUUUUUGGUACCCGCCAAAAUUUUUAAAUUUUUGCGCGACGAAAAGUACAUAUUGGUCACGCAAAGUCUAAAACAAUUAUAUAAAAAGUCCCGCGUCCCAUUUUUGGUACCCGCCCAAAGUUUUGAGCGACCAAAAAUAUUGGUCGCGCAAAGUCUAAAGUUUUUUUUUUUUAUUUUAAAAACCCGCGUCCCAUUUUUGGUACUCACCCAAAUUUUUUGAGUUUUGCACGACGAACUGUUGGUCGCGCAAACUUUUGAGAGACGAAAACGUAGCACAAUAUUUUUAUAAUAUAAUUGUUUUGAAUAAUAAAAAAUAAAAAAAAUUAUUUUAUGAUUUAAAAUAUAAUAAAGGUGAAAGCUAGUUAAUAAAUGUAUAUACUAUUCAAUUUCUUAAGUGUUAUACGUACAAAAUAAAUAAAUUUAAAGCUACUUAAUAAAUAUAUAUAUAUACACACACCAUUCAACGAUCCAACCGUAAGACUUGUUUGUAUAUACUUCAAGAUCGCAUACUCCAAAAAUCGCAAAAAAUAAAUAUUCAGAGAUCUAGUAACGGGAUAAAACUUUUCGAUAGUUAUAAACGAAAAAUCAUGAUUUAACGGUUAUUUUAACUUCGAUUUUGAUGAUUUUUAGAGCUACACUCCUUGACCCUAUAUGAAUACAAUGACUGAAUUUGAUCUUCAAUUUAAAACAUUUGCACUAGUGGAUACCACAAAAUCUUAUGUUAUAUUUAACGAAAGUAUAAAUAAACUCUUAAUUGUUAGUGAAUAUAUUGUUUUGAUGGCAUACACAUUCUACGAAACUAGUUUCAACGAUCCAACCGUCAAACUUGUUUGUUUAUACUUCGAGAUCAUAUACGCCAAAAAUCGGAAAAAAUAAACAUUCAUAGAUCAAGUAAAGGGACAAAACUUUUUAACAGUUAUAAAUGAAAAAUCAUGAUUUAACAGUUAUUUUAACUCCGAUUUUGAUGAUUUUUUACAACUACACUCCUUGACCCUAUAUGAAUACAAUGACUGAAUUUGAUCUUCAAUUUAAAAUAUUUACACUAGUGGAUACCACAAAAUCUUAUGUUAUAUUUAACGAAAAUAUAAAUAAACUCUUAAUUGUUAGUGAAUAUAUUGUUUUGAUGGCAUAUUCAUUCAAAAAAACUAGUUUCAACGAUCCAACCGUCAAACUUGUUUGUUUAUACUUCGAGAUCAUAUACGCCAAAAAUCAGAAAAAAUAAACAUUCAGAGAUCAAGUAAUGGGACAAAACUUUUCGACGGUUAUAAUGAAAAAUUACGAUUUGACGGUUAUUUUAACUCCGAUUUUGAUGAUUUUUUACAGCUACACUCCUUGACCCUAUAUGAAUACAAUGAACCAAUUCGAUUGUCAAUUUAAAAUGUAUAUUUUCUAACAAAAACCCAAUCCGAACAACAAUAAUAUAUUUUUCUAAUAAAAAUCUGAUCCGAUCUAAAAUAAUAAAUUUAAAGCUACUUAAUAAAUAUAUAUACCGUUUAAUUUCUUAAGUGUUAUGCAUACAAAAUAAAAAACAAAAAUAAAUUGGUUUAAGUGACAAAAUGUUUGGAUUACGUCAUGCAAAGAUUUUAAAAAAUAAUUUUUAUAUUAUUUAUUUUUAUAAGGACUUUGCGCGACGAAGUUUACUUUUCGUCGUGCAAAGUCACUUUGAGCAACGAAUUAUUUUUCGUCGUGCAAAGUUGGUCGCGCAAGACUUUGAGCGACGAUGUAUUGUCGUCGCGCAAAAGUUUGUCGCGCGAAGUGACUUUGCGCGACGAAUUAUUUUUCGUCGCGCAAGACUUUGAGUGACGAAGUUUCAAGUUUCGUCGCGCAAAAUGACUUUGAGCGACGAAUAGUUUUUCGUCGCGCAAAAUUUGGUCGCGCAAGGGGUUUUUUUUACUAGUGGUGGUUGUUUUAUGGAGGAGGCGACUUCAGCGCAGUGGAUAUGAAUAUGGUUUGCUCUAUGCAAUCAAGGGUGAGAUAUAUUUGAGGGUCGCUCUCAACGCAGUGGAUGUGAACAUGGUUUGCUCUAUGCAAUCAAGGGUGAGAUUUAUUUGAGGGUCGCUCUCUCGUUCACGCGUGGAAAGUCUUGAUGACUAGAGUUAGGGUUUCUUUAGUUUUCUUUACUCAUUCUCUGUGCUGGAGUAGUGGCAGCAGAUGACGGCUGAGCCGAGGGAGGCGAACUCUGUGCAGUCGUCACCGCCUUACGACUUCUAAUCAGGUUUGGCAUCUACACAAUUUCAUUAAUACACAUAAAAAUCAAUCCAAUUUAGCAAGAUACAAUUCUAAGCAUAGCUUGACCUAGGGUUUACGAUUUCGGAGUAUCCGGGACUCCGAUCCAUGAUCCGUCAAAUCCGAUACGAUUCUUGAAGUACAAGGUGCAACAUACGUGAGUUUGAGUUCAAUCCAACGGUCCGAACAUAUCAAACCCAGAAAUCACACGAUAGGCGAAAUCCGUUCAAGACUCAAACGGUAACCAAAUUCAAAUCCGAGCACACCUAUGUGCUCCAGACAACUAGGAGAUUGCACUGGGACCCAAUGCCCACUGCUACAGUACCCUCACGCUCCACCAUACGCGCCGGCAGCGCGUGGGUGCCCAAAGCAAUAACAUGUCACCGAAAAAUUUUAAAAAUUUAGGGCCAAGGUUCCUACCCUAGGUUCAAAACAUGAAUUGGAGCCACUUUUGUUCUCGGACUUACCCCGAAAAAUGAUCGGAAGUGGCCGGAAUUUAAAUUCAAAAAUCGGCCAAACUUAGGAUUUAAAUUCGAGAUACCAAAACUAACAAUUAAUCAAAUCCUACCCAACCAUCAGCUAGAGCAUGAAAAAUAGUCCAGAAACCAUACCUCAAGUGUCGAAAUUGGUGGCCGGAGGAGAGAGAACUAGGCCGGAGAAGAAUCUGCGAAAACAGGGCCAAUUCCGGCGGGAGGGGCGGCCCCGACGGUGGGAAAGGUUUGGGCUUCGAAGGUGGUGCCGGCCCGAUCCUUUUUCUGGUGGAGAAGUGGGCUGAGGUGAGGUGGUUCACGGCAAAGAGAGGGGGGAGGUUUAGGGAAAAAUCUGAAACUGAGGAAGAAGGAGGCAGUUGCGUUGUUUCUGAAAAUUUAUUCGAUCUUGCGCGACGAACGAAAAAAGCCGUCGUGCAAGAUAUUUUAAAUACACCUUGCGUGAAAAAAACGAAAUGAUGGCGUUGGGCAGGGUAAGUUUUGGGCCCAAAUUUUAAUUACAUUGCGCGACAAAGAAACUAAACCGUCACGCAAGGUUGUGAGUCCACCAAAAUUUAGGAUUUAGGGUUUAGUGUCUGACUUAUAUUGCGCGACGAAUAGAUAGAGGCGUCGAGCAAGGUUGUGUUUUGUAAACUUUGUGCGACGAAGAGACCACUCUUCCGUCGCGCAAGGUUGUGAUUCCGCCAAAAUUUGGGGUUUAGGGUUUAGGGGGGAGAGAGAGAAAGUGAAAAGCUCUGAUUGAUAUUGCGCGACGAAUAGAUAGAGGCAUUGUGGAAGUUGUGUUUCGUACACUUUGCUCGACGAAGAGACCACUCUUGCGUCUCGCAAGGUUGUGAUUCCACCAAAAUUUGGGGUUUAGGGUUUAGGGGGGAGAGAGAGAAAGUGAAAAGGUCUGACUGAUAUUGCGCGACGAAUAGAUAGAGGCGUUGCGCAAAGUUGUGUUUCAUACACUUUGCGCGACGAAGAGACCACUCUUGCAUCUCGCAAGGUUGUGAUUCCGCCAAAAUUUGGGGUUUAGGGUUUAGGGGGGAGAGAGAGAAAGUGAAAAGGUCUGACUGAUAUUGCGCGACGAAUAGAUAGAGGCGUCGUGCAAGGUUGUGUUUUGUACACUUUGCACGACGAAGAGACCACUCUUGCAUCUCGCAAGGUUGUGAUUCCGCCAAAAUUUGGGGUUUAGGGUUUACGGGGGAGAGAGAGAAAGUGAAAAGGUCUGACUAAUAUUGCUCGACAAAUAGAUAGAGAUGUCGCGCAAGGUUGUGUUUUGUACACUUUGCACGACAAAGAGACUACUCUUCCGUCUCACAAGUUUGUGAUUCCGCCAAAAUUUGGGGUUUAGGAUGUGGGGGGAGAGAGAGAAAAUGAAAAUGUCUGACUAAUAUUGCUCGACGAAUAGAUAAAGGCGUCGCGCAAGGCUGUGUUUUGUACACUUUGCCCGACGGCGAAACCACUCUUCCGUUGCGCAAGGUUGUGAUUCCGCCAAAAUUUGGGGUUUAAGAGGGAGAGAGAGAAAGUGAAAAGGUCUGAAUGAUAUUGUGCGACGCAUGAACCUCUUAUUCGUCGCGCAAACCCUCUCAACCUUAAACCCUGAGCCCUAAACCUUAAACCCUAAACCCUAAACUAGUUUCAAUGAUCCAACUGUCAAACUUGUCUGUUUAUACUUCGAGAUCAUAUAUGUAACGACCCGGUCCUAAAGAAAUGUUUAAUUAUUAAUUAAACAUGAUAAAAGACCAUUAUGCCCCUAGAAUAUUAUAUUAGUUUUAAAGUUGACUUUUUUAUCGGGAAGAAAUUUGGGAAUUUCGACUGUACCGUUGCGUAGAGCACGGCGAGAUGAGUUCAUAGACACAUGGUGGGCUUGAAUUGGAGUUGUAACGAGAGAGAUAUGAUCAAAAUACCAUCAGUGGCACAAUCGUAAAUAUUGCGAAAAGGAUCUGAUAAAUCUGAUUUUCUCUCUCUCUCUCUCUCUCUCUCUCUCUCUCUCUCUCUCUCUCUCUCUUUCUCUUUCUCUCCUCUGUGCGCCCUCUCUCUUCUCUCCUCGCGACGAUAGCCCCUCUUUCUUUUCGAAUCAUCGGCCACCGACCACGGCUGCGGAAUGGACCGGUGCCAAAAGGACUGGGUCAGCCCCGGCGUCACGACCCAGCCCUUGCCUGACAUCGGCGCUGCUCCAGCCGCAGGAAAAUGUGGUUUUUAGGCCGGUUUUGGCUCGAAACUUCGCCGGCUCCGAACUCUCUCCUCCGGCCUCCAUUUUUGGCGAUCAAGGUAUGGAAAUUCAUCCAUUCGUCAUAAUCUAGCUGAUGGUUGGGUAGGAUUUCAUUAAUUUUAAGUGUAGAUAGCUUGAUUUUCGAAUUGGAUUUCGGCCGGUUUCGGGAUCUUGAUUUCGGCCACUUCAGGUCAUUUUUCGGGGUAUGUCCAAGAACAAAAGUGACUCCAAAUGGGGUUUUACACCUAGGAUAGGAAGCUUGGCCGGCGGUUUGAAGUUUUUCCGGCCGCUGAAAAUUACUCAAGGCACCCACGUGCUGCCGGAGCGUGUGGUGACGCUUGGGCUAGGAAAAUGGAUUGGCUUUAGGUCCUAAUGUGAUCUCCUGGUCCUCACGAGUGCGUAGGUGUGCUCGGAUUUCAAUUUGGAUACCGUUUGAGUCUCGAACGGAUAUCACAUAUUGCGCGUUAUCCGCGUUCGCUAGGUUUAGACCGUUGGAUGGUCUUGAGUUUAUUAUAUGUUAACCUGGACAUCCUUAGGAUUGUGUAGGAUUUGACGGAUCGUAAAAUGGAGUCCUGAAUACUCCGAAAAUGCCAACCCUAGGGCUAGGGUUUCAGUAACCGUCCGAUCGUGCGAUCGUGAGCGAUCCAACCGUUCGAUCUAGAUGAAACUUGCAGGAUGUGCGUGUGUCUUAAGCCUUGUAGAAGCUAAAGGAACUUUCAGAUCAGAAUUUGGAGGUCGUGAGCCCCGUGAGCCAGUUUGACCAAAUUUAGGUAGUUUGACUUUUGGUUGACCGUGAGUCUUUCGGGGUAGUUUCACCUCCCUAAGAUGAUUAUAAUGACCCUAGUGACAGGUCCUGAUCAUUAGUUGAGUUAUGUUAAUUAGUGGGUUUAAGGUACUAGUUUAUUAUUUUAAACUAGGGGAAAUCCGGAAUAAAUAUUAUUAUUUAUUGUGGUUGAGGUUUAUGCAAUAUUGGAGAUAUAAAUAUAUAUGUGUUUGCCUUGUUUAAGGUAUUAAUUGACUUGAUAGCGUGCUUGGUGGUUUGCUUCGAGUUAUUUGAAGGCUGGAGGCCAUUUAUGUGAAUUGCAUGAAGUUAUAUUGUGCGUGCUACCUAUUGGGAUAUUCAAUUGUGAAUUUUGUGCAAGUAGAAAUUUGGGGAAUGUUCAAUUUACAAGGAAAACUCUGCCGAAAUUUCGGUAGAAAGUCUCGUGCCCUUAUUCCUUUUUGGAAAAAGGGAUAUAGUUUUAGUGACUGGGUCCUACAUCGGGAUGAUGUCGGAAUUUCCACAGAAUUCAUCUCGGGUUUGGUGAAAUUCGGGGCGGGUCCUGUCAAUAUACGCCAAAAAUCGAAAAAAACCAACAUUCCAAGACAAGUAACGGGACAAAACUUUUCGACGGUUAUAAAUGAAAGUUCACGAUUUAAUUGUUAUUUUAACUCCGAUUUUGAUGAUUUUUUUACAGCUACACUUCUUGACCCUAUAUGAAUACAAUGAUUGAAUUUGAUCUUCAAUUUAAAAUAUUUACACUAGUGGAUAUCACAUAAUCUUAUGUUAUAUUUAAUGAAAGUAUCAAAAGAGUUUGGAUAUAUUUAUUUACCAAUGUUUUAUAACUAAAUUUUUUUUCAUUUUUCAUUUUCUUGUAUAGCUCAAUUUAUUUAACAGUGUUUCAUUUCUCCACAUACAUUAGGUUUGGAUAUAACAAGUACAUAUAUUCAAACAAGCAUAUUUGUGAAAAUAUGUACACUAACAUAAUAAAAUUACAAAAAAAUUCAUUAUUCAUCAUCUAAACUAUAAUAACUUUCGUUAUCGUCGCUAUUAUCACUUUCCAUCUCCCAAUCCUCUUCCUCUAUAACUACAUCAUCAUCAUUGUUUGGGCCCACUGCAAUAUUGUAACGUGGAAGAUCACCGAGGUCAAUUGUAAUUGACUGAAUCGGUAUUUCGAUUGAAGACACCCCUUGUAUUUGAAACGGUUCUUGUAUAACAUUUGUAUUUCGAAGUGUUUCCACAUCAUUUUCCAUUGAAGAUUCUAAACGUUGGUCAGCCACGUUGUCGACGUCAUUGUCAGUUGGGUCUAGUUCUAGUAUAGCAUACACGUUCCUAUGAUCCAUCUUCUGAACAACUUUCCAACCGCUCCUGGCUUUAGGGUCAUCUAGAUACACAGUCUGUGUUGCCAUGUUUGUCAAAAUAUAAGGGUCGUCAUCAUACCAAGUUUUGUUAAUGUUUACAGAUAGUAAGCCAUGAUUGAUUUUAACACGUCCCGGUCUAUUUGGGUUGGUAUCAAACCAUUGACAUUUAAACAUGAUCACUUGGUAUCGGUCUUUGUAAAGCAAUUGCACGACAGUUGUGAGUUUGCCAUAGAAAUCAAUGUGCGUACUUUCGCCUCCACCUGGGACAUGGACACCGCUGUUUUGCGUACACAACUUGUCAUCUCGUGCAGUCCCCAAAUACUUGACGCCGUUAACAUGGCAACCCUAGAACAAUUCAGCGUGAAUCGGGCCGAACGCCAAGUUAUAUAACUCAUCACUGUAAGUGGGGAAAUUCGAUGAUUUCAACUUAGUCACCUAAUAUUAUACAAAACCAUUCACAUGUUAGUUUAACAAAAUUAAAUACUACAAUAUAUAUUUGUCAAAUACAAAACACUUAUAACUUACAUAAUCCAAAAACCAUUGUGGAAACAAUUCACGGUGUUUCUUGGCAUACAAAUGUGAUGGAUGUUCUCGCUUCAUCAUCUCUUCAUCCAGAAAGUUAUUAUUGCGCUGAGGACGAUUGUAAGCCGUCUCCACAUCUUUUAAAUACAUUCCACAGAAAGUAAGCGACUCAUAUUGAACCCAAGCCUCUAUAAUUGAUCAUUCGGGCUUCACCCUGUUGCGUACACUUUCUUUUAGCUCUCUGAGAAGCCUGCCAAAAUAAAAUGAUAUGAUACAAAUUAGCAAGCAUGUGAUAAUGAUGCAUACACAAAUGAUAAGGAUUAUAUACAUUUCUAUUGGAUACAUCCAGCGAUAGUUGACAGGACUAGCAAGCAAUGCCUCUUCUGGCAAGUUUACCACCACUUGGAUUAUACUUGUGAAGAAAGCUGAAGGGAAUAUCAUCUCAAACUUGCAUAAGACUUGGACAAUGUCAUGGCGCAAGUGAUUAAUGUCUAUCUUUCACAACAUUUUUGCCGUCAAUUGGGAAAAAAAUUUGGACAACAACAUGAUUGGCUUCACUACAUCUUCCAACAAGAGGUAUCGAAUACCCACAGGAAGUAGGCGUUGCAUAAACACAUGGCAGUCAUGGCACUUAAGUCCAGUAAAUUUACCCCCGUCAACAUGCAAGCAAUGUUCGAUAUUAGAAGCAUACCCAUCGAGAAACUUUACAGACGAUACAAACUAUAGAAACUCUUUUUUGUCAUUCGGUUUCAUAGAAAAAAAAUGCAAGAUCCCUUCUAGCUUUAUCACUGUCUCUAUUCAUCCAUAAACCCCUUCGUAUGCCCAUUUUUUUUUCCAAAUCAAGACGAGCUUUGAUCGUGUCCUUUGUCUUGCCCUCGAUAUCUAGAAUUGUGUCCACCAAUGUGUCAAAUACAUUUUUCUCAACAUGCAUCACGUCUAGAUUGUGCCUCAAUUUUAGUUUCGACCAAUAUGGGAGCUCAAAAAAUAUAGGCUUGUGCGUCCAGUUCAUAUGUGUAGAAGGUCUGGUCCGACUAACUAUUUUCCCGAACGGAGCAAAAUUCAAAUGGUUAAGCUAUUCAAAGAUCUCAUCACCGGACCAUUCUCUAGGUCUGAGGCGACGCUCUGUGUUCCCGUCGAACUCUUUAUCUUUUUCCCGCCACUCGUGGUUCCAUGGCAACCAUCUCCAAUGACCAAGGUAACAAACCUUUCCAGCGUGCCAACCAGAAGUUACAUUUUCUUUGCAUACACAUGUCAUAUAACCCUUUGUGCUCCACCCAGAAACCAUUGCAUAUGCGGGAAAAUCAUUCACAGUCCACAUAACUGCUGCCCGCAAAGUGAACAUCUUCCUAGUUGAUUUAUCAUACUUGCGCACACCGUUUGUCCAUAAAUCCUUCAACUCAUCAACCAGCAGCCUUAAGUAAACCUCGAUUGACCUGCCAGGAUCCUCAGUUAUCAAAAUAGUCAUCAUCAUGUAUUCUUUUUUCAUGCAUUUCCAAGGCGGCAAAUUAUAAGGGAAUACAAAAAUCGGCCAAGUGCUGUGGUGUUAGUUUAGAACCCCAUACGGAUUGAAUCUGUAAGUGGCAAGUCCCAAUCUAACAUUUCGGGGAUCAGCAGCAAACUCGGGGAACGUUCGAUCGAACUCUUUCCAUGCCUCCCCAUCUAUAAGAUGCCGCAUCACAUCGUUGUCUACCCGUUUUUCCUUAUGUCAUCUCAUGUAUGUGGCAGUAUGCGUCGACAUAUACAAUCGCUGCAACCUAGGUUUCAGGGGCAGAUAAUGCAUGACUUUUUGUAGGAUCUUAGUCGUUCUAUUCUGAGAUGUCAUUUUGAACCUCGACUCAUUGCAUAUAGGGCAUGUAUCCAACGUUUCAUACUCUUUGUAAAGUAACAUGCAAUUAUUUUUGCAAACGUGAAUUUUUUCUUAACUCAAUCCAAGACCAUUCAACACAUUUUGUGCGUGUUUAUGGUCUUUCGGCAAAUAAUUGUCUGUCACGCAAAACCCCUAAAAAGUAAUCGAAACACAGGUUCGACAUACGAUACUUUAUUUUUUCGUGCAUUAGCUCCACAAUGGCCUUGAGAACGGAAAAGCUCUCGCACCCCGAGUAUAACUUUUGGUUUGUAUUUUUUAACAGUUUUUCAUAUUGUUCGAACUCUGCACUGUCCAUUGGUGUAGGCACGUCAUCUUCCUCUUCCUAAUUGAUGUUGGUCGAUGCAAAUGGAAAAGCAUCGUGUAUAAUAUCCAUGACUUGAUCAUUAGGAUCCACAAUAGGUUCAACAUUGUCCACUCUUGUGGCAUUUGAAGACGAAGCAUGGUCUAAUUAUUUACCGUGAAGGUUCCAAAUGCUAUAUGUCUCAAUCAUUCCAUUCCUUACUAAAUGAAAUCCAACAUUUUCAAUUGUUUCCCACAACAGAUUCUAGUUGCACCUGGGUUGUGUGUACGUGCAAACUCAAUAAAAUCCUCGAUUCCAUCCAAAUAUUCGUUUGUGCAUCUAUUCGGGUUUUGUAUCCACCUCCUGCUUAUAAUUCCUAGAACCAUAAUCACAACACAACAAUCACAACAACUUUAUAUGAAGUCGUAAUUUCACCUUAUGCCUUCGGUAAGGGCCCUAUUCCAUUCGGGAAUGCAUAGUCAUGUCACGUAAUGUCGGCUAUAUGCAAUUAGAUUUCAAUGUGGAUGAAUUUUCGCAGCAUCUCGAUACAAUUCUUGAGGUGUACCGUAGGUAUAAAUACCUACGUACCACCCAAAGAACGUACAGAGAUAACACCGAAAUCUCCACAAUCGAAACCUAAUCUUGUAGCCGUACAUUACGUGACAUAACUAUGCAUUCCCAAACUGUCCAAAUAAUGGGACAAUUCAAGAAUUAAUUGGACUGAAGUCAUGCUUUACGCAUACAUGCACGAAAUCCAACUAAUCUCAAACGGAAAACUAAGUGUUACUAAAAAUAAAAAUAAAAGUACGAAGUUAAUUUCAAUUAACUUCAUACAUCACAACACAUUGUGCUACGUUACGCACAAUUUAACAACAUAAUAUAAAUAUAACUUCACAAAAAAAUAUAAACAGGGGAAAUUGUGAAAAUGGUCCUCAAACUUGUAUGCGAUGUACAUUUUGGUCCCUAAAUUAAAUUAUUAGUCGAAAUGAUACAUAAACUCUAUGUUAAUCGGCCAUUUGAUCCAACCGUUAGGUUCCGUCAAUGUUGUCGUGAAAUUUAAGGGUAAAACUGUCCAAACCAUGUAGAAUAGCUAAUUCUUGAAGCGACAGAGGCGUCAUUCGACGAAUCCAGCUUCUUCUUCAAUGAAGGCAGCGAUGUCUGAAAGCUCAACAAAUUCAACUCGAUCAAAUCGGUAUUGCUUUUGUGGGAUGAAGAUUAAACGGCGCAUUUCAUGGACAGAUCUGAACCCAGGAAGAAGGUUUGAGGCAUGCGACCAAAAUCGGGUUAGAUAGAGUAAGGGUUUUGUUUUGUUUAAGUGAAGAAUUGAAUGGUGUGCUGGGCUCUGAUUGAUUGUGUGUAACAAAUGAUGUGCAGAAUAGCCAAACAAGACAUCAUUUCUUUGAAUGGCUGGAUAAUGAAACAUGUCCAAGAGGAAAGGAAGUGUUUCCUGGAUUGCUUAGAAGACUCAGAGGUAUGGAGGAAGAAAUUAGAGCAAGAGAUGAGCAACUGAGAUUAGUGGAAGUAGAGAAGAAAAAAUUGGAAGAGAAAGUGUGUGUUGUUAUUGAAGGAAAAAAGGAAUUGGAAUGGAGUAGACAGAGACAAUUGAAAUUGGGGUUUGCUUUGAUCCUUUCAUGGUGUUUGUUUGUAAUUUUUGUGAUGAGUAGAAAGAUUUAGCUAUGAAUGUUAGGUCUGUAAUGGCCUUUUAGGUUUGUAAUGGGAUUAUAGGUAUGAAUGUAAUGUGGUGUUUGUUAGCUAUGAAUGUAAUGUGGUGUUUGUUAGCUAUGAAAUAGUUUGUGGAGUAACCAAAACCACACCAAUUCCAGAAAUGAAUACCAAUUCCAUAACCAAAACCACACCAAUUCCAUAAAUGAAUACCAAUUCCAUAACCAAAAACCAAUCCCAUAGCGAAAAACCAAUUUCAUAACCAAAUUGCACAGCAUAAACCAAUUCCAUUACCAAUAUGUAGAGUUAAUUCUAAUCCACAAGCUGUGAUUCCAUAAAAUUACAUCUCAAAUUACAGAACCUAAACCAAAAGGCAGAGUGUAAAUCCACAAAAUAACAUCCCUGAACAAAAAGGCAGAGUUUGUACUGUAAGCCAAAAUGCAGGGCCUUUACAUAACCACAAUGCAUAUCCUGAACAAAAUCCACAUCCCAAAUUACACAAAAUAUAUAUGAUUCCCCCUGCCUUGUGAAUGAUUAUGGUUGUGAUAGAACUUCUGUAGGCCUUUUGAAUGUUUCUCUUCUAAUAGCAGCCCUUUUGAAUGUUCCUCCUCUUGCCAAACCUCUGACCAUAGUUCUUGGCAAACCUCUUCCCACACCUCUUGCCAACUAAAAAAGAGGACCAAUAUAAGUUCUGAACUAUAUUGUAAAAAAAUAAGUGAGCAUAUUUGAAAAAUAAACCUCAAACAACAUACACUUUGUUGUGAAGAAGUAGCAACUUCAGUUGCAACAGCUGGAGCCUCGUUAGAUCUUCCUGUUCCUCUAUCCAACCUUUUUCCCAUAUCUCUUAGCAUACUUCUUGGCCAACCUCUUAUACUUCUUGCCACCUAAACAAAGAGGACCAAUAUAAGUUCACAACUAAAUUGCAGAUUUGUGAGACAACAUAUUUGAAGAAAAAUACCCCAAAAAACGUACACUUUGUGAAGAAGUAGCAACUUCUUUUGCAACAGCUAGAGCCUUAUUGGCUAUUCCUCUUCCUCGGCCUCUGCCCCUCACUCUAACUGCCCCUCCCUCAGUGUGGACCUCUUUUUGGGCAAAAGAUGCAUUUGCCUGCAAGAGCACAAAUAAUUAUUACUUCCAAAACAUGUAACAACUCUAAAUUUGCAUAUAAAUAAUUACCUGUUGCAUUUCUGAGCUAUGUCUGUCACAAGUUGCCCUAUUAUGGCCACUUUGACCACAUCUCCUACAUGUGAUCUUAAUAAAAAGUCUUCUAAGCUUGUCUCUUGGUUGAACAUAAUCUGGAGGCAUUGGAUGUGGUGGGGGUGGUGGUGGUACCAGAAUUUCAGCAGGUUCUUUGGACCUAGUUUUUUUGGGCCUUCCUGGUUGUACCCUAACAGUUGGGGGAUGUAUUGGAGGAUGCCCAGAUUUAGCCCAUUGAUCCAUUGAAGGGAUGGGAUAAAUCAUUGGUCCAUAUGACUUCAUAUAAGUUGCAGGCUUGUAACAUUCAUCCACAUAAUCAAUGGGGCUUUCAUCCCUUUGAAAAAUUGCAGAAAUUGCAUGGCCACAUGGUAUCCCACAUAAAUCCCACCUCCGGCAAGAACAUGUCCUUGCCCUAAGAUCCACAACAAAUUCUCCACCAUACAUGUGGGUCACUUGAUAUGUUUGCAAGCCUGCCAGUCGAGGAAUGCAUGUGGAGGCAUCUAACUUGUUUUUCUCAAUUAUCUUGAAGAUUCUUGGCCCAACUAGAUGUUUCCACUUCGGACAUGCAACCCUUCUAUUUGCCAUCCUAAGCAUCACAAGAACUCUUAUCCUCUCCAAGCAAGUUAAAAUGGACUGAUCUCUUGCAUCUACUAUUGCUGAAUUGAAACUUUCACAAAGAUUGUUCAACAACAGAUCACACUUAAACCGUGUAUGAAAGUGAGAUCUACUCCAAUUCUUUGCAGGUCUCUUACUGAGCCAUUCCCACGCUUCCGCAUCCUCUUGUUUCAUAUUUUCCAUUUCUGCUUCCCACCAAGGCAUAGUUGUGGCUCUUGCUGCAGUCCACAAUAUGUGUUUUAGAGCAACACCAGAGUGUGAUGAUCUAAAGUUAUUAUAUAAGUGUCUAACACACAUCAUGUGCUCUACAGUUGGAAGUAGAGUAUCAAUUGCAGGUAUGAGUCCCUUUUGCUUGUCGCUAAUGAACACAUAUGACAAACCAUUUGUAAUCUUUAGAUCUUCAAUCAGCAGCCUAAGAAACCAGAUCCACGAUUGUUUACUUUCGAUCUCAACAACUGCAUAAGCAAUUGGGAAACUGCCAUUGUUGCCAUCCACCCCAACUGCUGUCAAAAUCUGGCCAGGAUAAGGACCUUUUACAUGGCACCUAUCAAGACCAAUAACUGGUCUGCAUCCAUCUAAAAAUCCUUGCCUGCAACCAGCCAAGCAAACAUACAUCCUUAGAAAGAUAGCUUGGGCCCCCACUUGUUCAGUUUGAAUUACAACUGUACUUCCUUUGUUUGCCUUCUUCAAUUCCUCUGCAUAAUCCCUUAACCUAGCAUAUUGUUCUAUGUAACUCCCUUCAAUCAUUAGUUUGGCCCUCUUUUUGGCCCUAUACAUUUGAUGUCUUGUGACAUUCAUACAAUAAUCCUCCAAAACAUCCUCUUGCAAUGAUUUCACAUCCAAGUAUGUGUCUCUCUUCAAUUUCUUAGAAUACCUAUUGCAAAGCCACUUGGAUGAGGCAUACUUCAACUUGUCGACCCUCCCACAAGUGUGUUCCAGGCUCAUAGUCUUGAUUACAAAUGUAGAUUCACUCUUAUCUAUCUUUGAAGCAUAUAAAUAAAAUGGACAUUUCAGCCCUCCCAUACAUACUACCUGGAGCCUCACUUUGUCAUUUUUUUUGAAUUUUAUCAACUUACCAUGUAGAAUUGCAUAGUCCUCCACAGCUUCUUUCAAUACCUUUUUGUUUGCAAAUCGCAUUCCCAUCCUAAACUCUGGAUUCCUUAAAUCCACCUCUCUCCUGUACUCCUUCAACUUUGGCAAUUUCUUUUUCUUUCUUUUGCCCUUUUCCUCACCAUUACCCUGAUCCUGAUCCUCUUCAUCACUUCCUGUGUCCAAAUCCGAUGUGUUAGCACCAUCUGAUGAAACCUCUCUUGGAGCAUUAUAAGUAGGCCCAACUGUCUCAUGUCCAUAGGGCUGAACAGUAGGCUCAACAUUCUCACCUGCAUUGGCCUGAACACUAGGCCUAAUGUUCUCACCUGCAUUGGGCUCACCACUUGCGCCCCCAACUACCACAUUCUCAGCUACAAGCACCUCAUCUUCUUGUUCACUGAAUUCAUAAUCACUAUCCACAACUUGUGCAUCAUUUUCCUCAUUUUCCCCUUCAUUUCCAACCUCUCCAUUCUCAGUUGCUGCAGCCUUAUUUUCCUCUCCAUUCUCAGUUGCUGCAACCUCAUUUUCCUCUUCAUUUCCAACUUCUACAUAUGCAUCUGCAUCCCCUAGUUCAUUGAAUGCGUGCCAUGUGACACCCUUCCCAUCAUUUUCUACAUCUGCAUCAUAGUUAUAUUCUGCACUAUCCAAACUAGGCCAUGCAGCAGAUGCUUGAGUCCCAAGCCCAUUACCAUUUGAAUUUUCCAUAUCUGUAUAGUACAACACAAGAACCCUAUUACAUGGCAUGCAUCCAACCAUUUCAACUACUUUAUUAUCAGAGGUAAUAAGCUCCAAUAUGUUACCAUCCUUUUCUUCAGCCUUUCUAUACCUAAUCUCCAUAGUUUGCUCAAUUUUCGAAACAUCUAUUGUAUACCCCAACUCUUUCCCUAUCUUCCUUAAAUCCAGCAAUGAUAGAAAGUCAUCAACAACAUUAUCUAAAUAACAGACCUUACCACCUUUAUAAACCCCAUUUUCAAACAUACCCCCAUGGUGUAGUUCAAGAGUGACUCUGUCACAGAUAUUUGCAAACAUUACAUAUCAAAUUUCAGAGUUAGCUGCACACACAUCUCCUUUAUCUAAUGCUACAGGUUUAGGGUUUUAAUUUUUUUUUACCAUUUCAGUCAAUGCUAAUAGUGAAUUAAGUGUGAAGUAGACAACAAAGGGACCACACCAAAAAUAAAAACCUAUACUUUGCAGUCAAUCCCAGCAUAAAGGAAAUAAAAUGCCACGGUAUCUUUUCAACAUAAAGAAACUGACCUUGGACCACACACUUGCAAACAAAAAACAUCGAUUUGCAAAACAAGAUGAAUAUAAAAUACAGACAGAGAAUCCCUUACCGUAUUUGGGAUUCUCUCCACCCCAACGGAACUCAAACUCCAUCAGUGAUGAGCAUCCACAAUGAUCGAAAUCCAGAAAUUCCGCAAAACCCCCAAAUAGGAACCCCAACACUCUGGUUCUCUGUUGUUGCCUUCGCACCUCGAUUUCGGAUAGUCACGAACAAAAUGCGACGUUUUGGCUAAUCGGAGAAGAAGACAUUGAGGUUGAAAAAGACGCAUAUACCCUUUCAGAUUUAAAAAGACGCAUAUACCCAUCCUAGACCCCAUCACUGGCGUUGACUUGUUAAAAACUCACAGAAAAUGUAACGGUUGGAUCAAAUGGCCGACUAAUAAUUUAAUUUAGGGACCAAAAUGUACAUCGCAUACAACUUUGAGGACCAUUUUCGCAAUUUUUAUAACAAACUAAGUUUAACAUAAUGUAAUUAAUUUAACAUUUUUAAUAUAUAAAACGAAUAAAAUACAUUCUCAAUCGUUCUCCACCAAUCUCUAAUUAUAAAUAUCUCUAACGAGAAUGAAAUUAAUAGCGUUAGUACGAAUUUACAUUAAUACUUUUAAACUAACGACAAAAAAUACUUACCCAGUGAACAUACUGAAUUUCUAGCGGCAGAGAGGUGCAGAGAGAGGCAGAAUGCUUUUUUUUUUUUUUUUUUUUGCAUUCUGCCUCUGCAAUGGCAGAAUCCAGAUAUGAAGAAGAAGGACUUUGCGCGACGACCCAUAUUUUUGUCUUGCAAAAUGCCGUCGUGAAAAAAAAAUUCCGUCGCGCAAAACCACUUUUUCGUCGCAAAAGUCGUUCAUUUCGUCACACAAAAUAACUUUUUUAUCGCUCAAGCAUGUAUCGACAUCAUACUUUUGCGCAACACAAGUUUUGAUUUGUCGCACAAACUUUCGUCGCGCAAAUUCUAAAUGUUGUCAUGCAAAAGCAAGCUUCUGUCGCGCGAAAAAGAACUUCCGUCGCGCAAGAUUGUGGCGACAUCAAACUUUACGCGCUGAACUAUAUUUCAGUCACUCAAGGCUUUGGCGCGAAAAAAAAAAUAUCCCACGCACUAUUUUGGUGCCAAAAAAAUUAUUCCACGAUUUUCUUACGCAAUGAUAAAUCUUGUCGUCGCGCUAAGUUGUCUUUUGCGCAAGUUUCUGCUCCAAAUAACAAAACCCACUGUUUUCUGUCCACCUUUACGUGACGAAACUUCCAACCGUCGCGCUAGGUUUUCUUUCACGACACAAGUGUUGGGCGCAAAAAAAAAAAACCCACGUUUUUCUUCCUCACUUUGCGCGACGAAUAAGUUUGCUGUCGCGCUAAGACUUUUUGCGCGACGAAAAUUUUGGUCGCUUCAGUUUUCGGUGGUUUGCGCAAGGAAUAAUUUUUUCUAUCACUGUAAUGCAUUUUGCGCAACGAAUUCUCGUUCAUCGCGCAAAUUGUAAAACUUAAUAGUGCAAAUGGGCACUCAUUUUGGAGUUAUUAAUCAUUUUCUCACUCUAUAUUCCGGCAUUUUAUUUGUUUACAAUAAAAGGAUGCAAAAAGAUCCUUUCAAAAUUCAAAUCUGAAAAUCUAGUGGCAAAAUCAUCCAAGUAAGCAAAAAUUUCUCUAUCUAAAAGAAAUUUUGGAAAAGUUGAUAGAGGUAUAAAAAUCCAACCAAUAAUUGGGUCUAGUCCUCGAAUUAUUGUUUGUUGAUACAAGUCCUUUGGUUAGUUUGCUAUGUAGAUUACAUUCUAUUUUUGACAUGCUGACUCAAUCUUUUUUGUUUAACUGAUUUAUUUAAAUUUUUUGUUCCUAUUAUAUCCCUAUUGUCUAAAAUGGGUAUGAUGAGAAUUUAUAGGCCAUUAAUGAUUAGAUUUGAUCAUGUAAUUAAAGGAAAAAUUACAUUUUGAAUGUAAAUGCCGGACCUUCACUUUUUUCCUUGUGCUUGAUUUGUGCAAAUUCCUAUGCUCCAGGUACAAUACUCUACAAACCAUUGAACUUGAUAUACCUAUCUAAUAGGUAUAGUACAUAUUUGAUGCACCUCAGUACUAGGUAAAACACAUAUUGGAUGCAACUCAAUGCCAGGUAAAACAAAUAUGUUUUUUUUUUUUAAAAAAAAAAGUUAUACCUCCAUACUAGGUAUAUUAAAAAAAAUUAACAUUAUGACAAAAAAAAUUUCAUCAAAUAAUUUUGAAAAACUCAAUAUAUAAAUUUUAUAGGUAAAACGUAUGUAUAUGCUACCAAUUUAAUAAAGCUACGAAUAUAGAAUUCUAAAAAAUAUAGUUUCCAUAUGUAUAUAGCUGAAAUUUGAAUUAAAUAGGUUUUUAUUGUAACGACCCGGUCCUAAACUAAUAAUUAAAUAUGAAAUUAUUAAGGAAAAAGACAAUGUUAUCCCGGAAUAUUUUAAUAGGUUUACAUGUUGACCGGGAAGACUUCGGUGAAAUUGUUACCUCCUGGUUCCAAAAGGUGUUAAAAUAAUUAAAUUAAGAGAGAAUAAAUUUAAAUGAGGAAAUAAACUGAAAUAAACAUUAAAAUAAAAUGAUUUGAAUUAAUUAAGGUUUUUGAGAAAUUAAAAUAUUAUUUAAUAUUAAAAGGGGCAAAAAGGUCAUUUUAAGUUUGGGAAGGAAUUUGGAAAUUCUGAUUAGACGAUUGUGUAAAGCACGUCGAAACGAGUCCAUAGACAUGUAGUGGACUCUAAUCGGAGUUGUAACGAAGAAAUGACAAUCAAAAGAAGUUCAGUGGCAUAACCGUAAAUAUUUCAAAGUUCAGUUUUUUUUAAACCCAGAAUUUCUGCAUUUUAGGGAGCUCGACCAGCCGAAUUCAAGAGGUGAUUUCUCUCAACUCCGACCACGAAUUCAAGCAAGACCUGUCCCUUAGAACCACCACACUUCCCUCUUCCAGCCCCAGCCCUUCGCCGCCUCGAUCCGCCUUCUAGUCGCCAGAAACAGCCAAGAAAUAGGCGGUUUUGGAUAAUUUUUUUCGUAAACUUUCAACGGCUCGUUCUCCCUCCUCCGGCCACCGUUUCAUGCGAGUGAGGUAUGUUUUCUCACCUAAUUUUCAUAAUCUAGCGGAUGGUUGGAUAUGAAUUUAUCAAUUUUGAGCCUAGAUAGUUCGAUUUUCGAAUUGGAUUUCAGCCGGUUUUGGGAUCACGAUUCCGGCCACUUUUUGGGGCAGGUCCAAGAACAAAAGUCGUUCUAAAUAAGGUGUUUUACCUAGGGAAUGGCGGGAGGAAGAAGAAAGAAGAAAAAGAUGGAGAUAGAAGAGAAGAAAGAAGGAAUGACGGCUGGGAGAAAAGAAAAAGAAAAGGAGAGUUUGUGGGGCGGGAGGAACCCUAACUUUUUAAAAUAUAUAUAUUUUUAAUUCUUUAUAGUAAUAAAUAUUACAAAUAUACACACAAUUGUCCAUCAGAGUACAUAGUUUGAUUACGCAUCAGCACACCUACUCUCAAUUUUUAGGCAAUUUCUGGUUUGGCCUGUUCAAUCAGGUUUUCAAUAUAACUGACCAGCCCUAGUUCUUCUAGCGCUCGUAUCUCACUAGAAGAGUUCUUCGGAGUUCUUGGUCGCUUUCUAUAAAUUUCAUGCGAAAGGGUAAAACCAGAAUCCAAAUUUGUAUAAAAGGAAAACUGUCCAUUUUUGGGUUUUUUUUUUUUUUUUUUUGUUUAUAAAAAAUUAUUUCGUUUUGAGUUUCUUUUUGAUACACUAGGGAUGGGUAUUGUUAUAAAUUUGUGAUAAAUAUAUAUAUAGUUUGGGCUUAUAUUACCAAUUCUUCUUCAGUGUACAAAACUAUGAGAGUCCAAAUAAAAUUAAAUCAAAUUCUUAAGCGUCCAAGGAUGUUUGAUUUUUUUUUUUUUAAUUUUGUUGGCCUUUUUGUUAUUGUUUUGUUUGCCUUUUGUGGCUUUUGCGGCUGCCUCAUGUAGCUUUAUUGAGAAAAAAAAAAGGGCAUGUACAACCUUCUAUGUGUUGUAAAUAUGAUGGAGCCCAACCAAUGCCUAUAAAUAGGCUUCUUCAUUCUUGUAAUAAACAUACAAUUAGAGGAGAACAAAACAUUCAACAAGAAUUCUGUUUCUACUCUCUCUCUCUCCAUUCCAAUUAUCUCUACAAUUUCCCAUUGAUUUAUAACACGUUAUCAGCACCAUUGAUUUAUAACACGUUAUCAGCACGAUUAUCUCUAAGGGAAUUUUGAUCAAAACACUCACGCCUUCUUCCAAAACUUUCCGUGAACCAGUAGCCUUUGACUCUCUGUCUGCCUUUCUUCUUCAUCUGCAUCAAAAACACACUUUGAUGUCUAUGCCACUGGAGCAUGAUUACAUAGGCUUAACAGAGACUUCUUCAAUGGAAAGAAGCUCUGAAAAAGACCAGAUCGAUCAGGACGCUCUAUUGUCCUUGGCUCUCCAGGCACCAUUGAAUUUUGAAUUGGUCUUCUCCCACUGACUGUUGCCUUUGGGAAGGAAUAACCUGCGGCCCAGAUGAUCAACUCCAAGAUCUUGAAAAGAGCACCAAUUCCUUCACUGUCAUUCCUCUUCCCGCCCCAAUCUGAGAAAAGGGCCAGGUUGCUAUGGAUCCACAAGGGCAUAACCAACCCCAAUCUAUGGGGAUGGUAGGCAGUGGAGCUCAAUUGACAUAUGGUACUAACCCAUAUCAGCAUAAUCAAAUCCGGAACAGUCGGAGCUAUUCAAUCAACUCUCAUAUAGCAGAAUAGCAAUUAGCCAACAAAUCAAACACUUUUUCACUCACAAAUUCAGAGUGCCUCUAAUUCCAAAUUUCUUCGGCGGCCGAAGGACUAAUGUCUUCGACCCAUUCUCUCUCGACAUCUGGGAUCCAUUCCAGGACUUACCCUUGAUCAGCGGCGGUGGCGAACACGCGGAUCAACUGGAAGGAGACGCCGGAGGCGCACGUGUUCAUGGCAGACCUUCCGGGGCUGGAGGAGAAGGAGAGACGGUUCCAGAUCUUCAAGGACAACCUCAGCUACAAGCUCGGUCUGAACCGGUUCGCCGAUCUGUCCAACGACGAGUACAGGUCAACUUUCCUGGGCACCAAGACCCGCUCUCAGAAGAGGAAGCACAAGGCCGCCACGGAUGGCAGCAGCAUCAGAGUCGACUGGACCAACCUUCCACCCCAACUCUCCUCGUCGUCCUCGUCGCCCUCAUCACCUUAUGAAUCCGAUGACCAACUGGAGGGUCAGCUCUGUCAAGGACGACGUUGCAAGAAAUCCAAAACGGUGUGUCGUCGAACUUCUUCGACCCGGCGGUGCUCAAGCACGCCCUGUCCAAGGCCCUCGUCCCUCUUGCUGGUCGCUCCUCACUAUUCUGCUUCUGAUCCUCCAUCAUUCACACACCCUCAAUUGCAAAUUGUUUGGUUUUGGGUUUCAGAGAAAACACAGAGCAUCAAAGCCUCUCGCUCCCUCUCUGUCAAGGACCACUUGUGUUGCAAGCCCGUCUUGCUUCAGGUUGCCAUCACUUGGCAAAUUGUUGUUGGAGCCAUAACUGGAGUUACACCUUUUGUGGUGGCUAGGACUGAAUUCAGCAAAAGAAUAAUCCUGUGCUUUCAAAGGGCUGAAAAAAAAAAAAAAAAAUCGUUGUGAGGGAUUGGUAUGGGCUUGCGCUUGCUGUAAAAUGUCGAGCUGGAAUUGCAGAAUCCGCUUCUGCCAUCCACCUUUGCAGAGCCCAUCACCGCCGACAUCAUCACAAUUUGGGUUGAAACCACAGGUAAAUAUUUUUAUUCUUAAUUAUGGUGGGGCUGUGGAUCGUGAGCACAGUGGUCGGGGUCUGAGGCACAACUUGGGUGCUGAGAUUAUUAGCCACUGACUCAAGGAAAGUGCUGAAACAUCUUUUGAUGAGAAUAGUAAAACCCACCGAUAAAGAAAAGCAAACUCAGCAAGGGUACUGACCUUAAAAUAGCGAUAAGAUCUCUGCUCCCUGAUCUUCCCUAUUAUUUCAUAUUAUAUUUAUCUGCUUUUCUAUUACUAACUAUUAACAAAAAUGGACCCUCGGUAAUACUAAACAUAUUAUCAGUGGGAGACCGUUACUAAUACUAACAAUUUAAAUUAUGAAUUUACUUUACCGCACAUUUAUUUUAUUUACUGUAUGGUGUAGGUUUAUUACCCAUACAACAGUAUUUAUUUAAAAGGGUGGUGCGGGUUUAUCGUCCACGCCUUUACUUUCAUUUAAAUGUAUGGUGCAGAAUUAGUGCCCAUACAAGCACGUUUAAUUUACUGCAAAUUUACUUUACCGCACAUUUAUUUUAUUUACUGUAUGGUGUAGGUUUAUUACCCAUACAACAGUAUUUAUUUAAAAGGGUGGUGCGGGUUUAUCGCCCACGCCUUUAAUUUUAUUUAAAUGUAUGGAGCAGAAUUAGUGCCCAUACAAGCACGUUUAAUUUACUGGAAAUUUACUGUACCGCACAUUUAUUUUAUUUACUGUAUGGUGUAAGAUUAUUACCCAUACGACAGUAUUUAUUUAAAAGGGUGGUGCAGGUUUAUCGUCCACGCCUUUACUUUCAUUUAAAAGUAUGGAGCAGAAUUAGUGCCCAUACACGCACGUUUAAUUUAUGAAUUUAAAUUAUCGCACAUUUACAUUUAUUUAAAAGGGUUGUGCGGGUUUAUCGUCCACGCCUUUACUUUUAUUUAAAUGUAUGGUGCGGGUUUAUCGUCCAUACCAGUAAUUUAUUUACCAGCAAUUUAUUAUAUGGAUUAAAUGUGCUGUAUGAUGAGUUUUUACAGUAUGCAGAUCAUGACCAGAAGUUCCUUGAUCCUCAUCAUACAAUUACAUCAGGACUUGAAGAUCCUUGAUGAUGAUGUUAACAUGUGAUCGGACUUGAGGGUCCUUAAUCCCUGACAUGUAAAUAAGGACCUGGGGUUCCUUAAUGAUGUAACAGUACCGUGUUGGUUCAUAAUGCUGUACACAUGGAUGAUAACUGUACUGGCAAAUGUACUGUACACAUGAAUAGUGCCGUAUACAUGAAUAGUGAUGUAUGCAUAAAUAUUUACCAUUCUGGGUAAACUAUCACCAUUCAAAAGAGAACCUGCAGUUCCUUAAACUCAUGGAUGAGCAAUUAAAUGAGAUGCCAGAAGUUCCUUAAAAUAUGGACAAUUAUGUAAGGCUUGAAGUCUAGAAAUAUGUACAGAAAAUUGUAAACAUGUCCAUACCAUGAGAAUAUGUGAUUUUGGCCCGAAGUUCAAAAUCUAAGGGGAUUGAAUGUCCAUACCAUGAGAAUAUGUGAUUUUGGCCUGAAGUUCAAAAUCUAACAGUGUUGAGAACCUGAAGUUCCAACAAUUAAAUGGACAACCCUUGAGGUAUUAUUGCAAAUUGUGGUACGCCACAUAUCUCUUUGGCAUAAGAGAAUGAUGAAUUGAGGCUCCCCACAUAUUUUGUUAUAUCUGGGCCGGAAACUCAUGAACCCAAAUAUAUGAGAUAUUAGCGUGGCUUUUACUCAAUUCAUAUUUCAUGCCCAUUUUGAAAAGGGCAAAUAAAUUCUGAGUUUUGUGUUUAGCCCAUGCCUAAAGUUCCGGGCUCCCAUACGUUUAAAUAUGAAAUUUGGGAGAGUCGAUGUGGUUAUUUGAACCUAUAAGGCACAAGGUUCAAAACCGUCAUUUUGAAAAGACGUAAAAACCACAGGUGCGAAUUUUAAAUGUGCGCAAUUAUUAUAACAGGAAAGGAGCAAGUUGCAACGCAGUUGCUCCAAUCAAGUUUUGCGAAGGCCAUAUCUAUAGGAGGAAAUAUGGCUACAGUUUCCAGGAUCCCAAUAUUACCUCAGAUCCCUAUAUUAUCUUUUUCUUUCUCAGAUUCCAAAACUUCACGUGGCCUCCAUUAAAUGUUUGUCGGCACUCUCGGCGUUUUCAAUGUUUUAUUUUCAUCAAAAGCCGAUCUUGCUUUACGGAUUUCACGGAGCUACUUUUUCAAAAGUACCCCGAGAAUCUCGCAAUUUUCUUAUGGUUAAUUUGAAAUUCACCGGUUCUACCUAUUCAUCUUAUUUGUGUAUAAAUGUGUUACUAAUGAAAUUUUCUUUGCAGAAGACAUCCAGUUUUCUCCAUAACUAGUGAUGCGAUAUCUACUUGUUUUUCUUAUCAGUGAGCACUUAAUAUGCCCGAGAAGUAAGACUAUCUCUGAUCAUCCAUUCAGGAAGCGAGACUAUCCCUGAUCACGUUUCCGCUGCAUUAGGGAACUGUGAAGGCGAUCUUAUGCUCUAAUCUCCGGAAGUCCUUCUAGACUAGGAGAUAUGAGAGCUUAUUGUCUGCUCCCACCAACUUCCUUUCCUGAUUGCUUACCUUCUAUUUUUGCAUUUUCUCUCUUUCUGUAACUCUCUGAGGAUUAUUUGUUUUUGACAGAGAAAAGAGUUGUGAUUUUACUCUUGCAGAAUAUAACUAGAUCAUCAAGCGCUACAUUUACUGGGCCGAUACAAGCUUGAAUGAUACUUGAGAAAAGUUUCUCACACCUAAGGAUAUUGCAAGUUGGAUACAUUGAUAAUACACUGCCACAGAUUAAAGUCCCACAAGAACAGAAUAUGGGUAUAGCAGUGAUCAAUAUGAUGCACGCCUGUUGCGUAGCAAAUAAUAUGGAUUGAAGUCCCGAAAGGACAAUCCUUUAACAUGUCAAUAUUGAUAUUAUGCACGCCUAAUGCGUAGCAAAUUAUAUGGGUUAAAGUCCCAUAAUAUGGGUUAAUGUCCCAGAAAUUAAUUGACAUGUAUGUAUUAAUCUGUGGCAUACCUGCAGCAUGACAGAUAUAUGGGUGCACGCCUGUUGCGUAGCAAAUGAUAUGGAUUGAAGUCCCGAAAGGACAAUCCUUUGACAUGUCAAUAUUGAUAUUAUGCAUGCCUAAUGCGUAGCAAAUUAUAUGGGUUAAAGUCCCAUAAUAUGGGUUAAAGUCCCAGAAAUUAAUUGACAUGUAUGUAUUAAUCUGUGGCAUACCUGCAGCAUGACAGAUAUAUGGGUGCACGCCUGUUGCGUAGCAAAUGAUAUGGAUUGAAGUCCCGAAAGGACAAUCCUUUGACAUGUCAAUAUUGAUAUUAUGCACGCCUAAUGCGUAGCAAAUUAUAUGGGUUAAAGUCCCAUAAUAUGGGUUAAAGUCCCAGAAAUUAAUUGACAUGUAUGUAUUAAUCUGUGGCAUGUCUGCGGCAUGACAGAUAUAUGGGUUCUAAAUGUUCCAACUCCCUAAAUGGAGAUUUUCCACGCCCUAUGUAAAAUAACGCUCCAUUGGAGGUUAUAAUCCACAUUCUCACAUAAUAAAAGCCCCAUGAAGUGGCUUGGGUACCCAAAAGCAAAGAAAUGCUUAUAAUUGAUGCAUGCGCAUGCACAUGAGAAUGGUGGGAUCAUGAAUUGAUGAAUGACAAUUUUUGAUCAUGAAUUGAUGAAUGACAAUUUUUUGUUUUUGGAGUAGCUACUCAAAUCAUCAAUGGGCUGUGUUGAUUGGAACCACGUUCAAUUAUUAAAUGUCGACAAUAUUAUUGGCCAAAAUGGAACGAGGUAAUUCCAUUAUAAAUGAGAAUGAACGUGAAAGAACAAACCCACAAUACGAACCCCAAAAUUUGUUAAUACUGAAUUUAUACUUGGGUGUUCGGAAUAAAAGGGAAUAUACGUACUUGGUAUGACACACUGUUUCUGGCAGAAACAAGGAAUGUUGGGUUUUCUCCAUAUUUACAGAUUCAAUUGUGCCCCCCCUCCCCUUAUUACACAAUUACGGAGACCAACAUAUUAUCUUUAAGGGUUAUUAAAUGCACAGAGCAUAUCGCCAGAAGCGAUUCCCUAAAGAUGUAUAAAUAGCUGGGUUAAAGCUAUAUAAUGUGUCAUAAAGUUUAAUCCCUUUUAGACAAAAUCCGUUGAGAGGAUUGACAUUGCAUAAAGCAAGUCCCUAAAGGACAUGUGCUUGAAGCACAAAAUUUGUACUCAAUAUUAAUAUGCAUAAAUUACCUCAGUGAGUACAUUGAUGUGAUUGCAACACAUUAAAGAUUCUGCAGAAUUCACAAAAUAUUUGUCUCGACUUAAGGAUCGAGCAUUGUGCCAACGAGAUUCUUGCUUAUACUAAGAAAGUAUUGAAGCAUUUUUAUGAGGAUUAUCCGUUGGUCCUUAAAUGUUUUUCCGGAAGUAUACUAGACCAGAUAGAGCUCAGCUCCACACUGUACUCUUUUUCCUUCACCCAGGUUUUUAUCCCAUUGGGUUUUUCCUGGUAAGGUUUUAACGAGGCAGUGUUGCUCAAGGGUUUAGGGUAUACUAUGAAAAUUUUUAUGGUCGCUUACUGGACAAAAGCUAGUCCUAAAUUUUUCAGGGGGAGAUAUUCAUCAGGGGGAGCAUGGUUUUAAUAAAGACCUUCAUACACUGUACUCUUUUUCCUUCAUCCAGGUUUUUAUCCCAAUGAAUUUUUCCUGGUAAGAUUUUAACGAGGCAGUGUCGCUCAAGAUUGACUCACAGAAGCAGUGUCAACUACGAUAUUCAGAAAGCUGAUCAACAGUAUGACUUAAAGAUAUUUUGCCAAGUAUCAGGGGGAGCACACCAUCAAUAAAGAUCUUCAAACACCGUACUCUUUUUCCUUCGUCCGGGUUUUUAUCCCACUGGGUUUUUCCUGGCAAGGUUUUAACGAGGCAGUGUCGCACGCGCGUCAAUAUACUUAGAAUUUUAUGUUACACAUAGUUAUGUACUCUUUUUCCCUUCGACCAGUUUUUGUCCCACUGGGUUUUUACUGGUAAGGUUUUUAACGAGACAUAUUCUAUAUCAUUUGUGGUCUCCAAGGGGGAGUGUUGUAAAUAUGAUGGAGCCCAACCAAAUGCCUAUAAAUAGGCUUCUUCAUUCUUGUAAUAAACAUACAAUUAGAGGAGAACAAAACAUUCAACAAGAAUUCUGUUUCUACUCUCUCUCUCUCUCCAUUCCAAUUCUCUCUACAAUUUCCCAUUGAUUUAUAACACUAUGUUAUUAAUUGCAGCCAGGGUGUGAUCAAUAUAUGUAUAUUUGAAUUGCAUGUGACAGUGGCGAUUCCAAGAUUCGAAAUUUGUUAGGCAAAAUUUACAUACUAAACUUGAUUGUACAAGUGAAUUUCAUUAAUAAACAUAAAAAGAUACACAUAAUCAGAGGGACGUUUUGAGCCUUAAUCUCAAAUGUAUCUCUAUGAAUAAAAAACUAAAACUAGACGACAUGAUCAUAGAUCACACUUAAGAUAAUUGAUAUUAAAAUCUUGAUCAUCAUCGACUCUUUGAUUCUCAACUUGAUGCUUAACAAUGAAAGAUUCGGGAAGAUUUUGCCAAGAAGAGAAAUAAACAUCUCAACAAAAACAAUCCAAUUAACAACCUAAUAAAUACCUUAAAAGCGAAAAAUGUAUAUAUCAAAUAAUAAGAAAAGAAGAAAUAAUAAAUGGAGGAGUUGAUGAAGGAGGUGAUCACUUACCUACAUCUGAGAUGCUAUUGUGGCAGUAUACCAAAUCAAUCAAGCAUUGCAAUGUUUUAAUUUUUUCACGUGGUAAUGCGUAAUUAGCUUAAAAUACUGACACAGUGACAUUUCCGUUGUACGAAAGUUUUCUCAUAGGUGGGAGGUUUCUCAUUUUCUUUAAUAGAUGAUGGAAAGCAGUUAAUAAUACAUAGCCAACCUGAAAGUACAAACACAAUUAACAUAUAUAGGAGAAAGAACAAACACACCGAACAUAAAAGAUCCCAUUGCCCAAAUGUUAAAAGCUAAUUAUCCAUAUACAUCUGCCAAUUGCUGAAGUGACAGAUGCAAACUCGAAUAUUAUUACAUGUAAAUUAAAACACACGAAAAACAUCAACUUGGUAUUACUUGAUUUUCAAAACAGGCAAAUAAGAAGCCAAUCUAGAUCAGUCUUGGGGUCAAAACAAGGCGAACAAGUUCUUCCCACCAGCAAACUCAUGGGUAAAAUCUUCAGUCGCUGCAUAUGCUUCUGCAAAAUAUAUGAAAAGACAAAAGCAAUAUUGUAAUUAACAAACAAAACGUCAAUAUAUGUAUGGCUCAGGAAUCUGAGUUGGAAUGAUUAAUAUGGCUUUACAUACAUUAACAGAGCACAAGUACAAUAUUCCAAAUCAUUAAGUUUAGGAAAGUCACUAAAAGGAUAAAAGAUACUUACGUAUAUUUCUUACAUCUCUCGUCGACGAGUAGCAUCCUUGCAUGAUCCACACCUCCUUCUUUUAUGGACUCCAUAAACUCCUCUGAAGCAUUAUCAAAAGUGUAUCGUUGUAGUUUAGUAAGGUGCUCAAUACCCUGUGGCAAUGUUUCUAACGUCAUGCAACUAUGAAUCUCUAGGAACUCGAAAUUUGGCAUGGCCCCUUUUUCUAUAGUUAUCUUAUUUAAUAAUGCGAGAUUCCUAACAGAGGCAUUAUCUUCAAGUUUAGACCCAUAGCUUUUUCUAUAGUUAUCUUAUUUAAUAAUUCGAAAUUUGGCAUGGCCUCUGAAACAUAACUCUUUCCUAACAGAGGCAUUAUCUUCAAGGGAAAGAGAAUGUAGAGAGGGCAAUGCUUCAAUAUGACAUAGUAAAUCCUAUUCAAGUUUAGACCCACUCAGAUACAAAUUUCUGAGAGAGUGGAGUGAACAAAACCAAUGUGGUACCUUUUCCAGUUUUCCGGUCAAGUAAAUUCUAUCAAGGUAGGGAGGCGGUGAAGACAAUGCGUCAACUCGAAGAAAUUCCUCUCCAUCAGCUACAAAUAAAAACAAGCGGGAAAGGACCUUCAUCUCUUGAAUUAAGGCACAUAGGUCCUCCUCGUCUCUUUCUUUCACAUUUGUAAUGCCAAGGAACGUAAGCUGGGUCAUACUUCCAAUAAGUCUAAUAAUGUUUCCUUCUGAUUCAAUAAAUGCCAAAGAUUGCAAUUUCUUCAUCUUACCAAUACUUGAUGGUAUUUUUACCCAAAAACCAUCAUAGUAUGGACCCAUAAGUAAAUGGCGUAAGCUUAGCAACUUGGAAAUCCCUCUUGGAAGUGCCUUUAUUUUUGUUGCCAUGAUGUUCAAGGUCUGAAGAUUGCGGAGCUUUCCAAUGGAUUCUGGAAGCUCUGUAAUUGGAGUUCCACACAAAUUUAAAUAUUUUAAAUUAAAUAAGGAUGUUAGAUUGUCUGGCAGAUAAUCAAGUGGGACAUCCUCCAAAUCUAGAACCUUAACAAUUUAAGGUCAAAAGGUAAUUUAUUUGAGAAAGAAAAUGAGGAUACGCCAGUGGCAAAGAUGAGAAACGAACGAAGCCGUGAUAUACCUGUGCAUGAUCCAAUUUCUCUAUUAGUUGUUUGAAUUGACAAACGGAGUGCCCCAGUUUCUUCUACUGUUUCACUCCCAUCAAGUACAGCAAGAAACUUUUCUUUUUUUGCUAUAGACAGAGCAAUCUCCCUCAAAAGAUCAUGCAUCUUACAUGCUGGGAGGGAUCCAUAAAACCUUUCCUGUAGCAUGUUACGAAAAAUGAGUUCCAUAAGAUAGCUAUUUGCAACUUCUUCUGGCGUGAGCCCUUCGACAUGUUCAACAAAUCCUUCAGCGAUCCACAAUCUAAUGACCCUAUUAUUUAUGAUCACUGUAUCUUCGGGGAAAAGGGAACAAUAUAGAAAGCAUUGCUUCAGUCGGUAUGGCAAAUCAUUAAAACUAAACAACAAGAUGCUCUUCAUAGGUUCUAGCAAAGGAUUGUUAGUCAAAUGCCAAUUUAAGCUGUUGUAGGCUGUGCUCCACUCUGUAAGUGACUUCUUCGAAGACAUAAGACCACUCAAGGCUACGAUCGCAAGUGGUAGGCCUUCACACUUUUCCACAAGUUCCCGAGCUAAUGGCAGAAGUUCAGGUGAACAAGAUUUGUUAGGGUAACUUGAGAAUGCUUUCAUGCUGAAGAGCACCCAAGCAUCACUCCUUUCCAGCGGUCGAAUCUUGUGAACAUGGCUUUCAACUCCAAAAGAAGAGGAUGCUAUGUCUUCUCUUCGAGUUGUAAGCAUGACUCGACUUCCAAGUUGUUUAUCUGGAAAUGAAAACCUUAUUUUGUCCCAAAGAUGGACAUCCCACACGUCAUCCAAUACAAUUAGGUACCUUUUAGUCUCCAAGUAGUUCACCAACAUCUCCAGCAAUUCGUUAUAACUCAUGGCAUUCAUGGCUGCAGGGACCUCUUCCUUCUUCGCUUUGUGGAAUUCUUUGAUCAAUCUUCUAAAUAAGUCUUCAAUCACGUAAGACUGGGAAACAGUAAUCCACGCAUAGCAUUCGAAAUGUCUCUUUACAAUGUCAUCUUUGAAGGUCCUUACAACUAGAGUUGUCUUCCCUGAUCCUCCCAUCCCGACCACGGACACAACAGUUUGGUGCUUCGCUUCAUCCAUCAGCCAUCCCAGUAACAUGUUCUUAUCGCCUUCAAUCCCGACAAGUUCAUCCUCCUUCUGAUAAAGAGAAGACUCCGCUUGGUUCUGCACCCAUCUCCGAAUAUCCUCAGAAGUACUUUUUCCUUCUACAGCUGCAGCACCACGAUAUCUCUGAUUUCUCUCUGGAAUAGCUCGAAUCGCCACCGCGAUUUUCUGUAACUUGUUGGCUAUUUGACGCUUAUACCACAGGUGCUUUGGAAAGUGAAUGGUUUUGUGGAUCCACCUGGAAAAUCGACCACCAUUUCGCUGCUCGUACACGCGAUACAUGAACUCAUCAAUGGUGUUUUCAACAUGGGCGGCCCGGAGGGUGUGCAAGUGGUGCCACCGCACAGGGCCUCUGAUUUUUGAGGGCCCCCAAAUUUAAUAUAUAUAUAUAUAUAUUAAUAAAUGUUAUACAUAUACUGGGCAAGCAAAUUUUUGACACAAAGACAUUUCAAUUGUGUUGGUUUGCAGGACCUCAACUUCCAUUCAAGGCACAACUUCAAAGUCCGCUUGUGUAGAUCAUAGUUUUAGUUCUUUUUUUGUUUUUGUUUUUUUGUAACAACAAUUAAUAAUCAUAAUAAUUAAAAAGGCAAACACGUUAUAAUAUAAGGGAAGCUUGAAGAGCUUUCUUCGCAUGCUUGAGCGCAUCUUUCCCCUUUCUUUCUGUAAGUAAUAAUCAUCACCAAUAUCUCUCCUUGGCUCUCUUUUUUAAUCCUUUGACAAUUUAUUUUUUUCAAUUUCAAGGAUUUCAACACAAAAAAUCGAACAAAAAAAUUGAUAAAUGUCACUCAAAAGCAAAUGGUCAAAUUUAAAUCUGAAUUCAAAUUCAAGUAUGUAUCUAAAUUAUAUAUACUAAAUGACUUCAUUAUCAAUUUUUUUUUUUCCAGAUACUUCAUUAUCAUGUUGAUUGGUUAUAUAAUGAAAGAUGAUUUAAUUUGUAAUUUGCAUGCUAAUUAAUGAUGAGUUUUGCUUUAAGAAAAAAAAAGACAUUUAUUGUAUGGCAUUACGUAAUGGUGUAAGUUUGUAUUAGCUUAUUUGAAGCUCCAGUUUAAGGUUAGCACAGGGCCCCCAAAAUCUCAAGACCGGCUCUGGUUUUCAACAUCAUUGGCCAAGUCUCGAACGCUUGCGACCCACGCUUUCUCUACUUGUGUGUGUGCCUGCUCUCCACCGUCAGCAUCCUCUAAGAAGGAUUUCAUGAAUACCAGCUCCUGCUUAAUCUCAUCAACUUGAUCACGAACACCCGCUAUGGAGGCUGCUUCACUCUCUAGAAUGGCUACAAAUUUGCCAAUGAAGAGGUCUGUUGCAGCAGACGCCAUGAUGGCCUUAUUUUGGUAUAACCUUAAUCAAAAAAUCCUAUCUGAAAUUGAUUCUGGGGAGAAAUCAAUGGUAUAUGCAUUUUCGAAAAAGCAUUCUGCCAUGGUUGGGCUCAGAUGCACUAGAGAGAAAAAGAGAGAGAGAUUAUCAAUUAAUAAUUAGAAAUCGAUGUUACGCAUGACCAUGGCUGGGACAAUCGUUGAUUAAACAAUUGUUGGGAGUUCUCCCAUGCACGUGAGGAUGUGUACCCCAUGUGCUGUGAUGGGUAAGUCCACUUUCUAACAUAUAAUAAGUUACCCGAAUCGAUUACUACACAUAUAAUAUUGGUUAAACAGGUAAUGCCAACAAAAGAAAAAAACAAAUUAACAGCUAACAUAUGCUCACUAAUUAUUAAUGGGUUUUCAAUUGAAUGUUUAUUAAUAAUCUUUAGGCUUAAUUGCACCGAUAUUUCUUGAAAUUUCGGUCAAAUCUCAUUUUAUUUUCUCAAAUUUAAAAGGGAGAUUCACUAUUAUACUCAAUAUGGGAGCCUAAAUUAUAAAAAUAUCCCGUAUGAAAUGGAUUUUAGAAACAUACCCAAAGCCCAUUUACAACAUAACAAAAAAACUUUUAACUUCUUAUAAAUUACAAAACUGCCAUCAAUUUCUUAAAACAAGCCCAACUCCAAAAUCUCAUAAAAAUACACAAAACACUUAAUAGGGCAUCAAAGUAAUUUAAUAAUUAAUAUUAAAUUCAAUAAGGCAAAUUGUGUUGUAAAGUCAAGGAUGGAUCCCACAAUGGUAGUGCCCACUACCUAAUGGAUUGAAGGACAUCAUGAUGAAAGCACUAUGGGAAGGCAUCAUUACCCACCUCCAAUGGAAGAUGCUUGCCUACCACCCACCUCCAUUAAGAGAUGCUUGCCUAUAAAUAAAGCUUCCUUCUACUUGUAAUAUACAUACAUGAAUGUAGAACAAACAUUCAAUGAGAAGAUCAGAUUUCUAUUCUUUCUCUAUACCCCAAUUCUCUCUACAAUUUCAUCUAGAUUUAUAACACGUUAUCAGCACGAAUUCGCUUUAACAAUACCAGCUGAAUUCUCUGAUGAAACCCAACCAAACAAACACUUCUCUCUCUGUUUCUUCUUUGUUUUGUGACCCUCCUGGCAUAUCCGAACAAACUCCGGUGUAGUCCUUGUUUCUUCUUCUCUGCACUCUUCUCAGCCAUUUUAACAAGCAUCUGGUGUGCAUGGCUGUGCAUGAAAAAAAAAAUAAUAAUACCGUAACCAAACCAAGACACAACUGUCUGUCUGUCUGUCUGUCUCUGUACAAUGGAGCCGUGGCUCGACGACUUAGCCGACGACCUCCAGAGCCUGAGCUUCACCUCCACCACAACUGUGUUGGUAACAGGUAAGCCCGAAGGCUGUUCCCGUCCCUCGUCUCCAAGCUUCCACCACACCCUCUCGCCAACUCCUCGGACCCUCUCUGGUCCGCCAUCCACAAAACCCUCUAGCCUUCGCCUUCGCCUUCGCCAUCGCCAUCACCGUCGUCGACGGCGUCGGCACCAGCCUUGGUCCUGUCCAACUCCGGCAAGCGCAUGGACCAGGCGGGGAAAGAAGAAGCUUCCUCUGUGGUUGCCUCUGGUCAAGAACUCUGGCUUCUACUUCCAGGACAUAUCAGGCUUCGUGGUUAGCCCUCGCUUCGUGUUCGUAGUUGGAAAUAUAAUUGUCAUCAUUCUCCUUGUCAAGUCCGGCAAGUUUUCAGGUAAAGACUCCAGCACAGGAGCUGAUCUUUACGAUGAGUUUGUUCACAACAGCGAAAAGAACCAUGAAAUGGUCAUGACCCAUUUUCCGAUUCCACGACUCGGGCGAGUCGGUGGUCAUGAACUCGAUCUCAUCCCCUGAUGAUUCCUUGCCCAUGAAAACAAUAGCCGGGGGCAGUGUAGCAAAUACUAUCAAAGGGCUGUGUGCUGGGUUCGGAAUCUCCUGUGGAAUAAUUGGUGCUUGAGGGGAUGAUGAGCAAGGCCAGUUAUUUGUAGGUAACAUGAGCUCUCAUGCUGUGAGCCUCUCAAGAUUGAGGAUGAAUAAGGGACCCACAGCUCAGCAGAGAUGCCCAUGGAAAUGAUAACUUAGAUCUAAUGGCGGGCCACGCGAUAAAAACAGGUUGGCUGGACAGCACAUGUUGUCGAGUGCGCAUGAUUACAGCCCCACCCACGUAUUCUGCUGCACAUGUAAAACCACCCACCGAAAAAAAAAAAUUAUUAAAAAAUGCUAAAGUGCUGAAGCAUCUUUUAAUAAAAAACAGCAAAACCCAUCGACCCACCGAAAGACUAAGCGAUAAGAUCUCUGCUCCCUUAUCUUCUCUAUUAUUUCCUAUUAUAUUUACCUGCUUUUCUAUUACUAACCAUUAACAAAAAUGGACCCUUGGUAAUACUAAACAUAUUAUCAGUGGGAGACCGUUACUAAUACUAACACUUUCCUUAUCUUGUUCAGUGGUGGUUUUUAACCCCACAUUUAUUUUAUUUACUGUAUGGUGUAGGUUUAUUACCCAUACAACAGUAUUUAUUUAAAAGGGUGGUGCGGGUUUAUCGUCCACGCCUUUACUUUUAUUUAAAUGUAUGGAGCAGAAUUAGUGCCCAUACAAGCACAAUUUACUUUACCUCACAUUUAAUUUUAUUUAAAGUAUGGUGCGGGAUUAACGUCCAUACAGCAAGCAAUUUAAUUUAUGAAUUUAAUUUACCGCACAUUUACAUUUAUUUAAAGUGUGGUGCGGGUUUAUCGUCCAUACCGGUAAUUUAUUUACCAGCAAUUUAUUAUAUGGAUUAAAUGUGCUGUAUGAUGAGUUUUUACAGUAUGCAGAUCAGGACCAUAAGUUCCUUGAUCCUCAUCAUACAAUUACAUCAGGACUUGAAGAUCCUUGAUGAUGAUGUUAAUAUGAGAGCUGGCAGUCUCUCCGGUACUAUAUUUGUAAACAUGUGAUCGGACUUGAGGGUCCUUGAUCCCUGACAUGUAAAUAAGGACCUGGGGUUCCUUAAUGAUGUAACAGUACCGUAUUGGUUCAUAAUGCCGUACACAUGGAUGAUAACUGUACUGGCAAAUGUACUGUAUACAUGAAUAGUGCCGUAUACAUGAAUAGUGAUGUAUGCAUAAAUAUUUACCAUUUUGGGUAAACUAUCACCAUUCAAAAGGGAACCUGCAGUUCCUUAAACUCAUGGAUAAGCAAUUAAAUGAGAUGCUAGAAGUUCCUCAAAAUAUGGACAAUUAUGUAAGGACUUGAAGUCCAGAAAUAUGUACAGAAAAUUGUAAAAAUGUCCAUACCAUGAGAAUAUGUGAUUUUGGCCCGAAGUUCAAAAUCUAAGGGGAUUGAAUGUCCAUACCAUGAGAAUAUGUGAUUUUGGCCAAAAGUUCAAAAUCUAACAGUGUUGAGAACCUGAAGUUCCAACAAUUAAAUGGACAACCCUUGAGGUAUUAUUGCAAAUUGUGGUACGCCACAUAUCUCUUUGGCAUAAGAGAAUGAUGAAUUGAGGCUCCCCACAUAUUUUGUUAUAUAUGGGCCGGAAGCUCAUGAACCCAAAUAUAUGAGAUAUUAGCGUGACUUUUACUCAAUUCAUAUUUCAUGUCCAUUUUGAAAAUGGCAAAUAAAUUCUGAGUUUAUGUUUAGCCCAGGCCAAAAGUUCCGGGCUCCCAUACGUUGAAAUAUGAAAUUUGGGAGAGUCGAUGUGGUUAUUUGAACCUAUAAGGCACAAGGUUCCAAACCGUCAUUUUGAAAAGACGUAAAAACCACAGGUGCAAAUUUUAAGAAUGUGCGCAAUUAUUAUAACAGGAAAGGAGCAAGUUGAAACGCAGUUGCUCCAAUCAAGUUUUGCAAAGGCCAUAUCUAUAGGAGGAAAUAUGGCUACAGUUUGCAGGAUCCCAAUAUUAUCUCAGAUCCCCAUAUUAUCUUUUUCUUUCCCAGAUUCCAAAACUUCACGUGGCCUCCAUUAAAUGUUUGUCGACACUUUCGGCGUUUUCAAAGUAUUAUUUUCAUCAAAAGCCGAUCUUGCUUUGCGGAUUUCACGGAACUACUUUUUCAAAAGUAUCCCGAGAAUCUCGUAAUUUUCCUAUGGUUAAUUUGAAAUUCACCGGUUCUACCUAUUCAUUGUAUUUGUGUAUAAAUGUGUUACUAACGAAAUUUUCUUUGCAGAAGACAUCCAGUUUUCUCCAUACCUAGUGAUGCGAUAUCUACUUGUUUUUCUUAUCAGUGAGCACUUAAUAUGCCCGAGAAGCAAGACUAUCUCUGAUCAUCCAUUCAGGAAGCGAGACUAUCCCUGAUCACGUUUCCGCUACAUCAGGAAACUGUGAAGGCGAUCUUAUGCUCUAAUCUCCGGAAGUCCUUCUAGACUAGGAGAUAUGAGAGCUUAUUGUCUGCUCCCACCAGCUUCCUUCCCUGAUUGCUUACCUUCUCUUUUUGCAUUUUCUUCUCUUUCUGUAACUCUCUGAGGAUUAUUUGUUUUUGACAGAGAAAAGAGUUGUGAUUUUACUAUUGCAGGAUAUAACUAGAUCAUCAAGCGCAACAUUUACUGGGCCGAUACAAGCUUGACUGAUACUUGAGAAAAGUUUCUCCCACCUAAGGAUGUAAGCAAUACUUGUGUUAUUUUUUGCUUAUAUACUUAUUUGAUAUUUUAUCUUGAAAGGUAACCAAAUGGGAAGAUAAGUCCGUUCCAAAAGAAUGGCUUGUAUGUAUCCAUGAAUUAUUAAUGCAAAUUUUACAGAUUGCAAGUUGGAUACAUUGAUAAUACACUGCACAAAUUAAUGUACCAGAAGAACAUAAUAUGGGUAUAGCAGUGAUCAAUAUGGGUGCACGCCUGUUGCGUAGCAAAUGAUAUGGAUUGAAGUCCCGAAAAGACAAUCCUUUGACAUGUCAAUAUUGAUAUUAUGCACGCCUAAUGCUAGCAAAUUAUAUGGGUUAAAGUCCCAUAAUAUGGGUUAAAGUCCCAGAAAUUAAUUGACAUGUAUGUAUUAAUCUGUGGCAUGCCUGCAGCAUGACAGAUAUAUGGGUGCACGCAUGUUGCGUAGCAAAUGAUAUGGAUUGAAGUCCCGAAAGGACAAUCCUUUGACAUGUCAAUAUUGAUAUUAUGCACGCCUAAUGCGUAGCAAAUUAUAUGGGUUAAAGUCCCAUAAAUUAAUUGACAUGUAUGUAUUAAUCUGUGGCAUACCUGCAGCAUGACAGAUAUAUGGGUUCUAAAUGUUCAAACUCUCUAAAUAGAGAUUAUCCACGCCCUACUGUAAAAUAACGCUCCAUUGGAGGUUAUAAUCCACAUUCUCACAUAAUAAAAGCCCCAUGAAGUGGCUUGGGUACCCAAAAGUAAAGGAAUGCUUAUAAUUGAUGCAUGCGCAUGCACAUGAGAAUUGUGAGAUUAUGAAUUGAUGAAUGACAAUUUUUGGUUUUGGAGUAGCUACUCAAAUCAUCAAUGGGCUGUGUUGAUUGGAACCACGUUCAAUUAUUAAAUGUCGACAAUAUCAUUGGCCAAAAUGGAACGAGGUAAUUCCAUUAUAGAUGAGAAUGAACGUGAAAGAACAAACCCACAGUACGAACCCCAAAAUAUGUUAAUACUGAAAUUUAUACUUGGGUGUUCGGAAUAAAAGGGAAUAUACCUACUUUGUAUGAUACACUGUUUCUAGCAGAAACAAGGAAUGUUGGGUUUUCUCCAUAUUUACAGAUUCAAUUGUGCCCCCCCCUUAUUACACAAUUACGGAGACCAACAUAUUAUCUUUAAGGGUUAUUAAAUGCACGGAGCAUAUCGCCAGAAGCGAUUCCCUAAAGAUGUAUAAAUAGCUGGGUUAAAGCUAUAUAAUGUGUCAUAAAGCUUAAUCCCUUUUAGACAAAAUCCGUUGAGAGGAUUGAUAUUGCAUAAAGCAAGUCCCUAAAGGACAUGUGCUUGAAGUACAAAAUUUGUACUCAAUAUUAAUAUGCAUAAAUUACCUCAGUGAGUACAUUGAUUAUAAUGUGAUUGCAACACAUUAAAGCUUCUGCAGAAUUCAUGAAAUAUUUGUCUCGAUCGAGCAUUAUACCAACGAGAUUCUUGCUUAUACUAAGAGAGUCUUAUCCGUUGGUCCUUAAAUGUUUUUCCGGAAGUAUACUAGACCAGAUAGAGCUCAGCUCCACACUGUACUCUUUUUCCUUCAUCCAGGUUUUUAUCCCAUUGGGUUUUUCCUGGUAAGGUUUUAACGAGGCAGUGUCGCUCAAGGGUUUAGGAUAUACUAUGAAAAUUUUUAUGGUCGCUUACUGGACAAAAGCUAGUCCUAAAUUUUUCAGGGGGAGAUAUUCAUCAGGGGGAGCAUGGUUUUAAUAAAGACCUUCAUACAUUGUACUCUUUUUCCUUCAUCCAGAUUUUUUUUAUCCCACUGGGUUUUUCCUGGUAAGGUUUUAACGAGGCAGUGUCGCUCAAGAUUGACUCACAGAAGCAGUGUCAACUACGAUAUUCAGAAAGGUGAUCAACAGUAUGACUUAAAGAUAUUUUGCCAAGCAUCAGGGGGAGCGUGCUAUCAAUAAAGAUCUUCAAACACUGUACUCUUUUUCCUUCGUCCAGGUUUUUAUCCCACUGGGUUUUUCCUGGCAAGGUUUUAAAGAGGCAGUGUCGCACGCGCGUCAAUAUACACAGAAUUUUAUGUUACACAUAAUUAUGUACUCUUUUUCCCUUUGACCAGUUUUUGUCCCACUGGGUUUUUACUGGCAAGGUUUUUAACGAGGCAUAUUCCAUACUAUUUGUGGUCUUCAAGGGGGAGUGUUGUAAAGUCAAGGAUGGAUCCCACAAUGGUAGUGCCCACUACCUAAUGGAUUGAAGGACAUCAUGAUGAAAGCACUAUGGGAAGGCAUCAUUACCCACCUCCAAUGGAAGAUGCUUGCCUACCACCCACCUCCAUUAGGAUAUGCUUGCCUAUAAAUAAAGCUUCCUUCUACUUGUAAUAUACAUACAUGAAUGUAGAACAAACAUUCAAUGAGAAGAUCAGAUUUCUAUUCUUUCUCUAUACCCCAAUUCUCUCUACAAUUUCAUCUAGAUUUAUAACAAAUUGUUAUUUUUUGGAUUUUUUAUGGGUUUGUUUAUAGAAAUUCAAUUGUGUAGGGUUUAUUUAUAAUAUUAGUAUUAGAAAUGGGUAUAUCACUAAAUAUCUCAACUUAAAAUGAUCCAUUUUAAUCCCUUAACUGAGAUUUGAUUACCCACUUUGCCUCCCGCCGUCAACUCCAUCCAAAAUUGUAUUAACUUUAAUGAUGUGGUAUGGGUGUUUUUGUAAUUCUGUACAUGUGGAUCAUUACUCACCAAUUAAGUAAGUGACAUGGCAAGUGGAGCCCAUCUCCACAUAAAUUAAAAUAUUUAAAAAUAUUUAAAAAAAAAAAAAUCAUAAAAUCAUAAAAAUUAUCUUUAAAAAAAAAGGGAGACUUUGGAAAAGCCCAAAGGAGAGAGAAAAUUUUUAAAAGAAGCCAAAAUGGACAAAAUUGCCCUUAUUUAUUUUUUGAUUUCCUAAGGAAUCCUUUACAUUUGCAUGUCUUUUGUUUGAAAGUUGAGAGGUUUUUCUGUCUUUUUUUAAAAAGCUUUGGCUUUUUCCAAAAGUGAAAGUUUUUUUAUGGGUAAAACCUAAAUUUACUAAAAAAAAAAGAACUAAAUAUUCUAAUAAUUAAAAACACUACCCAGCAGCUCCAAUCCCUCCCACCCAGAUCCCACCCGAAAAAUCCUUAUUGCCGCCCAAAAAAUCCUUCACGAAUGGCUCCACAAUCACCGUCGGAUUCGCCAUCACCACCACCUUCCUCUUGAACUUGUCAUGGAAUUUGAGGCCGAGAAGGAGAUGAAGAUGAGGAUUUGGAUGACAAGGGCUUCGGAGAAGAGGAAGUAGGCGAUGAUGACGAGGGCGAGGGAGAGGAGGACGAGGUUGCCGGCUUCAAUGGCGACGAGCAUGAAGUAAGGGAAAGAGUUCAGGGAGAUGAGGAGCGUGUCGCCGAGGUCGGCAGCGAUCGACUCGUACGAUGCCGUUUCGCUCGCCCGUUUCGCUCGCGUUGCAGGACGUGAUCGACGGGAGGGUCUUGAUUUAGUUCGUUCUCUUUGAGGAUUUUUGUGCGCUUCUUAAUUUCAAAAGACAAAAACCAAAAUACAUUUUUGUAACCAUUUCAAUUUUUACUGCAACUUAUUUGAAGAAUAUAGAAAUGCAUUAAACAAUAAAUAAACAAACAGUUCCUAAUUGAUUGAUUAACGAGUUGCUUAUCUUGCAUUGUUGAAUUUGGUGAAUACCAAGUUGGAUCUCAGAUUGCAAAGCCGCCGCCACCGUGGCUAUGGAACUAGGAGAAAGUUAGUGAGAUUUUGAGGGGUUGGCUUGAUUCCGAAACAGAAACUGAUGGAGAGAGAGAAUGAUGGAGAGAGUUGGAGAGAAGGAGAGGUCGGGAUGGGGAUGGGGAUGGGGAUGGGGAUGGGGAUGGGACGGCUGGGGAUGAGCUCAGGGAAGGCUGCAAUGGGGUGGGGGUGUACGAUGCUCUGGAUUUGUUUGUUUUUUAAUUUUAUUUUGUUUAUAUGUAGUUUUUAAAUGUGGUUUUUUAUGUUUUUAUUUUUAUUUUUAAUUAUUAUAAUAUUUAAUUAUGUUUUUAUCUAUGUGGAGAUAGGCUCCACUUGCCACGUCACCCACUUAAUUGGUGAGUAAUGAUCCACAUAUACGAAAUUACAAAAACACCACUGCCACGUCAUCAAAGUUAACAGAGUUUUGAAUAGAGUUGACAACAGGGAGAAAUUAUAGAGUGAUACUGUAUCACCACAUCAGCUGGUGAUACUCCCAUUCAAAAUCUGCCACAUGUAUUUUUUUAAAAAAAUUAAAAUAUAUUUUACAACUCAACUUUGGCUUACAACUUUACCCUUCAACUUUAAUGACCCUAACCCUUCCCCACUCCGGCUUCCCUGUGCUAUGCCCCUGCUAUCGACGCUACACAACCCUCUUCCCUUCCCCCUCUCAGCCAACCACCCCGGCCUUCCCUACCCCUCCAAUAUUCCCACCUCCUCUCUCUUCCUCUCAUUUUCGGUUAAUAAAAAAAGCCAAAAAUCUUAAAAAUAUGUGUAUGUUAUAAAAUGAACUGGGAUAUGUGCGAAUAUUGAGCUGCACGUAAAGUAGAUGAGACACAGUAUUUAACGAGGUUCGGCUAUGCCUACGUCCUCGGAGAGCAGCAGCAGUAACUUUUCACUAUAUCAAAUAAUAGGGCUACAACUUUGUGUUUACAAUAUGUAUGACUCACUCAAUUUUCUCUCUUGGAGAAUUUCUCUCUUGCUCUCUUUCUUCUCAACUCACUCACCCUCAUUCUUCCUUCUCUUCCUCUUCUAUAUGUGUAAACUUCUCUUGAUGGAGGUAUCUAUUUAUAUGCCUAAGACAUUGGUUGUUCACCUCACAAUAUAAUUGGUAGACAACAUCAUUAAUAUUCUUCAAUCAACAACAUCAUUAAUAUUCUUCAAUCAACAACAUCAUUAAUAUUCUUCAAUCAACAACAUCAUUAAUAUUCUUCAAUCAACAACAUCAUUAAUAUUCUUCAAUCAAUUGGGUAGUGGUUUGGUUUGGUGGGUGUGUGGUUAGGUUUAGUGGAUGUUAGUUGGCUAUGUGGGCUUCACCUAUUCUUCUUUACUUAUUCUUCUUUACAACACUCCCCCUUGGAGACCACAUGUCCCUAGAUUGGUUGCCUCAUUAAAACCUUGCUUGGAGAAAAACCCAGUGAGGUAGAAAACUGAUGGAAAGAAGAAAAAAAGAGUACAGCAAUCUGUAUAGCAUACUUCUGGAUGCUCCCCCUGAUUAAUAUCUCCCCCUGAUGUCUUCAUGACUAUCUUUUGGAGUGAGAAUCUUUCGGAGUGAGUGGAGGAUAUAGCCAUUAAUAAUUCUCGUAGUUGAGUAAGUAAAUAUAUUUCCAGUGAGCUAUCUCUAUGUAAAUCAUAGAAAUUUUCAGAGUCCGCGUUUCUAACAAAACUUGGGCUAUUUGUAAGUUCACUUGAAAGAAUAUGCCUGUACAUGGUGUUAUGCGGAGAUAGCAUCAAAUAUACCUCACAUCAUCCCAAAAUGAUGGUGAUGGAGUUGAGCCCUAUCUCAAAAAUAUGAUGUCCGGUCCAAUAUACUUCCGGAAAAUCAUUAAAGUGUCCAACAGAUAAUCCUCAUAAAAAUGCUUCAAUACUUUCUUAGUAUAAGCAAGAAUCUCGUUGGCAUAAUGCUCGAUCCUUAAGUCGAGACAAAUAUUUCGUGAAUUCUGCAGAAGCUUUAAUGUGUUGCAAUCACAUUAUAAUCAAUGUACUCACUGAGGUAAUUUAUGCAUAUUAAUAUUGAGUACAAAUUUUGUGCUUCAAGCACAUGUCCUUUAGGGACUUGUUUUAUGCAAUGUCAAUCCUCUCAACGGAUUUUGUUUAAAAGGGAUUAAACUUUAUGACACAUUAUAUAGCUUUAACCCAGCUAUUUAUACAUCUUUAGGGAAUCGCUUCUGGCGAUAUGCUCUGUGCAUUUAAUAACCCUUAAAGAUAAUAUGUUGGUCUCCGUAAUUGUGUAAUAAGGGGGGGCACAAUUGAAUCUGUAAAUAUGGAGAAAACCCAACAUUCCUUGUUUCUGCCAGAAACAGUGUGUCAUACAAAGUAGGUAUAUUCCCUUUUAUUCCGAACACCCAAGUAUAAAUUCAGUAUUAACAAAUUUUGGGGUUCGUAUUGUGGGUUUGUUCUUUCACGUUCAUUCUCAUCUAUAAUGGAAUUACCUCAUUCCAUUUUGGCCAAUAAUAUUGUCGACAUUUAAUAAUUGAACGUGGUUCCAAUCAACACAGCCCAUUGAUGAUUUGAGUAGCUACUCCAAAACUAAAAAUUGUCAUUCAUCAAUUCAUGAUCCCACCAUUCUCAUUUGCAUGCGCAUGCAUCAAUUAUAAGCAUUUCUUUGCUUUUGGAUACCCAAGCCACUUCAUGGGGCUUUUAUUAUGUGAGAAUGUGGAUUAUAACCUCCAUUGGAGCGUUAUUUAGCAGUAGGGCGUGGAUAAUCUCCAUUUAGGGAGUUGGAACAUUUAGAACCCAUAUAUCUGUCAUGCUGAAGGCAUGCCACAGAUUAAUACAUUCAUGUCAAUUAAUUGCUGGGACCUUAACCCAUAUUAUGGGACUUUAACCCAUAUAAUUUGCUACGCAUUAGGCGUGCACAAUAUCAAUAUUGAUAUGUCAAAGGAUUGUCCUUUCGGGACUUCAAUCCACAUCAUUUGCUACGCAACAGGCGUGCAUCAUAUUGAUCACUGCUAUACCCAUAUUCUGUUCUUAUGGGACUUUAAUCUGUGCAGUGUAUUAUCAAUGUAUCCAACUUGCAAUCUGAAAAAUUUGCAUUAAUAAUUCAUGGAUACAUACAAGCCAUUCUUUUGGAACAGACUUAUCUCCCCAUUUGGUUACCUUUGAAGAUAAAAUAUCAAAUAAGUAUAUAAGCAUAAAAUAACACAAGUAUUGCUUACAUCCUUAGGUGGGAGAAACUUUUCUAAAGUAUCAUUCAAGCUCGUAUCGGCCCAGUAAAUAUAAUGUAGCGCUUGAUGAUCUAGUUAUAUCCUGCAAGAGCAAAAAUCACAACUCUUUUGCCUCUGUUAAAACAAAUAAACCUCAUAGUUAGGAUCACUUCAUGGAUUCAUUCUUCAGAUGUUCAUUCUAAAGAAAUAAAAUCUCUUAUGAACAGAGAGUUAUAAAAAAGAGAAAAAAUCCAAAAAUAAUGUGAUAUUGAUUGCAUGAGAAUGUAAGCAAUCAAGGAAGGAAGCUGGUGGGAGCAGACAACAAGCUCAGCAAUCAAGGAAGGAAGCUGGUGGGAGCAAACGACAAGCUCUCAUUUCUUCUAGUUUAGAAGAACUUCCGGAGAUUAGAGCAUAAGGUUGCCUUCACAGUUCCCUGAUGUGGUGGAAACGUGAUCAGGGAUAGUCUCGCUUCCUGAAUGGAUGAUCAGAGAUAGUCUUGCUUCUCGGGCAUAUUGAGUGCUCACUGAUAAGAAAAAUAAGUAGAUAUCGCAUCACUAGGUAUGGAGUAAACUGGAUGUCUUCUGCAAAGAAAAUUUCGUUAGUAACACAUUUAUACACAAAUACAAUGAAUAGGUAGAACCGGUGAAUUUCAAAUUAACCAUAGGAAAAUUGCGAGAUUCUAGGGAUACUUUUGAAAAAGUAGCUCCGUGAAAUCCGUAAAGCAAGAUCGGCUUUUAAAGAAAAUAAUACUUUGAAAACGCCGAAAGUGCCGACAAACAUUAAUGGAGGCCACGUGAAGUUUUGGAAUCUGGGAAAGAAAAAGAUAAUAUGGGGAUCUGAGAUAAUAUUGGGAUCCUGCAAACUGUUGCCAUAUUUCCUCCUAUAGAUAUGGCCUUUGCAAAACUUGAUUGGAGCAACUGCGUUUCAACUUGCUCCUUUCCUGUUAUAAUAAUUGCGCACAUUCUUAAAAUUUGCACCUGUGGUUUUUUUUUACGUCUUUUCAAAAUGACGGUUUGGAACCUUGUGCCUUAUAGGUUCAAAUAACCACAUCGACUCUCCCAAAUUUCAUAUUUCAACGUAUGGGAGCCCGGAACUUUUGGCCUGGGAUAAACACAAAACUUAGAAUUUAUUUGCCCUUUUCAAAAUGGACAUGAAAUAUGAAUUGAGUAAAAGCCACGCUAAUAUCUCAUAUAUUUGAAUCCAUGUGCUUCCGGCCCAGAUAUAACAAAAUAUGUGGGAAGCCUCAAUUCAUCGUUUUCUUAUGCCAAAGAAAUAUGUGGUGUACCACAAUUUGCAAUAAUACCUCAAGGAUUGUCCAUUUAACUGUUGGAACUUUAGGUUCUCAACACUGUUAGAUUUUGAACUUCAGGCCAAAAUCACAUAUUCUCAUGGUAUGGACAUUCAAUCCCCUUAGAUUUUGAACUUCGGGCCAAAAUCACAUAUUCUCAUGGUAAGGACAUUUUUACAAUUUUCUGUAUAUAUUUAUGGACUUCAAGUCCUUACAUAAUUGUCCAUAUUUUGAGGAACUUAUGGCAUCUCAUUUAAUUGCUCAUCCAUGAGUUUAAGGAACUGCAGGUUCCCUUUUGAAUGGUGAUAGUUUACCCAAAAUGGUAAAUAUUUAUGCAUACAUCACUAUUCAUGUAUACGGCACUAUUCAUGUGUACAGUACAUUUGCCAGUACAGUUAUCGUCCAUGUGUACGGCAUUAUGAACCAAUACGGUACUGUUACAUCAUUAAGGAACCCCAGGUCCUUAUUUACAUGUCAGGGAUCAAGGACCCUCAAGUCCAAUCACAUGUUUACAAAAAUAGUACCGGAGAGACUGCCAGCUCUCAUAUUAAUAUCAUCAUCAAGGAUCUUCAAGUCCUGAUGUAAUUGUAUGGUGAGGAUCAAGGAACUUCUGGUCCUGAUCUGCAUACUGUAAAAACUCAUCAUACAACACAUUUAAUCCAUAUAAUAAAUUGCUGGUAAAUAAAUUACUGGUAUGGACGAUAAACCCGCACCAUACAUUUAAAUAAAAGUAAAGACGUGGACGAUAAACCCGCACCACCCUUUUAAAUAAAUGUAAAUGUGCGGUAAAUUAAUUUCAUAAAUUAAAUUGCUUGCUGUAUGGACGUUAAUCCCGCACCAUACCUUAAAUAAAAUUAAAUGUGCGGUAAAUUAAAUUCAUAAAGUAAACGUGCGUGUAUGGGCACUAAUUCUGCUCCAUACUUUUAAAUGAAAGUAAAUGCGUGGAUGAUAAACCCGCACCACCCUUUAAAUAAAUGUAACUGUGCGGUAAAUUAAAUUCAUAAAUUAAAUUUCUUGCUGUAUGGACGUUAAUCCCGCACCAUACUUUAAAUUAAAUUAAAUGUGCGGUAAAGUAAAUUGUGCUUGUAUGGGCACUAAUUCUGCUCCAUACAUUUAAAUAAAAGUAAAGGCGUGGACGAUAAACCCGCACCACCCUUUUAAAUAAAUACUGUUGUAUGGGUAAUAAACCUACACCAUACAGUAAAUAUAAUAUAUUAUAUUACUUUAAGUAAAAGUAAAUUUGCGGUAAAGUAAAGGUAAUUAUUGGUGGGUUCUUAUCAACACCACGAUCAAAUAACAUAGUAGAUAAUAUUAUUAUCGUUUGUGGAAGGCAUCAUGCUUGUCUCUCAAAUCAAAUGCUUUCCACCUGUAAUCUGCACACAGUUGGUUUGCUCGUAUAUCUCUCUUGCAGACCACAGCUCCUCCACUACUUUUCUUCCUUACAUCAACAUAAGGGUUAGUAGUAUAGAUAAUAGUGCAACACAAAAAUUAUACCUGAGAGCUUCUCGUGCUGAUAACGUGUUGUAAAAUAACUGAGAUAUGUGCGAAUAUUGAGCUGCAUGUAAAGUAGAUGAGACACAGUAUUUAACGAGGUUCGGCUAUGCCUACGUCCUCGGAGAGCAGCAGCAGUAACUUUUCACUAUAUGAAAUAAUAGGGCUACAACUUUGUGUUUACAAUAUGUAUGACUCACUCAAUUUUCUCUCUUGGAGAAUUUCUCUCUUGCUCUCUUUCUUCUCAACUCACUCACCCUCAUUCUUCCUUCUCUUCCUCUUCUAUAUGUGUAAACUUCUCUUGAUGGAGGUAUCUAUUUAUAGGCCUAAGACAUUGAUUGUUCACCUCACAAUAUAAUUGGUAGACAACAUCAUUAAUAUUCUUCAAUCAACAACAUCAUUAAUAUUCUUCAAUCAACAACAUCAUUAAUAUUCUUCAAUCAACAACAUCAUUAAUAUUCUUCAAUCAAUUGAGUAGUGGUUUGGUUUGGUGGGUGUGUGGUUAGGUUUAGUGGAUGUUAGUUGGCUAUGUGGGCUUCACCUAUUCUUCUUUACUUAUUCUUCUUUACAACAGUGCAAACCCAUUAAACAUGAAACCAUAAAUCUUAUAUAAAUAAAAACCACUAGUGAAAGAAGGGAAGAUUGACGUUAUUGGCAACCAAGAAUUAAUUGUGUUAUAGAGCAAGUCAUUGGGGCGGGGCUUGAUGAAGGAAAUCCGCCAAAAAUCUCCCCAUUCUACAUCAGAUUCUUCUUCUUCCUCACCAUCUUCAUUAUCAGCUUUCAUUCAAGGUCUUUUUAAACGAGUAAGAAGUGAAAUUUUCAGAGAUUACCCAUCUUCUUUAGCUUGAAGGGUAUCUCCAAAGAUAAAAUGGUAGAGUUUGACUAGAUUUUGUUUAUGGGUUUUGAGUCAUUUGACAAUAGAAGUUCUCUAGAUUCAUUAACUAUGAAGACAGUGAAGGCUGGGGUAGGUGGUGAGAGAGAAGGGAAGACGUGUGGUGUUGCAGAUAGCAAGCAUAGCGUAGGGAAGAAGACGGUGGAUAGGGAAGACGGUGGGGAGGGGUUUGGGUGAUUAAAGUUGAAGGGUAAAGUUGGAAGUCAAAGUCCAGUUGUAAAAUAUAUUUUAUUUAUUUUUAAAAAAAUACGCGUGGCAGAUUUUGAGUGGGAGUAUCACCAGCUGACGUGGUGAUACAGUAUCACUCUAUAAUUUCUCGACAACAGGGGGUAAAAUGGAUCACCAACCCCAGGUUAAGAAAUGAAAGUGAGUCUUUUUAAGUUUUAGGGGGCAUUAAUGUAAUUAAGCCUAAUCUUUAUCCCUAUUUAUAUCCCCAUCUGUAUACCCCAAAGCCAGGAAGAAAAAAAUAUAUAUAUCUAUUUUGCUCUAGUGGAAGUGAUAACAAAUAUCAAGCUCCCAGCAAUAGAACCAAAUUAGGGGUGUGAGACAAUCUUCUAUGAUACAGUCACUAAUGGAUCCCAUUCAACUAAUUAAACGUUGACAUGUAUAUUAAUAAGUAAAAAAUUAUUUUUAAAUCUCAAUUCGGUACAAAUUUCUAAUGAUUUGAGGUAGAAUAGAAUCCGUUUCUUUAAUAGGGAAUAAAAUUAUUUUGUUAAUUAUUUUAUUCAUAUCCAAUAAUAUUGAAAAUAUUAUUAUGCAUGUCACAAUGAUCAUGAUAAUAAAAUAAUGGGUAAUUUUAUUGGCACUCCAUUAUUUGCUCUUUACACUUCAUACUAAUUUUAAACAUGAAUAACCUAUUUUACCUUUAUACAUAAUACCGUUAAGGACAAAAAAAUUUAAAAUUAAAAUUAAAAUGGCUCACUACACUCCACAUAUAUAUUCCUGCAACCCUAGUUUAACUUUUUUCUCAAACUAUCAUGUUCCUAAACCCUAAACCCUAGAUUUAUACGUUUAUAUUGGUGAAAAAAUAUCUUGUAUUUAUUCAUGAAGGGUGAGAUUGAAGUUAGAGAGGCUUUGAAUGAGGUACGAGUUUAUUUUUUGGCGUUUUGCAAGUUUAAUAUUUCAUAAUGGUCGCUGGUUGCGUCCAGCACUUCAGUCCCGAAUGUGAUAGGUAAAUUCGGUGGAUGCCACCGAAAUGUUGCACAUUUUUCGAUUGGGUUUGACCGGUCAUGAACUUAAUAUUCGGUGGAGAUCCACUGUAACAUGGAACGUAGUUCAGUGGUUCACUACCAAACGUUUACCAGCGUUUCAGUGGCAUCGAACCAAAAUUUAUUUAUUUUUCAGUAAUUUAUUGCCGGCCACAAAUUUAAUGCAAGCUAUUUUGAUCUUACUCCCAUUGAAGGAACAAAAACAAGGUGACGCCCCUAUUGAAGGCAACAAUGUUGGAACAGAAUGUGUAAUGGACUAUAGUGAUCAAUUCACAACUUAUUCGGUAAUUAUUUGUCUGAAAUCCCUUUUAGUAUCAUUAAUGUGGCAUUAAUGUUUCAAAGUUUAUCUUUAAAUAAUAUAAGUUUUAUGUGUAAAUAUUCAAUGGUAGAUGUGCAUGACUUAGAUGGGCUCGUGCACAAGGAAAAAUGAAUAAUAUUGUCAUUGUAAUUAAAAGGUCUAAUUAUGGAGGUGUGGGAAAGAGGAGACCUCGUGUAAUACUUGCUUGUGAGAGGUAAAUUCAGUGUAAUUGUGUGCGAGUCAGAAAGGUAAAUUCAGUUUACUUAUUGCAUGUACAUAUAUGGUUUACAUAGUUAACAUUGUAAUUUUUUUGCAAACAGGUUAGAGACAGAUGGGGUGGAUGCUUUAUUAUGUGGUUGUGCCAUUCGUCGAACCCACCAAUUACCAUGUGCACAUGAAAUUGCGGAGUAUAGAGAUCGUGGUAUACCAAUACCAUUUGAUGCCUUGCAUUCACAUUGGAGGAAAUUAGAUCUCAUCAAUUAGGAAACAGUAGUCAUGGCACAACUUCACCAGGAAGGUCACAAUUACAAAGAUUCAAUAUGUGGUAUGAACAACAAUAUGAUUAAAAGAAGAGGCAAGUACUGGUAGAGCUAAUGAACCCUGGUUCUACUGCGCUUACUGAACCAAAAGAAAAGUUGAAGACCAAAGGGAGACCGCGAAAAGUCGACACUUCUACUCGUCAUUUGCCAUAUGCAUUUGACAUUGCUGAGGCCUCCAUUGCUCCACCUAAAAAUAAACCAAAGCAAAGCCUCACUGCCUCGCUAAAAAUAAAACCGAAGAAAAGUACCACUGCAGUGCCAAAAGAAAAGAAACCUGGUUGCUUCUAAUUCCAUGUUGUCUAAUCCAAAAAACAUUAAGGUAAGUACUACAAAUGUUGUAUUUUACAAUGUGUUAUUACCAUAUAACUAACAUAUUGUUUUAUUUUCAGCUCUAUAAGCCUCACUAAAACCAUUCAGCGUUCGAUACAUAUAUGCAUAUAGAUAAAUUUCUUGAGGGUAUUAGGAAAUGUAUUACUCACCAGAUUGAAGUUCUUUCGAAUGGUAACUGUGGAUAUAGAACCAUAGCUAUGGCAAUGAGAUUUGGUCAUAAUAAAUGGCAUAGAGUAUGCAAGGAUUUGUUGUAGCAACUACAUGAUAUGUCUUAUGUUUUUAAGAAAGCAUUCCGAUAAGAACACCUAAUAAGUUGCUCUAAUCCAGACCUCUGAAUGUACCUUUUGAAUAUACUAUUAUUUGGAUUACCCCACCAAUUCCACUCACGAAGAGUAGAUGUCUUCGAUAUGCACCUAAGGGGCUCACGUUCCUAGUUAAAAAUAAAAAUACAAAUUAAGGUUAAUUAUUAUGAACUAGACUUAUAUUUUACCUUUUAUUGUCAUAGCAAAAUGAAUUACUUGGUUAUUCCAAAUUGCAGCUGCUAUGUGAGUUUUAAAACUCGUAAGUAAAGAUGGAUCAAUGGGACCUACUCGAGAUAGCGAAGUAGGCUCGGCAUGUACCUCAACAUUACUAUCCUGAGUAGUAGCUACAUCUUCAACCUCUGCGUCAACAUUACUAUCAUGAGCAGGAGCUACAUCUUCAACCCCUGUAGUAUCCUCAAAGUGAUCUUGGGGAGUCGCUCUCUGUCUCCUCAUUGAGGCCGUGGAACGCCGUCUAUUAGGUCGGGAUAAUGAAGCCUCAGUAAUACCUCUGUGAGUUCUCUUCAUAUAUAAAAACAAACAAUAUUAAGUACACACUCAGUAAUGUAUUCGGUAGAUGAUCACUGAAAAACGAAAAUAAAUUCGAUGGAACGUCACUGAAAAAAUAACACAUAUUCGGUGGAGUACCACUGAAAAACACAUUUGGUGGGAAUCUCCUGAAACAUAGAAACAAAUUUGAUGGACUGCCACCGAAACAAGGUAACAAUUUUGGUGGUAACCUACCGAAAGUAAAAUCAAUUUUAGUACAACUCAGGUUCAAAUUCAGUGGACUGCCACUGAAGCAAUGUAACCAUUUUGGUGGUAAUCUACCGAAACUAAAAUCCAAUUUCAUAAAACCAGGGUCGAACCAUACACCCUCAACGUUGAAAUCAAAAAUCAAAAUCAGACUUUGGCUUUUCAAAAGUGAAAUCAAACGUAGGCUUAAUCAACACUUAUAAACAUAAAUAUUGAAAUCAAACUGUGGCUCUUCAAAGGAUUUGUGAAAACUUGAAGAUAUGGGUCCGGGUUUGCAGAGAUAGGAUGUGCGAUUGGGUUUGGUGGUUUGCAGAGAUGGGUUCGGUGGUGAGCAGAGAUGGGUGUGAUGGCUCUGUUUCAGAGAUGGGUUCAGGUUUGCAGAGAUGGGUUAUGCGAUGGGGGUCGGUGGUUUGCAGAGAUGGGGGUUUGGUGGUAUGGAAAAGGGAUGGGGUGUGUGGUGGAGGUUGUUGCAAAUCUGAUGGGGUGUGCAAUGGGGUGUGUCUACAAGAGGAGAGAAUUUUUGAUGGGAUGGGGCUUGAUAUCAAAUGGGGUGGGGUUUAAUAUCAGAGUUUCGUCGGCAAUCUCGGCUGGUUUGAACCGAUUUGUCACCGUCGUAGCGCUGCCGCCUCCCCCGCCCAAACCCGAUGAAACAGGUGAGGUUCCUUCCUCUUUUUACUUGCUCUAGCUGUCUAUGAGAUAUGAUUGAAUCAAUUUUGCAUCUAGGAAAUCGAUUUUGAAACCUAGGUUUUGGCCGGAUUUCAAAGUGAAAUUCCAGUAGGUUGCUGUCCGAAUUGGACCUCCCCGUAGUUGAAUAAAGUGAUCCUCACCUCAAGUAGUAGCUAAGGUAGGAAAGGUGAAUUGCGGUGUGGAGUUUUUCCGUUGCCAGAAAUUACUCUAUACACCUACUCGCUACCGGCGCGUGUGAUGGCACGUGGGCAAGGAUGGUGAAGCCACAUUUUGUUCUGUUGUAAUCCUCACGUUGUCACGAGUGUGUAGGCGUUCUCGGAUUUCAAUUCAGAUGUCGUCUGGCUAUCGAACGGAUUUGGCAUAUUGUGCGUUAUCCGGGUUCGAUAUGUUCGGACCGUUGGAUCGCUUCCAAAGUUUUAUGUGUUAAUCUAGGCACUCCUAGGAUCGUGUAGGAAUUCACGGAUUAUGAAUCAGAGUGCCUGGCAUGUCGGAUGGUGACCAUGCAAAUACGUCUUUGUUGUUCUGGAGGAAUGUUGCAAGCUCUACUUUUUCCUCCUGGAUUAGGCGCGAGCCAAUCUGCGCUUUUCUCUCUGGCUUGUCAAGAUCAAGGGGUACUAGCUCGACGUCUUCCUCGGGCUUCCAUCCUUCUUCAGGAGAGACCUCCGGACGGAUUCCCUCCACUUGGUUCUGACUCUUUGAUUGCUAUUAAAGAGUAGUUAUUCCAUUUCCUUCCUGGUCUGCUCUGCCAUUAGGAAUGAGAUCUCCUUUCUUCUUUGCUUGUUCUACUCCCUUUAGAUCUGCCUGAUUCAUAGGGAGGAAUUGUGUUUGCUUGCCUUUCUUAGCCCUUGAGCUGAGCAUUUCCUCGCUAUUGCCUGAUUGCUGUUGAUCUGGUCGAUAUCGCCCCCAAGGAUUGGGUAGCAGAUCUUUUGGUGUGUGGUAGAGGUGAUGGCGUUGAUUUUUCCGAUCCAUGGUCUGCCUAGAAUGCCAUUGUAGGGUGAGACUUCAUCAAUGACCAUGAAUGUUUGCGAGUUGAUUACAGGUGGGGAGUAAACAUUGAGAUCUGUUGUGCCCACGGUAACCGUUGUUGUGCCAUUGAAGCCAGUCAGCGACCUGGCUGAUUUAUUGAUCUUUGUCUCUAAGCCUAUCUGUUGGAUGACUGCUAAUUGUAGGAUGUUGGCUGCACUGCCCUCAUCUGCAUGGAUUCGGUCGACCAUGGCCUGAGCGAUUUGAAUGCUGAUGACAAGGGCGUCGUUGUGUGUAGAUCAAGGUCAAUUAAGUCUUUCUUUUAGAAUCCGAGCACGGGAUCGUCUUCUGCUAAUGAGAGGCUAGUUGAGACUUGGAAGAUCAUAGUAGCCUGUUUGAUCUUCCUCUUCUUUUCUUUAUUGGUCAAUCCAGACUCCUCGGAGUCGGCUAGAAUUGUGUUAAUCCUUAUGACCUUCUGGGGUGGCUCCUUGGCGGUAUCGCAGUCCUCAAUCUGCUGGAUGGCUUGCUUCGCAAUGAACUCCGUACAGUGACUUUCUCUCACGAGUUCUUUGAGAUACGCUUUCCAAGCAAAGCAAUUAUUCGUAUUGUGCCCAUGUGCCGCAUGAAAGGCACAAUAUUUUCUGGUAUCCCUCUUGUCCGGAUCUCCUUUCAAGGGUGGCGGUCUUUUUACCCAAGGUUAUCCUUCACUUGGGCUAAAAUUUGAUGUAUGAGGAUGGAGAACUUGGUGUAGUUCUCUUUCGAUGUGGCAUCUCUUUGUAGGUGUGACCUGCGUUUGUCUUUGUCCAUGUUGCCAAGCCUGUCGCCUCUUUGUUUUGCUCGCUUGGUCGGCUGAUCUUCCUGCUCAGUGGACUUCUUCGUGGCGAUUCGAUCGUCAUCCCAGAGUGUGUAGCGUUCUGCGGUAGCGAAGACCUCUGCCAGAUUCUAGCUAGGAAUGAUAGUCAGCUCGCAGUAUAAGUCAUGUUCUGUUGGAAGACCUUUCUUGAAUGCAAAGGAUGCGAUUUGGUCAUCGCACCCUAUAAUGUUAGCCUUUUCUGCUUUGAACCUCUUGCUGUAAUCUUGAAUGGAUUUAUCGGGCUUCUUGCAUAGGUUGAACAGAUGGUCAGAGUUCUUCUUGAUCGUCUGAUAAGAAGUGUAUUUUUUAGUGAAGACGUAAGUAAGCUCCUUGAAACUGUUGAUUGACCCGGAUGACAGGGUAUGUAACCAAUCCUGAGCUGCUCCUUGUAAAGUCAUUGCAAACAACUUGCACAUUAGCGCGUCUUCGGCUUCGUUGAGGAUCAUAAGGCUCUUGAAAUGCUUCAGAUGGCUUUCGGGGUCGGAAUCGCCUUUGAAGCAUGUGAAAGAGGGCGUUGAGAAUCGUUUCGGGGAAGCAGCCUGCUCGAUUUUGGCGGUAAAAGGUGAGGAGUUUGCUCGGUCUACCUCAAUGCAUAGUGCAUCUUCGAAAUUUCAGCCAAUCUUUAAGUCUCGAAGUCGAUUAUUCACAUGCUUUUCAACGUCUUCUGCACACAUGGCUCGUCAGUCACGUUGAUGACCUUCGCGAUUUAGACUAUGCUGAUUCACUUCCUCAUUGGUUUGCGAGGGUCGACCUUCUUGGUUGCACUGCCUAGGCGGCGUGUUGGUGGACUGCACUUGCGAGGGAUUUUCUGUAACUUGGCGACGAGAGUUGGUUCUUCGAGAGCGAGUAGCGGAGCGCCUUUCUUCACGGUCCUCAUUAUGAUGAUUGUCGAGUUGACCUCCCUGGGGGCCUAGCCUUUCGUGAAUAUUUCUGUGAGCGGGCAGCGGAGCGCCUUUUUUCCCAAUCCUCGUCUCGAUGGCCGUCAAGUUGACCUCCUUAGAAGCCUAGCCUUUCAUGAACGUCUUCGUGCGGGCCUAGGCUAGCGUGGAUGUCAGGUCUUAGGCCUAGCCUCUCGCGCACAUUAGUCCUUAAAUUCAAUCUAGACGGGAGACUUCGUCUGGUCUGAGUGUGGCUUGCGGAUGCUUGCGACAUGUCGGCGAGCUGAUCGUGUUGUUGUGCAUUUUCUUGUCUGCUUACUCUUGCUCGACCUGCUUGAUUCCCGCUGAACUGCCUAUUGGCGCGUUCAUUCAUCCUUCUCUCUUCGCCCUGUUGUCCAAGGCCAAGGUUUUGAGCCAAGUUUAUUUGGUUGAGGAGCUGUCUCAUCAAAUUGUUUUGGUCUUCCAUUCUCUGAGUUAGCUGGUCAACUCUCAGAUUAAGGUCUACUUGACUUCGUGGAUCGGGAGGAUAGAAAUGUGUGGAGUCCAAUUGCACACGGGCUAGGGUUUCAUUGGAUGUGUACGUGGGAGUGUGCUUCGAGCAUGGAGGCAAUAGAGGGAAUGCUUGAAGUUGCUCCAAGAUUGGGCCAAAGUCAGUGAUGAUAGUGAGCCCACCUUGAUGCGAGGUUCCACCAUGCUCAAUGGCGGUGCUAUGAAGGUGGCUAGAUCCGACCACGGGGCCUUGAGAUGGUACGAAGGCAACAAAGGCCGUUGCGGUGGUCCUCGUUGCGAGUCCGGCAUGUGGCACAGUGGUUCCAGUCACACGGAGUGGCUGCUGAGGGUUCAUGGUGGCGAGAGGUGGUGGAGCCGCCAUGUCGAUCGUGGGAUCGUGGGAGGAGUAGCUUUGGGCCGUCACUGCUCCUCGUGUGCUUGCUUCCAACCAUGGUUGUUUGGAAGGCUUCGGUGGAUUGGAAAAUAGGAGGAACAGAUUCCUUGAGUACGCAUUUUCCAAGCGCAUGUUUGUGCAAAUGUUUGUGCAAAUAAUCUCGUGGGAGAAUAUUCGCUUCUAGAUCCCUCAACCUUCGACCUUCCUUCUCUCUCUUUCUCGUUUCAUGUAAAAAAAGAUUAGAGUAAAUAGACCACACUCGGGGGGUGUUGGCCAAAGGCCCUCCGAUGCCUAAGUUAGUUUGAGUGUUUGUGGGAAAACAAUAGCUAAGCAAAGGGUACGGAGUUGUAUAUAUGGUGUGAACCGGGCGGCCAGAGCCGUUUGGAGAAAAUAUGGAGAGUGGAGAGGAAAAGAGAGCUUCAGGUAUUUUUCUUGAGUAUUAGGAGUAGGUUUAGACGUGGGUUUUUUUGAAGUACCUUGAAUGAUGAAUGAAGUCGUCUAUUUAUAAGAGCCUCUGGGCUAAGGUUUCGUAGAGAAUAUGCUGAAUUUAUUCUCUACCCAAGUUCGUAAGGAUUGAGUCGGACUUGAUAAUAUAUGAAUUAAUGAUAUUAUUUCUUUUCAAGAAGAUAAUAUCUGAAUUAAAUGAUAUUAUCUUCUCUUUAUUAUGAUAAAUCUGAAUUAAUGAUAUUAUCUUAUUAAAUAAAGAUAAUAUCAUAUUAAUUAAGAUAUUUAUUCUAAUUAAUUAAUUAGCCAGAUAAACUGGUUUAAUUAAUUAAUUUAAGAGAUAAUCUUCUUUUCCACGUGGCGUGCUGUGAUUGGAGACGAAAAUAUUUUCUCCCACAAGUGUUAUGCAGGUUGAAUUUUGUUGGGAUUGUUCAAUUUACAGGGGAGACUCUGUCAAAUUUUGAUAGAAAGUCUCACUUUCUAGUAAGUGAGCCCGGCAUCGGGGUGAUGUCAGUAAAUAGACGAGAUUCGUCCCGAUUUUCGAGGAAUUUCGGGGCGGGUCCUGUCAUUGGAAGUCGAGUCAUGCUUACAACUCGAAGAGAAGACAUAGAAUCCUUUUCUUUUGGAGUUCAAAGCCAUGUUCACAAGAUUCAACCGUUGGAAGGGGGUGAUGCAUGGGAGCUUUUCAGCAUGAAAGCAUUCUCAAGUGAUCUGAAAAAAUCUUGUUCACCUGAACUUCUGCCUUCAGCUCGGGAACUUGUGGAAAAGUGUGAAGGCCUACCACUCGCGAUCGUAGCCUUAAGUGGUCUCAUGUCUUCUAAGAAGUCACUUAAAGAGUGGAGCAUAGUCUACAACAGCUUAAAUUGGCAUCUAACAAACAAUUCUUUGUUACAACCUAUGAAGAUGCACAUCUUGUUGUUUAGUUUUAAUGAUUUUCCAUACCGAUUGAGGCAAUGCUUUCUGUAUUGUUCCCUUUUUCCAGAAGGUCAUGUGAUCAUAAUGUCAAACAAAGUAGGGUAAAUAUUCAGUUAUACUAAGAUACGCUCAUAUUAUUAUUCUUCCUCAAUAUGGAGGUAUUUAUACAAGUACAAAGAUGUGUUAACCCUAAAUAAAAUAUGAAAUAUAUCUAAAUUAUAAUAGGAAGUAAAUCUCUAUUACAAUAGGACUAAAUAAUAAUUGGUAAGUAACCAAAAUCCUAACUAAGUAAGGACUAGCCAACACUUCCCCUCAAGUUGGGCAAACAUAUUUCGCACACCCAACUUGACAAGCGAGUCAUAGAACACCAUACUUGAGAAGCAACAAUUGUAGACAAGGUCUUUUCAUCAACCACAAGAGCAAACCCUAAAAAAUUAGGGCACAUAGCAGAACAUAGAAACCCUGUGAGCACGGCAAUAGGUAAGGCAAAACACAGAAACCUUGUAAGCACAGCAAUAGAUAAGGCAGAACACAUAAACCCUGUGAGCACGACAGUAGAUAAGGCAGAAUACAGAAAUUCUGUGAGCACGGCAAUAGGUAAGGCAGAACACAGAAACCCUAUGAGCACGGUAGCAGAUAAGGCAGAACACAGAAACCCUGUGAGCACGGCAGUAGAUAAGGCAGAACACAGAAGCCCUGUGAGCACGACAAUAGAUAAGGCAGAACACAGAAGCCCUGUGAGCACGGUAGUAGAUAAGGCAGAACACGGGCAAGGCCACAGCAACAACAACGACAAUGACCACAUCAACGGAAAACGAAGCAAGCAAUGGCAACAUCAACGGUGACAACAUCGACCACAAAAAAAAACACACCAGCAAAGGCAUGAGCAACAAUACUGGCACCAUAACAGGCAGAAGCAACAAUACUGGUAACUAACAACAGUAGUACAAGGCACUGGCACCAGCAAUAGCAAUAAGGCAGAGACAUAACAGGCAUCAUCAACAAUAAUCAACACUAUUCCCAGCAAGAGUCAUAAUAGGCAAGAGCAAUAACAUUGUCCCUAACAAGAGACAUAAUAGAGAUGAGCAACGGUACUGGCACCAGCAAAGAACAUUGUAGUUAGUAACAAUAACAAUGACAAAUACUUCCAUUAUUACACAGACAACUUAUCUUCACUCCCCCUCUUCCCCUGAAGAGAAUGGGCCGUUGGAACCAUAAGAAAAGUGGCACUUAAGAAACAGAAGCUGACUGACGCUCAGAUGUAGAAGAAUCAGCCAUGGCAAAUAGGUAGCUGAAUUGCAGCGGAAUAGAUGAGCAGCGGUGUCACUCCCCCUCAAAUCCGACGAUGUAUGAGAGUUGAGAUUUGGAGAAAGCAACACCAAAAAAUAAAGUUACAGCACCCAAAUAAAGUUGCAUCUAUUCCCCAUCAAAUCCGACACUGGUAAAGGGUCGAGAUUUGAAAGAAGAGAAAUUGAAAUAAUAGUAAAGAUACUCAAACAUGCCAGUCUCGUGGCAGAAACAAAUGCAAGAGGGGAAGGUGGUAGCGUACGGUUGUCCCAUGAAGAAAAAACUUCAAAAAAGGAGAAUAGUAAGGGAGGAAACCCAGCAAAUCAUGAACAGAGACAAAGACAAAGAUAAGGUGCUCAAACUGAGAAGCGGAAAGGCAACUCAAGAGAGCAGUCGAAGAAGACAAAGAUCGGCAGAACAGUCAAAGGAAAGGCUCGAUGAGCAGUGACGAGGCUCGCGGAGGAAAACAAUGGCUUGGUGAGUGGUGACGAGGCUCAUGGAGUAAAGAGACUUGUUAUGAAGUUUCAAAGAUAAAAAAGCUGAGACAUGAAGAAAGACAAUCUGGCACAUAAAGAUGAAAAAAUAAAAAUUGUGGAACAAUAGCAAAGAAGCAUGUGAAGGCUAAGUGCGGUGAAAACACAUAUGAGAGGAUGAACAAAAUAUGGGGACUAUACAACAUGAAGACCCAUGAUGGGUUAGGAAUGAGAAGUGCCAACGACUCUCAAUUUGGCAGAGGUUAUCACAGGUUAGGAACCUGGCUCUGAUACCAUGUCAAACAAAGUAGGGUACAUAUUCAGUUAUGCUAAGAUACGCUCAUAUUAUUAUUCUUCUCCAAUAUGGAGGUAUUUAUACAAGUACAAAGAUGAGUUAACCCUAAAUAAAAUAUGAAAUAUAUCUAAAUUAUAAUAGGAAGUAAAUCUCUAUUACAAUAGGACUAAAUAAUAAUUGGUAAGUAACCAAAAUCCUAAGUAAGUAAGGACUCGCCAACACAUAAAUAAUAGGCUUAUCGCAUUGUGGAUCGCUGAAGGAUUUGUUGAACAUGUCGAAGGGCUCACGCCAGAAGAAGUUGCAAAUAGCUAUCUUAUGGAACUCAUUUUUCAUAACAUGCUACAAGAAAGGUUUCGAGGAUCCCUCCCAGCAUGUAAGAAGAAAAGUUUUGCGGGAGAUUGCUCUGUCUAUAGCAAAAGAAGAAAAGUUUUGCGUUGUACAUGAUGGGGGUGAAACAGUAGAAGAAACUGGGGCACUCCGUUUGUCAAUUCAAACAACUAAUGGAGAAAUUGGAACAUCACGCUGACAAAAAUAGAGGCACUUCCAAGAGGGAUUUCCAAGUUGCUAAACUUACGCCAUCUACUUGUGCAGGGGUUAAUUUCCAGAAAGGCAAUUGGGGUAAGAAUACCAUCAAGUAUUAGUAAGAUGAAGAAAUUGCAAACUUUGGCAUAUAUUGAAUCAGAAGGAAACAUUAUUAGACUUAUUGGAAAUAUGACCCAGCUUACGUUUCUUGGCAUUUUAAAUGUGAAAGAAAUAGACGAGGAGAACCUAUGUCCUUUCCCGCUUGUUUUUAUCUGUAGCUGAUGGAGAGGAAUUUCUUCGAGUUGACGCAUUGCCUACACCGCCUCCCUACCUUGAUAGAUUUGAAUUGAUCGGCAAAAUGGAAAAGGUACCACAUUGGUUUUGUUCUCUCCAGUCUCUCACAAAUUUGAAUCUGCACGAGUCCAGACUUGAAGAAGAUUUACUAAGUCAUAUUGAAGCAUUGCCCUCUCUACAUUCUCUUUGCCUCGAUAAUGCCUCGGUUAGGAAAGAGUUAUGUUUCAACAGAGGCUUUGUGAAGCUUCGGCAUUUGUGGUUUUGGGAUCUCGCAUUAUUAAAUAAGAUAACUAUAGAAAAAGGGGCGAUGCCAAAUCUCGAGUUCUUAGGCAUUCGUAGUUGCUUGACAUUAGAAACAUUGCCAUAGGGUAUUGAGAACCUUACUAAACUACAACUACGUAGAUUUCGUAAUGUUUCAGAGAGUCCAUAAAAGAAGGAGGUGUGGAUCAUCCAAGGAUGCUACUCGUCCACGAGAGAUGUAAGAAAUAUACGUAAGUAUCUUUUAUAUCCUUUCAUUGACUUUCCUAAACUUAAUGAUUUGGAAUAUUGCACUUGUGUUCAAGAAAUUGCUCUCGUUCACAUCUCUGUUAAUGGAUGUAAAGCCAUAUACAUUGUUAAUUACAAUAUUGCUUUUGUCUUUUUAUAUAUUUUGCAGAAACAACUACUGGGAUUGAAGAUUUUACCCAUGAGUUUGGGGGUGGGAACUUUGGAACUUGUUCGUCUUGUUGUGACCCCAAGAGUGAUCUAGAUUGGCUUCUUAUUUGCUCUUUUGAAAAUCAAAUAAUACCCAAGUUGAUGUUCAUAAAAUUGCAGUUGAUGUUUUUGUGUGUGUUUUAAUUUGCAUGCAAUAAAAUUCGAGUUUGCAUAUGUCACUUCAGCAAUUGGCAGAUGUAUGUCGAUGAUUAGCUUUUAAGAUUUGGACCAUGGAUUCUUUUAUAUUUGGCGUGUUUGUACUUUCUUCUAUGUUAAUUGUGUUUGUAUUUUCAGGUUUUUUCUUUGGGGUCAGAUUUUGUACUUUCAGAUUGGCUAAAUAAAUAAUACAGAAUCUUAAUUGCUUUUCAUGAGAAGUAUUAUAACACAUGAAUGUCAAUGUAGCGGUAUCUCAAGCCAAUUACGCAUUAUUAUAUAAGGGAAUUAAAACACAUUACAAUGCGUGAUUGAUUUGAAAUACAGCCAUAAUGACAUCCAUGGUGUAGGCAUAUUUUUCAUCACCCUUAUCAAUCCUAUUGAGUAACCUGUUAGAAUCUUCUCCCCAAAGCUGUGUCUUCUGCCGCGGUUGACCUCCCCUCCCCUCUUUCUCCCCCAAUUGUGACAAGGAUGCGCUCAAAUAUUUGAUCUUAUCUAAGGAAUGAAAUGUAGUUAUUAUUAUUAUUUUUAAUCAAAGAAAACUAUAUACAUUUAAAACAUGUUUGACAAAGAAAAUAAAAAGACAUUCGUUUUAGGCAGUAGAAGCUUCCACGUGGAACGUACGUGGGGGGCUGAUAACGGUUUUAACAGACAAAAACACAAACACAAAACAAACACUCUGUUCCCUUCUGAUCUCUCUGCCUCUCAGAGCCAUUGAUGAAGAAUACGAGGUCAUAGUGCUCGGAACGGGCCUCAAAGAACGCAUUCUCAGCUGCCUCCUGACCUCUCAGUGGAUGGUCUCAAGGUAAAGCUUAUGGAACUUUUUUCUUUUUCAAUCACAAUAAAAUUGGCUUUAGCUAGAUCAUUCAUUGAUAAGAAUGUUUAGGCUACUAGCUGAUGUUAAUAUGGUAUUUACCUGAAAUAGGUACUCUGCAUAUGGAUAGGAAUGACUACUAUGGAGGAGAGUCCACCUCUCUUAAUCUCAACCAGAUAUAAUUAUAUACAUGUAUGUUGUUAUUCAGAGAGAGAGGGAGGGAGAGAAAGGCAAAGUGUACAAACUAGAAGAAGUGAUAUCUCUCUAUCCAUCCAAGCCUUGAGUGUCGGUCAUUUAAGCUGCUUAUAUCUUGCUGUCUGGCUCUGGUCUUUUACUAAAUCCGGCUCUUUCCUUUUUGUGUAACUUCAGAAACAGAGAAGAUGAUCUUCUAAGAAUUAAGUAGGAUUUUCAAAACCAAUUUUUCAAUUUGAUCCCCGCGCUACAUAAAAUAUAAAAAAUUAAUACCUCUGCUGCGAUGUUUCUUGUAUUUUUACUUGUAUGUGUAUACGCAUGUCUGUGUACUUCAUCUUCGUAGUUAGAUAGCAGUCAAAAUUUGAUCAAAUUGGUAUAAUGCUUGUUUGUACCAUAACUGACCGAGCAACUAGCUAGGCUAGAUCAUUCGAGUGCCAUGCUUUGAGAGGUCAUCACCUUAGCCAAAGAAGCAUCACCACAAAUCACAACUCUAAGCAAAGCAAGAGGAGUCCCACAUCGGAAAACUACAAGAGAUGGAGACUCCCCCUCACCUAUAAAAGAAGACUGCUCUUUCCUUAGAAGAGGAUCCGAGUCUUGGAUCUAGACCCUUGGGCCUUGGACUCUCUCUUCUGGAUCCAUCUCUGGGCUGGGCUUCUCACUUGUUAUCUUUAUAUUUGGGUCUAAUCCCCUUGUACAAAGGAAAACAAACAUUAUCAUAAUGAGAACACCCUUCUCCGUGGACGUAGCCCAUCAUUCGGGUGAACCACGUAUAUCUUGUCUUCUAUAUGUUUAUCGUUUGCCCAAAUCCUCACACACUUGGUGAAGGUCCUCACCUUCAUCCAUCAUCCAUCACACCUCAUCACUAAGUUGGACUCAAUCUUGGCCUAACCAUUUUGAGCAUCAACAAUGCUCAUCUGAUUUCGUUGACUUAUGACAGGUCAGCUGCCACUUGUAGACAUUGUUUUUACUCUUUGUAGAUCGAUUGAAAUUCUAAGCGAGCAGUUGUUACGGGAAAUCUCAAGAGCCUUGAAUCCUCUGGUUCUUCCAGAGGGAAAAGGCAUAAGGUAAUUCAUUAUUCACGUUCGCAUUGUCACAUUAUGGAUUUAGUUUUGAUGUGAGAAUCUUACCUUGGAUUUCUGGCAGACCACCUAUGUAAUUCAGCACAACCUACUACUGUCUAGUUUUCUACAAGCACAAGCCCUUCAGAUGAAAUCAAAUUUUUCAUAUGAAUUGACCUUUAGGGUAAGUUUCAAUGUGACCGCUGUAGGUUAGUCGGUUGAGCUUUGAUUUUGUUUACUUCUCAUUUUGUAUGUCAAGGCUAAAAAGUUUGAAGAUUGGUUCAUCCUUUGCGUUAAAAAAGACCACGAGAAGUUUACCAAAAGUUCAGAUCAAUGAUGAUAUUUGGUUGAUGAAGAUAGUCUGUUGACACAGAAGAGGACCUAAAGAAACCCAGCUGCUUCUAUGUAAGGCAUCCUGGCUGGUUCUAAUUAUUUAUUUAGGUUUUUGUGACUUGUUUAUAGUGUUUGUCAACUUUGUGAGAUUCUUUAACCAUAAACUGAGCAAGCUGCAAAAUUGUGAGUUGGAAGCACAAGGAAAGCUUGUAAAAAUUGAAAUGGUGUUGGAGCUCAUGUUGCGGUAAAGCCUUUUGUAUGUGCUAGAUGUAUGUGUGCAGCAUGUUGAUCAUGUUGGUGCUCUGGCCUCUUUAUUUAUUUAUAAUUAUUUUCAGUAUUUUUUUAAGAUAGAGCUAAAUCAACUAAUCUAGGGUGGCGGUGCCAUGGGGUUUUGCAAAUAAACACCUCUACCACUGAGGUAAUCACACCCUGGCUGGCUGGUGCUCUGGCUUUUUUCUGUAACUCUUGCUCUGUUUUAGCUUUUAGUGUCGGAUGAUGAAAUAUUUACCACUUGUAGUUAUUAGGACUAUUUAUGAGGUUAGGACUCAUACUCAAGUGUUGUGUGAUGUUUUAUGACGUUAAUUCGUAUAUGACUACCGAGUUUAUUGCUUUCAGUUUGGAAUUUUGUAUGUACAGUGCAUAAAUAAGAUUGUUUUGUGUUAAAAUAGUUGGUUGUACGAGUGUCAAUAUUUUUUUUGGGAUUUUUUGUAGAAAUGUCACCUUAAUUUUUUUAAAUUCAUGAUUUAUCAUCUGACUUUAACAUUAUCGAAUUUUUCAUCAAUUUUUAAGGCUAUUUUAGUCUUUCUAUUUUUAAGGAUAUUUAAAAAAAUGGAAAAAUCAAUAUAAAAACAAUUGUAUAUCUUUUAAACAAUUACAAUUUAAAAAGAAAAAGAAAAUCUCACCUUCCCCCAUCCCAUGUGCGCAACUAACGGCUCCAACCAACCCAGCCCACUUUGAAAUUCAUUCCCCCUUCCCUCUUCCCCUUCCUCCUCCUCUCUCUACCAUGAAACACCUACCCUCCAUUCACAAAUUCCCUCAGCCCACCUUUUUCUUCUUAUUUUUUCUUUUUGGAAUUUUUCCACUUGGAUAUUGAAAAUUUGUGGAUGGACAACUACCAAACAAAUAAUUAGGUAGUCUAUGUAACAAAUGGUGACCAAGCAAACUUUAGAUCCUUCAACAUAAACAUAGUGGCUUAAAUGAAACUAGGAAGACAUGAAAGGAGUUGGAUAUUGGGUUAUACAUGCUCAAAGAGAGAGAGAAGAGAGGUGAGAGAAGGGGGAAGGGGGGUGGUGUUUGUUGUCCUGUGCAAUGUGUUUUGGGGGGUGGGUUGGGUGGGGUUGGGGUUGGGGAGAAAGGGAGGGAGAGGUCUCUUUUUUUUCUCUUUUUUUUUUCCUUGAAAAUGGAAAGACUCAAAUAUCCUUAAAAAUGGAUGGAAAAUUGGAUGGUGUUAAAGUUAAAUGACAAAUCAUGGAUUUUGAAAAAUUAAGAGUGACAUUUCUCUUAAAAUUUUCUUUAAGAUGACAAAUUGAAAGUGAAACUAGGGUAUAAGUUCACAUGACAUUCUGUACAUAACGUGGUAUAUAAAUGUGGUAUGACUAGUAUUUUUUAUUUAUAUAUAUGAUGAAUGACUCUUUUUUAUGAAUUAAAUUAUGAGAAGUAGUACGGAUGAUACUAGGUGUGUUGCAGGACUUUGAACAUGCUUUUUUUAGGGUUCUAAGGGAGCUGAAUCUCAGAAACAAAAACUACAUAAUCAAACUCCUGGUCUAGCAAAUCCACUCAAAUCUUCCAGUAGAGAAUGUCCGAAUCCUUCAGGCACACCCUCCCAAAUUAUACACCCCAAUUCUAAUUUUGAGCCCAAACAUGGCAAGUUAUUCGCAUGGCAAUUGCCUUCCUGACAUUUAUGAGUAAUACUGCAGUCUUUGUACAAAAGCAUCUUCUCGCAGUUAGUCACCAAAUUAUAAAAGGGACGCUCCUCCUCCAAAUCUGAAAAUAGCAUUUGCACAGCAAUUUGAGAAUCAUAUUCAAUAUCAAGUGGGAACCAUCCCUUCUAGCAUGCCAAAACAAUUACAUGGUUUCAGUAGGAUUUGAAUUUUUUGUUAAUAUCAACAAACUAAGAUUUGAUAACACUUAUAUUCAAGUUUUGGAUAACAUCAUGACAACGUUGAAAGCGUAUUGUCAAAACCUAGUCUACAAAGCUCAUAGUUGUCAAAGAAUAAGAGGGUGAUAAUUUCUACUGCAUCUUGGACCAUUGUCAAAUGAGUUUUCGAAGGUUGUCAAAUAAAUUUGAACAAAUUUACAUAUACGACAACAUCAAAGACACGCCAUUAAAUGUAUAAGACUUUUAACAACAUCAAGAUACACAACACCUGCAAUCGCAUUGUCAAAAGACAUACACAACGGUCAUGGCGCCGUUGUUGAAUACAUAUAUUGUUGUAGUGUCUAUAACCUUUUAUAAUAAUAAAAAAGAAUGAUACUUUAGUGUGAAAACCUAAUCUUCAAAGCUCAUAAUAAUUAAGGGAUUGUCAAAGAAUAAGAGAGUUAGUUUUGCAUUCCGUUUUCUUCAAGGCAAUACACAUUGGGUCUAUAUGUUAGGUUAGGAAGUGGACCUAUACAUCGCAUCAUAUGGAGUACUUCAUCAUUAAUAUUAUAUUAAUUCGAGAAAUUGUUUAAUCAGUGACUUGUCUUACUGCAAAAUGUGAUCCAAGAGGAGAAAUUAUAGAGUUAUACAGAUCUGGUAACUUCGCCACUCAAAAACUGCCACGUGCCCUGUCACUCUAUUUCUCGUCCUAUGGCAUUCAUUCACAUUGGUCAUGCUUAACAACAUUUUCUAAGCCCCAACCAACCACACAAUGGAACUUUAUUGUUGUUCAAUCUUCUCCUCAAACCAUGUAUUUUAAUCUUCACUCAAAUCAAUCAUUUAUCAGUAAAUCUUUCACUAAAUUUUGUGUUACUGAAAUGCUUUUUCGAAUAUGCAUAUGAUUGUGUUAGAUUUUGUGAAGGGGUUAAGAAGUGCUCGGAUUACUAUUUAGGCCAAGAGUUUAGAGUCAGAAGAACUGAGAGGGUUUUAAAAUAGAGACAAAGAGAUUUGAUUAGAAAAGAGAGAAUGAUUACGGGGCUUGGUUAUAUAUAUAGGACUGUAGGCUAUGUUGCCUUCUAGUGGUUUAGCUCUUGGCUUCACAAUUUGUGCUUGAUUUGAUUACGUGGUGGGAGAGAUCAAGUGUAUGUAUAGUAUAGAAUGUUGCCUGGUUCCCGUGUUGUCCCGGCAACUUGGGAUAUCUCCACCAUUCUUAGCCACGUACGUGUGUUUGUGGCUUGCAAUCUUCAUUUGUGUUUGUCAUUUGUAUUCUACCAAGUUAAUAUUUUGCUACUUGGGACAUCUCCACCACCAUUCUUAGCCACAUGUAGAGUGUAGCAGGUAGGGAUUAAUAUCUCCGAUAUUUGCUACUAAGCCGACCCGAAAGACAUCCGUCAUCAGUAUUUGACUUUUAAUUUUCCUGGAAUUAUGUAGAUUAUUAUAGACAAAUGAACAGUUUUUAACAGAGUGAUUGCUCCCUAGAUAUGUUCUUUUAAUCAUUUGUUGUAGUGUCGGCAACCGUUUAUACGUGAAGGUUAGGAAGUGGAGACUUUUAUAUACAUCACAUCAUAUGGAGUACUCAUCAUUAAUAUUACAUUAAUUGGACUGACUUGUCUUAUUGUGAAAUGUGAUUGACUAGUCGUUAUAGAGUGAUACAAUAUCACUACGUUGGCUAGUGAUACUGUCACUCUAUAAUUGUCACGUGUCCUAUGAUUAUAAUUUCUCUGUUAUAAAAUGAACUGAGAUAUGUGCGAAUAUUGAGCUGCACGUAAAGUAGAUGAGACACAGUAUUUAACGAGGUUCGGCUAUGCCUACGUCCUCGGAGAGCAGCAACAGUAACUUUUCACUAUGUAGAAUAAUAGGGCUACAACUUUAGUGUUUACAAUAUGUAUGGCUCACUCAAUUUUCUCUCUUGGAGAAUUUCUCUCUUGCUCUCUUUCUUCUCAACUCACUCACCCUCAUUCUUCCUUCUCUUCCUCUUCUAUAUGUGUGAACUUCUCUUGAUGGAGGUAUCUAUUUAUAGGCCUAAGACAUUGGUUGUUCACCUCACAAUAUAAUUGGUAGACAACAUCAUUAAUAUUCUUCUAUCAACAACAUCAUUAAUAUUCUUCAAUCAACAACAUCAUUAAUAUUCUUCAAUCAAUUGGGUAGUGGUUUGGUUUGGUGGGUGUGUGGUUAGGUUUAGUGGGUGUUAGUUGGCUAUGUGGGCUUCACCUAUUCUUCUUUACUUAUUCUUCUUUACAACACUCCCCCUUGGAGACCACAUGUCCCUAGAUUGGUUGCCUCAUUAAAACCUUGCUUGGAGAAAAACCCAGUGAGGUAGAAAACUGAUGGAAGGAAGAAAAAAGAGUACAGCAAUCUGUAUAGCAUACUUCUGGAUGCUCCCCCUGAUUAAUAUCUCCCCCUGAUGUCUUCAUGACUAUCUUUUAGAGUGAGAAUCUUUCGGAGUGAGUGGAGGAUAUAGCAAUUAAUAAUUCUCGUAGUUGAGUAAGUAAAUAUAUUUUCAGUGAGCUAUCUCUAUGUAAAUCAUAGAAAUUUUCAGAGUCCGCGUUUCUAACAAAACUUGGGCUAUUUGUAAGUUCACUUGAAAGAAUAGGCCCGUACAUGGUGUUAUGCGGAGAUAGCAUCAAAUAUACCUCACAUCAUCUCAAAAUGAUGGUGAUGGAGUUGAGCCCUAUCUGGAAAAUAUGAUGUCCGGUCCAAUAUACUUCCGGAAAAUCAUUAAAGUGUCCAACGGAUAAUCCUCAUAAAAAUGCUUCAAUAUUUUCUUAGUAUAAGCAAGAAUCUCGUUGGCAUAAUGCUCGAUCCUUAAGUCGAGACAAAUAUUUCGCGAAUUCUGCAGAAGCUUUAAUGUGUUGCAAUCACAUUAUAAUCAAUGUACUCACUGAGGUAAUUUAUGCAUAUUAAUAUUGAGUACAAAUUUUGUGCUUCAAGCACAUGUCCUUUAGGGACUUGUUUUAUGCAAUGUCAAUCCUCUCAACGGAUUUUGUUUAAAAGGGAUUAAACUUUAUGACACAUUAUAUAGCUUUAACCCAGCUAUUUAUACAUCUUUAGGGAAUCGCUUCUGGCGAUAUGCUCUGUGCAUUUAAUAACCCUUAAAGAUAAUAUGUUGGUCUCCGUAAUUGUGUAAUAAGGGGGGGCACAAUUGAAUCUGUAAAUAUGGAGAAAACCCAACAUUCCUUGUUUCUGCCAGAAACAGUGUGUCAUACAAAGUAGGUAUAUUCCCUUUUAUUCCGAACACCCAAGUAUAAAUUCAGUAUUAACAAAUUUUGGGGUUCGUAUUGUGGGUUUGUUCUUUCACGUUCAUUCUCAUUUAUAAUGGAAUUACCUCGUUCCAUUUUGGCCAAUGAUAUUGUCGACAUUUAAUAAUUGAACGUGGUUCCAAUCAACACAGCCCAUUGAUGAUUUGAGUAGCUACUCCAAAACCAAAAAUUGUCAUUCAUCAAUUCAUGAUCUCACAAUUCUCAUGUGCAUGCGCAUGCAUCAAUUAGAAGCAUUUCUUUUGCUUUUAGGUACCCAAGCCACUUCAUGGGGCUUUUAUUAUGUGAAAAUGUGGAUUAUAACCUCCAAUGGCGCGUUAUUUUACAGUAGGGCGUGGAUAAUCUCUAUUUAGAGAGUUGGAACAUUUAGAACCCAUAUAUCUGUCAUGCUGCAGGCAUGCCACAGAUUAAUACAUACAUGUCAAUUAAUUUCUGGGACUUUAACCCAUAUUAUGGGACUUUAACCCAUAUAAUUUGCUACGCAUUAGGCGUGCAUAAUAUCAAUAUUGACAUGUCAAAGGAUUGUCCUUUCGGGACUUCAAUCCAUAUCAUUUGCUACGCAACAGGCGUGCACCCAUAUAUCUGUCAUGCCGCAGGUAUGCGACAGAUUAAUACAUACAUGUCAAUUAAUUUCUGGGACUUUAACCCAUAUAAUUUGCUACGCAUUAGGCGUGCAUAAUAUCAAUAUUGACAUGUCAAAGGAUUGUCCUUUCGGGACUUCAAUCCAUAUCAUUUGCUACGCAACAGGCGUGCAUCAUAUUGAUCACUGCUAUACCCAUAUUCUGUUCUUAUGGUACAUUAAUCUGUGCAAUGUAUUAUCAAUGUAUCCAACUUGCAAUCUGUAAAAUUUGCAUUAAUAAUUCAUGGAUACAUACAAGCCAUUUUUUUGGAACGGACUUAUCUUCCCAUUUGGUUACCUUUCAAGAUAAAAUAUCAAAUAAGUAUAUAAGCAGAAAAUAACACAAGUAUUGCUUACAUCCUUAGGUGGGAGAAACUUUUCUCAAGUAUCAUUCAAGCUUGUAUCGGCCCAGUAAAUGUAGCGCUUGAUGAUCUAGUUAUAUCCUGCAAUAGUAAAAUCACAACUCUUUUCUCUGUCAAAAACAAAUAAUCCUCAGAGAGUUACAGAAAGAGAAAAAAUGCAAAAAGAGAAGGUAAGCAAUCAGGGAAGGAAGCUGGUGGGAGCAGACAAUAAGCUCUCAUAUCUCCUAGUCUAGAAGGACUUCCGGAGAUUAGAGCAUAAGAUUGCCUUCACAGUUUCUUGAUGAAGCGGAAACGUGAUCAGGGAUAGUCUCGCUUCCUGAAUGGAUGAUCAGAGAUAGUCUUGCUUCUCGGGCAUAUUAAGUGCCCACUGAUAAGAAAAACAAGUAGAUAUCGCAUCACUAGGUAUGGAGAAAACUGGAUGUCUUCUGCAAAGAAAAUUUCGUUAGUAACACAUUUAUACACAAAUACAAUGAAUAGGUAGAACCGGUGAAUUUCAAAUUAACCAUAGGAAAAUUGCGAGAUUCUCGGGGUACUUUUGAAAAAGUAGCUCCGUGACACUACUACAAAAAAGCAAAAAGACGACGGUAAAUCACCGUCGUGUAUUUGGUUUUUCAAUGGUCGUGGAAUCCACCGUCAUCUUUUCCCUCAUAAACCACGACGCUAAAUAACCGUCGUUGUUAAACAAUACAACGUCAUCAAAAAAUACAAAACGACGUCUUUGUACUGCAAAAAGAUCUAAAAAAAGCAAUCGAUGAUGAUAAUAGACGACCAAUUCUCUAAAAACACCGUCGUUAAAAAGGGAAAAUAUGACACAUAUUAAGAGAACAAAGCCGCAAGAUAGACAUACAACGACGACAAUAAAAAUACGCCGACGUUAAAUAUAAUUUUCACGACAAUAAAAAAUAUGACGUCUUUAAAUACAUUAGAAGACGACGUUAUUGAUACCUACUACGUCGCACAUAUAAACACAACCGUCGUACAAUUAAUUUUCCACUUCGAUUUUUCGAUAAAAGAUGACGUGGAAAUAGUUGUCAGUGUCAUUAUUUACGACGUAUGUGUUUCUAUAGUAGACGUUGAAAAACUAAACAACGUCAGUUACAAAUAUAUGAGAGUCGUAUUAAAAAAUUUAUACGUCCUAUUUUCAGAAACAAACAACGACCAUAAAUAUUAGACGUUGUUAAAUACAACAACGUCGGAAAACAAUAAAAACAGACGUGUUUAGUCUGCUAAAGUUCUACAACGUCUCUUAUUUACAAAAAACCGUCGUGAAAUAAAUUUUCCACUUCGAUUUUUCUAAAAAAGAUGACGUGGAAAUAGUUGUCAGUGUCAUUAUUUACGACGUAUACAUUUAUAUAGUCGACGUUGUAUUUAUAUGUAUUCAUUACUCACGACGCACUUAAUAAUAUAGACGACGUUGAACGUCUAAACAACGUCGGUUCCAAAUAAAUGAGAGCCGUAUUACAGAACAUAUAGACGGCGUAGAUUAUGAUGGGAGCCGUAUUACAAAUAACGUCGUUUAAUUGUUAUUAGACGGCGGUUAUAAUGAAUUUCCGUCGGAAUUAAUUUCGUUCCUCUUCGUUUAUAAAAGAACUUGCGACGUGGAAAAUGUAUGAUGACGUCGUAUUUUUUAACGUUCAGAUUACAUAUCUCGUUUUUUAGACGUCGGUAUUAUGGGAUUGGAGUCGUGUUAUUUUGAAUUACAUGGCGGUUCUUUAUCCUUCACCGACGUGAUAUCCUGAAUAAUUGCUUCACAAUAGCGUCGUGGUUCUUCAUUGUUACGUUGCUUUAAGACGUCGGUAAAUAUGCUGAAUAACUGAUUCACAAUAACGUCGUGUUUUAUUUGAACGUAGAAAGUGAAGAAAUCACAUUACAAUAUAUUACAAAAUUAAUGUCAUACACUGCCAAUUACAUAAGCAUCAUUCAAUCCAUAUAUCUUCACACCCAUCUCGAAUAUUUUGACCGCCUAACUCACCUACCAGUUCAUCAAAUGUGUCAACAUUUGGCAUCCCUCUAGUAAAUGGCUCACACUCAAUUAUCACAUCACCUAAUACUUCAUCACCAAUAACAUCAUUAUAUUCUCUACUAGGCAUUGAUAACACUACCGACCAACCACGAUGCAUCGGGUCGUCAACAAAAAAUAUUUGUUUGACUUGAGAAGCCAAAACAAAUUGGUCAUUCCUAUGUCCAAUUUUACUCAAAUCUACAAGGGUAAAUCCAAGUUCGUCGACUACAAGACCAGAACUAUCUAUCCAAUCACACCUAAAGACUGGGAUUGUAAACUUUUGGUAGUCAAGGUCCCAAAUUUCUUGAAUGACACCAUAGAAACCCAUAUUUGAGAGAAUUGGGUUUUUAUCCUUGGCACUAGCAACUUGCAUGGUAUGUGCAAGUAAAUAAACUCCACUAUUUUGAGUUGUCCGCACAUCAUCUUGUGCCUUGAUAUUGAAUUUAAUACCUUUAAUAAGAUAGCUCCUAUAUAAUGGCACUGACAUGUUUGGACCAGCUGCUAGCCACCUUAAAUUUUCUGAUACGCCAUGAUUGUCUUCCUCAAGUUCACUUUGAACCUGCAAAUUAAUCAUAUCUUAAUUCAUCCUAACAUAUAAAUAAGAAGAAAAUUAAAAGAGAAAUACGUUAUUCAACAACAUAUACCUUGAAGCGUAGCCAUUGAAUGAAAGUGCUAUUGUGCUUAUCCUGCAGCCACUUUGUUCUCUUUCUAAAUUUUGGAUAAGCAGUCUUGAUGUGGAUCAUAUGUUGCCUACAUGACACGAAAAAUUCAAGCAUUACGGUCCCAAAUAUAUAAGAUAAACAUAAGAAAUAAUUUUAAAUGGAAACUUAAAGAAUAAAACUCAUACGUACUCGAUAUAAGGUAGGACUUCCUUCGUAUUCUCCAAGACAUAUAGAUGUGCUUGAUUCAACAGGUCCUGAUCAACUACGCUCACUGUGCAACCUGAUAAUGGCUUUGAAACUCCCAUCUUUUGGCUUGAAGGCACUCCAACUGUACUAACAUCAGAUAAAUGCUGAGUACAAAACUCUACCGCUUCUUCAGCUAUAUACCGCUCAGCAAUGCAACCUUCGGGACGAGUACGAUUCUGAACAUACCCCUUCAGCACUUUCAUAUAUCUUUCAAACGGAUACAUCCACCUAAAAUAUACUGGCCCACAUAGACGAACUUCUCUGACAAGAUGUACUACUAGAUGAACCAUGAUAUCAAAGAAUGAAGGGGGAAAGUACUUCUCAAGCAAACACAGAGUAACUACUACAUCUUCUUCCAACUUAUCUAGCUUGGAAACAUCAACAGUCUUUGCACAUAUAGCAUUGAAGAAGAAGCACAAACGAGUUAUUGCAUACCUUGCAGGCUUCUCCAAAACAGAACGAAUUGCCACAGGGAGCAAUUGUUGCAUUAAGGUAUGACAAUCAUGUGAUUUAAGGCCAAGAAGUCUUGAAUCUUGUACAGAUACAAGAUUUUUAAUAUUUGAAGAAUAACCUUCAGGGACCUUCAUACCAUAGAAAGAAUUGCAAACCUCUCUCUUCUCUGCUCUUGACAAAUUCCAAGGCCCAGGAGGCAAACGAGUACGUCUUUCUCCAUACUCGGGUUGCAAAUCAGUUUUGACCCCCAUGUUCAAUAAAUCUAAUCGAGCAGCAAUCCCAUCUUUAUUUUUUCCAGGGAUCUCCAGCAAUGUACCAAUGAUACUAUCGCAAACAUUCUUCUCAAUGUGCAUAACAUCUAGGGCAUGCCUCACAGGAAGGUAUUUCCAAUACUCGAGAUCAAAGAAUAUUGAUUCUCUCCAACNNNNNNNNNNNNNNNNNNNNNNNNNNNNNNNNNNNNNNNNNNNNNNNNNNNNNNNNNNNNNNNNNNNNNNNNNNNNNNNNNNNNNNNNNNNNNNNNNNNNNNNNNNNNNNNNNNNNNNNNNNNNNNNNNNNNNNNNNNNNNNNNNNNNNNNNNNNNNNNNNNNNNNNNNNNNNNNNNNNNNNNNNNNNNNNNNNNNNNNNNNNNNNNNNNNNNNNNNNNNNNNNNNNNNNNNNNNNNNNNNNNNNNNNNNNNNNNNNNNNNNNNNNNNNNNNNNNNNNNNNNNNNNNNNNNNNNNNNNNNNNNNNNNNNNNNNNNNNNNNNNNNNNNNNNNNNNNNNNNNNNNNNNNNNNNNNNNNNNNNNNNNNNNNNNNNNNNNNNNNNNNNNNNNNNNNNNNNNNNNNNNNNNNNNNNNNNNNNNNNNNNNNNNNNNNNNNNNNNNNNNNNNNNNNNNNNNNNNNNNNNNNNNNNNNNNNNNNNNNNNNNNNNNNNNNNNNNNNNNNNNNNNNNNNNNNNNNNNNNNNNNNNNNNNNNNNNNNNNNNNNNNNNNNNNNNNNNNNNNNNNNNNNNNNNNNNNNNNNNNNNNNNNNNNNNNNNNNNNNNNNNNNNNNNNNNNNNNNNNNNNNNNNNNNNNNNNNNNNNNNNNNNNNNNNNNNNNNNNNNNNNNNNNNNNNNNNNNNNNNNNNNNNNNNNNNNNNNNNNNNNNNNNNNNNNNNNNNNNNNNNNNNNNNNNNNNNNNNNNNNNNNNNNNNNNNNNNNNNNNNNNNNNNNNNNNNNNNNNNNNNNNNNNNNNNNNNNNNNNNNNNNNNNNNNNNNNNNNNNNNNNNNNNNNNNNNNNNNNNNNNNNNNNNNNNNNNNNNNNNNNNNNNNNNNNNNNNNNNNNNNNNNNNNNNNNNNNNNNNNNNNNNNNNNNNNNNNNNNNNNNNNNNNNNNNNNNNNNNNNNNNNNNNNNNNNNNNNNNNNNNNNNNNNNNNNNNNNNNNNNNNNNNNNNNNNNNNNNNNNNNNNNNNNNNNNNNNNNNNNNNNNNNNNNNNNNNNNNNNNNNNNNNNNNNNNNNNNNNNNNNNNNNNNNNNNNNNNNNNNNNNNNNNNNNNNNNNNNNNNNNNNNNNNNNNNNNNNNNNNNNNNNNNNNNNNNNNNNNNNNNNNNNNNNNNNNNNNNNNNNNNNNNNNNNNNNNNNNNNNNNNNNNNNNNNNNNNNNNNNNNNNNNNNNNNNNNNNNNNNNNNNNNNNNNNNNNNNNNNNNNNNNNNNNNNNNNNNNNNNNNNNNNNNNNNNNNNNNNNNNNNNNNNNNNNNNNNNNNNNNNNNNNNNNNNNNNNNNNNNNNNNNNNNNNNNNNNNNNNNNNNNNNNNNNNNNNNNNNNNNNNNNNNNNNNNNNNNNNNNNNNNNNNNNNNNNNNNNNNNNNNNNNNNNNNNNNNNNNNNNNNNNNNNNNNNNNNNNNNNNNNNNNNNNNNNNNNNNNNNNNNNNNNNNNNNNNNNNNNNNNNNNNNNNNNNNNNNNNNNNNNNNNNNNNNNNNNNNNNNNNNNNNNNNNNNNNNNNNNNNNNNNNNNNNNNNNNNNNNNNNNNNNNNNNNNNNNNNNNNNNNNNNNNNNNNNNNNNNNNNNNNNNNNNNNNNNNNNNNNNNNNNNNNNNNNNNNNNNNNNNNNNNNNNNNNNNNNNNNNNNNNNNNNNNNNNNNNNNNNNNNNNNNNNNNNNNNNNNNNNNNNNNNNNNNNNNNNNNNNNNNNNNNNNNNNNNNNNNNNNNNNNNNNNNNNNNNNNNNNNNNNNNNNNNNNNNNNNNNNNNNNNNNNNNNNNNNNNNNNNNNNNNNNNNNNNNNNNNNNNNNNNNNNNNNNNNNNNNNNNNNNNNNNNNNNNNNNNNNNNNNNNNNNNNNNNNNNNNNNNNNNNNNNNNNNNNNNNNNNNNNNNNNNNNNNNNNNNNNNNNNNNNNNNNNNNNNNNNNNNNNNNNNNNNNNNNNNNNNNNNNNNNNNNNNNNNNNNNNNNNNNNNNNNNNNNNNNNNNNNNNNNNNNNNNNNNNNNNNNNNNNNNNNNNNNNNNNNNNNNNNNNNNNNNNNNNNNNNNNNNNNNNNNNNNNNNNNNNNNNNNNNNNNNNNNNNNNNNNNNNNNNNNNNNNNNNNNNNNNNNNNNNNNNNNNNNNNNNNNNNNNNNNNNNNNNNNNNNNNNNNNNNNNNNNNNNNNNNNNNNNNNNNNNNNNNNNNNNNNNNNNNNNNNNNNNNNNNNNNNNNNNNNNNNNNNNNNNNNNNNNNNNNNNNNNNNNNNNNNNNNNNNNNNNNNNNNNNNNNNNNNNNNNNNNNNNNNNNNNNNNNNNNNNNNNNNNNNNNNNNNNNNNNNNNNNNNNNNNNNNNNNNNNNNNNNNNNNNNNNNNNNNNNNNNNNNNNNNNNNNNNNNNNNNNNNNNNNNNNNNNNNNNNNNNNNNNNNNNNNNNNNNNNNNNNNNNNNNNNNNNNNNNNNNNNNNNNNNNNNNNNNNNNNNNNNNNNNNNNNNNNNNNNNNNNNNNNNNNNNNNNNNNNNNNNNNNNNNNNNNNNNNNNNNNNNNNNNNNNNNNNNNNNNNNNNNNNNNNNNNNNNNNNNNNNNNNNNNNNNNNNNNNNNNNNNNNNNNNNNNNNNNNNNNNNNNNNNNNNNNNNNNNNNNNNNNNNNNNNNNNNNNNNNNNNNNNNNNNNNNNNNNNNNNNNNNNNNNNNNNNNNNNNNNNNNNNNNNNNNNNNNNNNNNNNNNNNNNNNNNNNNNNNNNNNNNNNNNNNNNNNNNNNNNNNNNNNNNNNNNNNNNNNNNNNNNNNNNNNNNNNNNNNNNNNNNNNNNNNNNNNNNNNNNNNNNNNNNNNNNNNNNNNNNNNNNNNNNNNNNNNNNNNNNNNNNNNNNNNNNNNNNNNNNNNNNNNNNNNNNNNNNNNNNNNNNNNNNNNNNNNNNNNNNNNNNNNNNNNNNNNNNNNNNNNNNNNNNNNNNNNNNNNNNNNNNNNNNNNNNNNNNNNNNNNNNNNNNNNNNNNNNNNNNNNNNNNNNNNNNNNNNNNNNNNNNNNNNNNNNNNNNNNNNNNNNNNNNNNNNNNNNNNNNNNNNNNNNNNNNNNNNNNNNNNNNNNNNNNNNNNNNNNNNNNNNNNNNNNNNNNNNNNNNNNNNNNNNNNNNNNNNNNNNNNNNNNNNNNNNNNNNNNNNNNNNNNNNNNNNNNNNNNNNNNNNNNNNNNNNNNNNNNNNNNNNNNNNNNNNNNNNNNNNNNNNNNNNNNNNNNNNNNNNNNNNNNNNNNNNNNNNNNNNNNNNNNNNNNNNNNNNNNNNNNNNNNNNNNNNNNNNNNNNNNNNNNNNNNNNNNNNNNNNNNNNNNNNNNNNNNNNNNNNNNNNNNNNNNNNNNNNNNNNNNNNNNNNNNNNNNNNNNNNNNNNNNNNNNNNNNNNNNNNNNNNNNNNNNNNNNNNNNNNNNNNNNNNNNNNNNNNNNNNNNNNNNNNNNNNNNNNNNNNNNNNNNNNNNNNNNNNNNNNNNNNNNNNNNNNNNNNNNNNNNNNNNNNNNNNNNNNNNNNNNNNNNNNNNNNNNNNNNNNNNNNNNNNNNNNNNNNNNNNNNNNNNNNNNNNNNNNNNNNNNNNNNNNNNNNNNNNNNNNNNNNNNNNNNNNNNNNNNNNNNNNNNNNNNNNNNNNNNNNNNNNNNNNNNNNNNNNNNNNNNNNNNNNNNNNNNNNNNNNNNNNNNNNNNNNNNNNNNNNNNNNNNNNNNNNNNNNNNNNNNNNNNNNNNNNNNNNNNNNNNNNNNNNNNNNNNNNNNNNNNNNNNNNNNNNNNNNNNNNNNNNNNNNNNNNNNNNNNNNNNNNNNNNNNNNNNNNNNNNNNNNNNNNNNNNNNNNNNNNNNNNNNNNNNNNNNNNNNNNNNNNNNNNNNNNNNNNNNNNNNNNNNNNNNNNNNNNNNNNNNNNNNNNNNNNNNNNNNNNNNNNNNNNNNNNNNNNNNNNNNNNNNNNNNNNNNNNNNNNNNNNNNNNNNNNNNNNNNNNNNNNNNNNNNNNNNNNNNNNNNNNNNNNNNNNNNNNNNNNNNNNNNNNNNNNNNNNNNNNNNNNNNNNNNNNNNNNNNNNNNNNNNNNNNNNNNNNNNNNNNNNNNNNNNNNNNNNNNNNNNNNNNNNNNNNNNNNNNNNNNNNNNNNNNNNNNNNNNNNNNNNNNNNNNNNNNNNNNNNNNNNNNNNNNNNNNNNNNNNNNNNNNNNNNNNNNNNNNNNNNNNNNNNNNNNNNNNNNNNNNNNNNNNNNNNNNNNNNNNNNNNNNNNNNNNNNNNNNNNNNNNNNNNNNNNNNNNNNNNNNNNNNNNNNNNNNNNNNNNNNNNNNNNNNNNNNNNNNNNNNNNNNNNNNNNNNNNNNNNNNNNNNNNNNNNNNNNNNNNNNNNNNNNNNNNNNNNNNNNNNNNNNNNNNNNNNNNNNNNNNNNNNNNNNNNNNNNNNNNNNNNNNNNNNNNNNNNNNNNNNNNNNNNNNNNNNNNNNNNNNNNNNNNNNNNNNNNNNNNNNNNNNNNNNNNNNNNNNNNNNNNNNNNNNNNNNNNNNNNNNNNNNNNNNNNNNNNNNNNNNNNNNNNNNNNNNNNNNNNNNNNNNNNNNNNNNNNNNNNNNNNNNNNNNNNNNNNNNNNNNNNNNNNNNNNNNNNNNNNNNNNNNNNNNNNNNNNNNNNNNNNNNNNNNNNNNNNNNNNNNNNNNNNNNNNNNNNNNNNNNNNNNNNNNNNNNNNNNNNNNNNNNNNNNNNNNNNNNNNNNNNNNNNNNNNNNNNNNNNNNNNNNNNNNNNNNNNNNNNNNNNNNNNNNNNNNNNNNNNNNNNNNNNNNNNNNNNNNNNNNNNNNNNNNNNNNNNNNNNNNNNNNNNNNNNNNNNNNNNNNNNNNNNNNNNNNNNNNNNNNNNNNNNNNNNNNNNNNNNNNNNNNNNNNNNNNNNNNNNNNNNNNNNNNNNNNNNNNNNNNNNNNNNNNNNNNNNNNNNNNNNNNNNNNNNNNNNNNNNNNNNNNNNNNNNNNNNNNNNNNNNNNNNNNNNNNNNNNNNNNNNNNNNNNNNNNNNNNNNNNNNNNNNNNNNNNNNNNNNNNNNNNNNNNNNNNNNNNNNNNNNNNNNNNNNNNNNNNNNNNNNNNNNNNNNNNNNNNNNNNNNNNNNNNNNNNNNNNNNNNNNNNNNNNNNNNNNUUUCCCCCUUUUAUUGUACUCACAUGGCUCAGUUUCUGAAGCUUCUCUUCACAACACGAGGCAUGUGCUCAUACCUCGACAGUCUUUGAAUCAUCUGAGAUUGUUGUCUGGCUGGUUUGUUCUGUCUCAGCAGAUGAUGAAGCAAACUUCAUCUUCUUCGAAGACUUCAUCUCCUUCGAAGACUUAUCUUGAGGAGCUACCAUUCCAAGCUUCUUGGAGCCAGAAUCCUUAGUUUGUUGUUGAGAAACCAUUUUAACAGACAAAACUGCAAGUGAAAAUAUUUCAGGAAAACAUUAAGAACACAAACGACGGUAUUAAAAAAAUACGACGUAUGAUAUGAUUUUAGACGACGCAAUGAAAUAAUCUCAGACGUAAUAAAUGUUUAAAACCAUUAUUUAUAUAACGUCGUGGUAUAUAUGUUCACACGACGUCAAUAGUAAUACACCGUCGUGGUAAACUAUUAUUUAUAUAACGUCGUGGUAUUUAUGUUCAUACGACGUCAAUAGUAAUACACCGUCGUGGUAUUAACAUUCACACGACGUAAAACAAUAAGAUAUUUUGUCGUCUAUAUUAGAUACCAACCCUAGUUUCUUUUUCUUUAUAUUUUAUCAAAUAAGGGAAAAACAAAAACCAUUGUUCAGCGAAAUCAAACCUGCAAUUAAACAAGCAUAUAAAAAAAGACUAUUAUUUUAAAAACAACUUUGUCAAUUUUCAGACGACGCUAGAACAACUGACGAACCGUCGUGGUCUACCGUCGUCUUAUUUAGUUGAUGUAGUUGUCUUCAAAGUUGGAAACUUUCUCUCUUUGUCUGUAUAUUUUAUCAAACUUGGAAAGAAGUAAAAUGAUUUUGGCCAGAAAAAAGGUAAAAAGAUUUUUCAAACAAAAAACGUAUGAGCAUGCAAAACAGUAACCAAAAUAGUGAAAAUGAAAGCUUACCUUUUGCGUGCAAUGAAAGCAAGAGGAAGAUGAUCGAUGUUUAAGUUCAGAGACGACGAAGAAGACGAGAGGAAGACGAUGAGAAACUCUGACAAUGCUCUGACAAGGAAAAAAGACGAAAAGGUUUCUCUGGGAGAUUGAAAUUUUUAAUCGGGUUUGGAAACAGUGCAUGUGUAAGUCGAAAAGUUGCUUACAUAUAAAACCAUUUCAAAAAAAUAAUACGGCGGUUACAUUUAACUACGUCGUUUUUAACUAAAACGACGCAAUAUUUUUCAUUCGACGUGGAAUCAUUUCAUUUAACGUCGUUAUGUUUAAUAUAACCGACGUGGAUUUUAAUUUUUAAAUUAUGAAUAGAAUUUUUUUUCCCGUGACCUUUCAGUUUAUUUUUCAAUUACAGUGCGUUAUAAAUAGAGUUUUUUUUCCGGAGGAAAUUUAAAACGAAGGAAAUUAAUAUUCUGCAAUAUGUAAAGUUUCUUUUUUGGAUGACAGAUUUAAAUAAAAUAAGAAUAUAAAAACAACAAAUGUGUAAGUCAAGUAGACGAAAAGUUGCUUACAUAUAAAACCAUUUCAAAAAAAUAAUAUGGCGGUUACAUAUAACUACGACGUAUAAAUUACAAAAUACGACGGUACAUUUAACUUCGGACGUGGUAAAUAAAUACGACAGUAGUUUGUAGGUACCGUCGUAGUAAACUCAAAAAUUAAAGUACAUAAGUAAUAACUCGCGUCAUGGUAUAUUAUUUAACACGUCGUUUUUAUUAAUUUACCGACGUGGAUUUCUGUAAUAUACGUCGAUCAUACCGACGUUGAUUUUACAAUUUAAACGGCGGUUUGUUUGUAAGGACCGCCGUUGGUUUUAAAAAUUUAUUCUAUAAAUUUGUCGCUUUCAUUCAUUUUCGGUUUACAUUUAAGGUUCCAAGUUCUUCCUCUCUCAGUCUCUCAUGUCUCAAAGAUAAUAAUUUGGAUGUUUUCUCAAAGAGAAAUUGAGCUUACUCGCAUCAAAUAUAUGUCCACAAGAAGAAGCUUGUCAACUAGCCUUCUCACUUCCUUGAUCAAGCCUGAUAGGACACUUAGUGCUUCUGAAUACUCCUUGCUUUCCAUCAAAAGAGAUGCAAGCCUGGCCUCCACUCGCUGUCGAAGGAAAGUUCGCUUCUCAGGGAAAUCUGAAGAUCAGAUGUGCCUGAUCCUCUGCUUGAUUUUCUUGCCUAAGAAGAUCCGUCGGAUUUAUUGUGAUAGCCUCUUCCUUUAUCCGUAGAGCUUCAGAAGAAGAAGAUGGGUUUCAAGAAUGCGAUAAAGAAUAGAAAUGGCUUCAGAUGGCCUCUAAAGCAUGAGCAAUUGAAUCAGUAGUUUCUGGGAGAUAUGAUGAAGACAUUGUCAAUGCUUUGAACUACACAAGUCCUGCAGAAAGAUAUGUUAAAGAAACUGAAACAACGGCGGUUUUCUGUUCUACCGUCGUCUUUUCUCGUCGUCUAUAUUAAGUUACGAUGGCGGUAGAUUUAUAAUUACCGACGUAGAUUAUUUUGUUAAACGUCGUUAAGUGUACUACAACCGACGUGGAUUUUAAUUUUAAAUUAUAAAUGGAGUUUUUUUUCCCGUAUUCUUUCAGUUUUAGUUUUCAAUUCCAAAGCGUGAUAAAUAGAUUUUUCUUUCCCGAGGAAAUUUAAAAUGAGGGAAAUUAAUGUUCUAGAAUUUGUAAACUAACACGACGCAAUAUUUGCAAAUCUGUGUCAUCUGUUAAGAUUAUGAUGUGGAACAGAGUUCCAUCUGGUAAGAUUUCGUAACCCUUGGGAUCUCAGACAAAACUGAUUAUGUCGGCGGUGUUCUAUAUAAACCGUCGUGGUUAUUUCAAUUCUUGUCAUUAAGUAGAUCUACCGACGUAGGAUAAGAAAAUCAAAGAAAAAAAUUGUUAACAAAAAUUCUUAUUAAGACGACCGUUAAAAUUAAAGGUACGACGUAUAAAAUGAAUAAAUACGACGAUAAAUUUUAUUGUACGAUUUAAAGAUAACGUAGUAGAACUAUACGAGAAUGACGUCGAUAUAUUUAUAUUUUCCGUCGUUGUAAAUUAAUUUAAUACGGCGAUAUUUUGUAUUUUAAAGCCGUGGAUUUGUUUGUAAUUAUACGGCGUCUUAUACGAAAACCUCGUCGUCUUAUUUUAUGAGUAAAAACGGCAGUUUUUAUUGAAAUCGUCGUCUUUACUUUCUACGUCGGUCGAUUCAUAACUUCUGCCGUUCUUUGUUGGCAUUGAUUUUACACUGCGGAAAUCUGUUUCAAAUAGACGUCGGUUGUUUAAUUAUGUACGUCGUUGUUUUUGAACAGCCAUUUGAAACUCCAUUUUUUAGUUGUCUAAGGUUGUAUUACACGACGGUGUUUUUAGAACCGUCGUCUUUUUAUAAACCACGACGGUUUUCACUUAGACCGUCGUUGUUUUCUGGUCGUCUUUUUCACUUUUUGUAGUAGUGUGAAAUCCGUAAAGCAAGAUCGGCUUUUGAUGAAAAUAAUACUUUGAAAACGCCGAAAGUGCCGACAAACAUUUAAUGGAGGCCACGUGAAGUUUUGGAAUCUGGGAAAGAAAAAGAUAAUAUGGGGAUCUGAGAUAAUAUUGGGAUCCUGGAAACUGUAGCCAUAUUUCCUCCUAUAGAUAUGGCCUUUGCAAAACUUGAUUGGAGCAACUGCGUUUCAACUUGCUCCUUUCCUGUUAUAAUAAUUGCGCACAUUCUUAAAAUUUGCACCUGUGGUUUUUACGUCUUUUCAAAAUGAUGGUUUGGAACCUUGUGCCUUAUAGGUUCAAAUAACCACAUCGACUCUCCCAAAUUUCAUAUUUCAACGUAUGGGAGCCCGGAACUUUUGGCCUGGGCUAAACACAAACUCAGAAUUUAUUUGCCCCUUUUAAAUGGACAUGAAAUAUGAAUUGAGUAAAAGCUACGAUAAUAUCGUAAUAUAGUAGUGAAGAGCAUUAACUACUAUAUACCCACAAUCUCAAAUUCGGGAUUUCUCAUAGAUAUAUCAAAAUGUGUGGGGAGCCUCAAUUCAUCAUUUGAGGUUUAUAUUGAUAUUAUCCAUUUCACGGUGUAUUCUUAACAACCGGAAUUCACAAAAUAUAUUUCUUCCUUGAGGUGUCGAUUAUAACAGAAUCGAACUUUAUUAAAUUCAUCAUUCUCUUAUGCCAAAGAAAUAUGUGGCGUACCACAAUUUGCAAUAAUACCUCAAGAGUUGUCCAUUUAAUUUGUUGGAACUUCAGGUUCUCAACACUGUUAGAUUUUGAACUUCAGGCCAAAAUCACAUAUUCUCAUGGUAUGGACAUUCAAUCCCCUUAGAUUUUGAACUUUGGGCCAAAAUCACAUAUUCUCAUGGUAUGGACAUUUUUACAAUUUUCUGUACAUAUUUGUGGACUUCAAGCCCUUACAUAAUUGUCCAUAUUUUGAGGAACUUCUGGCAUCUCAUUUAAUUGCUCAUCCAUGAGUUUAAGGAACUACAGGUUCCCUUUUGAAUGGUGAUAGUUUACCCAAAAUGGUAAAUAUUUAUGCAUACAUCACUAUUCAUGUAUACGGCACUAUUCAUUUGUACAGUACAUUUGCCAGUACAGUUAUCAUCCAUGUGUACGGCAUUAUGAACCAAUACGGUACUGUUACAUCAUUAAGGAACCCCAGGUCCUUAUUUACAUGUCAAGGAUCAAGGACCCUCAAGUCCAAUCACAUGUUUACAAAUAUAGUACCGGAGAGACUGCCAGCUCUCAUAUUAACAUCAUCAUCAAGGAUCUUCAAGUCCUGAUGUAAUUGUGUGAUGAGAAUUAAGGAACUUCUGGUCCUGAUCUGCAUACUGUAAAAACUCAUCAUACAGCACAAUUAAUCCAUAAAAUAAAUUACUGGUAAAUAAAUUACUGGUAUGGACGAUAAACUCGCACCAUACUUUAAAUAAAUGUAAAUGUGCGGUAAAGUAAAUUCAUAAAUUAAAUUGCUUGUUGUAUGGACGUUAAUCCCGCACCAUACCUUAAAUAAAAUUAAAUGUGCGGUAAAGUAAAUUCAUAAAUUAAAUUGCUUGCUGUAUGGACGUUAAUCCCGCACCAUACUUUAAAUAAAAUUAAAUGUGCGGUAAAGUAAAUGGUGCUUGUAUGGGCACUAAUUCUGCUCCAUACAUUUAAAUAGAAGUAAAGGCGUGGACGAUAAACCCGCACCACCCUUUUAAAUAAAUACUGUUGUAUGGGUAAUAAACCUACACCAUACAGUAAAUAUAAUAUAUUAUAUUACUUUAAGUAAAAGUAAAUUUGCGGUAAAGUAAAGGCAAUUAUUGGUGGGUUCUCAUCAACACCACGAUCAAAUAGUAUAGCAGAUAAUAUUAUUAUCGUUUGUGGAAGGCAUCAUGCUUGUCUCUUAAAUCAAAUGCUUUCCACCUGUAAUCUGCACACAGUUGGUUUGCUCGUAUAUCUCUCUUGCAGACCACAGCUCCUCCACUACUUUUCUUCCUUACAUCAACAUAAGGGUUAGUAGUAUAGAUAAUAGUGCAACACAAAAAUUAUACCUGAGAGCUUUUCGUGCUGAUAACGUGUUAUAAAAUGAACUGAGAUAUGUGCGAAUAUUGAGCUGCACGUAAAGUAGAUGAGACACAGUAUUUAACGAGGUUCGGCUAUGCCUACGUCCUCGGAGAGCAGCAACAGUAACUUUUCACUAUGUAGAAUAAUAUGGCUACAACUUUAGUGUUUACAAUAUGUAUGGCUCACUCAAUUUUCUCUCUUGGAGAAUUUCUCUCUUGCUCUCUUUCUUCUCAACUCACUCACCCUCAUUCUUCCUUCUCUUCCUCUUCUAUAUGUGUGAACUUCUCUUGAUGGAGGUAUCUAUUUAUAGGCCUAAGACAUUGGUUGUUCACCUCACAAUAUAAUUGGUAGACAACAUCAUUAAUAUUCUUCUAUCAACAACAUCAUUAAUAUUCUUCAAUCAACAACAUCAUUAAUAUUCUUCAAUCAACAACAUCAUUAAUAUUCUUCAAUCAACAACAUCAUUAAUAUUCUUCAAUCAAUUGGGUAGUGGUUUGGUUUGGUGGGUGUGUGGUUAGGUUUAGUGGGUGUUAGUUGGCUAUGUGGGCUUCACCUAUUCUUCUUUACUUAUUCUUCUUUACAACAUUCUCUUCAUAUUUCAUAUUCGCAUUGGUCAUGCUUAACAACUUUCUAAGCAAUAAUUGAUAAUGUCUCUAUUUGGUUCAUCUGGGGUAAUUUUUGGCUAUUCCGAGUACACCACGUGGUUGGUGUACCAUCCAAUAGAUGUAGGACACAUCUUUGUACUUGUAUAAAUACCUUUUUAUUGAAGAAGAAUAAUAAUAUGAGCAUAAUUGAAUAUUUGCCGUAUUUUGUUCGACUUGGUGUCAGAGCCAGAUUUUUUUUGUGACAUGUGCUUGCAUUCUUGUUAAUGUAUGCAUUUUGAGUUUUUCUUUUGGCUUCCCUUGACAACUUUGUAAUAGGACUUCUGUUGUUAUUUAUCAAGCUCAAGUUUAGAUUGAGAAUAGCUUCUCUAGGUGUUCUUAACUAACAACUAUCCUAUGGAGGUUCAAGCAAAUUGGCAAAGGUAAAUUGUGCAUUGCAUAACAUUGCAUUAAACUGUUUUCAUAAAAUGAUGACUAGUCAUCUGUUUCUUGUAUGACUAGUCAUCCUUGCUCUGUAGGAUUUCCAGCUGAAUAACCAACUUUUUUGUCCUAUUCUGUUUUCUCUCUCUAUUGCCACAUGUGAUUCUGACCUAAGGGAAUUUUUGUUUGUAAAGACUAAGGAAUUCCUCUUUGGGAAGCCGUCUCUUUGGUGUGGAUUUUUAGGAAAGGUUGGCUUGCCAUCUUUCCGUUCUUCUUCCUUAAGAGAGAAUAAUAUUUUUCAUCUAUGAGUUUUUCCAAAUUGAUUUCUUUUUGAAAUACUAAUCUGCAUCUAGCUACUUGGUUUUGUCUGCGAUAGAUAUGAUAAAUGCAAUAGGAAUGCAUCUUCCAAAGCUUUGUAUUUCAGGUGGGUAACAAGAGAGUGACAGACACUUUGGUUUCUGUUUGAGUUAGAGCUUGCAAGCUGGUGCCAUGGGAUGAAUGAGCUGGAGAAGGAGCUGUCAUUGCCAUGAAGAACCGAGCUUCAAUCUUUGCUAAGUUGGAGAAGAAGAUUGCACAAAGGAGGUAUAGCUCAUCUUCCUAAAUAGAUCUAGGUUUUUCUUGAGUUUGCUUGUGUUCUUUUGUAAGAAUCUUUUUCUACUUAGUGGAUUGCCUGGUCAGUUGAUGACCCCCAGUUUUUCCCAAUGGUGGGUUUCUGGGUGAACAAUUUCUAUUUGCAUCUCUGUAAUUUUUCUGGGUUUGUGUUCUUGGCGGUUGACUAGUCAUCAUAUGAAUUCUGGGUUUGUGUUCUUGGUGGUUGACUAGUCAUCGUAUGAAUUGUGGUUGAGUAGUCAUCGUAUGAAUUCUGGGUUUGUAUCCUUGUAGUUGACUAGUCAUCAUUAUUUGGUGUUUGGUGUUUGCUUGAUUAUGUUGUCUUCACACACUUUCACCAUAGUUGUUGCUAGCACAGGGGAUGCCUAGAUUGACGGGUCCUUCUGAGUAUCUAGGUUGUCACUAGUAAUUCUCUAGGCUUGCAGGUAUAUCUUGGUAUGCUCUGUGAUGUUAUUAUUUGGUAUAAUUCAUAUCUGACAGUUGACUAGUCAUAAGAGUAUUUGGUUAAGGUCUAGAGUGUGUGAAGUUUGUUGCGUUCUUGGUUGAAUAUCUUUUAAGUUUACCCUUCGUCACCUAAGUACCCAUUUCAGUUCUCCUUGAAAUUAAAGUACUCUCCUCCCCUCCUCUUCAAGGGGGGGAGAGGUAGUGAAAAAGAUAUGUUUCUUUUUCUCAUGGAGAUAUUGCCUCUUUCUUGACUUCGGCAACCCAUUCUCUUCAAGGAGAGAGGAGGAUUGAAGAGAAUUUAUGUCUGUGUGAAUGAGCUAAAGUUGAUAUGGAAGAAUUUGUCGUUGUUAUUUUCUACUGUUGUUGCUAUUACAAUUGCCGCUACGCUUUCAGUUGAUGUGGUCAUUAUCGUUGCUAUUGAUGUGGUUGUGCCCUUUGCCUUUGCCUUGCCUUUAUUUGCCCUUACUUAAAGAGAAAGUGUCGUUGGUGGGAUUGCCUCAGCAGCAGUUCACGAUCUUCUAUUCCCUUCUCUCUUUUUGUCUUUCUUUUUUUCUUUUUCUUUUUCUGUUUAAUUUUUAUUUUAUUCAUUUUUACCUACACAAACCCUUUUAACAAGUUACGAACAUUCAAUGAUGUGGAUUUAACCCUCAUCUCCACUUACUCAUCCAAUAAUUGAUAUUUUGGGCGCAUGAAUACACCAUGCCCAUUGUAGAAUUUUCCUGAUUUGAUUACGUGGUGGGAGUCCCCCACUGGGAGAGAUCAAAUGUAUGUAUAGAAUGUUGCCUGGUUCUCGUGUUGUCCCAGCAACUUGGGAUAUAUCCACCAUUCUUAGCCACGUGUGUUUGUUGCUUGCACUAUCAUCUUCAUUUGUGUUUGUCGCUAUUCUACCACGUUAAUAUUUGGGAUAUUUUGUUACUUGGGACAUCUCCACCACCUUUCUUAGCCACGUGUAGUGUAGUAGGUAGGGAUUAAUAUCUCGGAUAUUCGCUACUCGAAGCCCAUCCGAAAGACAUUCCUCAUCAGUAUUUGACUUUUAAUUUUCCUAGAAUUUUGUAGAUUAUUAUAGGCAAAUGAACACUUUUUAACAGAGUGAUUGCUCCCUAGAUAUGUUCUUUUGAUCAUUAUUCUAGCAUAUACCAAGUUUAUUAACACUUAUGUGUCUGUCAGGUGGUGGUGAUUGACUGUCUAUAGUGUUUGGUGUGGGAGAGGCAUCAAGAGAUUGCAUAGGUAUCGGGUGAAGUGGUGAGCGAGUGGACUGGUUUGAAACAGUGGGCCGAAUAUGAGCAAGUCCAUUAGGUGUAGAAGUAGUGGGUGUGUUGGUAGUUUCCAGCAGUUCGACGAAAACUCUGUCAAACUUUGGAAAAGUUUACCAAAAGGGAAAAUGGGAAGAGAUUGAAGGAUGAGGCUCGAAAUUGCAGAGUUUCAAGGAUGAGAGAUGAAGCUUGCUCUCUAGAUGUGGGUUGUUUUAGCUAGUGAUGAAGUAAUGGGUGUGCUGGGUAGUUUCCGACAGCUUAACGAAAAAUCUAUCAAGCUCUGGAACUUUUUAACAUAAGAAAAAAGGGGAGGAGAUGGAGGAAUAGGGCAUGAAAUUGCAAAGGUUUCAGAUUAUGAGAGAUUAAGCUUGCUCUCCGAAUGUGUGUUGAGAUGAUGGGUAGGAAAUGCCUUUUUUAUAGGCGAUGGAAGCUAUCAUUUUCUAAGAAACCCUAAUGGUUUCUAUCCAAUUUAGCCAAGCUUUUUCCUUUCUUUUUCCUCUCUUUCUUUGACUUAUCUUACUCUGGUAAAAUUCUCUCUGCCCAAUCUCACAAAAUCAGGGCUUUUUGAGAGCUUAAUGCUCUUCCCACAGCUGCCUCGGUGGAGAACUCCUAUUCCCAGCCAUCUCCUUCCUUUCUUUUCCUCCUUUUUCCAUGGCCAAGUAUGAUGAGGGAAAGAAAUGGGUAUACAUGCUGGUUCGAAAGGUGACUCCCUUCCUAAUAGUCUGCGCGCCAAUAUCCCCCGGUCCUUUGGAUGUUUUUGCUUGAAACUUGUUCCCUCCCAUGUGUUGGAGCCUCCCAACAGCUCACACACAUGGAUAUUUUGGCUUUCAUCGUGGCUUUUGUUUUCAGCUAGGUGCUGGAGAUUUGCAGAUAUUUUCUUAGGUUGCUUGGGCCUUCUGGGACAAUAAGUUGGUUUAUCAAGUACAUAGGCUAACUUGAUCAAUUGUUGGGCUAUUUUGGUUGAAAUGAUGGCCUACUUUCUCUUUUAUACUCACCCACAUAUUUGGGCCUAAGAAAUGGGUUUCAGUUCCUGGGCUCCCAAGCAACCCUGGACUUCCAUUUCUUGACCCAUCAAUGGGUCUCAUGACAAUUCAUUACCAUUCAUACCACAACCCACUCAAGCAAGCCCCUGGCAUUUGAGUGGCUUGGGCCCACUUAGGCUUUUAGCAUGGUUGGGGUGGGAAAUAAUGAUUUCCCGCUUGGCAUGUCAUGCUUUUCUAUCAUGAUGCUUGACGGGAUAAUUAGCAUGGGCUCAUAGAGCUAGUGUAUUUUAUGAUAUUUAUCUCAAUCCUUAGCAUGAUGGAUUAUUUAUUUGGCAUGACACAUGGACUGUGACUUAUGCAUGGUGGACUUUCGUGUGCUCCAAAUUGAGUCUUUUCUUAAUAAUGUGUCGUAUUAGGCCGGGAAUUUAUUCGGACCCAACCGUGGAUUUUUUGAGCCUCAACACUAGGCUCAUCAACAUAACUAGGUGGGUUAGACGAAUUGGGCUCAACACCUUGGUGGUUGACGAGAGCCUUGAGUUCAUUAGCAGGUGGUGUUAAAUUGGGCUCAGUUUGUGUUGACGAUGGGCUUGGUGCAGGUAGUGGUGGAAAUUGAUUAAUGUGGUGGAUCCAACGGAGUUGGGCCGUGGACUGUGUUGGUCCUAGUAUGGAAAAUUAGUCUCAUCAAAGGUCACAUGGCGAGAAAUAAAGACCUGAUCUGAAAUCAAAUCUAAACAACACUAACCUUUGUAGUGAUUGUUAUAUCUAAUAAAUACACAUUUAAUUGAUUUAAAUGAUAAUUUGUUGGUGUUGUAAGGAACUAUAUGAGAGAAACAGACAUCCAAAACUUUUAAGAAAUCAAUAAUCAGGUGGACAUUGAAAAAGCUUCUCAUACGGUGAUAUGCGUCCAAGUGUAGAGGAGGGCAAGAAAAACUGCCAUAGAGAAAGCUUCUAACCAAAGAAGGAAGCUGGGCAAGAAGAUCACAGGAAUUUGUUCUUGAGUGUUGCAUUGUAUCCCUCCAUGAUAGACUGGAAAAAUAAGUUCAUUUCCUUCAUUAGUCUGAGUGUUCUCCUCAGGCCCAGAAAAACAAACCUUAAAAAAAAAAAAAAAUUAACCAAUCUAAAAAUUUGUCACAAAAAGAAACAUGAAUUGGUAACUGUUAAUUAAAAAGUUCUUCUUAACCUUUGGUCUUCACUCAAUUUGCAAAUAACACAAUAAUCCCUGCCUUUCAAACCCACAAGGGGCCUAAGCCUCUCAGUCAGAUUUUGCAUAAUGAUGACAUAUCUAUAGAGAAUUUAUUCAAUAAUGGAUAUUUCUUUAAAGAAUAAUCUAUCGAAUCUCAUAACAUGGAGAGAUAAUUAUUUUCCAAAAGCCACAAGAGACCUCAAUUUCUGAAAUUCUUGUUACAGUAAUUCCUCAAAAGCUCCUUCACCCAGCCAAUCAUGGCCAAAAGCUCCUCAAUAGCCAGUCAUCGCCAAAACCAAAAGUUCCAGCCAUCUGUAUAAAUAGAAACCAAAGGGCAUAAAAGUAAGACAAUUUGUAACAGAUAUAAGUGAAAACAAUAACCUAUUACAGCUAGCCAACAUGCUAAUCUAAUGCACAACAAGAAGAAAGACAGAUUCAGAUCAAACACUUUCCUCAAAUUACACCAAUCAGUAGUGACACCAAAAAAAAAAAAAAAAAAAAAAAAAAAAAAAAAAAAAACCAAGGUUAUAAUGCAACUGCAAGCCCAUUCCCAGAUCUUUAAUAUUGACUGACAUGAAAUCCACAGUAAUUAAGUGUCAAAAUGGUAGUCAUUAACGAUAUGGCAUGAAAAUUAGAAAACACUAUCAAGUAAAUGAGCCAAGUUUCGACCCCGCAUUCAUAAUAUUGUAGCAAAUUCACAAUCAGACCAUUCAAACCAACAGGAAGAGAAACUAAAAAGAAAAUCAUUCCAAUUAUGGUAGCAAUGUUAGUUCUAUUUCACAUGUAAUCUAUAAGCACUAACCUUGAGAAGCCAUUAGAGCAAGCACAGCAACAGCAGCAAAUACCACACGAACUGGCCUUGGUCUUCCUCUCUCUAUGCACUCUAAAUCUCUCCUAUAUGGGUAGGAAUAUGAGUCUGUUUUCUGUGUAUGAGAGUGGGGACCGAAGCCUUAGUUUUAUAGGUGAGAGCCUUGAGGUUCCUAGCCCAUAAAGGAAUCCUUAAAGCUUAUCCUUAUCACCUCCCGAAUACAUAGCCUAAUAUGAUAGAUAUUCCACAAGUGAGACAGAGCUUCAACUCUAUCAUACUUAUCCGUGUAUACCCAGUUUAUCUCUCCCUUGUAUCCCUGAUCAGAUUGGAUUCCUAAAUGGAUGUGAACUCAAAUAGAGUUCUUACAAGCAAAACUCACAAGACAGAAAAUAAUCCCCAAGUUGCUGAUCCUCUAGGCAAUCAUGUAGCUAACCAAUUCAAAUUGCAAUGCCAAACCCACAUCUAAUACUAGCAAAGCUACUUCUGCUUUGCAUUUCGUAACAAAAAUAAAAAUAACCAAAUCAACUUAAAUGUCUAAGCAUGCGUGCAUAACACAAUUAUUGGAUUAGUACAAGGUGAAUUUAGCAAAAUUAAAAAAACUCAAAUAAAUCAGGCAAAAAGAUUUGAGCUUUUCUCGUUCUUUUUCUCUUUUCAGAAAAUUUUCUCAAUAACCAAAUAAGGGAACUAGAUGAAAAAAAAAAAAAAAAAAGGGAUGCCAAAGGCCGUACCCCACUCAUCUUCUUCAUCAAGAGGUUGAGAGAUUGCACUGGAGAGGGGUCCAUGGGACGCAAAUGAUCAUGGAUUUGACCAGCCAUAGGACGUAAAAGCCCAGAUCAAGAUCAAUCUAAUAGCUCAAAUCCAAACACAGCAAGUGAAGGGCUAGGGGGCGAGAGGGCGAGAAAGAGAGAGGAAGAGGAGAAAGAGAUCUGUUACCUUGAACGAGUAGGUCAGAGAGAGCAACACAAAGAGGGAGACAGCGCUGAUGGAGGAAGAGAGAACUGCCAGAAAGCGUUGAGAGAGAGAGAGAGAGAGAGAGAGAGAGAGAGAGAGAGAGGGAGAGCGCAGAGGAAGCUGCGAGAGAGACAAGAAAAAGUGAGAAAAAGUGUUGGGGCAAUAAGUAUGUAUUUAUAGGUUGUAUUUAUAAAAUGUGCGGGUAAAGAUGGUAUUUGUAGAUGAAGUUUGGAUUACAGGGGCUUUGAGUGGUAUUUCCCAAUACUCAUCGCAUGCAUUGAUCCUAGGACUCCCAACAACUGACUUGUCUUUUAUUUAUGAAUGCUGCUAUUUUCACUUUUGAUUGUUGUAAAAGUUUGAAGGUGGAGUCCACAGUUUUGGUAUCACAUGCAUGGAGGAAGUUUCCUUGCAUCUUCCAGGAACUUUCUCUUCCCUGUAUUUAUCAAUUCAGGAAGUUUCCUUGCAUCUUCCAGGAACUUUCCUUCCCUGUAUUUAUCAAUUCAGGAAGUUUCCUUGCAUCUUCCAGGAACCUUCCCUUCCCUGUAUUUUGCCUAAACAUUAGCCUAUAAAUAGGCAUACCAAUUGUAAAGGGGAGGGUGACCAACGGAGAAAAGAAAGAAAGGGGAGAAGAGAAAAAGAAGAGAGAAGAAGAAGAGAAAAGAAGAAAGAAAAGAAGAGAAAAAGAAGAGAAAAGAAGAAGAGAAAAGAAGAAAGAAAAGAAGAGAAAAGAAGAAAGAAAAGAGAGAAGAAGAAAGAGAAAGAAAAUUCAGUGAGCCUCACAUAUUGUAAACUCUAAAGUUGUAGCCCUAUUAUUUUAUAUAGUGAAAAAGUUACUGCUGCUGCUCUUCGAGGACGUAGGCAUAGCCGAACCUCGUUAAAUGCUGUGUCUCAUCUACUUUACGUGCAGCUCAAUAUUCAUACAUAUUCCAGGUUAUUUUUAUAACACGUUAUCAGCACGAGAAGCUCUCAGGUAUAAUUUUUGUGCUGCACUAUUAUCUAUACUACUAACCACUAACAAAAAUGGACCCUUGGUAAUACUAAACAUAUUAUCAGUGGGAGACCGUUACUAAUACUAACUUUUUUCUUAUUUUAUUCGGUGGUGGUUUUAACCCCACAUUUAUUUACUAUAUGGUGUAGGUCUAUUACCCAUACAUGCACCUUUACUUUAUCGCAAAUUUAUUUUACCGCAUUUUUAUUUUAUUUACUGUAUGGUGUAGGUUUAUUACCCAUACAACAGUAUUUAUUUAAAAGGGUGGUGCGGGUUUAUCGUCCACGCCUUUACUUUUAUUUAAAUGUAUGGAGCAGAAUUAGUGCCCAUACAAGCACAAUUUACUUUACCGCACAUUUAAUUUUAUUUAAAGUAUGGUGCGGGAUUAACGUCCAUACAGCAAGCAAUUUAAUUUAUGAAUUUAAUUUACCGCACAUUUACAUUUAUUUAAAAGGGUGGUGCGGGUUUAUCGUCCAUACCAGUAAUUUAUUUACCAGCAAUUUAUUUUAUGGAUUAAAUGUGCUGUAUGAUGAGUUUUUACAGUAUGCAGAUCAGGACCAGAAGUUCCUUGAUCCUCAUCAUACAAUUACAUCAGGACUUGAAGAUCCUUGAUGAUGAUAUUAAUAUGAGAGCUGGCAGUCUCUCCGGUACUGUAUUUGUAAACAUGUGGACUUAAGGGUCCUUGAUCCCUGACAUGUAAAUAAGGACCUAGAGUUCCUUAAUGAUGUAACAGUACCAUAUUGGUUCAUGGUGCCGUACACAUUGAUGAUAACUGUACUGGCAGAUGAAUAGAUACGUAUUCAUGACUUGAUGAAUAGUACUAUUCACAUGAAUAGUGACGUAUGCAUAAAUAUUAACCAUUUUGGGUAAACCGUCACUAUAUACAAAAGGGAACCUGCAGUUUCAUGGUGCCGUACACAUGGAUGAUAACUGUACUGGCAGAUGAAUAGAUACGUAUUCAUGACUUGAUGAAUAGUACUAUUCGCAUGAAUAGUGACGUAUGCAUAAAUAUUAACCAUUUUGGGUAAACCGUCACUAUAUACAAAAGGGAACCUGCAGUUCCUUAAACUCAUGGAUGAGCAAUUAAAUGAGAUGCCAGAAGUUCCUCAAGAUAUGGACAAUUAUGUAAGGACUUGAAGUCCAGAAAUAUGUACAGAAAAUUGUAAAAAUGUCCAUACCAUGAGAAUAUGUGGCUUUGGCCUGAAGUUCAAAAUUUACAGUGUUGAGAACCUGAAGUUCCAACAAUUAAAUGGACAACCCUUGAGGUAUUAUUGCAAAUUGUGGUAUGCCACAUAUUUCUUUGGCAUAAGAAGAUGAUGAAUUUAAUAAAGUUCGAUUUUGUUAUAAUCGACACCUCAAGGAAGAAAUAUAUUUUGUGUGUUGAAAUAAAAAAUUCGUUGAUAGCAAAUUAAAUUUUGGCCCAAGUUUAAAGAAGUUGGGCCCAUAGCUAAAAUGGUUUUGUGGACUUGUUGCUAAAUUGGCUUAGGCCCAAAUGAAUUAAUAUUAAUAUUUUUACAAGAAAAUAUUAAGCAUUAACAGAACAUGUACGUUGAGUUGAGUAGUGACUGAAAAUGGGAAGUUACUCCCACCCACAUACGUGAGGCAACAACUGGCUCCACUAUGUCAGUUCCUCUUGGUCUAUAAAAAGGGACCAAAGGAUGCAAAAAAAGAGAGGAGAAAAAGCACCAAAUUGCUGCAGAAAUACACAGAAAGAAAAAAAAACUGCUACAGAAAUCCAAAGAAGAGAAGCAAGCAAAAGAGAUACGAAGCUCUGUCAUAAUACCAUUCAGAAGGUAUAAACAAAUUCAUUUGAGUAUCCUUUUAUGUACAACUGACUUGCAAGCAAAAAGAUAUGUAUGUGAGGCCAUCGUACAGAAGUUUGAACUUCCUCCAUGUUUGAUAUCAAGAAAUGUAUCAUAUCAACAGAGACUUCAGCAGUGGAAAAAAAUGCAAACAAAUCCUCCCAAAUUGGCAAUAGCUGUGCUACUUACACAAAGAGAGCUCUCACAAGGACCUCUCUGUUGUGAAUUACAGAUGGGCUUCUGCAAGAACUCCACUGUACAAGUGCUGUGAACACCUUGUGAGUGUCCAUAGGCACAUUGUGGUACUCAGAGAAGACCUUGCGAGUGUUCUUGAGUACCAAAAAAAAAUAGAAGACAUCAACAGACCAGACGCUUUGUUACUUGCCCAACCCACCUUCAGCAGAGCAAAAAUUCUGCAAACAGAAAUUAAUGAUUGCCAGAAAGCUUACAGAGACUGAUGAUUCACACCCACGAAGGUCACCAAAGCAGCAUUCCUCUGCAACAAGUUGCAGAAACCACAAAGGGUUCUCACUCUGUCACUGGCACUAUGAUAGCCCUUCCCAAAAGAUCUCAGUCUGCAAUCAAAUGAAGAAAAAAUGCACCGAAGCAUCAUACCAUUGUUACCAAGAGACCGGAAGGAAGCAGAGAACUCAAAAUUGUCUUUGGACCCAAAAAAAUGCAGUCAAGUCUUCAAGGAAAUGAUGAAAACGAAAUCACAAGCAAGAUUCAAAAAGAGAUGAUUUUUCUUUUCUCUCGACACCAAAGGCCAGACCCCAAAUUAGUGUCUCAGGCAAAAAGUAAAAGGAAAAUGGCUCACUAAUUUCAGGCUAAGAAGCCUCCUGUGUUGCGGCUGUUGAAGAACCCAAAAGCAAACUUAAGCCAAAAACAAAGAAGCUGAAAGAGAAACAAAAUUCAAAAGAGAAGAAGAAAGACUUGCCAAAGCUAAAUGGAUGCACAGCUUGCUGCCAGCAGUUUUUCUUCAGACCAAAAUUCGGUCUUUAGACCAAAAAAAUGAAGAAACUUGUUGCUCAAAGAAAGCCCUCCUGCCAUGCCCAAGAUUGAAGAAGAAAAGCAACCAAAAAAAAGAGAGUUUCGUAUUACUGAAAGAAACCAAAACAAAACAAGGAAGAAAAAGCCAAAAAGGGACAAAGCAAAGGAAAAGUACCUUUGUACUUUGACAAACUGACGUGUUGCCUUUAAACUCCCAUAUUUCCAAUGGGUUAUGUAGUCCAAGUCUGCCUUCAAGUUCCCAAGACCUCAUAUUAAUAUUUUAAUGAUUUAUGUAGUCUAAACAGAUAUGAGCAAAGCAAAGGUCUUGCUUUGGUUUUGGCGUCUAAGACUCUAGGCUCCAUAUUGAUUGUGGCAGAUGAGUGGCUGAAGAGAUAUAUAAUUGGGUCCAGUUUGAAUUGAUCCAGAUAAGGAUGGGAGUGGCUCAGUUUGGAUCGAUCUCUACUACUCCAAAUAGAUAUCGAUUUCAAAUGCAACUAGCUCUCAAAGUUUUUCUGACAUGGACCUUUUGUUUAUGGGCCAACUAAAAGACCCGAAAAACAAAUUGAUGGGUCGACAAAACAAAUUACCCAUUAACUCUCAAAAGCCCAAAAUAUUUUAUGGGUUGGUCCAAAUAAAUUAUGUGGUUAAUGGAUUAAUCCUUAAUGGGCUCAUUAAAAUGCCUUUUAAUUUUCUUUGGACAUUAACAAUAAAAAUGGUACAAAACCAUUCCAAAUUUUCCCAUGGGUCAUCUACCCUGCAAAUUUCAAUGGAUCAAAUUCAAAUUUCUCAAAUAUACAAAUUCUUUCAAGGGAUCAUUCAUUCUUUGAAAGUCCGAUCAAAUUAUCAAGGAACUACGUCCGGUUUGAUUCCGCCAAGGAUACGUAGGCAAUUUGGAAAUUCAACCCAGAUACAACCGCAAGUCCAAACAGAAUCCCUGGUGUACCUUAACCAAAUUCGCCCCAAACACUUUUCCAACCAUAAAAUCAAAUUGAAUCCCUGGUCCAACCACAUUCAUCCAAAUUCCAUAAAAUAUUUCUCAUACCAAAAAUUCUUUCAAGGGGUCAUUCAUUCCUUGAAAGUCCAAUCAAAUUCUCUUGAGAACUACAAAAGGCUUGAUCCCCAAAAUGGGGUAUGUAGGCAGUCUAGGGUUCCCUGGAUGCAGCUGUAACAUCAAAUCAAAUUCCAUUAUUUAUUUCAUUUUUCAUAUUGGAAUCAAAGGGUUUUCUCUUUAUAAAGAGAUUAUAAUUAAGAGAUAUUUUUUAUCUUGAGUGGGUCAUAUUCAAUUAAAAAUAAAAACUCCUAUUUGUAAAUAAGAGUGAGAUUAUGUUGGGUGAAUUUUUAAUUUCUUUAUUACACUUUUUAUCUAACAUUGUGAAUUCCGGUUGUUAAGAAUACACCGCAAAAUGGAUAAUAUUAAUAUAAACCUCAAAUAAUGAAUUGAGGCUCCCCACAUAUUUUGUUUUAUCUGGGCCGGAAGCCCAUGGAUCCAAAUAUAUGAGAGAUCCUGAACUUGAAGUUGUGGGUAUAUAGUAGUUAAUGCUCUUCACUACUAUAUUGCGAUAUUAUCAUGGCUUUUACUCAAUUCAUAUUUCAUGUCCAUUUGAAAAGGGCAAAUAAAUUCUGAGUUUGUGCCCAGGCCAAAAGUUCCGGGCUACUAUGCGAUAAAAUAUGAAAUUUGGGAGAGACAAUGUGGUUAUUUAAACCUAUAAGGCACAAGGUUCCAAAUCAUCAUUUUGAAAAGACGUAAAAACCACAGGUGCAAGUUUAAGAAUAUGCGCAAUUAUUAUAACAGAAAAGGGGCAUACAACAGAUAGAUUUUUUCCUGCAAUGAAGGUGCAGGCCCUGUAAAAUCUAUAAAAAUUACAUUAUGUCCUGGAAGCCUCUGAAGGAAGAUGAUGGCGCCUCUUAAGCUUAGCCAUGAGCUUCUCAUGGUCUCCCAAAAUUCUUUCAUUCGAGACCUGCAGCAUGUCUAGCCUUCUCAGUGUAUCAACAGAGUACGAACUCACCAGUUUCAACAAGGCAUUAUUCUCUCCUUUAAGUUUCUCAACCUCCUGUUGAGACUCAUGAAGCAUUCUUUGGAGAGACGAAUUUUCAGUUGUUAAAUUCUCAACCUCGUUUGCUCUGGCACGCAAACGAUCAGCCAUGUUAGAAACAGAAACAGCACUCUGAAUGCUAAAAGCCAUUGAGUCAUCAAUAGCCUCUUCCUCUGAUCUCCCCGUCAACAACAUUUCAUCCAUUGGAGUAAUGAAAUUCCUAGCUACUAUGACAGCAGUAGCAUCAUUCAUCAUCACAGAAUCAUUAACUGUGAGAUGACGAUUUUUGGAUACAAAGGAUGGACGCCAAACUUGGGCGUCACUGGUUGUUGUGGGAGCAUCAUUUAAAUUGAAAUAAUUUGGGCAGGAAGAAGAGGAAGCCAUUUUUUUUUUAAGAAGGUUUCGAAGAAAGUCUUAGGAAAACUAAAGUUUCAGAAAAUGAAGAAAUUUGAGUUGAAACGCAGUUGCUCCAAUCAAGUUUUGCAAAGACCAUAUCUAUAGGAGGAAAUAUGGCUACUGUUUUUCAGGACCCCAAUAUCUUCUCGAAUCCCCAUAUUAUCUUUUUCUUUCCCAGAGUCCAAAACUUCACGUGGCCUCUAAUAAUGCCUGUCGGCACUUUCGGCGUUUUUCAAAGUAUUAUUUUCAAAGCCGAUCUUGCUUUACGGAUUUCACGGAACUACUUUUUCAAAAGUAUCCCGAGAAUCUCGCAAUUUUCCUAUGGUUAAUUUGAAAUUCACCGGUUCUACCUAUUCAUUGUAUUUGUGUAUAAAUGUGUUACUAACGAAAUUUUCUUUGCAAAAGACAUCCAGUUUUCUCCAUACCUAGUGAUGCGAUAUCUACUUGUUUUUCUUAUCAGUGAGCACUUAAUAUGCCUGAGAAGCAAGACUAUCUCUGAUCAUCCAUUCAAGAAGCAAGACUAUCCCUGAUCACGUUUCUACUACAUCAGGAAACUGUGAAGGCGAUCUUAUGCUCUAAUCUCCGGAAGUCCUUCUAGACUAGGAGAUAUGAGAGCUUAUUGUCUGCUCCCACCAGCUUCCUUCCCUGAUUGCUUACCUUCUCUUGCAAUCAAUAUCACAUUAUUUUUGCAUUUUUUCUCUUUUUAUAACUCUCUGUUCAUAAGAGAUUUUAUUUCUUUAGAAUGAACAUCUGAAGAAUGAAUCCAUGAAGUAAUCCUAACUAUGAGGGUUAUCUGUUUUGACAGAGGCAAAAGAGUUGUGAUUUUUGCUCUUGCAGGAUAUAACUAGAUCAUCAAGCGCUACAUUAUAUUUACUGGGCUGAUAUGAGCUUGAAUGAUACUUGAGAAAAGUUUCUCCCACCUAAGGAUGUAAGCAAUACUUGUGUUAUUUUAUGCUUAUAUACCUAUUUGAUAUUUUAUCUUGAAAGGUAACCAAAUUGGGAGAUAAGUCCGUUCCAAAAGAAUGGCUUGUAUGUAUCCAUGAAUUAUUAAUGCAAAUUUUACAGAUUGUAAGAUGGAUACAUUGAUAAUACACUGCACAGAUUAAAGUCCCAUAAGAACAGAAUAUGGGUAUAACAGUGAUCAAUAUGGGUGCACGCCUGUUGCGUAGCAAAUGAUAUGGAUUGAAGUCCCGAAAGGACAAUCCUUUGACAUGUCAAUAUUGAUAUUAUGCACGCCUAAUGCGUAGCAAAUUAUAUGGGUUAAAGUCCCAUAAUAUGGGAUAAAGUCCCAGAAAUUAAUUGACAUGUAUGUAUUAAUCUGUGGCAUGCCUGCAGCAUGACAGAUAUAUGGGUUCUCAAUGUUCCAACUCCCUAAAUGAAGAUUAUCCACGCCCUACUACUAAAUAACGCUCCGAUGGAGGUUAUAAUCCACAUUCUCACAUAAUAAAAGCCCCCUGAAGUGGCUUGGGUACCCAAAAGCAAAGAAAUGCUUAUAAUUGAUGCAUGCGCAUGCACAUGAGAAUGGUGGGAUCAUGAAUUGAUGAAUGACAAUUUUUGGUUUUGGAGUAGCUACUCAAAUCAUCAAUGGGCUGUGUUGAUUGGAACCACGUUCAAUUAUUAAAUGUCGACAAUAUCACUGGCCAAAAUGGAACGAGGUAAUUCCAUUAUAAAUGAGAAUGAACGUGAAAGAACAAACCACAAUACGAACCCCAAAAUUUGUUAAUACUGAAAGUUAUACUUGGGUGUUCGGAAUAAAAGGGAAUAUACCUACUUUGUAUGACACACUGUUUCUGGCAGAAAUAAGGAAUGUUGGGUUUUCUCCAUAUUUACAGAUUCAAUUGUGCCCCCCCUUAUUACACAAUUACGGAGACCAACAUAUUAUCUUUAAGGGUUAUUGAAUGCACGGAGCAUAUCGCCAGAAGCGAUUUCCUAAAGAUGUAUAAAUAGCUGGGUAAAAACUAUAUAAUGUGUCAUAAAGCUUAAUCCCUUUUAGACAAAAUCCGUUGAGAGGAUUGAUAUUGCAUAAAGCAAGUCCCUAAAGGACAUGUGCUUGAAGCACACAAUUUGUACUCAAUAUUAAUAUGCAUAAAUUACCUCAAUGAGUACAUUGAUUAUAAUGUGAUUGCAACACAUUAAAGUUUCUGCAGAAUUCAUGAAAUAUUUGUCUCGAUCGAGCAUUAUGCCAACGAGAUUCUUGCUUAUACUAAGAAAGUAUUAAAGUAUUUUUAUGAGGAUUAUCCGUUGGACACUUUAAUGAUUUUCCGGAAGUAUAUUGGACCGAACAUCAUAUUUUCCAGAUAGGGCUCAACUCCAUCACCAUCAUUUUGGGAUGAUGUGAGGUAUAUUUGAUGCUAUCUAAGCAUAACACCAUAUACGGGCAUAUUUUUUUAGUGAACUUAUAAAUAGCCCAAGUGUUCUAAGAUAUGCGGACUCAGGAAAUCUCUAUGGUCGCUUACUGGAAAAAGCUAGUCAUGAAGUUUUCAGGGGGAGAUAUUCAUCAGGGGGAGCAUGGUAUUAAUAAAGACCUUCAUACACUAUUGACUCACAGCAGCAGUGUCAACUAUGAUAUUCAGACAGAUGAUCAACAGUAUGGCUUAAAGAUAUUUUGCCAAGCAUCAGGGGGAGCGUGCUGUCAAUACAGACUCUUACACACUGUACUCUUUUUCCUUCGUCCAGGUUUUUAUCCCACUGGAUUUUUCCUGGCAAGGUUUUAACGAGGCAGUGUCGCACGCGCGUCAAUAUACACAGAAUUUUAUGUUACACGUGAUUAUGUACUCUUUUUCCCUUCGACCAGUUUUUGUCCCACUGGGUUUUUACUGGCAAGGUUUUUAACGAGGCAUAUUCCAUACCAUUUGUGGUCUCCAAGGGGGAGUGUUGUAAAAGUUUGAAGGUGGAGUCCACAGCUUUGGUAUCACAUGCAUGGAGGAAGUUUCCUUGCAUCUUCUAGGAACUUUCCCUUCCCUGUAUUUAUCAAUUCAGGAAGUUCCUUGCAUCUUCCAGGAACUUUCCUUCCCUGUAUUUAUCAAUUCAGGAAGUUUCCUUGCAUCUUCCAGGAACCUUCCCUUUCCUGUAUUUUCCCUAAAAAUUAGCCUAUAAAUAGGCAUACCAAUUGUAAAGGGGAGGGUGACCAACGGAGAAAAGAAAGAAAGGGGAGAAGAGAAAAAGAAGAGAGAAGAAGAAGAGAAAAGAAGAAAGAAAAGAAGAGAAAAAGAAGAGAGAAGAAGAAGAGAAAAGAAGAAAGAAAAGAAGAGAAAAGAAGAAAGAAAAGAGAGAAGAAGAAAGAGAGAGAAAAUUCAGUGAGCCUCACAUAUUGUAAACUCUAAAGUUGUAGCCCUAUUAUUUUAUAUAGUGAAAAAGUUACUGCUGCUGCUCUCCGAGGACGUAGGCAUAGCCGAACCUCGUUAAAUGCUGUGUCUCAUCUACUUUACGUGCAGCUCAAUAUUCAUACAUAUUCCAGGUUAUUUUUAUAACAUUGAUCUAUUUUUCUACUUAUUUUAUUUUUAAAAUUUGAAAAAUAAAUUUAUUUCUUUGUAAAAUGACUUGAGGCUCUAGAUUCUUCAAUAGAAAAAGGAGCUUGUGAAUAUGGUAUUUUAUAUAGGAUGUUGAGAGAUUAAGGGCUAGUUUGGUAUUACUGUAAUGUAAAGAUAAUCAUUGUUAGAUUUGUUAUGAGAUAAAUCAGCUGUGAAAGAAAGCAGUUUGGUGUUUGUUAAACUUUUUGUCAAAAAUAAUGUUGGUAUAAUAAUCAGUUUCUGAGUGUUUGGUAAAUUUUUGUGUGUAAGUACUGUAAGCUUUGUAUAAUGAUUAAAAAGGAUUCGAUGUUGAAAUUAUUUUUGUUAUUUAAGUGUUUGGUGAUAUUAAAACAAAAAACAAAAAAAAGAACCUGCCUCACUUUUACUUUUGCCAAAACAUUCUCACUUUCAAUUAUACAAAUCUUUUAUUAAAUAUUUUUGUUGAGAGAUACCGUAAAACAAUAACAUUUUUUAAAAAAAAAAAGUAAAACAAGACCCUCUAUACACCCCUCUCCCUCCCCCAGCCCCACCCCGACCCACCUUCCCACAGAUCCACCUUGAUCUUAAUGAUCAACACCCUGAAAAGCUCCCACACAGUCUACAAUGUCAAAUCCAAGAUCCAAUAAAAGGAGAGUAUUCUGCCAGACCAACAGAGGUUGAUCUUUGCUUGCAAGACACUCCAGGAUGGAUGCACCUUGGCCGACUACAACAUCCAAAAAUAAUCCACUCUCCAUCAAGUGCUUUGACUUCGUGGCAGAUAAAGAGAGUUGUGCCUCUCUUUGGUUGAUUGAAGUUUAGGGACGAAAAACCCUCUAUUGCACUAUCAAAUCAUUCAAAGAUUUCAAUUUGUUGUGUGCAAUAAUGCUUUGUCAAUGAAAAUGGGAGGAGUUGGAAUGAGUUGCUUUAUCAAAAUGUUUUGGAGGAUUUAAGGAACUUAAGAAAGUAAGGUCUGAGAGGUUUUCACUUUUGAAAUGUUGUGAGAAGAAUGAGAUGGUCUCUGUGGAAAGAAGAUGAGGAAUAGUGGGAAUGUGCUGGUCUAGAAGAAGAUGAGGUAUAGAUUAUGUAAAUUAGAAAAGUUAUCAAGAAUAUUAUAGGCAUUUCAUUAGAAUUCAUUAAAGACCACCUGUUCUGUGUUUUUGCUUUCCGCAAAAGUUGAAAUAAAAUCAGCCCUUGAGGUGCUUUCCAAAAUCACGUUGAUCGGUAGCUAUUUUCUCCCAAAAGUGAUUAUUUCGUCUUUUAACAAACGGAAUAAACUUCAAAAACUUUAUCAGAAAUCACCUUUUAGCUAUUGCUUUUGGAUUUUUUAGGACCCGAGAGAACAAUUUCCAGCAAUUUAUAGGUUUGUUGUGUUGUAUCUAUUAAGUAAUUUGUUUCUUUCUUUGGUAAAAUAUAUAGUUUCAUUUUUGAGUUAUUUCAAUUCCUAUUCAAUUGAGUAUAUUUGUAUAUGGUGGAAUUUGACAAUUUUUUUUUUUUUGGUUGCCGAAAUCAAGUUUCAUUAAUAGAAAGGCAAUGCGAUUUACAUGAUAGUGGAACUCACAAAAAUGAGUCCAAACAAAUGCAACAGUAAAAGCCCGUUAGAAAUAAAACUCAAACUGUUAGCGAGUCCUUAUUUAGUUAGGAUUUUGAUUCCUUACUAUGUUAGGAUUUUAGUUACUUACCCAUUUAUCUAGUCUUGUUAUAAUUGAGAUUUAUUUCUUAUUAUAAUUUAUAUUUAUUUUAUAUUAUAAUUUAAAUUUAUUUAUUAUUUUAUUUAAAAUUCACACAUUUUUGUACUUAUAUAAAUACCUCCUUAUUGAGAGAGCACUCCCAUUGGUCAUGCUUAGAGCUCCACUCUCAUGGAAUCUUAUUGUUGUUCAAACUCUCUUUUCGGUAGAUUUUGUUAUUUGGUAACUGGUUCAGGUUGUGGCCUUCGAGGAAAUUGAUCUUAUAAUAUUCAAGAGUAGGCAAGCGGAUUCCAACAAAAAAAAGAGACUAGGCAGGUGGAUUCCAAACAAACAAAAAAAGAGUAGGCCAGUGGAGCAUCUGGAAUUUGAUCCGAAAAAUCCGCGGGCAAUCCUUGUCAGAAAGACUUUUAUGAAAUGGAAGUAGUGUUAUUUUAUUAUUGUGAUUAUUGUGACAUGCGUAAUAAUAUUUUAGAAGAAAAGUAUCAUACAGAUUUUGAACAUCUAAUUGAAAACCAAUUAAUAAUGAGUGAACAGCUCGGGAACUUGUGGCAUUACCUGUUUAACCAAUAUUAUAUGUUGGAAAGUUGACUUACCGAUCACAGCACAUGGAGUACACAUCCUCACAUGCAUGGGAGAAUGCCCAACAAUUGUUUAAUCAACGAUUGUCCCAACCAUGCUCAUGCGUAACAUCGAUUUCUAAUUAUUAGUUGAUAAUCUCUCUCUCUCUCUCUCUCUCUAGUGCAUCUGAGCCCAACCAUGGCAGAAUGCUUUUUCAUUUGAAAUGCAUAUACCAUUGAUUGCUCCCCAGAAUCAAUUUCAGAUAUGUUCUUUUGAUUAGGGAGACUUUGGAAAAACCCAAAGGAGAGAGAAAAUUUUUAAAAGAAGCAAAAAUGGACAAAAUUACCCUUAUUUAUUUUUUAAUUUCCUAAGAAAUCCUUUACAUUUGCAUGUCUUUGGUUUGAAAGUUGAGAGGUUAUUCUGUCUUUUUUGAAAAAGCUUUGGCUUUUUCUAAAAGUGAAAAAAAUUUUAUGGGUAAAACCUAAAUUUACUUUUUGAUUAAGGUUAUACCAAAAUAAGGCCAUUAUGGCGUCUGCUGCAACAGACCUCUUCAUUGGAAAAUUUGUAGCCAUUCUAGAGAGUGAAGCAGCCUCCAUAGCGGGUGUUCGUGAUCAAGUUGAUGAGAUUAAGCAGGAGCUGGUAUUCAUGAAAUCCUUCUUAGAUGAUGCUGACGGCGGAGAGCAGGCACACACACAAGUACAGAAAGCGUGGGUCGCAAGCGUUCGAGACUUGGCCAAUGAUGUUGAAAACACCAUUGAUGAGUUCAUGUAUCACGUGUACGAGCAGCGAAAUGGCGGUCGAUUUGCCAGGUGGAUCCACAAAACCAUUCACUUUCCAAAGCACCUUUGGUAUAAGCGUAAAAUAGCCAACAAGUUACAGAAAAUCGCGACUGCAAUUAGAGCUAUUACAGAGAGAAAUCAGAGAUAUGGUGGUGGUGCAGCUGUAGAAGGAAAAAGUACUUCUUCUGAGGAUAUUCGCAGAUGGGUGCAGAAUCAAGGGGAGUCUUCUAUUUAUCAUAAGGAGGAUGAACUCGUCGGGAUUGAAGGUGAUAAGAACUUGUUAAUGGGAUGGCUGAUGAACGAAGAGCAACGCCAAACUGUUGUGUCUGUGGUCGGGAUGGGAGGAUCGGGGAAGACAACUCUAGUUGCAAGGACUUUCAAAGAUGAAAUUGUACAGAGACAUUUCGAAUGCUAUGCGUGGAUUACUGUUUCCCAAUCUUAUGUGAUUGAAGACUUACUUAGAAGAUUGAUCAAAGAAUUCCACAAAGCAAAGAAGGAAGAGGUCCCUGCAGACAUGAAUGCCAUGAGUUAUAACGAAUUGCUGGAGAUUUUGAUGAACUGCUUGGGAACUAAAAGGUACCUAGUUGUAUUGGAUGACGUGUGGGAUGUCCACCUUUGGGAGAAAAUAAGGUUUUCAUUUCCAGAUAAACAACUUGAAAGUCGAGUCAUGCUUACAACUCGAAGAGAAGACAUAGCAUCCUCUUCUUUUGGAGUUGAAAGCCAUGUUCACAAGAUUCAACCGCUGGAAAGGAGUGAUGCUUGGGAGCUCUUCAGCAUGAAAGCAUUCUCAAGUUAUCAGAACAAAUCUUGUUCACCUGAACUUCUGCCUUUAGCUCGGGAACUUGUGGAAAAGUGUGAAGGCUUACCACUCGCGAUCGUAGCCUUGAGUGGUCUCAUGUCUUCUAAGAAGUCACUUGCAGAGUGGAGCACAGUCUACAACAGCUUAAAUUGGCAUCUAACAAACAAUUCUUUGUUAGAACCUAUGAAGAUGCGCAUCUUGUUGUUUAGUUUUAAUGAUUUGCCAUACCGACUGAAGCAAUGCUUUCUAUAUUGUUCCCUUUUCCCUGAAGAUCAUGUGAUCAUAAAU